AUCAUCAUGCUGCUGUGUCCCAGAAGUACCGGCCCCAUCAUGUCGUGGCCGGAAUGGUGGAGGGUAAGGAACCGAGUACUGAAACCCCUAGUGGGAAAAGAAUACGGUCAACGCAUCCCCAUACCACUAUUGUUGCCUGUCCACAUGUGCAACAUACUCACUAAGGUUCUGAACCCUCAUGUCAAGACAGUCAAUGCCCUGAGCUAGGUAGCGCAUAUCAAUCUUCGGCUCAGGUCCCUGUUGCGCUCCCCGAGGAGCAGGUCUACGCUGCUGGACCCGUCUCGGCUGUGGCUCGGCAGCACCCUCCUCGUCCGCCACAUCAUCUGCUCGUACNNNNNNNNNNNNNNNNNNNNNNNNNNNNNNNNNNNNNNNNNNNNNNNNNNNNNNNNNNNNNNNNNNNNNNNNNNNNNNNUGAUCUCUCGUUAACAACUGAUAUGAUCGGGCUAGUCGCGUGAUAAAAUGCCCUCUGCACAUCGGGCUAUCCUCCCGAAGUCCCCUGGCCCUCUGUCCCAAAUAUGCAGCUAAAGCAACUGGAAGGUUCAGGUGCCUCCCUGGAGUAACAAGUGCCCAUAGGAAAUACAAGUCUAUCGAAGGCACUCUCUCACUAUUCUUAUGAUGCGUGAGAGUCAUGGAAAUCAACCGGUGCAACAGUCUAUAUGUAGUAGACCGAAUCAUCCUACCCCGUGCAGUAGAUGGCGUAUAAACUCCCCCUGUAAUCUCAGCCCAAAAAGUGUGCUCAUUAUAUUCAUCUGGCCGCUCCGUGAGACAAUCAGCAAGGAAUGUCGGGAAGUGGACACUCCUCGUCUCAUCUGCUGUGUAUAUACCCACUCAAGUCGCAAGCUCUAUGACACUGCACUCCCGACUCACACCCCCCAGUCUAAAGGCAAAAGUUGUCCUAUCAUCGGGUGCCUUCCUAGGAUCAUAGGAAACUGUAGCGUAAAACUCCAACAAAAAUUCCCGAUAAACAGGCUCCUGGAUCCUGAACAAUCGUGCCCACCCCUGCCAUACGAACAAUUCCACUCCAAUCGCGUCCGAGUGCGUGUAUUGCAAAAAAAUCCUGGAUCAGUGUAGCAAGUCCAGUCCAGGUCGCCAAUUCCCAGUCGAAUGAUGGUGCUAUGUCGAUCUCCUUGGUGAGCAGCAAACUCAAACUGUUGACAUAUCGUGCCCGGGUUGCAUCGUUCAGAGUUUGCGGAAAUUGUAAGAAACGNUCAGAGUUUGGGAAAUUGUAAGAAACGGUGAUCGGUCACAUCCUCGGGUGGGUUGGUCCUUUGAGUUCUUCGGGCCAUAAUCUGCACACAUAAACACAAAACCAAACAAAAUAUAACAGCAUUAAAAAAAUUUUAAACCAAAAAAAAAUGGUGCUGGAUAUGGACUGUACGCUGGGCGUACGUCCAGGUUCCACGAAUAUGUGUUCUGCUUCCUUUUCUUGUGCUAAAGUUAUAACCCAUAUCAAAAAAUUUCAAAUUAACCAACUGCAAGCAAUAAACACAGCAGGGCAAACACAUGGGGCAUAUCGAGCUUCGUGGUCCAAGACAGUAGAAAAACGGGACCACUCUAAAAAAUAUGAACCAUUCUCCUGUUCGUUCCUUAUCUUAUCAAGAUUAGAAAGCACUACAAAAGAAAAACUUCAUUGGGGCAGUCAAGAAUCGAAGUCAACAGGGUUACGCUUAGCGUCCGUCCCCGAGCUCAAAAUGAUGGGUCUAUCACGGGAUUAAGACCAAAUUAGGUACUAGGGUUUAGUCCAUUGAUGGAAAUCGGUCUUUUUAAGUCCUAAUCAAAACAUACAAUUAUGAAAUCGGCCCUAAUUCAAGAACCCUAUAAACCCUAGAUUUCGAACAAAGGCAUUUUGCAGCUUAUUCCAUCGAUUUAAACACAAAUCCAAAACAUUGAGUAACCGAAAAACUUACCUGUGUGCUGAAUUUUACAAGAAAAGAAGCAAAAUUGAAAAUCCUUGGGAGAGCUUGCCGUCACAGUUCGUGUGUGCGAAGGAAAGGAUUUUGAAAAAGUAACAAAAAAGUCAAGGGUCAAAAGAUAUAACCUGGUCACCGAUUUACGCUGGGCGUAAAACAAGGUUACGCUGGGCGUAACUCCAACUCCAUGAAAAGUCCAUCCGCGAUCCGGGGUUUAUUACGCUUGGCGUAAUUAAAAUUACGCUGGGCGUAAUGAAGUAUUCCUUUUCUUUAACUGAAAUUUCUUUUCUUUUAACUAUUUAAUUAAGGGACUAAAAACUUAAUUAUUUUUCUUUUUAAUUUCUUCAGCAACUGAUGACUUUCCGAUGAGUAAAAAAAAUGAGACGUCAUAAUCACUUAUCUUUGUCAAGAUCAAACAACAAUGGUUGAUUAAAAACCUUUGCACGCAAGAAUUGGUUUGCGAAAACACCCACUUUCGGGACCCGUUAGAAUAUUUCCUUUGUUUUCUUUGCACCUUUAACUAAAAGCGGAACAAGAAGUGACCUAACUAGUCAAGAACAGCAAGAGUUCGGUCUUCCACUUAACCACCACAAUACGCCUUACUAUACUACGCCUCAUGGAUUGAGUUGGACAAAUCAACAAAGUAGUAAGCCAACCAGGUCAAGAAUUUCCUAAUCGCUUGGAUUCUCGAAACCCAUGCAAAAAGUAAAGUCAAGCAAUGUGUACAAUCCCAAAUUCCUGCAAUUAACAACAAGAACCUUCCCGACAAGUGAAAUGAUAUCAACGAAAACCAAACUAAAAAUAAAAACUAACUAAAAACAAAUAACGAAUAAUCAAAAAAACUAAAUUAAUGACAAGCUGUUCCCGGCAACAGCGCCAAAAACUUGAUGUGCACAAAAGUACCCACUAAUUUUAAUAUUUAUAACCUAACAAACUUAGACUAUCUAUGCACUUAUAGGCAGUGUACCUAGUCAGAUUACAGUAUAGCUUAGGUAAGUCGGGUGUCGAUCACAGGGAACGGUGGUGAAUUAAUUUAAAAUAUUUGAUUAUAGGUUACAGGUCACAUGAAAAGAAUAAAGAAAUAGUUUAAUAAAUCUCAAACUAACAAUUAAUUAACAACUUUCGAUAAACUAACAGGAAAGAAAAUCUCUUCAGGUACUUUGGUUUAGAUAAAUUACGCCUUAAAAAACAUAGACAAUUGUAUACACAACUUCAUUUAUUCAUGUUCACCGAUUCCUAAAAUGAUUAGAUUCGUGUUCACUAUAACUAAUCCUUUAGCAAACAAGUCAAUUCAAACAGUGAUCAGUUGAUUAAACUAACAUGCUUCCUAGUGUUCAGUUCGUAUCAAGCAAGACUUGUAAAUAUAGUUAAUCAAAUUACUAAUUCAAUUUAACCUCUUGUUGAUGGUCAUCAAACAAGGCUCACACAUUAACUUACUUAUUCCCAAGUUAAUCCUAGUUUUACAUUCGUUAAUCCUAGACUUCUAAUCUCGAUGGUCAUCAAAAUCAUAAGCGACAAGCAAUCAAGCAGAUGUUCAUACAACUCAAUUUACUUAAUAAUUAACAGCAAAUAAUUAUCAUUAAUACGUAAGGAUCUUUUAACAAGCUUGGCAAGAUAAAUUAAACAUAAACAAACAAUUCAAUAUAGCAAUUAGUCUAAUAAUCAAGGUUUCAUUCAAUCAUAAACGCAAAGUAAAAGGUUUUUACACCCAAAUCAGAAACUAAAUACAGAAUAGUAACACAAUGGAAUGCUAAACAUGGUCACGUUAACAACCCAUAUGAUUACCGACAUGUAUCCGCUCUCCAACCCUUCCGAUCUUCGCUCCCGUUAGCUUAACGGCCUUCCGACCACCUUCUAGACCCUCAAAACGGCUUAAAAGAAGUUUAAUAUCGACUAAAUUAGGUUGGAAGUCGAAUCCCCCCUUCUGGUUAGCUGAUAAUCGACUUUUAUAACCUUUGUAACUGACUUACGUAUGCUGGGCGUAAGUCGGAUUACGCUGGGCGUACUAAGGAUUUAUACGCGAUUGGAGUUAUCCGAUGCCAGCCAUUACGCGGGGCGUACACAAGAAUUACGCUGGGCGUAACUCGUCUUAGCCAUUACGCUUGGCGUACAAGUAAAUUACGUGGGGCAUAAUCGUUCCUCCAACAUUUUCCUUUCUUUUAGCCUCUAAGCCCGAUUUCUGCUUCAGUCUUUUCUUUUGUGCUUUAUCGACAACGAAUAGCUGCAAAUCAUAAUUUAAAGCAUUGUGAGUACUUUUUCGUUCUAAAAGAGAAUAAUAAAGGCCAAAAUAUUAAGAUAUAAUGCAUAAAAAUAUAUAUAAAAAUACACAUAUCAAUUAUGUAUUAUCAAUAUUAAUUUUUCUUCAAAAUAAGUUGAAUAUAUCAAGAUAAAAAGUAUAUUCAAACUAAGAAAAUAAACCAGAAACACACAUACAAUAUUUUUGAACAACAAAAGCAUAAAAGUACAUACAAAAAAUAUAAAGACAAAGAAUUUACCAUUAUGUCCCUAGAGUACUAAUAAUGAGAAGAACAAAGAGAAACUGAAAUAUAAAUUUAUAUAGUUGCACUCAUGAAUGACUAAAAUAACACGAAAUGUAUUAAUUGUCAAUGUGGUUGAGCGCAAAUUACCAUUAUGUCCCUGGAGUACUAAUAAUAAAAACAAAAAUUAUAAAAUCCUUAAAAUAGUUCUAUAGAUGGUAUACUGGUAAUUAAAACAAUCAGUUUUUCCACAUGCCUCUUAAAAAAUCAUUUACAACCAUAAAUAAGUUUACCAAUAUACCCGUAACACAUUAAUUUUGUAUAUGUAAUAUGUAAGAUAUGAGAUAUAUGUGGCGAGGGCAUUUUCGUCCUUUAAACAUACUUAUAACAAUUAACAAACCUCAUGAUACAUUAUAACAGUGGAUAAUGGAUCGACAUACAUAUAUACUUUUCCUUUUAAUGAAGAGGCGUGAAAUAUGCAAUUGACAGAAAUGCCCCUUCUACAAGACACACCUAUUUAAAUUGCAUAAAACCACACCGCUUAACCUAUUUAUUCAUAUUUGAUGUUAGAGUUCUAUAAUUACCAAGGUGUUUUUAUCUUUUACUUAAUAGAAAUAUGUCUCGAUCAAGUAAGUUCAGGUAUAUGUUUUUUUUAUCUAAUGCAAAUAUAAUGACAUAAUAAGUAAAAUAAGAGAAAAACUACAAAAUAUUGGGUAAAAUUAAAAAACGAGCCACACCCUUUAAACAAACCAUCAUUGGGUUAUCAAAAUCAGUAACAUGAAUGUAGUCACUAUAAAUUAUAUGCAAAUAGGUAUACAUGAGAAAUAGCUAAAAUGAAAAAUGAUAACUACCUCCACCUUAUAGUUUAUAAAAAAUAAGGCAAACACCUUAACUACAUGCAUAGAUACUCUACUCCCAAUACUAAAGAAAUUAGUCUACAAAUGGCUUUAGUUAAUAUGUUUUUGGUUUAAACCGGUUCAGAUCAAUGACAAAAAAAUAUAAUUAUAGUAAAACAUGACAGAAAUGCCCCUUAAUUCAAAAUGGGACCAAUCAAUCAAGUAAUACAAAAUACAAUCACGUAAUACCUAAGCAGAGAAAAUAUAACACAAAAAACAGAAAAAAAAUUUAUUUCUAUAAAACAUGACAGAAAUACCCCCGAACUAAAAAAAUAAAAAUAAUCAAAAUUACAUUUCUAUUCGUAUGAGUUUGACGGUACUUUUAGGUUUCUUUGUGUAAUCCGUCAAUGAAUCUGGCCUAUGAGUUUGACGGUACUUUUAGGUUUCUUUGUGUAAUCCGUCAAUGAAUCUGGCCUAUAAACAUGACCUGAACCAAUUUUUUUACUUGGUGAACCAAUUUAAUAGAAAAAAAAAUUUGUUCUAAUUACCAUUCUACCAUUUGUAACUUGGGAAUGAUUAAUUAACAUACAAAGGUGAAUUUUCUCUACCUGCUGCCUUACGUUCAAAAUGACAAAAUUGUAUUGGUAAACAUGAACCAAAAUGGACAAAGGUUUCAAUUUUGGACAAACACAGUAAAAAUAUGAACCAAAACAAUAAACAUUGAUAUAAUUUUGCGAUGGUAUUAUCUCCAAAAGAAUAAAAAAUUUCAAUUUUGCGAUGAUAUAGUUUCAAUUUUGCGAAGAAGCAACGUAAGCAGUAAACCAGAUUGCGGUGAGAGAGAGAGAGAGAGGGCCUGCCGCCUGCGAUUGGUAAUUUGUGAUGGUAUCUCUCGACCGAGAAAGGGGAGCGAUUGAUGAACAGAACCAUAUUAAGAGGAAUUAUGAUUGUCAAAUAAGUUUUUGAUCGUUCUUUUGAUCGUUGUUAUUUAGGACAAUAUCUCAUAGUGAAAUACGAAUAAGGUAUCAGUUAAAGUGUCACACACACGCAUACACAUUAAGAAGCAUAAAUAACUUUCAAUUUUGCGAUUAACACAGACAUUGAGAAGCAGGGGCUUACAUAUACACAAUGAGAAGCAGAAUUGAGAAGCAGAAACUUACCGAAGGAUUGAAGUCGUUGACACAGACUCCAAUAACUGAAGUGUCGAUGAUGCUUGAUUGUUGGAAGACAAUGCUGUAAAGAACCUUGGAAACACGAUGCUAUAAAUAAAUUAAGAAGCAGAAUUGAGAAGAAGAAACUGAAAUCGAGAUUGAAGUCUAAGAUUGAAUAUCCGAUAAAUAAUUAGUCCAUGAUUCAGAAACUUGAAAACAUAAUGCUGUAAAGAAAUAUUGAUUAUCAUAUUUUUGAAAUAUAUAUUGACAAUAAUAUGAUCAAAUCGACAUAAUAAUCAAAAUUAAAUGUAAUCGAUGUGAUUGAUAUGGAUACCAUAAUAACAUGCUCUUAAUCGGGUAAGAAAUGAUUUUGAGUUAAUGUGUACAACUGGUAGCAAAGAUAAAAAUCGGUAAUUAAAAUAGGGAGUUAUAUGGAUUCCAUAUUGGAUUCAAUAUUCAAUUUCAAAUUUCCAUAUUCCACAUCGAUUACUACGUGAAACAAUAAAAUAACAAAAACGGUAUUUUACAUUUGUAGAAUACUAAUUAAUUGCAGAAUACUGAUUUUUUGAAGUUUAUAAUUUCACUAUAAAAAACUGUAAUAACAUAACCAUUUUUAUUUUUCUGAUUUAUUUGAAGUAAUUUAGACUUAUAAUACCUGAAAUAGUGGUAUGUGUUUUAGAGUUUUGUACAAGAGCAUUGUGUUUUUUAAAAGUAUUUACAUAUCUACGGUACUUUUAAAUUUAUUUACUAAAAGAUUGUAAAAUUUUAAAAUUCAUGUGGACCUAUCCCUUUUAUACCAAAAAUAUAAGAAAUUAAUUAUGCGCCUCCCCACCGCUCAUUUUUCUCGCAUUUGUCGCUGGAAAAUGAUGGCCAACAAGAUAAUUUCAAAACAUUAUAAAAAGAUUUCUCUUUCGCUUGUUUGCUCGCUAGAAAAUGAAAACAAACAUAAACGGUCAUAAAUAAAAACAACCAAACACGAAUUAAAUAUAUUGACAGAUUUAGAUUCUUCCGGCUGCGAACUUGGUUUGCUCAUUGGAAUAUGAAUACAACCAAACAAUUUGGAAAUCGAAAAGGAAAUUGUUGGAAAUGCACCACGUUCAUAGAUCUUGUGCCAAAACAUUUCUCGUAUAUAUUUGUUUCAAACAUUGGUCGUUCAAUCAAUGUCAUAUAACUUGGAAAUUUGGAGGGGGGAGGGGUUGUUUAACAGAUGAUACCGAGGGUUAUGAAUGGGUUAGUCGGUGGCAAGGCGGAUGUAGAGGUUCAUCCGCAGUGUGGUUUGGGGAGAAUUUCAGCAGUGUUUUGGAGUUGACGAUGUCGGACGGUGAUCGUGUCAUAGGUGUAAACACUGCACAACACAACAUGUAGACUAGGUAUUACUGGCAAUGCUUGUUAUGAAAAAAAUAAAAAACCAGUAGACUUCAAUCGUUGAAGCAGGGAAAAUGUGGUUGUGGUAGGUUCAAUGGAUGUAUGCGCACUCAUGCACAGUAGGGGUUUGCAGCGGUGCUAAGGGUUGCCAAAUGGUUUUGCAAGUAAUGUGAGCAUCAAAAGACAAUUAACAUGAUUUCAUUUAUUUUAUUUAAGUACAAUUAAAUGGGAAAUAAUUUUAAAAGUACUAUAUUAUAGUAAAUAUUUUUCUUAACCGCUACCUUUUAGUAAAAAACUAUGUGUUUUAAACAGGUAUAACUGUAUAAAAAACCUAAGAGUUUGCAGAGGUUCAUGGGAUUACAUCUUAGUGGUAUGUGCUUUAAGGGUAAACACAUUUUUCUUCUUUUAGGCUAGAUUUAUUACAUCACAAGGAAUCCCGUGGCGAGGGCAUUUUCGUCCUUAGGAUAUAUAAAUUUUGUUUCCGGUACUGUUUUGUACUUUGUAGUGCUUAAGAAACGGGAAGAUAUGAUUAAGUUGUGAAUGAUCUGGAUCCAUAUCAAUGAUCCGGUACUAUUCUACCCUUUGUAAGAGAAAAACACAUAAAGUCACAAACUAUAUACCCCUGUUGUGAAAAUUACCAAUAUGUCACUAUAAAAAAAUGAGCAUUAUUUUGAACAGGUUGUUCUAAUUACCAUUCUACCCUUUGUAACUAGAGAAUGAUUAGUUAAUAUGUCAUGCAUUGUUUCCUCCUGUUGCGUGUUCAAUAUUAUAACAAUCAAUAAACAAUUUUAAUGGAAUUUAAAUGAUUGAAAUUGUAGAGAUGAACAAAAGAAUUGACAAAGGGCAAAAUUGACAUCUAAUGCAUUGUUUCUUCCUGUUGCGUGUUCAAUAUCAUGACAAAUCUCAUUUGACAGCUUCAUUACAAUUUUUGUUUCAUACAUUACCUCAAAUAAUAUACAAGCACAUUCCCAAGAAUGCAUUCACCGAUAUACCAUUUUAUUGUGAAAAUUACCAAUAUGUCCAUGUACAAAAAAUGAGUAUUAUUUUCAACAGGAUUUUAUUGAAUUUAUUCAUAUUUGAGACAUCUUUUUUAUAGAGCAAAUAUACUUAUAACACGAAAAUGAAAAGUAGAAUGGUAUAUUUUUUAAUUUUUUUGAAUUUUAUUGCAAAUAUAUUGGUAAAAAAAAUCUUUAAAAACAUAAUGGUUUCCUUCUUUUACACUAUCAAUAGACACACAUAUAUUAAAAGAAGAUUAAUCUAAUUACAGGCAUAACCCAAAAAGCAGUUUUUUACUUAAGAUAGAGAUUAGCAGCGUAAAGAAACCAAGAACUAUCAAUGUUUGAAUACUGAACACCACGAAGAGCAAAACUGUCAAACAAAAUCCCCAAAAAAAAUAAUUCAAGAAUAUUGUUGGUGCAUAAAAAGGACAAUCUAAAAUUACUUUUCAAGCUUUGGUAUUAAUAGACCUGUGUUUCCAUCCACCCUGGAAUUCAAGCGAGGUAUUUUUGUCGACGAAUUCACAUUAUCAUACUCAUCAAUAUCAAUGCUAUCUCCAACGUUUCGCUUUUUUACCAUUGUGGGCGAAUUAAACUUGAACGGACUUGUAGCUUCUAUUUGUCAUGCAUGGAAGGGGUCAAAUUAUCACUGGUUUGUUAUAUCGCGUCCUUAAAGCAAAAACCCGAAACAGCGUUAGUACGAUAAUAUUAACAAAUUAACAAAAAAAUAAUUUAUAAAAGGAAUUUAUAUAAAAUUAAAAAAUGUGGAUUUAUAUUAUAACCUUUAAUGACUUUGUUUCAUGAGAUGCUUCGUGAGAUGCGAUUUUGUAUCGUCAGCAUUUGUAGAAUUACCUCCCUGCUUCAAAAGUUUAAAUAUGUAUUAUCAUUUGUGGGAUUAAAUUUUUGUUCCAUCAAGAUUUACAAUUAAUUAGUGACGAUCAUUAAAUAAAAGUAUGCAUCAUAAUAAUUAAUUAAUUUUCAAAAAACAUAAAAAUAUAUGUAUAUAAAUACCUCAACAGCUAACUUUUUUUCCAAAACAUUGAUAAUGUUACUAUCAAGCGUAUAGCCAAGUAUCCCAAAACGAUUGUAGUUAUUGGAUACGUUAAAACUAUUAACAUCUAACACGAAUGCCAUCUUUUUAUGCACCAGACAGUUGAGGUCAUAAGGAUACAAUCUCGGAUCAUCACCAGCCUGGAAAGAAUGAGUUAUGUAAUAUUAUUAUGGUUAAAAGCACAUUAAUAUAGAUAAAAUCAAAUAGAUAAUAGAAUUUAAUAAAACAAAUAAUAUAUUUAUAGUAUGUCUGUUUGAUUUUCUCUAUGGGUUCACUUGCACGUUUUUUGACGAGUUUAUAAGCAUCUCUAUCAAACAUAGUGAGUGUGAUUGUUCCAGAUUCAUCUUGGACACGAAUAGGUAUUUUAUACCUACAAAAAAGUACGACAUAAAUAUCAUAUUAAAUAUUAAAUAUGUUUAAUGUGUAAUGUUUGUUAAUGUAUUUAAUUUGUGGGUGAACUAUUGUUAAAUUUUAAAAACCUUGGAACUGAAGAUAUCUCCUUUUUUUACACUUAGAAUUAUAACAUUCAACAACCACACUUGCAUCACCACUAUCUGGACCGCUGAAAACGUUUCUUGGUUCAACCUUCCUUCCACAUUUUGAACACGCAUCAUAAUACCAAUCAAUAUCUUGUCGGAUACCAUAAAUGGUACCAACAAUGAUAUAUUUCCCGACCUUAAAAAAUAUAAAAUACAAAAAGAAUCAUAAAAAAAAAUACAAUUAUAAUAUUAUAAUAAACGAAUAAUAGAUAACAAAAUCACAUUAAAAAAAACUAAAUUAUUCACAUACCUCUUGUGGUUCUAGCAAAUCGACAACAUUUUUAACGUUGUGAUUUGUCAAAAAGUCAUCAUAUUCAUUGCAUGAUUGAGAGCUAUCAACGGUCAAAGAAGAAGAAGGAUUUUGAAUUCCUCGUAAUCCAACCAUGUUGUUUUUUUUAUUUGAUAGAUUAAUUAUGAAAUUAGUAAAAUUAUUAAAAAGAAACAAAAAAAACAAUGAAUUAUUAAAAUAGAUUGUUACCUAUCUGUGAAUGUAACAAUUUCGGGAAGAUCAACAUUUAUGAACAUCGGUGUGUGUUUAUAAUAACUGUUAAAAUAGUUAAAAUAAUGAGCAAUAUAAAAGCCUAAAAUAACAAAGGGGUCCUUUUAUAAGAAAUGUACCGUUAUAGACAUUAAGUCUUGCAAACUGCAAAAUAACAACCACACGACCAACUUCUUUAUGUGCUUCAAGAUAAGAAAUCAAUUGGUAUGCAAUAUCUCCAAACAAUGUGACGUUAACCUGCAAACCUCUGCAAAAACAGUACGGGUUAAAUGAUAAUAUAAUAAUAAAAUUACAUAUGGCAGUUGUAACCUAAUCAAUUUAAUAUAUAAUAAUAAUAAUAAUAAUAAUAAUAAUAAUAAUAAUAAUAAUAAUAUAAGAUAUAAUAUAAGAAAAGUUAUGAUUUGUAAAGUUAGCCGAUGUUUGGAUUUGCUGACAUCACGGGAAUCAAGCUUUCCUAACGAAACAACUUCACCAAUAACAUCUACAAAAUGAUAAUACAAUAUGUCAAAAUGAUGUAAAAUUAAAGAAUUAAAUAUAAGAUGCAAUUAAAUAGGGGAAACAUUUACCAAUUGAGUUAUUAGAUGUAGCUGUUGCAGAAAUAAUGCUUUCAAACGAUACACAACAAAAGUCAUAUGUUGUUUUGGACUAAAAAGUUAGACAAUCAUUAACAGUUUUUCGUCCAUGCAAGUUUAACUUGGAGAGUACAUCACUUAUUUUAAAAAUGUAUCUGUUUGGAGCUAUAGUGGGGGAUCGGAUGUAAAUUGCUUUAUCUUCUUUCAGUUUUAAAAGUGUAUCUCUUGGGUAGACACUUGCUCGGAUUUUUGUACCCUAUUCACAUAUCGUAAGAAUAUUAUAUAUAUUGCGAAACAAUUGUAUAUUAAUUUAUAUAAAUUGGUCAACAUUGAAUCAAUUAUUUGACCAUGAAUGAUUUUAAAUAAUAUUAUUGGAAUGAGCAAAUAAACAAAAAAAAAUAAUUUUGAAUAAUGUAAUUAGAAUAGGAUAUUUUACCAUCUCAUCCAUUAAUAUCAUUUCAAGUGCUUUGACAAUACUAGGGUUAACUUUGGAUAAUGAUCUCCACAGCCGGAUAAUACACACUUUUAGUGUUUAAUCAUCCCUCAUGUUGUCUAAGUCUUUGAUCAAAGUGACAUUUCUAUCUGCCAUUGUCACUAUAAUAGAAAGACAUAACAUAUUAAGAAAAAAUAAUGGAACAAAAUUACACAAAAAAUAUAAAGACAAACAUAAUUACAAUUAUGUCCCUGGAGUAGUAGGCGGAUAAAAAGAUUCUGAAUAAUACAAUAAAUUAUUAUAAAACAUUCAAACAUAUUCAAACAAACUAUAUACCGCUGCUGUGAAAAUUACCAAUAUGUCCCUGGAGUUGUAGGCGGAUAAAAAGAUGAAAAACAAACAGGGCAUUUUCGUCCAUUGAACUUACUUAUAACAUGAAAAAUAAAAGUACAAUGCCAUUAUAUGUAAUAUUUUCGAAUUUUGUUGCACAUAUAAUUUUUUUUUUUGUACUGUACUGUUGGAAUACAUUUUUCUUUCCUUCUGUUAUUUUACUUUGUAACUAUUGGAACUAAUGUUUAUUAUGUUAUAUAAAGAUAAGCAUUGAUGGAAAGGAUACUAUUAGGGAGGAUGAUGUUGAUGAAUUGACUUCCAAUUCCAUAGUUACAGAUUAUGAAAUAUCAAGCAUAUCAGGUUCAGAACUAAAAUAGAACAAAAUUACACAGAAAGACAUAACAUAUUAAGAAAAAAUAAUGGAACAAAAUUACACAGAACAUAUAAAGACAAACAUAAUUACAAUUAUGUCCCUGUAGUAGUAGGUGGAUAAAAAGAUUCUGAAUAAUGCAAUAAAGUAUUAUAAAACAUUCAAACAUAUUCAAAUAAACUAUAUACCCCUGAUGUAAAAAUUACCAAUAUGUCCCUGGAGUAGUAGGCAGAUAAAAAGAUGAAAAACAAACAGGGACAACCUCAGUGAUUCAAGCAUAUCAGGUUCAGAAAAAACAAAAAACAGAGAAUUAGAUAAAAAGAUGAAAAUACAUUCUCCAUAUUUUACAGAUUUACAGAUUAUGAUAUAUCAAGCAUAUCAGGUUCAGAAAAACAAAAAACAUAGAAUUUGACAGCCUCAGUGAUAAAAUCGGUAAUUAUAAGUAAAACAAUAACAUACAACGUUAAUGUGGCCUAAGUCCUAAUUCAUAUAAAUCUGAUUAUUUACCAAUCGCAGGCGUACCUUCAAUAGUUCAAUGGGAUAGACUCGAAGAAGCAACGUAAGCAGUAAAGCAGAUUGCGAUGGGGGUAGAGAGAGAGAGAGAGGGCAUGCCGCCUGCGAUUGGUAAUUUGCGAUGGUAUCUCUCGACUAAGAAAGGGGAGCGAUAGAUGAACAGAACCAUAUUCAGACGAAUUAUGAUUGUCAAAUAAGUUUUUGAUCGUUCUUUUGCAAUUAACACAGACAUUGAGAAGCAGGGGAUUACAUAUACACAAUGAGAAGCAGAAUUGAGAAGAAGAAACUUACCGAAUGAUUGAAGCCGCUGAUUGAAUAUCUAAUAACUGAAGUAUGGAUGAUGCUUGAUUGUUGGAAGAUGAUGCUGUAAAGAAUGAUUCAUAUUUGUAUGCUUCAAGUAUAUAUUGAACAUAAUAAGAUCAAAUCGACCUAAUAAUCAAAUUUAAAUGUAAUUGAUAUGAUUGAUAUUGAUACAAUAAAAAGAUGCUCUUAAUCGGGCAUAUAACGAAAUUGAUUCAAUAUUCCAUUCGAUUUCCAUCCAUAUUCCAAAUUCCACAUUCAAAUUGCCAUAUUUCCAUAUCUAAUUUCCGUAUGUAAUGCUACGUGAAACCAAGCAGGGGUAAAAAUGGGAUUUAACAUUGGCAAGAAAGUGAAUUUUUGUUAGGACACGUUUCAAACAGGUUUUGUUUAUUAGAUAGGGAGAUGUUAUGAAUCUUGGUUAUGAUAAUACGAAUAUUGUAUGCUUGUACUUGAUUUACGAUCGAUUAUGUGGGGUUAUGCAUAGAGGGCAAGGGUAGGACCUAACACUUAGCAUGAAACCCUAUCCAGAUACAUUCGAGCCUCGUUAGUUGAGAAAUACCUUCUAGGAAAAGAGAUUAAUCCAUUUACGAGUUGAUCGGUCUUUCUAGAUGCCCGUGCGACACAUUGUACGCGUACACUUCGGUGUUUGCGGAUUGGAGUGAUGUUGGCCAUUCGAACGAGGCUUGUACAGACAUCACGUAGGUGUUGGGAGGUGGCGGACGAAUGCCACUGCUUGUACCAACACCAGAACGGCACCGCGAUGUACUUGUACAUUACAUAGUCGGAGUAGUGAAAGUGGAGUCUUGGGGUCGGUGUGGCAGGGGGGGGUCACGAACCACCUAAAGCACUUGGUUGUCCAGACACACAAGUAGCGAACGGGUUUUCCUUUUGGGUUAGGUAUUACUACGAGACUACCUAUGCCUAUACGAUUAUGAUACAUUUUUUUUUAUAUGAUGAUAUACGAUUACGAUAUGAUUAUGCAUGAAAUACAAUUGAUGUUACAUAAAUGAAUGAUAUGUGAAUGGAUGAUACAAAGUUGAAUGAUUGAAUUUUAUGUGAAAUAUGAUUGAUUAUUGAUUGGUAUGUGAAUUUUGUUUAUAUGAUUAAAAUAUGAAUGAUUGACCCGUUAAGGGAUGGUAUGUUUUCCCUUUGAUUGUGUACAAACUCUUAUUGGCUCACGAAGCAUUUGUUGACACUUGUUUCUUUGCUUUGUGCCUUUAUGAUUGGUACAGGUAGCUUAAGAGCUUCGCUUGGUGAGAUGGGGUCAUUUUUUGGUAGUUUAUCCUUAGAAUAAAGAUGCCACUUGGAAACGUUAUUUAUUUUUUGAUACUUAUGCUUCCACUACAAUUAAAUACUUUUGAUAUUUUGGUUUUAAAUUGAACGUAACUUGGUGGUUUGAAAUGUUUUUAAAAUAAAUAAUGUGUACACUCUUCCGUUGCAUUUUCCGUUAAAAGAUUUUAAAAAUAAAUGAAAUUUUUUCGCGAAAAAUCAUGACUUUACAAUUAAAUCCUUAAUAGAUUAAGUCCUUAACAGGUUAAGUAGGAACACUUAACCCUAAUCGUCAUUUUAUGUGAAAAACCCUAAUUGGGUUUGGGUUCUUAUUAGGUCACUUAUUGGACUGAGUUGUUGUGGGCCUUUGUGGGCCAAUUGGGAACAUAUUUAUGGACUAAGGAAAUUAUUGGUCUUUAGGAUAAGGCCCGUUGGAAAGGCUUGGGCCCAAUUUGGAAAAUUGGGCCAUAAUUAGGCCUUGAUGAUUAUGAGACUGGAUUAAAUGGUUGGGCCUUAAGAUAAGCCCAUGUAGAGGUUUGGGUCCAAUUUGGAAAAUUAGGCCAUAUGUUGGGCUUUGGUCCAUAGUUUGACUUUUGGGCUUUUGGAUUGGGCCUUGGAGUUGAAUAAAGCUAAGUCAGGGGUAAAAUAGUCUUUUACCCUAACCAUGGAAUUAUGGUUAUGUAUUGGAACCCAAUUAUUAAUUGGGUGUCGUUUUGAUGUUGAUAGUUUAGGAACCUAUCAACCAGCAGCUAAGAUUUUACCCGUGGAACUUGAGCAAUGCGAAGUGAGUCUCCUCACCAUACCAACGGGUCGAAGGCACCAAUGUCAGCCCAUUUUAUGUUAUGUGAUACACUAGCUAAAGUUGUAUUAUGUGGCAUGUUAGCUGGUUAUGUCAUAGGAAGUAUGCUAGUGGUAUAUGUGGUAUGCUUGUAUGGAAGACCAUGGGAGAGCCCAUGGCACCUGGAUGUAAGACCAUGUGGAGAGCCUAUGGCUUUCUUACUAUGUUUUAGUGUUAAUGUAGAUUCACUAUUGAUAUGUUUGGUAUGCACGUAUAUGUGGUAUGCUAGUGAUUAAGUGAUAUACUAGCUGACUAUGUGGUAUGUGGUAUGCUAGUUGUCUUUGUGAUACUUGCAUGAAAGCCCAUGGGAGAGCCCAUGGCACCUGGAUGUAAGACCAUGCGGAGAGCCCAUAACUUUCUUACUAAAGACCAUGGGAGAGCCCAUGGUAACCAGAUGUAAGACCAUGUGGAGAGCCCAUGGCUUUCCUAUUAAAGACCAUGGGAGAGCCCGUGGCAUUUAGGUGUAAGACCAUGUGGGGAGCCCAUGACAUCCUGGAGUAAGACCCUGGGGACGAGCCCACGACAUCCUUAUAUGUUUAUAUUCAUGGCUUAUAUGAUUGAUAUGACUUAUGUGGAUAUGUAGCUAAUAUAACUAAUAAAUAUUAUGAGAUUAUGUGGAUUGUAUGAGGUAUGCUCUGGGGAAUUCACUAAGCUUCGUGCUUACAGUUUUGUUUAUGGUUUCAGAUAUUUAACUUUAGGAAAGGAAGGGCUCAGCUUGACCGCAGCGUACACACCCAUGCUUUCCACAAUGAAUGAAAUGUUUUAAUUAACAAUGUUUUGGAAUGAUUGGAAUAAAUGAUAUCUAUGUUUGGGUUAUAUUAAAAAUGAAAUUGUUACCCCUGAUUUUUGGGUUGUUACAAUGAUAUUCAAUUAAAACACAGGUCUUUUGGCCUAGCACUAUCAUAUGUUGGAAAAGUGACCCUUCCUAAUGUUAGAAAAACGGGUUAUUUUGAUUGCUUGGAUACCAUUGAAAGUCAUGAUACACUUUCAAAUUGAAUUAUUUUGAUGGUACAAUCAAAAUAUCAAUUGGAUAAAAUUCAGUGACAAACAGAGAAUGAAAAUGUUAUGAUUCUUGUGUGUACCAGAUUUAAAUAACCAAAAAGGGAUAUAACUCCUUAUCUGAAAACUAUCAUAUUGACAUUUACAAACUGCCACAAAACCGUCACUAAAUUGACUUAGUCAGCUUGACAAACAAGAACCACAUAUUUAACAUACAAAGCAAAGAGAAAAAGUUUCCUAAUACUUGUAAAAAUCAAAUGAUGUAAAAAAAUUAGAUGUCACAAAAUCUAGUAUUAACAUAGAUUUAAUAAAACUGAUAGAUUACUUGUUUAUAUAUCGUAAAAAUUUAUUCCCAAGGUCAUCCUUAACUCACUAAUAAAUUUUGGGAGUAACGAUAUAACAAUAUCUAUUCGGUACUCCUUUGAUAAAAUUUUGAAUUUUGUGUGGUCAAUAAGUCGUAUUUUUGGAUUGCUAAUAGGAGUAGAAAAGCUAAAAUCAUUUGGGUCUAUGAGCUUCGUAAUCCUAUUUUAGCUUGCACUCUUAUGUAAUGCUAUUUUUCCUUGCUUCCUGCUAGUUUUUAUAAAAUUUUUUGCUGUUCCAAAAAAAAAAAAAAAAAAAAACUCCUCUAAUAUAUUGGUCGGUCGACUUUGAGAUACAAUUAAGAAGGUUCUCUAGCCACAUCACACAUCAUCCUCCCCCAAUGACCACCACACAAUAAUAUCGAUUUGGUAUAGACCAACAACUCUCUAUUUCCCCAUCUCCCUUAAAUCAAUCUUCACUUCCUUACUUUUCAGUUUGUUUUUUAAUAUUCAUACAUAGAAACUCAUGUUGGAGCAGUUAACACACAUAAAUGUCCUUAAUAUUGGAAUCCCUCACCAACAAAGUAGCAUCGUUAAGUAACUAAUAAGUUAGAGACCAUACGUACAAAUUAGCCCAAACCAUAGGGACCAUUCGUGUAAUUUACUCUUCCUCUUAAUAUACAUAUUUUUUAUUAGAGACAGACCGCUGUCAUCCUCAAUAUAAUACAUGUGUCCCCAAGUCCAUUUUGCAAUUCUUUUUGGAUUUGGCAAACUUGUAUAUACAAUUUCCUCUCUUUACUUUUCAUAUGUCAUAACCUUUGCUUUAGUUAUUGCUUUCUUCUUCCAAUUUCUUGUCACCUUGUAAAUAUUUCUUUGACCUCUCUUCUUUCCCAAUUGUCACUACUUAAUAGAAAUUCUUUAAAAGGAGUUUCUUUAUUUUGACCUUGAACCUUCUUGCUCCACCAUUCCGAUUAUUAGCUUAGCCUUUCAUCCUUGACGGAUAUGGCCUCCUGCUACAAUUACCAUGUAACAGAGCCGGCCCAAAGCAAGUUCAUCCAGUGCCUUUGAACAUGGCCCAAAAAAUCAGAGGGCCCAUUUUUUUUCAUUCUUUAAUAGGGUAUGUUCAUUUGGCCCAAAAAAUUUAGGUUAUAUCCAUCUAUAUACUCAGUUAACGAAUGCAGGAAGCAGGCAAGAGGGAGCAGGAACUCAAUUUUCGGGAAAAAGAGAACUCUUCGGUUUCUUCAUUGGUAACGCACGCAUGGAUAAUAGGAAUCAUCAUUGCUGGAACGGUAACAUCAAUUUACAUUCAUUUAUCAUUCAUUCUAUUCCAUCAAUUUACCUUCACUUCUUAUUUCUUCCUUCUUUAUCUUCUUCUUCACUGAUCAGUUUUUACAAAGAUUACCAACAAUUUUAGAAGAUUCAAAAGAAGAAAUUCAAAGCCAUCAAAUUUCGAAAUCAGAAGGUUCAAUAUCAGAAUUCAGAACAAUCAAAAUUCGAAAUAAGAAGCUUCAAAAUCUUACAGUCUUACAGUCUUACAGUUUGAGUUUCGAAAUCAAAGGUAUAAUACUAAAAUUAAACUUUAGUUUAUUGUUUCAUGGGUUUGUUUUUUCUAAUUGAGUAAUUUGAUAAUUUCAGAUUUCUUAUCGGUUCUUCUUUUUUCAUUUUCUUUAAUUCCAAAUUACUAAAUCAGGAUGAACAAUCAACAGUGAUAUCAGUUUUCAAAAAUUUGAACUUAGAAGGAACAAGGAAUUGAGGUAAAUUCUAAUUCAGAUUUCUACUUUUUAUGUUUUUUUGUUUAUGAUAAUUUCGAAUUUGUAAGAACUAAGAAGUAAUUAUGAAUUUAUGAUCUCAUCAUUUCAGAUUGCAAAUUUUCUGAUUUCCUUAGAAUCAUAUUCUUGUUUUUUUGAUUUGAAGUGUCGAUGAUAAUAAGGUAAUUUUUGGAUUUCUUAUAUGAUAUCAUUGCAGAUUUUGUGAUUUCUUUAGAAGCAUAUUCUGAUUUUUUUUCUUUGCAGUUUUGUUACAUUCUUUUGGUGAUUUGAAGUGUGGAAAAUCUGAACCAAGAAGGAAUCUAUAAAUUGGAAGUCAUAAAUAAGGUCGUUUCUUUCUUUUCUAUAACUUAUUAUGCCUCCUAAAAUAAAAAAAUAUGCAUCUGGAUAUGAAAAACGUAAGAAAAAACAAAAAAUUGAAGAAGAUAAUAAAACUCAAGCAGGAUCUAUGGAUAAGUUUAUAACAAAAAAAACACAAAACUUUACGAAAAAUGAAACACAAAAUGUUAAUGAAGCUAAUCUUGAUAAAAUGAUAAUGUUGAUGUUGAUGUUGAUGUUGAUGUUAAUGAUAAUGUUGAUGUUGAUGUUAAUGCUAAUGUUAAUGUUAAUGUUAGUGAUAAAGUUGAUUUUAAUGAUAAUCCUAAUGUUGUUGUUGAUGAUAAUGUUGAUUUUCACACUUUUGAUAUAUUUGAUCCAAGAAAUCGGGAUGCUCUUGAUUCUAGUAUGAUAAAUAUUUUAGUGUUGAAAGGUCCUAAAAGAGAUUUGUCUCUUACAAAAGGUCCUAAAGAUAAAUAUUUAAGAAGAUUUUCUGCAACAUAUUAUACUAAAACUUUACCAAAUGGGGAAAAAUGUGAUAGAGAUUGGCUUGUUUAUUCUAAAGAAAUUGAUAAAAUUUUUUGUUUUUGUUGUAAAAUAUUUCGAAAAGGGUGUCGGAAGGGUCAAUUAGCAAAUGAGGGUUUUAGGGAUUGGAUACAUCUUAACACUAGAAUUAAAGAGUAUGAAACUAGUAUGAAACAUGUUAAAACUAUAAAUACUUGGUAUGAUUUGCGUUUAAGAUUACAAAAAAAUGAAACUAUUGAUAAUGCGGCUCAAAAACAAUUAGAAAAAGAAAAAGUUCAUUAGAGACAAGUUUUGUUGAGAAUUAUUUCUAUUGUGAAAUUUCUUGCUAAACAUAAUCUAGCUUUUCGUGGUACUAAUGAGAAAUUGUAUGAAGAUAACAAUGGAAAUUUUUUAGGCUUAUUUGAAAUGUUGGCUGAAUUUGACAUGGUUUCUUAUGACCAUAUACAACGUAUUACAAAUGAAAUUGGUAUCCAUAAACAUUAUCUUGGGCAUAGGAUACAAAAUGAAUUAAUACUUUUGCUUUCUUCAGAAAUAAAGUCUAUGAUUAUUAAAAAGAUAAAAAAUGCAAAAUAUUUUUCUAUAAUACUUGAUUGUACUCCUGAUAUAAGUUACCAAGAGCAAAUGACUAUUAUUUUAAGAUGUGUAGAUGUCUUGUCAAAUGUUGUUUGCAUUGAAGAGUCUUUUUUAGGGUUUUUAGAUGUAAAUGAUACAACCGGCCAAGGACUCUUUGAUGUUUUACAAAAUGAAUUGAAUUUGCUUGAUCUUGACAUUAAUAAUAUACGUGGCCAAGGUUAUGAUAAUGGAUCAAAUAUGAAAGGAAAACAUCAAGGAGUGCAAAAAAAGCUUUUAGAUAUAAAUUCAAGGGCUUUUUAUACUCCUUGUGGUUGUCAUAGUUUGAACUUAACUUUAUGUGAUAUGGCUAAUACUUGUGGUAAAGCUAAAGGUUUUUUUUGGAACAAUACAACGUAUCUAUACAAUUUUUGCAAAUCCCACUAAGAGAUGACAAAUUUUAAAAGAUAAUGUGAAAGGGGUAACUCCUAAAUCGUUGUCAUCCACUCGUUGGGAGAGUCGUGUUGAUAGUGUUAAAGCUAUAAGAUUUCAUAUACAAAAAGCUUUACUUCAAGUAGCCAAAAAUGAUAAUGAUCCAAAAAUAACAAGUGAAGCUAAAUCCUUAGCAAAAAAUGAACUUGACAACUUUGAGUUUAUAUUGGCAUUAGUAAUUUGGUAUGAAAUGUUAAACACUAUUAAUUUAAUUAGCAAACAAUUGCAAUCAAAAGAUAUGUUUAUUGAUGUUGCUAUGGAAAAAAUAAUGGGGUUAAUUUCGUAUUUUAAGGAAUAUAAAGAAAAUGGGUUUUUAAAUGCUUUACAAACCGCAAAAGAUAUUGCCUUAGAAAUGGGGAUCGAUCCAAUAUUUCCUAAAAAACGUGAACCUAAAAUAAAAAAACAUUUUGAUGAGAUUUCAAACGACACUUCUUAUAGUUUUUCACAAUCCGCCCAAGAGAAAUUUAGAGUUAAAUAUUUUAUUUAUAUUGUUGAUCAAGCAAUUAGUUCUUUAACUACAAGGUUUGAACUAUAUCAAUAAUAUGAUAAAAUAUUUGGCUUUUUAUUUAAUUCAGAAAAAUUGCUUUCAUUAGAUGAUAUAACAUUAAAGUCUUGUUGUAUGUCUCUUGAAACUUCACUCAAGAAAGAUGAGCAAUCGGAUAUUGAUGGAAAUGACUUAUAUGUUGAAUUAAAAUUACUUUUACAUCUCUUGCCUAAGGAAAAAUUGACAGCAAUUGAUAUUCUAAAUUUUUUAAAACGUGUUGAUUGUUUUCCUAUUACAUCUAUUACAUAUAAAAUUAUGUUGACUAUUCUUGUUACUGUUGCAUCUGCAGAACAGAGUUUUCCAAAAUUGAAGAUUCUGAAGUCCUACUUAAGAUUUACAAUGACUCAAGAACGACUUAAUGGAUUGGUUUUGAUGACGAUUGAGCGUAAUAUGUUGGAUAAAGUUACUUAUGAAGAUGCUAUUGAAAAAGUUUAUUUCAACGAAUAUUAGGAGGAUGACUGUUUUCAAGUAGAAGCUAAUUUUUUUUUGUAUUAUUUUGAAUGAAAUUUUAAUUUUAUGUAUUUGCAAUAGAAAAUUAAACUAUAAUUUUUUUUUUGCUUAAAUUUUGAGAUCUUUCAAAUUUUAGAGCCUAUUUUUUGUUAAAUCGCACAUGGUCUUCAAUAUCUCAGGGCCGGCCCUGCCAUGUAGACCGAGACCCCUACUUGUAACUAACCUUUUCGGUCCUAAUAGAUACACAUGUAAAAAACUAAUAACUACUAACUAACUAUUAAUUAUUUAAUAUAAAAUACAAAUAGAACAUCAAUGAUAAAUAUUAAAAGGGUGUUGCUAAAUUGACACCCCUUAGACACCCUAUAAACACUUUUAUUAAAAGUCAAUUUAUAAUAAACUAUUCACAAUUUACUUUUUCAAAAAACAAUGCAAAUUAACUAAUAAAAAAAUCUUAAAAAUCAAAUAAGGUUUCAACAUGAGAGAAAUUAUAUUGCAAUAAGUUUGUUGUCAGGUGAGGAAUACAAUGCAUAAAUGAUUUACAAAAUCGAAAGUUCCAGACACAAGUUAAAACUUAAAACCCUAAAAGACCACACAAAUUUCAAUCGUCGACAUACCCCACCACAAAGGCACAAACAAUCAAUGAAACAAGUGUAGAUGUAGAGGCCUUUUUCACCACAAUCACCCUUCAUCGGCCAUUUCGAAGGCCACGUGAAAUGUCACUAACGUGGCCCUCUAAAUAUCCACUACUUUGUCUUUAACCCCUCCCCCCUCCCUUAUAAAACACUCCAUCCUCCUCCUUAAUCACCAUCACCAACAACCUUCUCUCCUCCCUCAAAAGUACCACCAUCUUUUCCGACAUGGCUACUUCUUCAAUCUUCAUGGCAACUCCCAUCACACUCCUCAAGAAAACUCCCACCUUCUCCGUCAAAUGUAUGUCACAAACACCUCAAAGCGGUGAACCGGAGGUUUCAAAACCAGCAACCACCCCAACACUACCACAGAUCAACAUUCCUCCUCCUCCGCCACCUGCUCCAAAGGUCAGCACGAAGUUCUCUGACGUGUUGGCGUUUAGUGGACCUGCACCGGAGAGGAUCAACGGAAGGUUAGCCAUGAUAGGGUUUGUGUCGGCGAUGGCUGUGGAACUGAGCAGCGGUCAAGACGUGUUCACCCAGAUCGGCAACGGCGGUGUUGCGGUGUUUGUCGGGACAAGUGUGGUGUUGACGUUGGCGUCGUUGGUGCCGUUGUUUAAAGGAGUGAGCGUGCAGUCGAAGUCGAGUGGACUGAUGACAUCAGAUGCAGAGCUUUGGAAUGGGCGGGUUGCGAUGUUGGGUCUGGUGGCUUUGGCUUUUACUGAAUAUGUUAAAGGCAGUGCCCUUGUCUAGAUAAUGUAGCAUAAACUUUUCUAUUACAGAAUUACAUCUAAGAUAGGCAAAUGUAUAUUCUUUUGAAUAUUUAUGUGUAUCGAUUUACCAUACAUAGUUCAAAUCAUGAAAAUCAUGUUUUUUUGAUAAUAUAGUAUAAAACAAAUAUGAUCAAUCAAAUCGAACGAUUGUGGUAUCUUUCAAUAUAAAAUUCUUUUUACAAAAAUAAACAAACAACAUACUAAGAUAAUUUUUUGAGGAAUGAACCUAGAUUAGCAAUAUAAGAGUCAAAGUCUACAAAGAUAUUGACAUCCUAGUUUCACAACUUCCUCUUUGAAUGUUGAAGGUGAUCAUUAAUUCAGACUGAAUAUGUGGCUAAGUCCAGCCUAGUCAAUUAGCCAAUUUAAGUUGACAAGUAUCCAAAAUUCAAAUAAACUACAUGGCUCAAUUUCAAAGAAAACUGAAAAAUGACUAAUGCUCACAAAAUGAUCACCGAAUCAAUUUAGGCUAUGAGGAGUGGUCACAUUCAAACCACCGGAAAAACGCUGCAAAGUCAGUGAUAUGUCAACUCCAUCACCUUCUAAACAUUGGAAACAAUUACCACUCCGUGUCAUUUAUAUUUUCAUUUUUUUUACAUUAGAUUAAAUAAAAAACAUAAUUACUAACUUAAGUAAUCAUUUUACUAAUUAAAAAAUCAACUAAACAUAUAUUAAUUUUCAAAAUUAAAUAAACAUAUAUAGUAUAUAUAGUUGAGGGUUUAACUUAAUUCAAAGAAAAGUAAGAGGGUAUAAUAAGAUUAAAAGACAUAAUUUUAGAGACCAAAUUUGUAACUUUAGUUAAAGCAAAUAUGAAUGGUCUUCUUCACAGGUCAUUGCUCAAUACCAUUUUUUUUCUUUUACUUCGAUGGAUACAAAGGAAAAGGGAAAAAAAGGGUCAAAUAAAUGACCGUUAUUGUUCUUGCUUUCUUAUCCGUCGUCUUCAUCCGUCUUUGCACCCACAUUACACCCAAACCACCGGCCUUAGGGGUGGUGGUGUUCACGUGUCCUUAGGCCGGACACAUCAGCAAGAUGUGUGAGUUAGUCCUCCCACUCCGAUUAGCCUUAAGCACUUAUUAAAAGCUAGUCUAUUUCUUGUUAGGUUGAAAUCUAAUGUUAUCAUCAAAUCUAUACAAGAUUGAGAUUGAUAUUAUAGUAACAAUCUCCCAAAGAAAAAUAAUAUAUUUAAAAGAAUAUAUAUAUANNNNNNNNUAUAUAUAUAUAUGAAUUAUGCCCCAAGAAGUACUAUGCAUGAGUAUAAGAUUACUAUUAUCUUUGGAUCCAUUAAUUGAUAACUAAGCAUACUUCAAAGUUACUAUAUGGUCGUAUGAGACCCGCGAAUAGGAAAUUGGCUGCACCCUUGGCCCGAUUCGAAGGCUAAAACCCAAAAGAACCAUGCACAUGAUUCGAACCAAGUGCUCUAAUGCUAUUUUGCCCAACUUACAUGAACUACCUCCAUACACAUACUUAAGAAACCCAUAAUCUCAUCCAGAUAGAGCAGGAAUGCCAGAGAUAAUCGGAAUAAUACCUCAAUCAAUUACAAAAAACAUCCGCAUUAUCGGUUGAAACAAGAUCCCAUACUUGAUUGAGACUGAACGGAUUCCAUCGCUACACAACUAGCUCGAGAAGACUUCCACGGAUCUCGAAAGUUGCCUAAACCUGAGUCUGCUAUGAAAUAGGUUCCCACUCCACCAUUGAGGGUAAACACACUUGAAGCCCCAAUGGACAUAGAUCAUACUAAGCUUGAUAACAGAUCAGCCUGACCACUACAUCUCGACUGACACAAUUAAACUUCCAAGUGAACUUUUAUUGAUUGAUGAACCCCACAACCAGUGGUCGAGGACACUUUAACACUUAGUCCAGAGAAUCAAGACCACAUAGAACUGAACAUACCCACUCAUGGAAAGAUCCAUCGACCAACGUCUGCCCAACUAAUAUGAAAAUAGUAAUCCAACAACAAACUGGGAAAUCCCUCAACAGCUAAAAAUACUCAACCUGAGAAUCCCGAUUCUCCUCCACUUAGGGCUUAAACUACCAUUCACUAGCGCUAAAACCAAAUCAUAAAUCAAACCAUAUUGAGGAUAUACUCCCUUCCUAACCCUGGAAGUUACGAGCCUCUUCACUCCUUCCCCGAACUCGGAAAAAAUGAAAGGGCAUAACCCUAGCCAUUGAUAAUGACGUUCCAAACCAACAAUCAACCACUUCCAACUGUAAAACCCAAGUCAAUCUUAAUCAUCGUCCCCUUCACGAGUCCCGCGACUCGAAUACCCGACCUCAAGCAAAACCCCCGAGGCCUCAAACAAAAAAGCUCCCUAGGUCUGCACCAAACAAACAAAAUCACUAACGCCACUGGGGCUCAAAACACUUACCAUAUCCAUCCGCAUGUCGGAGCAUCCACAAGCAAAAUAUUAACAGGAACAUAAACACUGCCGCGAAUCAUGGUAUCCAACCAUGCUAUCUUCACCGACCAACCCUUAGAAUCCCCAAAACCUUCCUUGAUUAGAUUAUGGAUCCUGUGCUUCAAGUAGUACUGGCCCAAUACUACCUUCCAUACCUAUCCAUACUUUCCUCAAGAAUCAUCCCAAGUCUUUUAAGUCCUAGUCAUAAAAUACUCCUGAAACUUGCUUAACAAUGAAGCAACCACGCUAAAAUACUCACCUACACUCCCUCUGCCAUCAACUGCUGAUAAACCCCUACCAAUGCCAGCUAACCACUUCAUGAAUACAAUUACACACAACCAAGCUUAAAUAAUCCUUCGAAUAAAGGGCUUAGCCCUACAACGAUUGGACUCAAACGAGAGCUGCACAAUAGGUUUGAGUCCUUCAUUCUAAGAUUAUUUAACCUUCAUAGCAUGUAAUUUUAUUAUAUUCACUUGAUGGUUAACUCCCAUCAACAUGGGUCCCACAAAGCACAAAGCAAGCAACAUUCGGGUAGAGAAGCCGACUGCGACUAAAACGCAACAAAAUCAGACAUAUCCUCAUAGAAAAUCCUCGAUCUCAAACUCCUCGCACCACGAGUGCGCCUUCACCCUGCUCUCACUCUCCCCAGAGUGGUUAAUCAUUCCUCGUGCUUACCCGCUAUACACUGCACCCACUCAUGAAACUUCCACCAACCCUACAACACUCGUGUAUGCUAGCCGUACAUAACACUGGAUCCUAUAGACAGUCGAAUAUCUGAUCCUACUCUAAGCCCUUCAUCAAACAAGAACAUGAAAUAAGGCCAAACCAAACAUUCUCAGGCUAUAGAAUCUUAGUUAUGUACAACUAUGAUGUAUACACUAAGUAACUGUAGUAGAUGAUGUCAAUUUCAUUUAAGGAAGAACCCUAGGCUAUCAGACAUCAUAUAAUCAUGCAACUUUGUCAUGCAAUUCCUGAAGAUCCCUAGCCUAUCACUACCAUGCUAUUCUAAUAUUUCACAAGAUCAAAUAAAGUGUGGUAAUUUGGGGUCUACUUACUAGCUCCGACUGAUCAUACACAUCGUAUCCUCUUUAGUUUGAAAGUUAUUUUUAAAACCUUUACUUUGAAAAUUACUUUUUUUAAAACACCUUUUCCUUAGUUUGAGACCGGAUUCACACGAGUUUUCCUCCCAUUCACUCAAACCAAGGCUCUGAUACCAACUAGUAACGUCACAAAAAUUUCAACAAAUCUAAACCUUUCAAAACAACCCAUAUGUUAACAAAAGUGAUUUGAUCCGCAGGCACUCUGCACGCCUUGAACUCCCGUAAUGAGGGAGUUCGAGCCCCAAUCUGACCCACAGUGAUCUCAGAUCGGAAAGAACAAUCCGCUCCUCCAUAUCCUCCAUGAUCCCCUCCUUGACGGUACUGAACCCGAUCUCGAACCUGAACCUCCUCGCGUAGCCAUCAUAAUCUUCAACUGAAAAUACAACAUAGAAAGAAAUUGAUAAGGAAGUUCAAAGGGAUUUCUCCCCACUGGACUCCUUAAAGCCUUCAGGUAUGUCCUUGUCUCGGGUACAAGUCUUGUGCUUUUAGUAGUACGGACCAAAUACUACCUUCCACACCUACCUGUACAUUCCCCCAAGGCCAUACCUGAUACCUCCAAUUCACCAAACCAUAGAUAAAACAUGACCUACGAAACACAGCACAUACACAUAUCUUAGAAUCUUCGGGGAUUUCUCAAUCCUCAUAGAACCAGAAACCUCAAUCAACACCGCAUGUUGCCUUAUGCAUGCAAGUUAUACAUUAAUAGAAUCAUAGAGACUGUCAAAUAAAGUUUCUACCCUAAGACCACAACCAAACAAGGAACAAGAAGUAAGGCAGAAUCCAUCGUUCUAGGGCUAUAAAAUCCUAAACAUAUACAACUUUGAAAGCAUACACUUAGCAAAUAACAACGUCAACAUCGAUUCCAAGCAUUAUAUUCAUAGCAUUGAACUCUCCUAGGCUACAAGGCAUCUCACAAAUCAGACAAUUCUCAUAACACCUAAAGGUAUCCUUAGCCCUAUUCUAGCAUGCAUUUCACACAUUAACAUACUAGUUGCAAUUCAUAAGCAUGGUUAAAUUUUUGGAAACACUUACUUGAGCUUGGCUGAUUUCGCGCAUUGCGCUCUCCCUUUUUACUUAAGAAAACCGGUUUAAGAAAAACUUGACUUUUGUUUCUUUUUUUAAAAAGGUUUACCAUUUCCUCAGUUUGAGUUGUGACACAUAGUGUGCCCGAAUUCCUCAAACCAAGGCUAUGAUACCAACUUGUAAAAGCCCAAAAAUCCAGAUAAAAAUUUUCAUUUAAAAAAAAAUAGAAAUUACAAUCAUAAUUUGUUUCUUAAAAUCCAUUACAUCAUUUCAUAUCAAAAUAUCAGAGUAUCAAUAUCAAUAAAUGAGGAAAUUCUUGGGAGUGAAUGUUGCGCCAUCUAGCUAGGCCCUUCCCCUUAGUACCGAAAGUACCUGAAAACACCUAAAUAAACUGUAAGCAAAAACUUAGCGAGUUCCCAAAAUACAACAUAACAUAUAACCACAGAAUACCACGCCACAUACAUAAGAUUGCCAUGGACAACCCCAUGGUCUUUACUUGGAAUGCCAUGGGCUACCCCAUGGUAUUUACCUAGAAUGCCAUGGGAUACCCCCAAGGUCGGAUAUCCAAGUGCCAUGUGCUACCCCAUUGGUCUUUACCUGGAAUGCCAUGGGCUACCCCCAUGCUCUAAUAUCCAAGUGUCGUGCGCUACCCCCAUGGUCUUCAUAUAAGUGCCACAGGCUACCCCCGUGGUCUUCACAUAAUGAAUUGCAUAAAAACUAUCAAUCCACAUGUCAGGCAAUGGGCCGCCAUUGGUGCCUUCGACCCAUUGAUAUAGUGAGAAGACUCACCUCAGACUGCUGAUAAAAAUACUGCUCGGCUAACGCUCUAGAUAUCUGACACUGAAUAUACACAAGUUAACCUAAUUAGAAUUAAGUCACAAACUCAAGGCCUAGGCCAAAACCCUAAGUACAAACUCCUCCAAUAAGGCCCAAAGUCUUUUUCCUUUAAUGGGCCUAACAUCCAAGAUCCAAAAAGGGGCAUAAGGCCCAAAAGGCCUAGCCAUGCCACUUAUGGUCCAACAACAAGUUCAAAGGCCCAAAUACUAUAAUAGAUCCAGGCCCAAGUCUAAGUAGAGCCCAAAUAGCUUAAAGGCCCAACAAAAGCCCAAAACUCAUUGGAAGCGUACGCCCAACGUACAUCAUCAGUACGCUUAGCAUACUGGGUUCUUUGGCGGUUAGCGUAGUGUACAAGCUAGUAUGCCCAACGUACAAGCUACUUUGCACAAAAAGCCAUUAAGUGCUUAAUUCAUGAAGCCAUUUCGUCCGAUUCCAGAUCUUGGUCAUCUUAAAGGUCCUAGGGCAUAAAGAUGGUAACUUUAUGUGUUUACAUGCCAUAUGGGAACCCAACACCUGAUUUUAUCCAUUAAGACUCCCUUUAAGAUCUUAAACUCAUGCAUGGUGCCAUAACAACCAUCAAGUUAGCAUUUUUAUGCUUUUAACAUGCCAAAGGAACUAGGAUCUAACAUUUAUAAUCUCUGGAGUUGUUCAAACUUACAAAAGAGGAUCCAUGGACCAAAAAUGGACUUAUUACCAAACCCUAACUCAAACUAGCGAAAGGAUAAGCAAGUUCUGGACUUUUUACCUCCAAAAGUUUUCCAAGAUGAAGUAGAUGCAGGAUCUAGAAGCUCAAACACGUCUAAGAGUUGAUCACAACCUUCUCCUUCUUACACACACAUUAAAAUAGCCACCAAAAUCACUUUUAAGCUCAAGAAUCACACUCACUUGCAAACUAGGGUUUAGGGACGAUAAGAGGCAAUAAAAGCUAUGUAGGGUUAGGUCCAAAUGUCAUAAGAGUGUUAAAAUAGGGUUCAUGCGCAAAAAUUAGGGUUUUUGUCAUAUGCCACGUACUCCUCGCAUACAUGGUGCAUGUACGCAUCUAAACCACCCUAGUACGCUAAGCGUACACGUAUGUACGCCCUGUUGGAUUAGUGUUUAAGUCCAUAACUAUAUUUGGUAUGUAUUUGACCAGGUUGUGCAUGGUCCUUUUAGGUUGCCUUCACCGAAGCAACUUGACUAGAGGAAUUAUAUAGAAAGAGGUGAUUAUGGUUUAUUAAUAUAUUAUAAGAUUUAUAUAUUAAAAGAGAAAUCAUGUUUGAUUAAUUAACAUUGGUCAAGAGUUAAUUAAACAUUAGUUUUGUGAUCAAAAGAAGUUAAUUGAACUUAAGGGGCUGAACUGUAAUUAUGUGAUAGUUACAAAGUUAGGCAAGGAAACCCUAAUGGAUAGGGUGGAUGAAUUCUAGGGAUAUAGCCUUAAGAAUUCGCCCAUGAUAGGGAUUCUAGAAUUAUCUUAUGGGCUGCUUGGUGGCUAAGUAACCAUAUAAGAAUAAUGAAUGAAACCCUAAUUCCUAAACCUAUAUAAAGGACCCUUGGUCAUGGGAAUUUCGGCAACUUGAACCCUAGAAGUCCUAGAGCCGAAAUUCUCCUCUUCCCUCUCUUGCUUCCUCUAAUUGCUAUUGGUGUUUGUUAUUAAUUAGAGGCACAACACUUGAGGUGCUAAAGUUGUCAAGGCUUCAAGAUCUUCAAUCAACAACGAGGUAAGCAUCUUGAUAUACUUUGCUAAGUUAAUUUCAAUUAUAUACACUAGAUCUAGGGUUUGAAAGUCUUGGAUGAAUGCACGUACAAUUAGAGAAACCUAGAUCCAAGCAUUAGGGUUUGCAUGAGCACAUAGGAUGUUCUUUUGGCUCAAACCUAUCAGUGGUAUCAGAGCUUUUGUUUGGUUUCUAUUGUAUUGAUGCCUUGCUUGUUCAUCCUCUCUUGAAAAUCGUGAUUUUGUGUUCUCUGCCUGACGAACUCGAUGAGUCCCAAUGUGGGCUCGACGAGUAGGAUGAACUCGACGAGUCCAUAAGGGCACUCAACGAGUCGGAGCGUCAGACAUAGAUUUUCGGGAUUUCUUGUUGUUUUGCUUAAUGAUAAUUACCUAAAUCGUUUUUGACUAAUAAAAUCUGAAUUUUAUUACUGCUUUAUGUUUAUCCUUUCCAAAACAAAAGAUAAUUUCCAUUUAUUUGAAUAAUAAAUUCCUUAUAUGAUAAUAAUUGAUUAUUUAAAUUAUUUGUUGAAUUAUCUUAUGAAUAAAAUUGAUUAGGUCAAAUUUAGAUAAUCAUUAAAUUAAUUGUUUAAUUUAAAUUAUUUGCUAUUUGAUCCUUUAUGUUUUGAAAAGUUCAAAACUUGUCCUCAAGUUUUGAAAUUUAAAUUUGUGAUUAAAAGUUUAAUUUAAACUAUUUAAAUUUCAAACCCUAGAAUUUUACAAGUUUAAAAUUCAACCUUAUACUUUACAAUANUUAAACGCUAGUCUUACUGUUAGUAGGCCUCAUUCACGAAGCCGAUCUAGAAGGAGGUAUAAGGUUAUGACCUAUAAAAUGGCCAUUUAAUGGGUGUCCACUCUCACCCACCACAUCCUUGAUUGGUGGAGGGUCGUUAGCCGAACGGGUAAGAUAGGGCAACCCUUUCUCAUGAAUAAGUAUAAUGAAUUAUAAAAGUAACUAAAUGUUUUACAAAAUUCCCAAUCUUAAUUACUUUAGGCAAAAGUGAAAUUGAUGCAAUUCCAUUAAAUUACAUUUUGUACCCGUGCUAAGACGUUAGUGGAGCGUGUGUGGUUAACUGGCACACUAAUUCGGUUCUAAGAAAAGGUGGUAAAGGGUGACUCAUUGUUUCUCAUUGUUCGAUGGAGCAUGUGUGGUUAACCAGCACAUCGAAUAGGUGACUGUAACAAUGAGGGCACCAUGUAUAUUUGCAUGGUUAUUCAUACCCACUUUGUGAUCCUCAGCAUCCCAGUCACAAACUAGAGGGGCAUAUCAAGAUUUAUACAUGCCAUUGAAAAGUUCAAUGAAUCUCAAAAUAUCUAGGAGUUUUCAAUACAUUUAAAACUUAAUCUCUUUUUCGUUUUUCAUGGUGGAGAAUUAGUGAAUCGUCAUUCACUUACCUUCAAAUUAUUUGCAUGUUAGAUUACGACACCCCUCUUCUAAUAUGUAAAUAAUGUUGUUGGAUCCUAGCCCUAAUUUCUCAUUUAGGUGUUUCAUUAGGGAUUCAUUUCUAAUCAAACUUUGUUCUUUUUCCUUUUCAGAUGUCGAACAACAACAAUGCUUCCGGAUCGUUCUCACUCAUGAACUUGUGUGGGAGAGUGAUCUUUGACGAGUCCAAUUUCAAUGAUUGGAUUCGCAACAUCCGAAUGGUCACUCGUUACGAGGACAAAGAGUAUGUCCUUGAUAAGAAGCUGAAGGAAAUCAACCUCAACACUGCUACUACUGAAGAGAUCGCCACCUUUAAGGCUCAUGAGCGUGAUGCCACGAAAGUCCAUUGCAUCAUGCUAGCGACCAUAACUGCAGAACUCCAAAAGUCCUAUGAGGACAUGUAUCCCUAUGAAAUUCAUCAAAACUUGUUGGACCGGUACCACCAAAGUGCAAGGCAAGAAAGGUAUGAGAUCAUCACUUCGAUGAUCACUACCAGAAUGGGUAAUGGAGAGUCCCUUACCGCCCAUCUGCAAAAGAUGCAGAGAUAUGUUGAUCACCUGCUAAAGUUGAAAGUUAACUUUGAUGAAGAGAUGGCAAUCGACAUUAUCCUUCACUCCUUACCUCCCUGCUACAACCAGUUCCGCAUGACUACCACAUGAAUAAGGAAGAGGUCACCUUGAGCAAGCUUCACGGCUUGCUAAGAACUGUUGAGAGCAAUUUCAAGGAUAAGUAUGUUGCAUCAACUCCAACUCCCACUGCUGCCCUUGUCUUGGAAAAAGGGCAAGGGAAGGGUAAGAAAAGGAAGGCUCCCUCAAAUAUCCACCACAAGGGAAAGUCCCAAGAUGUUACCUCUUCUAGUGGAACCAAGGCUGGUUCUGCUAAACCCAACUCUAACCCUAAUGAGCCAGAGUGCCACCACUGCCACAAAAUAGGGCAUUGGAAGAGAAGCCGCCCAGAAUAUCUGCAAGCUAUCUAGGAUGGGACGAUCAAGCCAUCCUUCGCAGGUAUUUACACUAUUAAAUCUAAUGAUUCAUCGCAUGCUAUUUCUUGGGUUAUUGAUACAGGAUGUGGUUUUCACAUAUGUUCUGAUUUGCAGGGACUAAGAAGAAAUAGGGAUGUGGAGCAUGGAAGAAUAAACCUAAUAAUGCGAAACAAAAGAUUGUCGCCUGCCACCAAUAUUGGAGUAUAUAUAUUCCUUAAUGCUUAGUAAUGGAUUAGGUUUUGAUUUAAACAAUUGCUGCUAUUCGCCAGAUAUGGCAAGAAACAUCAUUUCAUUUCAUGGUUUAUAUAGGCAAGGAUUUAGAUAUUCAUUUGAUAAUGAAAAGGGUUCUAUUUAUGCUUAUCUUAAUAGUGUUUUAUAUUUUGAAGCAUUGCCUUGUAAUGUAAUAUAUGAAACUGUGAUGGUUGUAGAUAACUUAGGAAAUGAUGUAUUGUGUGUUGAUUCUUCCAACAAUAUAGAUAAAGCAUGCUUGUGGCAUUGUCGUCUUGGACAUGUCAACAAGAAACGCAUAGCCCAACUCUAAAAGGAUGGAGUGUUGGAGUCAUUCGACCUUAGGGAUGAUGACGUGUGUGAGUCUUGUUUACUUGGAAAGAUGACCGAUGUGUGUGGGCACUUGUGAAAGGGGUGAGGGUUUAUUGGAUCUCAUACACACCGAUGUGUGUGGGCCCUUUAGAUUACCACAAAAGAUGCAAGCCACUUCUAUGUGACUUUUACCGAUGAUUAUAACAGAUAUGGGUAUAUCUACUUAAUCAAGCACAAGUCGGUAACCUUUGAAAGGUUCAAAGUGUUUAAAGAAGAAGUGGAGAAUCAUUUGGGCAGGAAUAUCAAGAUGCUUCGAUCCGAUCGAGGAGGAGAGUACCUAAGUCUUGAAUUCCAUGACUAUCUCAAGGAAUGCGGAAUCGUUUCACAAUUGACGUCACCUAGGACACCGCAGUUAAAUGGUGUGGCUGAGAGGCGUAAUCGAACCUUGUUGGACAUGGUUCAUUCCAUGAUGAUUCGUGCUUCACUACCUAUCUCAUUCUGGGGGUAUGCCUUAGAGACUGCCGCCCAUAUCCUUAACUUAUUCCCUACGAAGAAGGUUGCCAAAACACCUCACGAGAUGUAGACAGGGAAAGCUUCCUCGUUAGCACAUAUCAAGGUUUGGGGGUUGCGAGGCUUUCGUAAGACGAGAGACUCACGACAAGCUCGAACCUCGUAGUGAGUGGUGUAUUUUCACCAGCUACCCACAAAAGACCUUUGGAUAUCUCUUCUAUAGUCCGAGUGAGAACGUUGCCUUCAUUGCGAGGAGAGGGGUUUUCCGUGAGCGAGAACUCAUAAGCCUAGGGGACAGUAGGAGGCAAAUCGAUCUUGAAGAGAUUCAAGAGUUGAGCGAUGAAGGAACCUCCAACACCGGGGCUUACCCGAGGAGGAAACUCCGGUUGAACCGAUUGACGAGUCCUUACCUCUUAGACGUUCCGAAAGAGUUAGGUUUCAACCCCAGUUAUAUGGCUUUCAUAUUACUACAGAAGGGGAUACGUAUAUUAGUGAUAUUAUACUAAUAAAUUUGGAUGAACUUAACAGCUAUAAGGAAGCCAUUGCAGGCCCAGAGUCUGCAAAGUGGAAAGAGGCGACGGACAGUGAGAUUCUGUCCAAGUAUGACAACCAAGUUUGGAAUUUGGUUGACAAUGUACUAGGUCGUAAGAUGGUCUGGUGCAAAAUGAUCUUUAGGAAGAAGGUACUAAAACGUUUUGUGACAACCCGAAAUUUCCAUUUUGUACGAACAUUAGCUAUUCAAUAGAAGCUAGUCCAAUUUCAAUGAAUUUCAGACUUUUCUAAAUAAAUUUGUGUACAUUAGGGUUUACGUUUAAGGAGAUAUCAGGAGAGUGGAUGCUCAUGGGUUUGUGAAACUUGAGCAUUUCAAAACUUCAUAAUGUUAGAGUCCAAUUCCGGAAUAAAAAUAUUUUCUGCCAAAAUAUUUCAGGACUAUAAAUAGAUUUCUGAACUAAAUUCAUUCAUUAUUCACACUUCCAACUAGAGAAAAGCCAUUUUCUCUCUCACAGAUCUUCGGGUUUUCAUCCCAAAUCGUGAGUACACUUCUUUAGUUGUUUUAUAAUGCUUGUUAUAUGCUUAAUAACAUAGAUUACAUGUCAAAUAUGUGAGAUCCGGGAGUUUACCGCCCAAGAACGUUCUUGGGGAGUAAACUCGAAAAUAAAGCUUUAAGGCUAUCUAGUCCCAUUUCCUUGUUAGGUAACUAGCUUAGGAUAAUAUGUAGGAUCAUUUGAGACAAGAAAACAAUCCAGAACACAUAGCUUUAGGAGUUUUCGGCCCAAGAGUUUCUUGGACCGUAAACACCAAAUACAAGGGCUUAAAUGUGCCCUAAUCACUCCCAAAGGCUUUAGACUUUAACCCUAAAUUACUUCUAGCUAAUAUGGGGACAUUAACACAUCAAAAAAACCCCUAAAAGGGAGUUUACGGCCAAGAAAUGCUCUUGGGCCGUAAACACCAAUUAAGGGCACCAAAGUGUGCCUAGGGCCCCCCUUAGCAUAAAUCAAAUGCCUCGAAAGUAUUCUACUUGUGUUUGAGACUUGAAAGAAUUAAAACAUCCAUCCCAUGAGAGUUUACGGCCGUAAACUCUAAGGGAUAUGGCCUUUUGGCCGUAAACUCCUCAAAGGAGUGUUAUCUAUGCCCUAAACUACCCAAAGGAUUAAACCACCAAACUAGGCUUAUUCUAGAAAUCAUUUAGCACUUUAAAACACCCAUUACCACCAAGAUUGGAGUUCACGGCCGUAAACUCAAGGUUUUACGACCGUAAACUCCUUGUGUGGGGUUUAUUGGGUAGUAAACUCUUAUACAAAGUCCUUGGAAGCUUUAAACCCCUUUAGCUUGUCCCAUAACAACUUAGAUGCAACCAUUAGGACCUAUAACACUUAUACAAGGUGUUUACAUGUUCCUAAGUGUCCCAACUUAUUUCAUUAAGUUAUUAUUUGGCUAAUUAGUUAUAUAUAUGCUCAUUAUAUGAUAACUAGGCUCGUGCGUGUGAACAAGUCUCCGUUUGCCACCUAGCACGGUAUCCGACACUACAAUCCAAACCACUCACCACAAGUGAGUUCAUACCCCUUUAAUUAACCUUUGAAAUACUUUUAAAUGUUUUAAAUACUUUAUGGGGGGGAUACAAGUUAAAUGCUUAUAGUUAUUGCAUCAAUCACAUGUGAUUACAUUAAUCAUAUGUGAUUAAUAACUAGAAAACCAAUGAUCUUAUCACUGUUUAAACUGUUUAUCAAACUGUUUUACUUCAAACUGUUUUACAAACUCUUUUACUCAUCAAAUACUUUUAUUUAAACUUUGUUAUACUUCUUAUAAACCGCAUGCCCAUAUAUGUAUAGAUAUAUAAGCAAUGUUUAAAGGGUUUAGGAAGGUCAUCCGCCCUAUUUCCUUUUUCUCGAUUUGGAUGUGGUCUGGUGGGAUUUCGGGUAACCAUCCGAAGGUCGUUUCAAUAUUAAUUAUAUAUCAAAUGUACAUAUAUAGACAUAAAAGUACUCCUUNUAUACUAGGAGAAGAACAUAUACAACUAUACUAGAGGAAGAACAUAUACAACUAUACUAGAGGAAGAACAUAUACAACUAUACUAGAGGAAGAACAUAUACAACUAUACUAGAAAGAGAACAUAUACAACUAUACUAGAGGAAGAACAUAUACAACUAUACUAGAACAGUUCAUUACAUUACACAUACUAGAAUACGUUCAUUAUUGUGAUAUGAAUCGGGGCAUGACUUAAAUGCCAUGGCCCGAGUUGUAGCCAGAGUCUCUUGAAGGGAGAGCGUGAGUUUGCGUAUAGAUCUAUACUGGAUUGACUAUCCUACACCUUGCUGCUAGCUACAGCCGGACCUGCAGGUCUGCGGGUGCCAAACGUCAUUCCGUUAUUACGACCAUUCGUAUGUCGUUGUUACCAGUCGAUAGUAUGGUGCAAUUAGUCACAUGAUACCUUAAUAUAAAUCCGGUUUAAGGUAGUUAGUACAACAAUAGUUCCUAUAAUACAACACUACAGUACUACAAUAAUUUACCCAUUACAUAUAUUUAGUGAUUAUUUCACUUAAACAUUAAUGUACAAACUAUAUUUUGUUAAAUGAUAGUUACACUUGGGAAAUUACACACUUUUACAACAAACGAGCAUACAAAACAGUUAAGCCUUGGUAGAAGGCUACUUUAAUAGAAAAUAUAGGUUUUUCUGAGAGAUUCAAACUUUUACAAACACUUACAUACAUUUUACAAACUUACACUUGAGACACGUUCAAACGUUUUGAUAACAAACAUCGACACUAAAAUACUUAUGAACUCACCAGCUUAAUGCUGAUAAACUCUUUCAAAAUAACUUGUAUUCUCAGGUCAUCAAUAGACAGGUACUUAGGCCAGCUUUUGAGAAGAUGGAGCGCAUUCAAGACUCAUCUUAUUAUUUUGAUUUACAUUAUAUUUUGGUGUCUAAAACUGUACAGAACACGCUUGUAUUAAAAUUAUAUAUUUAAUGCAAUGGAUGAUGCUGUUUGCUUAUUUACAUUUACUGUGUUGUGAUACUUUACAUGACGUCCUCCGCCCCACAACGUUUCCGCCGUUCUUGGUUUUGGGGUGCGACACGUUUUAGUAUGGAGAAUUCAAAGAAGGCAGAGUUACCAAUCCAAAGUAAUGCGAAGUUGAGUACGACUCAAAGUCCGAGUACUGAAGUCGAGAUAGCAGAAAUGAGCUAAGUACCUUACGCUUCCGCAGUUGGCUCGAUCAUGUACGCUAUGACUUGUACUCGCCCUGAUGUGGCCUUCGCUUUGAGCAUGGUCAUUAGAUAUCUAGGGAACCCUAGAAAAGCACAUUGGACCGCAAUCAAGAAUAUUCUUAAGUACCAUCGAAGGACCAAGGAAUGGUUUCUAGUCCUCGGUGGGAGUGAUGACUUAAAGGUGCGAGGGUAUAGUGACGCCAGUUUUCAGACCGACAGGGACAACUACCGUUCGCAGUCGGGCUGGGUCUUUACCCUAAAUGGUGGAGCAGUGACUUGGAAAAGUUCCAAGCAAGAGACCGUAGCUGACUCAACAUGUGAAUCAUAGUACAUUGAAGCAAGCGAAGCGUCAAAUGAGGCAAUAUGGUUGAAGAACUUCAUUGGAGACCUUGGAGUUGUGCCGACCAUACAGGAGCCUAUUGAGAUUUUCUGUGAUAAUGAAGGAGCGGUUGCCUUGACCAAGGAACUGAGGGAUCACGGCAGAUCUCAACAUAUUGACAGAAAAUAUCACUUUAUUCGAUAUCAGAUGGAAAAAGGACUCCUCGUAGUGAAGUGCGUAUCGUCAGAAGAUAACCCAUCAGAUCUGCUUACGAAGGGACUGAGCAGGGUUAAGCACUUGCAGCAUGCUAGGAGCAUCGGGCUGAAGGACGAUAUUAGUUUAGAUUAGAUAGUUUGGAAACGUGUAAUAGAUAAAUUAUAAUUAACAUCUGAUGAUUAAAUAAAAGAGUAUUAUUUAUUAGUAAUGUUACUAUCUUAUGUUAAUUGUUUACCUAUUGUUUCAUUUUGCAUGUUUUGACUUCCUGAAUAAUAAGAAUUAUUUAAAUGGUCUACAGUUGUUCAUAUGUUGGAACUAGGUAUGAAUGAAGACUGUCAUGAAUUGGUGUGUAGAUUGUCUAAAGUGUAUUAGACAUAGCAAAAGUUUGCUACAACAUUCAUGAGUGCUUAUGAAAAGUUUUGAGCAUUGGAAUAAACCCAUGCUUGCUGGAAUCACUUCAUGGAAUUCAUCAUGAGUGAUCGCAAGACGAUAAUAUAUCAUAUGGUCUUAAAACAUAGAUAUAUGGUUUAUUGUUUUCUAAUUGGUUGUGCAUUGAUAAUGCGUAAACACAUCAGUAACUUGAUGUUAUAAAACGCAUUGUUGUGUAUGAUUUGAUUAGUGGAUAGUAAAUGCAUAUAAGUCUAAGUUCAUCUGUUCCUUUUAUCCUAAUAGGUUAAAAGUGAUAUCAGGACCCCUUGAUGAUUUGAUUUGACUUAUGUGUCGGGCCCGGUCAGGACUGAAUUGAUGUGUUCAAUUACGUUCUAUGUCAAAUGAAUCAGAGAUUAAGAAACAAACUGUUGGAUAAUAAGUAUGACUAUGUUCCAUGUAAUUGUCCGCAUGAUAUCUAGAACAAAGGAUUAUACGAUCCCUUAUCUUAAGGACAAGUUACUGAUAAGAUCAAGAGUUUUGAGAACUGUGAUUGCUAAUCGAAUCCAGAAGUUGCAUUUGCAUUUAUAGUUAUUAUCAAGGUUGUAAAAAAUUCUCGACGUUAGCUAGUCGGUGGACUGGGGUUAAGAGAUUAAUCGGGUAGGCGGAGAUUAAUCGGGGGAUUAAUGGAGACCAUUAAUUGAUAAUUUGUUGAAUUUUAAAAAAUUGAAUAUGACUAAUAUCAUAUCAAAGUCCGUAAGUACCACUAAUAUCAUAACAAAAUAGGUUGAUAUGUUUAAUACAACAUUAAUCAUGCUUGAAAUAGUUUCUAUUGAGAUAAAACUUCUUAAAAAUGUUUAAAUUUCAUCGUUUUAUACAGUUUUACUCAUUAUUUAUGCAUGGAUUAAUCGCUAGGUGCCAUCUAGUUGGUUGAGUAAUGCCUAGGGAUUAAUCGGAGAUUAAUCGGGACCUAGUCAUGAUUUUUACAAUAAUGGUUAUUAGACUUAUCCAAGUAGGGGAAUGUUGGAUUAGUGUCCAAGUCCAUAACUAUAUUUGGUAUGUAUUUGACCCAGUUAUGCAUGGUCCUUUUAGGUUGCCUUCACCAAAGCAACUUGAUUGGAGGAAUAAUAUAGAAAGAGGUGAUUAUGGUUUAUUAAUAUAUUAUAAGAUUUAUAUAUUAAAGGAGAAAUCAUGUUUGUUUAAUUAACGUUGGUCAAUAAUUAAUUAAACAUUAGUUUUGUGAUCAAAAGAAGUUAAUUGAACUUAAGGGGCUGAACUGUAAUUAUGUGAUAGUUACAAAGUUAGGCAAGGAAACCUUAAUGGAUAGGGUGGACAAAUUCUGGGGAUAAUGCCUUAAGAAUUCGUCCAUGAUAGGGAUUCUAGAAUUAUCUUAUAGGCUGCUUGGUGGCUAAGUAACCAGAUAAGGAUAAUGACUGAAACCCUAAUUCAUACACCUAUAUAAAGGACCAUUGGGCAUGGGAAUUUCGGCCACUUGAACCCUAGAAGUCCUAGAGCUGAAAUUCUCCUCUCCCCUCUCUCUCUUGCUUCCUCCAAUUGCUAUUGGUGUUUGUGAUUCAUUAGAGGCACAACACUUAAGGUGCUAAAGUUUUCAAGGCUUCAAGAUCUUCAAUCAACAACAAGGUAAACAUCUAGAUCUACUUUGCUAUGUUAAUUUCGAUUAUAUACACUAGAUCUAGGGUUUGAAAGUCUUGGAUGAAUGCAUGUACAAUUAGAGAAACCUAGAUCCAAGCAUUAGGGUUUGCAGGAGCACAUAGGGUGUUCUUUUGGCUCAAACCCAUCACGCCCAAUGUACGUAGGGACCUCCUUUACAAAUAAGUUUCAUUCCAAGGGUUAAAAGGGUAAAUACCUACAUUCCGAAUGUUACAUAUAGAUAGUAAAAUACUUGAUUCUACCCUAAGCCCUUCAUCAAACAAGAAAAUGAAAUAAAGCUAAACAAAAAUUCUCAAGCUAUACAAUCUUAGUUAUGUACAACUACGAUGCAUACACUAAGCAACUACAAUAAUGACGCUAAUUAUAUAUAAGAAGUAAUCCUAGGGUAUCAAGCAUCCUAUAUCAGGAAAUCCUUUCAUGUAAUUCCUGAAGAUCCCUAUCCUACCACUAGCAUGAUGUUAUAUCAUGAAAAACAUAUCAAGUAACCGUGUGGGUAACUUUGGGUAAAUUUUCUUGCUCUGGCUGAUCAUACACAUCGCAUCAUUCCUUGGUUACUUUUGAAAACAAUUUUUGAAAACCAUUAAAAGAAAACUUUACAGCUUCCUAGUUUGAGUUUGGAUUCACACGAAUGUUCAUCCAGUUCUCUCAAACCGAGGCUCUGUUACAAACUUGUAACACUCCAAAUAUCAUAGAAAAUUAAAAAUUUUAAAUUUCAACCAUUAACCAACAUUUUUUACAAAAAGAGUCAUUGCUUCAAAAGUAUUAUUCAAAAUCAUAGUUUUUCCUAAGACCUAAUAACACAAAAUAGGAAGAUGUGCACGAUCACGCCUUCUCCUUCCUACGAUCAUCCGAAGUACCUAAAACAAUAAACUGAAAUUGUAAGCCAAAGCUUAGUGAGUUCCUCCAAAGUACCAUCAUGGAACAUAUAAAAUACAUAGAUUAACAUGUUGGGUCCAUAACCUCCCAGUUGGAUUACCUUGGCUCACAACCUCCCUGUUGGAUUGCCCUGCAUACCACAUACUGGGUCCACUACCUACCGACUGGGUUGACUUAGAUGGUUUGUGGAGUUUGGCCUAUUUUGACCCAAGGAUAUUUUGGAUAAGUUGGUAGUUAUUUAAGUCGACCAAUAUUUUGGGAUAAUAGGUGUCGAGUAGAGCCGGUUGUCAGGGAAGAGAUUUAUUCAGCUUAUGUUCAGACUGAGAGGUGAGUUUUCCUCACUGUACUUACGGGUCGAAGGCACCAAGGCCGACCCAACGAAUUGAUAUCCUGUCUAUACUGAUUGAAGAUAUGUUGAGUAUGCGAUAGAUCUGAAUGAUUAUAUGAUAGUUAUGAUAUACGUUAGACUGGUAGAUCUAUAGGGCUACCUAUGAUUAUUGGUUGUAUAAUCAUCUGUAUGUUGUAUAUAUAUUAUAUGUUAUAUGCCGACAUGUUACAUUGGGGUUGAGACUACUGCUUUGUGUCGUCAGUCAACAGACCAUGUCAAUCCAAUUGGGAUGUUGUGGGCUAGGGUAAUUCAACCAGGAGGUUGUGGACACAAUAUGCUAAUCUGUGUAUUUUAUAUGUUGCAUGAUGGUACUUUGGUGGAACUCACUAAACUUUGUGUUAUAGUUUCAGUUUAUUUUCAGGUACUUCUGAUGAUCGCGGUACGAUGAAGGUGUGGUCAUGCACAUCUUCCUGUUUUGUGUUAUUGGGUCUUGGUGAAAACUCUGAAAGUCAUGACACACUUCAAAUUGAAGUAUUUCGAUGGUACAAUCAAAAUCUCUAUUGGAUAAAAUUUAGUGACAACAACAGAGAAUUAAAAGGUUACGAUUCUUGUGUGUACCAUAUUCAAAUACCCAAAAAGGGAUAUAACUCCUUGUUCGAAAUAAAGCUAAACCAAAAAUUCUCAAGCUAUAGAAUCUUAGUUAUGUACAACUAUGAUGCAUACACUAAGCAACUACAAUAAUGAUGCCAAUUCUAUAUAAGAAGUAAUCUUAGGGUAUCAAGCAUCAUAUAUCAAGAAAUUCUAUCAUGUAAUUCCUGAAGAUCCCUAGCCUACCACUAGCAUAUUGUUCUAUCGUGAAAAACAUAUCAAAUAAUAGUGUGGUUAACUUGGGGUAUACUUUCUUACUCCGGCUGAUCGUACACAUAUCAUCAUUCUUUGGUUACUUUUGAAAACCAUUAAAAAAACUUUUACAGCUCCCUAGUUUGAGUUUGGAUUCACACGAAUGUUCAUCCAAUUCGCUCAAACCAAGGCUCUAAUACCAACUUGUAACACUCCAAAUAUCAUAGAAAAUUAAAAAUUAAAAAUUUCAACCAUUAACCAACAUUGUUUACAAAAAGAGUCAUUGCUUCAAAAGUAUUAUUCAAAAUAAUAGUUUUUCCCAAGACCCAAUAAUACAAAGCAGGAAGAUGUGCACGAUCAUGCCUUCGCCUUCCCGCGAUCAUCAGAAGUACCUGAAACAAUAAACAGAAACUGUAAGCCGAAGCUUAGUGAGUUCCCCCAAAGUACCAUAAUGCAACAUUUAAAAUACAUAGAUUAACAAAAUGGGUCCACAACCUCCCAUUUGGAUUACCUUGGCCCACAACCUCCCCGUUGGAUUGCCUUGCAUACUACAUACUGGGUCCAUAACCUUCCGACUAGGUUGACUUGGCUAGUUUGUGGAGUUUGACCUAUUUUGACCAAAGGAUAUUUUGGAUAAUUUGGUAGUAAUUUAAGUCGGGCAAUAUUUUUGGAUAAUAGUUGUUGAGUAGAGUCGGUUUUCGGGGAAGAGAUUUAUUCAGCUUGUCUUCUUACUCAGAGGUGAGUUUUCCUCACUGUACUUAUAGGCCAAAGGCACCAAGGCCGACCCAAUGGAUUGAUAUCCUGUUAGGUACUGAUUGAUGAUUUGUUGAGUAUGCGAUAGAUCUGUAUGAUUAUAUGAUAGUUAUUGAUAUACGUUAGACAUGUAGAUCUAUAGGGCUACCUGUGAUUAUUGGUUGUAUAAUCAUAUGUCUAUUGUAUGUAUAUUAUAUGUUAUAUGUCAACAUGUUACGUUAGGGUUGAGACUACUACUUUGUGUCGUCAGUCAACAGACCAUGAGAAUCUAACCGGGAGGUUGUGAGCCAGAGUAACCCAGCCGGGAGGUUGUGGGCCCAACAUGCCAAUCUAGGUGUUUUAUAUGUUGCAUGAUGGUACUUUGGAGGAACUCACUAAGCUUUGGCUUACAAUUUCAGUUUAUCGUUUCAGGUACUUGUGAUGAUCGCAGGACGGUGAAGGUGUGAUCAUGCACAUCUUCCUGUUUUGUGUUAUUGAGACUUAGGAAAAACUCUGAUUGUGAAUAAUACUUUUGAAGCAAUGAAUCUUUUUGUAAACAAUGUUGGUUAAUGGUUGGAAUUUUUUUUUUUUUUUAAAUUUUUAUGAUUUUUGGAGUGUUACAUUGGUUUUGUCUUAUAACUGAUCCAAACCCCCACACACCCUUGUUAAUCAUCAAAGAAGAAUCCAAUUAGAACUAAUUCUAUUCAACAAUAACAACCAUAGGGUGUUAGAAAUCCAUUACCUCAAAUGUAGGGAUCUUUUGAUGUCUAAGAACAUUAAUCAAGAUAAAUUAAUAAGGAUAUUCAAUUAAACCAAAGGUCUUUUGGCCUAGCACUAUCAUAUGUUGGAAAAAUGACCCUUCCUAAUGUUAGAAAAACGGGUUAUUUCGAUUGCUUGGAUUCCACUGAAAGUCAUGAUACACUUUCAAAUUGAAGUAUUUCGGUGGUACAAUCAAAAUCUCAAUUGGAUAAAAUUUAGUGACAACAAUAGAGAAUGAAAAGGUUAUGAUUCUUGUGUGUACCAGAUUCAAAUGACCAAAAAGGGAUAUGACUCCUUGUCCGAAAACUGUCAUAUUAACAGUUACAAACUGCCACAAAGCUGUCACUAAACUUGUAACACCCCAAGUUCAGAAGUGCAAGUUCAGGGUUCUUGGUGUAAUUAAGGAAGAUCGACUCGGCGAGUCGAGUCGUGAUUUGGCCAUGUGCUAAGUGACUGACUCGGCGAGUAGGCAGCUAGACUCGACGAGUCAGUGCUGGAGUGAGAAACCCUAAUUCAUGGGGUUUGCACCCUAUAUAAGGAACCUUAAGUCCCACCCCAGCCUCUUUAGGACUCCCUCUGAUGUCCAGAAACUUUCCACAUCGAUUUCAAACCCUAAAUUGAGAGUGAGAGGGAUUUAAGUGUGUUUUGGAGCUUGAAGAAGAAGGAUACUUGAAGCAAGAGUUGGUGGGAUCAUAGAGGAGCGAAGUGGAUCUGAUUUCCUUGCUUCUUGGCAUCAGCAUCAAGGUAAAAAGUUGUUGCCUUGACUUUGUUGUGUUUAGAUGGUUCAUGAAUGAAGUUUUAGGGCCAAUUUAUCAUAUAUGAGCCUCUUUUCGAGUAUUGGGUUUAGAUCUGUGGUUGCUACUACAGAUCUAGACUGGUCCUGACUCAUGAAUCUGGAAAGUGAUAGCUUUGGGGCUUGAUUGAGAGUGUCCUUGCCUUAAAACUUCACUUUAGCUUGAGUAGAGCUUGUUGAGCCUUGCAUGCACGUAAAGUUGGAAACUUUACAUGUAGAUCUUGCCCUAGGAGUCCAGAUCUAUGUAUUGAAAGCAAUAGUUUGGCCUGUGAUCAUCUGAAUGAAGGUAUUACGUAUGGACUCGGCGAGUCUGGGAGAUGACUUGACGAGUCGGACAAAAGAUUUGGAAUGAAUCGCGUAGUAACUCGGCGAGUCACAUGGGUGUACUCGACGAGUUGGAUGAAGAUAGGCAAGAACUCGACGAGUUGGAAGAACAACUCGACGAGUCUAUUGAAGAUUGCCUUGGGCUCAACGAGUCUGUUCUUGGACUCGGCGAGUCUGGUCGAGGAGUCCUAACCUUUUCUGGUUAAGUCGUGAAUCGGUGAGUCGAAGGAUGACUCGGUGAGUUGAGCAUGAAGGGACUCAGAGUUUGUUGGACUCGGCGAGUCUUGGGGCAACUCGACGAGUUGAGUCGUAAUAUGAGAGUUUUGAGUAUGGGAACUCGAAGAGUCAACGAGUUGACUCGGCGAGUAGGGUCAACCAGGAAGGUUGACCUUGACUGAGGACUUGGACUUUAACCAAGGGUUGACCAGUUGACUUCCGGGGGUAUUUUGGUAAUUAUUGGUAUUUAUUGAUUUGGUUUUUGGUAAUGAUCAGUGGCGGAGUUCGUGCUGGUGGUUGGAGCAGCGUGAUCUUAUUCUUCAGUCGGCAGUGACAGUUGAGUUAUCCUCACUAUACUGACAGGGUCUACGGCACCAAGGCCGACCCUCCAUCGGAUGGAAAUCCGGGUAUUGUUGUUAUGUUAUUGCUAUAUGGAGAUCCUUGUUGAUGGAAAGGCGGCCGACGAACGCUCGGUGGACUCUAUAUCCUCAAGGAAUCAAUUUGGAACCCGGAAAAUCAUAUUUAUUUAGGAAUGUAGCAUAUGGUUUUAGAGGUUGUCCUAAAUGGGAGGAUGUGGAUACGGUUAGUUAAGUUUAAUAAUUAUUAUUUUAUAUAUAUAAUAUUACUGAAAUUACUAGUAUUUAAUUUAUAUUUUUUUUGCAGGUUAUAUCUGUAAUAAAUGUUGUGCAUACCCAUUGGUUUUUGGUGGUUCUACAUUUAGAUACCUGGAAAGUAGAAAUUUUUGAUUCAGCACAAGUUGCGGGUUACUUCUCAACAUACAACACUAAUGGAGAAUUCAAAAGUUUUGGAGAUAGUAUUAUCUCAGAGUUGGAUGCCAUUGAUUACUGGAGCCAUUUCCCCCAUUGGACACAGAGACAAGCAAAGGUCGAGUUUUUUGAUGUUUNGACACAGAGACAAAGCAAAGGUCGAGUUUGUUGAUGUUGUAGACGCCCCACAACAAGAAUAUAGUCUUGAAAGAGGGGAUUGUGGAGUAUUUGUAUGCAUGUUUAUGGAAAUGAUUGUUUCUGGGGGUACCAGUGGCGAUUUCAAGGACAUGUAGAGAAGCUGCAUUUCUCUAUAGAAAUAAGAUGGCAAAUGUUAUUUGGGAUACUAUAUAAGUUGAUAUUAGGAACUUUGUAUAUAUAUUAAUAUUAAAUACUUGUUUCUAGUAUGUAAUCGUGUCACUUCUGGUAGUAUGUAAUCUUGUAAUUAUCUUUUAUAUUUUUUAAACAUAAUUCACCAAAAAAUGUUACGAAACCAUACAUUCAAACAAAAUAAACAUUACAAAUAACAUGAAUACAUUACAAUAGAGUCGUCUACAUAAAAAUAAGGUUUCUUACGACUAACAAACAUUAGAUAAAACAUUGGAAAUAAAAUACUCAUCUACUUGAAAAAAACUUUAUCUUUUACCAGAUUCCAAACGUCCGUAUACUCGAAAUCAUGUCCAUCAAACUUGCAUAGGUAAUAUCCAUUCACAUCUUCAAGAAGUUCUUCAUUAUCUGCUUGAGAGCGUCGCAUUUUCUCAGGAUUGUAGCAUCGAUUGAACCAUGUGACCUUAAACUUUAAAUCCAUCCAUUUACUAACAAUAGCAGGUUUUAGUCGUUCGUGUCCUUGCCCGACUUGAUAGUUGAACAAAGCUAUGAGGCGGGACCAUUCAUCACCUACAAGGCAAUUCAGGGGAGCCAUCACUGGUAGACCCUCGUAAAUGGUAAUCCAACUUUGUAUUAGGACCAACAACUCUGUUGGCGUCCAUGGAGAUGUACAAUUUGUUGGAGAGGCUGCAUUAGAUGGAUUUGUUGCAUUCGAAGAACUUGGUACAUUGGACGCCAUUUCUUAAUUGAUCUACUAUCAACUAAAGAAUUGAAUUUCGUAUAGACACUACGUUUAAUAUAUGUACAAACAUAUGUUAUACAAAGAUAUGUCAGUAACGCGGACUGACGAGCCAGUAACGCGGACUUACGAGCCAGUAACGUGGACUGACAACGAUUAAUAUAUAUAAAUAGUUUCUUAAUGCGGACUGACGAGUCAGUAACGCGGACUUACGAGUCAGUAACGCGGACUGACAACGAUUAACAUAUAUAAAAAGUUUCUUAACGCGGACUAACGAGUCAGUAACGCGGUCUUACGAGUCAGUAACACGGACUGAAAACGAUUAAUAUAUAUCAAAAGUUUCUUAACGCGGACUGAUGAGUCAGUAACACGGACUAACAAUUACUAGACAAAACAGUUUUGCGGACUGACAAGACAGAAACACGGAUUGACAAGUCAGUAACGCGGAGUGAUCAUUGGCUUUGCGGACUCACAAGUCAGUAACGCGGACUGACAACGAAGUAACACGGACUAACAACCCCGUAACGCGGAUUGAGAACGCAGUAACGCGGACUAACAAGUCUAUAUAAAACGACAAACAACAAUGUAUCACUUCAUCUAAGGUAUUUUAGUUCAUGUGCUUUGUAUGUUUUACAANUUCAUGUGCUUGUAUGUUUUACAAUGGGUUCAAACCAAUGGACCGCUAACGAGUAUUUCCUUCUAGCUCGUGCAUAUAUUAAUGUCAAAGAGAACACCAGUUUGGAGGAUAUAAUGUUUUUCUCCCAACUAACGAAUACCUUCAACACUGACGCUGAAACCACCAUACAAAACCAUCGCAACACGCUUGAUAUAGCUACAAAAUGGUAUGAAUUGAAAACGGAAGUUGUGUUAUUAAACGAUCUUUAUAAUAAGAUUGAAGAUGAUCAUGUCAAUGAUACUGAGGAAGAGAUCUUGGAGGUGUCUAAAGAAGAAUACAAAUCCAUUAGCAACGGACAGAGUUUCGAGUUUGAAGCCCCUUGGAAUCUUUUGAAAAAUGUACCGUUUUUUUAAGUAGAACUGCAUUUUGUAUUGUUCUUGUAUUUCUUUAUUUAAAUGUAAUAUGGUAUUUAUCCUUUAUUUUAAAAAAAAAUAUUUGACCAACAAAUGUUACAAAACCAUACAUUCAAAAAACAUUAUCUGACAAACAGCUUACGCGGACUGACAAAUAAGCUACGCGUAAUGACAACACAUUUACGCGGACUGACAAGUAAGUUCUGCGGAAUAAUGUAUACUAAUUCCUUAUAAAUUUUGACAACCAUGACGAAAAUUUACAAGGUGUCGAAAGUUGUGAAAAUGAGUUCAGUCAAUCAGGUAUUAAGGAAAAGUUUCUCCAGCCUACCGACUUUUUUCCAUAAGCUGCAAAGAAGCAAUCCUACCACCUUCACGUACAUUACGAAGGAUCGGUACAAUCGUUUCCAAAUUUGUUUCGUGGCAUUGGGAUGCGUGGUAUGUAAUCCCUUAUAGUAAAUAAAUAUUUAGUUAUUUCAAGUUGGUAUAUGCCUAAUAUUCUUAUGUUGACUUACAGAUUCGUACAUUUCUCACGUCUAUGAUAUCAAUCAUAUUCGUUGGUCAAGUACCUCUAAUUGGGGCAUAUGUAACAUCCAUGUACAUUGCUUUUGCUUUAGAUGGAAAUCAUGAACCCCUUCUCAUAGUGUUUGCCUUGGGAACCAUAAAUUGUGACAAUUCAUGGUUAUGGUUCAUAAGGAGGCUUAAAGACUGUUUAGGUGACAAUACAUAAUUUGGUUUCAUAAGCCAUAUGUCUGAUUCUAUGGACUUUGCAGUCCACAGAGUCUACCCUGAUUCAUAUCAUGGCUAUUGUUGUAAAAAUAUAGCCAAGAAAAUACGCGCUUCCAUCGGAACCAAUACAGUCGUAGAACAGUGGUUCUGUAAGACGUGUAAAGCAUAUAAUUUAUCUCAAUUUUAUGCAUGUUUGAACAAUUUAAAAAAUGAGGUAAAUGGGAAUGAUCUUCAUUGGCUUGACAAUAUUCCCAUUGCAAAAUGGGUACGGGCUUGUUUUCCAAGAGUAAGUUUCAAUGUUAAAUUCAUUGACAUUCCCGAUGUUUUCAAUUGGUUUAAAACAAACACGCAUGAGUUUCCAAUAACAACAAUCAUUGAAAUGGUUCAUGACUCGAUGUAAGAAGUUUAUCUUCGACGUGCUGUUUUUGGAGGUAAUUAUAAGUUAUGACAUCAUUAAAACGGUGAAUUGAUAUGUUUAUUAUACGUUAUGACCUUAUAAUUUUUUUUAUUGAUUCAGUUGAUUUCACAGGGGAUAUCCAUAAUCUUCUAACCCCUUAUGCACUUAAGGUGAUUCAUAAAAGAUUUAUCCACUCGGAUGGUUGUAGGAUUACGCAUAUUGUUGGCGAUAGAUAUGAAGUGACUAAGUAUUCAACAACCGAAUAUGUACAACUAGACCGUGGUAUUUGUAGUUGCGGUAAAUGGCAAAAAUGCGGUAUACCUUGUGAGCAUGCUAUAGCUUCACUACACAGACUCGAAAUUGCAGAAAUCCAUCAAAUGGUAAAUUUAAAGUUAAGUACAGCGGUGUAUCGAAAUGCUUAUCAAACUGAGACGGUCUAUCCUAUUCCAACCCUUAGGCAUUGGGAAAAACCAGUCGAAAGUGUUGUGGUCUUACCUCCACGCCAAUUCAAUUGAACUUUAUUGUAUGGAUCACAACGAAUAUUAGUUUUUAUUCAGUUCUAUGUUAACCGUACUUGUAAUGGUUUGUUGGCAUUCUUUACUUUUUAAUAAAAAAAAUGUUUACCUUUAAAUAAAUAAUUGUAUUUUCAUAAUUGUAAUAUGUAUGCAUGACAACGACUAGACAAAAAAACUAUGCGAACUGACAAACGCAGUAACGCGGACUGACAAAAACCUCUACGGACUAACAACAGCUCUCUGCAGAGUGGAAGGGACUAUAUAUAGUCAUGGAUGGUCGUCGGAUUUUUCGUAUAGAGUUAUAAUUUUUUAAAUUUAAAAUGACUUCAUCUUCAUCUUUGUAUAUUUGCUCGUGCAACGAAGUUGAUUGUUUCUAUUGUGAUCCGAUCGACCCUUUUCUUGCACCAUCACCAAAUUUAAGAGAGUCAUAUAUGUCGGAGGAUACUUUGCAACAACUACAAUGGGCUGAAGAACAACAAAAAAAAAGAUAAAGACUCGUCUCGGGCUCUCACUGAACGACGUGACCUCAUUGCGGCGGAGUGCAAAGAUGUUGAGGAAAGGAUGACGAUUACAAAAAAAAAUCAAAAAUCAUGGGGAAUGGAAAAAAAAACNCUAAGAAGAAUCUCAAACUGUCUGAAAAAUGGCUUGCUGACAAGGAUGCAGAAAUGAUAGAACUUGGUAGGCAAAAGGACCGUAUGGAAGAUAAAAUAAGAAUAAGGGACGACUACAUAACAAUGGAGAAAGAAAAGUAUCCUUUGCAAUUCCCUUAAGUUAAUUACCGUUGUUGUACGUUUACUAUAUGUUUCUAGUUUGUUGAAUGUAUUAACUUCGAGUAUUAGUUAUUAUUCUACUAGUAAUUAUGCAGUAAUAUAAUCAUAAUAUUACCCAUCAUCUUUAAAAUAAACACACCAGCUCAAAGUAGACAAAUUAAUGUCCUCUAAAACAAAACAUAAUUAAUUAUAAAUACAACAUCAAUCAUUCAAAUCAAACGUUGAACAAUAGUCUUCUCUCUACGUCCCACUCGUCCAACGCGUGUCUUGUGUCCCGUGCGUCUCUAGCGUCUCCUGAGUCCCUUCUGUCCCUUUCCCUUUUCCUUUUGUGUUACUACUUGAUGUCGUAUUAGUUUUUCUAGCCUUUUUUUGUUUCUUUGGGACCAAUGUCGGACAAGUCGCUGCAUUAUGUGUUGUACUAUCACAUCUACUACACCUUCUUAUUAUAGGUUCCUCACCUUGUGACGGAAUACGAUUUCUGUUUCUCGGUCUACCAGCUUGACGUGUAUCCAUUAUCGGGGGUUUCACAACCAUCAUGUUAGCAGGAAUCUCCCAAUCACACGGUUCUGGAAGGGGGUAAACCGGCUCCUCAUACGUACUUCGGUAUGUUUCCAUUUUGUAAGCAUCUAUAGCCAGAUGUCCGAAGUUAGUUUUUUUCAAGUGCUUCAAGACCAUUAUCACAUGACCACAAGGCAACCCAGUUCCUUCCCAAUAUUUGCAUGUACAAGUCUCUUGCCUCAGAUCAACUAUGCCACCAUGUUUGAAAUCAUGAACUUCAUAAAGUGCAUCUGAAACACCAGAAAUGGACCAUCCUGUCGUACGCUCUUCAUUUUUACUAACUACUUUUUCAGCCCACUCGGUUAGCACUGUUGAACGUUUCCCUAUAAAGAAGAUAUAUAUAAUUAACUAAUUAUUCGACCUAAUUAAAGACAAAAUAAAAUUCAUACCUCCUUCGAUGCGACGCUUGUAACACCAUUCCUGUGAAAGACGUCGGAAGAACUCAAGAAGGGGUAUUAUAGGCAUCUUCCUUGCAUCUACAGAUAAAGCAUUCAUGAACUCUGCACUGUUCGAGGUCAUGUAAUCGUAACGUUUCGAUGGCGAAUAUGCUCUAGUCCAUUUAACACAGGGAAUUUCACUUAGAUACGCUGCUACUUGCGGCCUAGUAGAACUAAAUAUAUACCACAAUUCUUCAAAAACAUUUCUUUUGUAAGCUUUCACAAGCCUCCAAAACAACCCUUUUGUUUUAUCAUUUUUCCCAAACUUGUGUACUAUGUUUCCUAGUGUGACAUCCCCAAAAUCUUGGCCAGAAAAGACCGAUUUCAUUGAUGCUUUUUAAAAUAAUUUCAGAGUAAAUCCUUUUGAUUUUAAAAGAGAUGCGGAAUUUGUUCCCAAAAACAAAACAUGAUAAAAUAGAUCUUUUAUCAAAACAUUUCAUAAAGAAAUAUAAUUUCAUUUCAUAAUCAAAACCGGGAUGUCAUGUUCCGAUACAGACCAUAAAGCAUAAACGAUAACAUUACAAGUCAUUCAACAAAUAUUAUACAUAUGCAGACUUGUAAACAAAACAACUUGAUGAUUCAUCCAUCUUAUGCCCUUACGCCACUUCCUGUAAUACAAGUAAACUGAGUGGGUCAGGCUUGGGAGCCUGGUGAGCAUAUAGGGUUUUCAACCCACAAUAAAUAAUUAUAUUUAAUUCAACAAUCAACAAUAACCCGAUUACCCAUUCCCGUUUUCCUUACUUUACGUCCCUAAAACAACAUCUAUUAUAAGGGACCUAAUCUAGGAGUUUCAUCGGGACAAACAUUACUGCAAAGGGGCUUCCUUAGCAAUAAAUAUCCUAAAGGCAACCAUGAGGGGGAUAUAGUUCACCGGUGAACACGUCGUUCACAAGACCUACAGGUUAUGAGCCUACUAGUGUUCCACAGGACUGUCUAGAAUAGUCCGUGGUCGUCAUCCAUACUCUGCUGAAUGACUAGAAUAACACCAACAACAUCGAGGCCUCUCAUCUGUUUAUUACACACCAACUAUCUACCCAUGUUCUACCCAACAUAUUAGUAGAUAAAAAUAUACAUUUGUAUACAUAGUUUAAAACCUGUAUAGCAUGCUCAAUCAAUACAUUUUUCCACAUAACAGAUGAGGUACACACACAUAACACGUAUUUCAUAGAGAAUAAAUCAGAUCUAUGAGAUAGAAGAAAGUGAAUAUACAUCCACACAUAUAGUCAACAAAGUAUACACGUAACACGUAUUUCGUAUAAAAUACUUCAUAAUAAUGUGUUAGAAGAAAAUGACUACACACUCACUUGAUCAGAAGAUGAUCGGGCAACACUACGACUUGUAGAAGUAGUGUUUCUCCGUAGAUCUGGAAGAUCUUCACAUAAACCGGGCUCCUCGCGGGCAGGUCUUCGGCUCUGAAAUCUCACUUCUCGGGAUUCUCGGGACUUCGGAUCUUGCUUCGGGGCUCGCGAAUAAUAUUGGGGCUUCGGGGUAUGAUUGGCAAGCAAAUCGAGGCAAAAACUAGAGAGAAGAAAGAGUUUGAACUAGAGAAAAUGGUUGAUCUCGCAUUCUAUUUAUAGGCUGCUGGGUCUAGGAUUAUGCCGGGCGUAAUUUCCAGGUACGCUGGGCGUACUAAGUACACUGGGCGUAAUUAGGUUACGUUGGGCGUACUUUGACGUCACUGCAUGCGUCAAUUGGUGGCACUCGAGUAUUGGUCAGACAAGUUGCACCCCUCUGAGUACGCUGGGCGUACUCAAAUUACGCUGGGCGUAAUUUGACUCGUCAAACUUCUAAAUUGCGUAACUUUGGCAUACGAGCUCCGUUUUCGACGUUCUUUAUAUCAACGCGUAGGUUAGACCAUACUCUACAACUUUCAUUUAGACUCAAUUUUUACUUUUAUUUUUAUUAUUUAUUUUUAGUAGGCCGGGACAGGAAAACUUCGUUAUAAAUUCAUAACUUCUUCGUUCGACGUCCGUUCUCGCCUAACUUUUCAUCGUUUCACUACUAACAACGAGAUAUUCGAUUCUCGUUUAGAUUGUUCUGGCUAAAAACCGCUCGAUCUCAAAUCGAGUAUUCGGGCUGCAUACUGCCAAGUCGAAACUUCAGANGAAAAUCAUAUUCCUCAUACGAAGUCAGAUUUGGGCGUUCUAUAUAUAUUUAGAAACCUAGUUUCAACUACUACAACAUUAUCCAAAGAUAUCGAGUUUAUUUUACACUUCAUUUUGACGCUAAUUUUUAUUCUUAAUUCAAUUAAAUUAUAAUAAUUAAGAAAACACACACAUAAUUCACAUAAUUCACAAAUAAUACAUUUUUAUUAUUUCAGAUUGGGUUACAAAGGUUAACCUAGACUAUUACAUUGCUAAAAAUGGCAAGCCCAUAAUCACGGGCGUUACAAUUUUCUCCACCUUAGAAUGAUUCCGUCCCUGGAAUCACACAUCAACAAAUAAAUGCGGAUAGCGACCCAUCAUGUCACUCUCCGUCUCCCAGGUGAGAUACGACCCAUUCGUGUGUUUCCAACGGACAAGCACUAACUCAACCAUCUUACGUCGCAAUUUCUUAGUCUUCCGGUCAACGAUUGCUUCUGGUUCUUCAAUCAAUCUUUUGUUUUCAUCAAUUAUUAACUCUGAAAGUGGAAUCAUGUCGGGAACUUCUCCCGUGAACUUCCUCAAGUAACACAUAUGAAAAGUGUUAUGAAUUCCAUUCAGUUCUUCGAGUAGUUCGAGCUUGUAAGCUUGGUUCCUAAUUCUCUGAAGAACUUUAAACGGUCCAAUAAACCUUGGACUUAACUUUCCCCUUUUACCACAUCUUAUAAGUCCCUUCCACGGCGAGACUUUAAGCAAAACCGAAUCUCCAACUUCAAAAGUCAUCGGUCUUCGCUUUUUGUCAGCAUAGCUCUUUUGACGGUCGUGAGCUGCUAACAUUCUUUCCCUAAUUAUUUUCAACUUUUCAGCCGUUUGAUGGACUAUCUCUGGUCCCAUAAACUGCUUUUCCCCAGCCUCAAGCCAACAAGACUGCGUACGACACUUCUGUCCGUACAAAGCUUGAUAAGGUGCCAUCUUAAUGCUCGAGUGGAAACUAUUAUUAUAGGAAAAUUCUACCAAUGGUAAAUGUUCAUCCCAAUUACCUAGGAAUUCCAAGGUACAUGCUCUCAGCAUAUCUUCAAGUGUUUGUAUCGUUCUUUCACUCUGACCAUCAGUCUGCGGAUGGUAAGCUGUGCUUAAACACAACUUGGUACCCAAUUCCUCUUGUAGACUUUUCCAAAACCGUGAGGUGAAACGACUAUCACGAUCCGACACAAUUGUUAACGGAACACCGUGAAGCCUCACAAUUUCCUUCACGUAAGAAUUCGCAAGCUUUUCCAUAGACCAUUUCUCAUUGGCUGCUAUGAAAUGCGCACUCUUAGUGAAUCGAUCAACGACCACCCAAAUCAUGUCGUGACCAUUCUUUGUUCUGGGCAGUUUAGUGACAAAAUCCAUAGCAAUGUCUUCCCACUUACCCAUAGGCACAGGCAAUGGUUCUAAACUCCCGUACGGUUUCUGAUGUUGUGUCUUGACUCUCGCACAAGUCACACACUCGGCCACAUACUUUGCAACAUCAAGCUUCAUCGUCGGCCACCAGUAGUAGGGUUUCAGGUCCCUAUACAUUUUAGUGCUACCCGGAUGAAUCGAGUACAUGGUCUUGUGAGCUUCUUCCAUCAGAAGAUCUCUGACUCCUCCUGUCUUAGGUAUCCAAAUCCGAUCUUGGAACACCUUCAGUCCAUGACUGUUUACACCGAACACCAACGUUUUGCCCAAACGUUCCUCCUUUCUGUCAUUCUUCUCAGAAGCUUCGCUCUGAGCUUUCUUUAUACUUUCCAAAAUAGUUGAGACAACUUCAAUUCUCAACGCUCUUGGCCUUUUCCUUUCGGGAUUGACUUUCCGACUGAGAGCAUCAGCAACAACAUUAGCUUUACCGGGGUGGUAAAGUAUCUCGCAGUCAUAGUCUUUAAGUAAUUCUAGCCAGCGUCGUUGCCUCAUAUUCAAUUCUUUCUGAUUAAAGAGGUAUUGGAGACUCUUAUGAUCAGUGAAAAGUUUGCACUUCGUGCCAUAGAGGUAAUGCCUCCAUAUUUUCAGAGCGAAAACUACCGCUGCCAACUCCAAAUCAUGAGUCGGGUAAUUCUUUUCAUGCUCUUUCAGCUGUCGAGACGCAUAUGCUAUCACCUUUUCUCUUUGGGUCAAAACACAACCCAAUCCAACACCAGACGCAUCGCUAUAAACAGCGAAGUCUUCAACUCCAUCGGGUAGAGAAAGUAUCGGUGCCUCGCAUAGCUUCUUCUUUAACUUCUCGAAUGCUUCUUUAUGCUUCUCACUCCAAGCAUAAGUAGCUCCUUUGUGGGUCAAAGCUGUCAAUGGAGUAGCAAUCGAAGAAAAGCCUUGGAUAAACCUUCAAUAAUAUCCGGCUAAUCCCAAAAAGCUUCGAAUCUCCGUGGGACUUUUCGGUUGUUCCCACUUCAUCACAGCUUCGAUCUUCGCUGGAUCAACCAUUAUCCCUUCUUGGUUGACCACGUGACCCAAGAAUUGUACUUCUCGAAUCCAAAAAUCACAUCUGGAGAACUUUGCAUACAACUUAUCCUUCUUUAAAACUUCUAACACUUCUCGCAAGUGUCUGCCAUGCUCCUCCUGGCUUUUCGAGUAAAUCAGAAUGUCGUCUAUGAACACUAUNGAACGGAUUACAAACCCUGUUCAUUAAAUCCAUGAAUGCUGCUGGAGCAUUGGUUAGUCCAAACGACAUAACCAAAAACUCGUAGUGCCCAUAUCAUGUUCUGAAUGCAGUCUUCUCUAUAUCCUGCUCUCUUACUUUUAGCUGAUGAUAUCCUGACCUCAGGUCGAUUUUUGAAAAAUAACUUGAACCUUGUAGUUGAUCGAACAGGUCAUCAAUCCUCGGCAACGAAUAUCUAUUCUUUAUUGUUGCCUUGUUCAGUUCUCUGUAAUCGAUGCACAUCCUCAUACUUCCAUAUUUCUUUUGACGAAUAACAUCGGAGCUCCCCAGGCCGAUGAACUAGGUCUUAUGAAACCUUUGUCCAAUAACUCCUGAAGUUGCAUCAUCCGCUCCUUCAUCUCCAUCGGUGCUAGUCGGUAAGGUGCUUUUGCUAUAGGCGUCGUUCCCGGCAACAAGUCGAUACGAAAUUCUACUUGUCGAUCAGAAGGUAAUCCAGGAAGAUCUUCGGGAAAUACUUCCGGAUAAUCACAUACGACAGGAAUAUUCUGCAUCACCUUUUUUUCCUUCUUAGCAUCGAUCACGAAUGCUAAAUAUGAUGUACACCCCUUGGUCAAACAUUUUCUGGCUUUCAUUAGAGAAAUGAUUCCAGAAUUUACUCUGCGUUUAUCUCCAUACACCAUAAACGAUUCCUUCCCAGGCGGGUUCACUUUCACUAUUUUCUUCUUGCAUAAAAUUUCGGCAUCAUUGGCGCUAAGCCAAUCCAUUCCCAAAAUGAUGUCGAAACUGUUAAGUUCGAUAUAAAGGAGUAGUUUUCUACCAAAUUCAUGCGAUAUAAAGGAGUAGUUGGCUCCAGAAUCAAAUAAAAUUUGGGCAGACGAUUUGUUUACGAGAAAGGUACCUGAACGACAUCAGCUUCAUCUUUAGCAGCUUCCAGUGUCAUCUGGAAUGCUCUCGCCUUCGGCUUUGGCGAAAUGUUGGGUUUUGUUGCCUCCUUCUUCUUCGGACAAUCUCUUGAUAUGUGCCCUUCCUCACCACAACCAUAACAAACAUUCUUGGUGAGGGUGCAGUCGUUGGCAUAAUGCCCUGGCUUUCCACAUUUCAAGCAUGUGGCUUCCCCGCCGCACUUCCCAUGAUGCUUCUUCUUGCAUUUGUCGCACCAUUUCGCUUCGCCUCCUCCACCCCCUCUCGAACUAGACUUCGAGAAUUUACCCUUUUUGCUGGACCCUGAAGAUCCCUCGAACUUCCUCUUUUCACCAACCUCUGACCUUUCCAGACCUUUUUCCCUGAUCUGGGUCUCAACAUUUCUAGCAGCCCAGAUGGCGGCUUUCAAUGUGGUUGCUUGCUUAACCAUUAGACCAUAGUCCGCUGGUAGUCCAAGGGCAAACUUGUUGACCUUAGAGAGUUCUGUAGGCACCAAAUAUGGGAUAAACUUCAUCUUUUCUGUGAAACUUGCAGCGUAUUCAGUAACGCUCAAUUUCCCUUUCUUCAAAUUCUGAAACUCAUUACUGAUUUCCAGAAGGUCCUGCUCGGAGCAGUAUUGCAGUUUUAGUUGUUCCACAAAGUCUUCCCAAGACAUUUUGCUUGCUUCUCCCUUGGGCAUAGAGUCAGCUAACAGCUUCCACCAACUCAACACGCCAGAUUUUAGCAGAGGGAUCGCAAGAGCGGUCUUCUGCCUGUUGCUGCAUUCGCAACUUUCAAACAUAGUCUCCAUUUCGGAGAUCCAGUCCAUAACUUGCACCGGCGUCGGGCUUCCGGAUAGACAUGGUGGUUUGGAUGCCAUGAAAUCCUUAUACUUGCACCCACGACCAUCAUUUCCUCCAUACUGGUUAUUGCGUCUAACCACUGGUUGUUCGUCUUGACCAAUGAUCCCACUAAAGUUUUCUCCUUCAGACUGCCCUCCAUUCUCCUCGGGCUCUUCCGCUUGAAUUGACGGUUCUUCACGAUUCUGCCUAAGCAGGCGUCUUGUUUCUUCCAUCUGACGAUCCAACAUCAUUUGAAUCAUCAUUUGUACACCAGCCAUUGUUAUCGGCUCAGGUGCAUCAGCUACGACAGGUACUUGUUGAAUUACAGGCGGUUGAUUCCUGUUUUCAUCAGCAUUUCCAACUCCGCUUCUUGUUCUCACCAUUUUUGAUCUACACACCGAAUAAUUUCACCUUAUUACUCCAAACGAUUACAUGCUAGUUCUAAUAUCGUAUACAUACGCUUAGAAUCCUAAACACAUAAACCUUCAGAUCCGGUUGGCAACAAACCGUAGAUCCGAACAAAUAAUAUCAUAUAUGGCAACAUAUAACAUUUAGCACAUAAAAGCAUUUUAGGCAACUUUCCUAAAAUAAACUAGUGCUCGUGUCUAAAAUUUAUCAGACACACAUCUCACAAUCUCCACUUAGCAUACUAAGUUUAAGUCUAGAAAUCCUACAAAUUCCUAGUUCGCUUAAACUAAUGCUCUGAUACCAACUGUGACAUCCCCAAAAUCUCGGCCAGAAAAGACCGAUUUCAUUUAUGCUUUUUAAAACAAUUUCAGAGUAAAUCCUUUUGAUUUUAAAAGAGAUGCGGAAUUUGUUCCCAAAAACAAAACAUGAUAAAAUAGAUCUUUUAUCAAAACAUUUCAUAAAGAAAUAUAAUUUCAUUUCAUAAUCAAAAAUCGGGAUGUCAUGUUCCGAUACAGACCAUAAAGCAUAAACGAUAACAUUACAAGUCAUUCAACAAAUAUAUACAUAUACAGACUUGUAAACAAAACAACUUGAUGAUUCAUCCAUCUUAUGCCCUUGCGCCACUUCCUGUAAUACAAAUAAACUGAGUGGGUCAGGCUUGGGAGCCUGGUGAGCAUAUAGGGUUUUCAACCCACAAUAAAUAAUUAUAUUUAAUUCAACAAUCAACAAUAACCCGAUUACCCAUUCCCGUUUUCCUCACUUUACGUCCCUAAAACAACAUCUAUUAUAAGGGACCUAAUCUAGGAUUUUCAUCAGGACGGACAUUACUGCAAAGGGGCUUCCUUAGCAAUAAAUAUCCUAAAGGCAACCAUGAGGGGGAUAGAGUACACCGGUGAACACGUCGUUCACAACACCUACAGGUUAUGAGCCUGCUAGUGUUCCAUAGGACUGUCUAAAAUAGUCCGUGGUCGUCAUCCAUACUCUGUUGAAUGACUAGAAUAACACCAACAUCAAGGCCUCUCAUCUGUUUAUUACACACCAAUUAUCUACCCAUGUUCUACCCAACAUAUUAGUAGAUAAAAAUAUACAUUUUUAUACAAAGUUUAAAACCUGUAUAGCAUGCUCGAUCAAUACAUUUUUCCACAUAACAGAUGAGGUACACACACAUAACACGUAUUUCAUAGAGAAUAAAUCAGAUCUAUGAGAUAGAAGAAAGUGAAUAUACAUCCACACAUAUAGUCAACAAAGUAUACACGUAACACGUAUUUCGUAUAAAAUACUUCAUAAUAAUGUGUUAGAAGAAAAUGACUACACACUCACUUGAUCAGAAGAUGAUCGGGCAACACUACGACUUGUAGAAGUAGUGUUUCUCCGUAGAUCUGGAAGAUCUUCACAUAAACCGGGCUCCUCGCGGGCAGGUCUUCGGCUCUGAAAUCUCACUUCUCGGGAUUCUCGGGACUUCGGAUCUUGCUUCGGGGCUCGGGAAUAAUACCGGGACUUCGGGGUAUGAUUGGCACGCAAAUCGAGGCAAAAACUAGAGAGAAGAAAGAGUUUGAACAAGAGAAAAUGGUUGAUCUCGCAUUCUAUUUAUUGGCUGUUGGGUCUGGGAUUACGUUGGGCGUAAUUUCCAGGUACGCUGGGCGUACUCAAUACACUGGGCGUAAUUAGGUUACGUUGGGCGUACUUUGACGUCACUGCGUGCGUCAAUUGGUGGCACUCGAGUAUUGGUCAGACAAGUUGCACCCCUCUGAGUAUGCUGGACGUAAUUUGACUCAUCAAACUUCUAAAUUGCGUAACUUUCGCAUACGAGCUCUGUUUUCGACGUUCUUUAUAUCCACGCGUAGGUCAGACCAUACUCUACAACUUUCAUUUAGACUCCAUCGGCUAAUUUUGACUUUUAUUUUUAUUAUUUAUUUUUAGUAGGCCGGGACAGGAAAACUUCGUUAUAAAUUCAUAACUUCUUUGUCCGACGUCCGUUCUCGCCUAACUUUUUAUCGUUUCGCUACUAACAACGAGAUCUUCAAUUCUCAUUUAGAUUGUUUCGGCUAAAAACCGCUCGAUCUCAAAUCGAGUAUUUGGGCUGCAUACUGCCAAGUCGAAACUUCAGAAAAUCAUAACUUCCUCAUACGAAGUCAAAUUUGGGCGUUCUAUAUAUAUUCUGAAACCUCGUUUCAACUACUACAACAUUAUCCAAAGAUAUCGAGUUUAUUUUACACUUCAUUUUGAUGCUUAUUUUUAUUCUUAAUUCAAUUAAAUUAUAAUUAAGAAAACACACACAUAAUUCACAUAAUUCACAAAUAAUACAUUUUUAUUAUUUCAGAUUGCAUUACAAAGGUUAACCUAGACUAUUACAUUGCUAAAAAUGGCAAGCCCAGAAACACAGACGUUACACCUAGUAUAUGAAAAGCACACAAGCCAUGAUGAGCAUGUGGAAAAACAUUUUCAAUACUAACGCGAAUUGUAUCGGCCCUAUCAGUUACAAAAGUCAAUUCUUGACAAUCACUAACACAUUCAUACAACUUUUCAAGAAACCAUGUCCACGUAAGACCACUUUUUUUUUUCAUAUUCCGUGCGUAAGGGGCAGUAUCUGGUUGUUCCCAUCCAUAGCUACUCCAUGCAAUAUGGUUCCCUUAAAAGCACCCUUCAAAUGGGCACCAUCCAUAAUUAUAACUUUACGACAAAAACUUUUGAACGCUCGUAUCUGCAAUAUAUAAAAAUGGAACACAUAAACACUCUAUAAUUUGUUUACAAAAAUUAUAUAUUAAAUAACAACAAGUUUUUUGUAUUUACCGUGCUCCCAAUGGCAUAAAAACAACACUCGAAACAAUCUUCAGAAUCUGUUUGAAUAUACGCAACUGUACCGGGAUUAUGCCUCUUCAAAUUGUGAAAAUAAAUAGGAAGUUUGGCAAAACAUUCUUCAGAGGAUCCCAACAACAGUUUCAUAGCAUAUUGUUUUGCACGCCAAGCUUGUUUGUAAUCUACGUUGAUUUCCAGCAAAGCAUUCAAAUCCCUUGAUAUUUCAUUAGGCCUCCAAACCUUGGAACGAGUUUUUCCCAUAAUCUCAUGCAAUAUAGUACCCAUGACUUUUUUAUUAGCAUGCUUAUGAUUAGGGUGUAUCUGUAAUGACGAACAUGUGUACACGUUGUUGAAAGUCCUGAUUUCAAAUUCAUCAGUGAGAUCAAGGCGUUUUGCAUACAAACGCCAACUACAGUUCUCAAUUUCACAAUAUACCUCAUAACGAUUUUUGUUAGAAUGUUUGGUCUUAAACUGAAACUUUUCUCUUGUUGCUUUAAGAAUCAAUGCAAAAAUUAGUUGUUGUUUGUUGUCAUAUGUUUGACGAACAAACAUAUCAUCAUUUGGACCUAAACUGUGAAAUGGUCCGGGUUCAACAAUAGGAUCAGGACAAUCAGGUAUGGGAGACAUACCGUAAAAAAUGUCUGAAGCUUUUUUCCCGUAUGUGAACUCAUCUUCUGACCAUCCUUCAUUUGACUCUUCACUGUCUGAGAAAGUUUUGUUAGUCAAUCUUCUAAACCCAUAUAAAUUUUUUUCUUCAACCGUAUUCAGUGCCACCGUUUCUUCUUCUGGACAAUCUUCAACAUUAUCAGAUACAAUGUUAUCAACAUUGUAUGGUACAACUUUCUCAGCUGCUUCUGUCUGUUCGACCAAUCCCUGAAACACCUCUAAAUACAAAUGCACAAUCUCCUUCGUUUCAGAAAUUACAUUUCUGAGUUGAUUAACAUCUGCUUCAUCUAAAAUAUUCAUCACAUACCCAUGAACCGGGUGUUGAAAUGACAAUGAUAUAUUACUAUUGAACACCUUAGCCUUACUUUUGACCAAAUCAAACAAUAUUCGAAAAUCAAAAUUAGGCGGAGGCAGUAAACCCAAGUUGUUUAACUUUGGUCUAACGUAGGUGUUAAUCGCAUUACUUAUCUGCAAAAAACCUCCAGUACAUAAAAUAACAAAACUCAUAUUUGGUUUUGAAAAUCAAAUGAAAACGAACUGAUCUAUCGACCAAAAUAAAACAAACAUAUGAAAAAGAAACUUUUGUAUCAAAAAACUCUUCAAAAUCCGCUCCAACCACCCAUUCCACGGAGGCAUUACUCUCUCCGCAGAGACCCAUUCCGCGGAGCAUGAUUAAAAAGGCUAACAACCUAUUGUUCGACCACUUCGCAGAGAUGACUUCAUUCCGCGGAGGUCCGCGGAGGGUCCUCCGCGGAAUGCAUGUCUAUAGCUGGAAUUUUUUUUUUGUGUCUAAAUUUUUAAAUUUCCCCCUUUUUUCGUCUAUAGCCUAUAUUUUCUCUAAAUGAUUUACAUAUUGAAAGUUCAGAAACAAGUUAAAACUUAAACCCUAAAAGAGCGUACAAAUUUCAAUCGUCAACAUACCCCACCACAAAGGCACAAAUAAUCAAAGAAACAAAUGUAGAUGUAGAGGCCUUUUUCACCACAAUCACCCUUCAUCGGCCAUUUCGAAGGCCACGUGAAAUGUCACUAACGUGGCCCUAUAAAUAUCCACUACUUUGUCUUUAACCUUUCCCCCCUCUCAUAUAAAACCCUCCAUCCUCCUCCUUUACCACCAUCACCAACUACCUUCUCUCCUCCAUCAAAAGUAUCCCCAUCUUUUCCGACAUGGCUGCUUCUUCAAUCUUCAUGGCAACUCCCAUCACACUCCUCAAGAAAACUCCCACCUUCUCCGUCAAAUGUAUGUCACAAACACCUCAAAGCGGUGAACCGGGGGUUUCAAAACCAGCAACCACCCCAACACCACCACAGAUCAACAUUCCUCCUCCUCCGCCACCUGCUCCAAAGGUCAGCACGAAGUUCUCUGACGUGUUGGCGUUUAGUGGACCUGCACCGGAGAGGAUCAACGGAAGGUUAGCCAUGAUAGGGUUUGUGUCGGCGAUGGCUGUGGAACUGAGCAGCGGUCAAGACGUGUUCACCCAGAUCGGCAACGGCGGUGUUGCGGUGUUUGUCGGGACAAGUGUGGUGUUGACGUUGGCGUCGUUGGUGCCGUUGUUUAAAGGAGUGAGCGUGCAGUCGAAGUCGAGUGGACUGAUGACAUCAGAUGCAGAGCUUUGGAAUGGGCGGGUUGCGAUGUUGGGUCUGGUGGCUUUGGCUUUUACUGAAUAUGUUAAAGGCAGUGCCCUUGUCUAGAUAAUGUAUCAUAAACUUUUCUAUUACAGAAUUACAUCUAAGAUAGACAAAUGUAUAUUGUUUUGAAUAUUUAUGUUUAUCGAUUUACCAUACAUAGUUCAAAUCAUAAAAAGCAUGUUUUUUGAUAAUAUAGUAUAAAACAAAUAUAAUAUCAAUCAAAUUGAACGAUGUUGUGGUAUCUUUCAAUAUAAAAUUCUCUUUAUAAAAAUAAACAAACAACGUACUAAGAUAAAUUUUAGAGGAAUGAACUUAGAUUAGCAAUAUAAGAGUCAAAGUCUACAAAUUAAGGUAUUGAAAUCCUAGUUUCACAACUUCCUCUUUGAAUGUUGAACUGAGGUGAUCUUCAUUAAUUCAGACUGAAUAAGUGACUUAGUCCAGCCUAGUCAAUUAGCUAAUUUAAGAUGACAAGUAUCCAAAAUUCAAAAACAUUAUAGAGCUCAAUUUCAAACAAAAGUGACAAAUGACUAAUGCUCACAAAACGAUCACCGAAUCAUUCAAAGCAUUUACUAAAAGCCAGUCUAAUUCUUAUUGGUUUGAAAUCUAAUUUUAUCAUCAACUGUAUACAAGAUUGAGAUUGAUAUCAGAGUAAUAAUCUCUAAAAGCAAAAUAAUGUAUUCAAAAGAAUAUAUAUACAAAAUGAAUUAUGUCCCAAGCAGUACUGUGCAUGAGUAUAAGAUUACUAUUAUGUUGGGAUCCAUUAAUUGAUAACUAAGCACACUUCCAAAUUUACUAUAUGGAAUUUAGUUAAGGAUUAAUGUCAAGUGGGGUGCAUCCACCCCACUCAAAGGCCUUGUAUAUGUUACGGUCCCAAGUGAUAUUUUAUAAGGGUCUUUUUGUAGUUUUUCUUUUCCUAAUAUAUUAACAUUUUUUUUUGAUAUUUUUGGAACUUUUUAUUUUCUGAGAAAAGUAUACAAAAUAAUGUAUAUACAAGCUUACUUGAAGAUAUGAUCGUUUAUGAGGUUAUUCAAGACUUAUUCUCUUGAAGUAUCUAUUCCUAGCUAGAUAUGAACAAAUGUGUUUGCAUUUAUCCUUUUUUGCCCUUUGUCAAUUCUUGACUAAUAAGGUAAUGGUAGUUCUUGGUGAGGGAUUCACCUCUGUAUUGAUUCUUCAUUCUAUUUAAAUGUUUGGAUUCACCUCUGUAUUGAUUCUUCAUUCUAUUUAAAUGUUUGGAUUCACCUCUGUAUUGAUUCUUCAUUCUAUUUAAAUGUUUGGAUUCACCUCUGUAUUGAUUCUUCAUUCUAUUUAAAUGUUUGGAUUCAACAAUGUCUAGUUGAGUAGUUCUUUAAAAGCACAUUCUACCAUAUGCAUCUUUAUGUCAAUAUUAAUUGGGGAUUCCAUAAACUGAAACUCUUGGAGCUCAAUAGUGUAGUUGAAAAACUUUUGUUGAGCCCACCACUUACAUGAAAUAGGAGACUUUUUUCAAUAAACUAAGUGGUUCCUUCUUUAUGGAUCAUCUUUUCGUUUCUCCUUUUGAAAGGUCCCCUGGUGAUACUUUUAUGUGUUAAUGAAACUCAGUCCUUAUGGCAUGCUUUUUGGAUAUGAUAGUACGUGACUAUCAAGAGCUUAUUUCUACUCAGUAUAGUCAUACUCUCAUAAGUCUCUCAAGAUUUUACACUCAGAAGCAUCGUUAGAUUGUAUGGCUACCUACCUUGUACUAUAAGCAUGUUUAUUAACAUUUAGGGAUUUAUUUAGAAGGAUAUCAUUUUUCAUAUUUUUUGUCUAACACCAGAUCUUUUUUCUCAGCUCAAUUGUUUCAAGUAAAACUAAGUGUCUUCUUGAUUCGACAACAAACCAUUGGUCAUCUUUCCGAUUUCAAGUAUUUUGCAUAUCCUCUCAAAACUUCUUUAUUUUUUAACACAAAUUCAAAAACUAUUAGGUAUCGGGAUUUUAAGGCUUCUUUAUUUUCACCCUCAAUUAGAUUCAUAUUUUUCAUUGCCUUGCAGAUUUCCUUUUUAGUUUGAGUCUAUUUAUCACGAGCCUGAAGUCAUUUUCUUCCCCUACCCUUGUUAGUUUUGGCUAUUGCUAGUGCACGUACUUCAUUGGCUAAAUGAGAAGACACCUCGAUAAUGGUGGAUGACUUGGUGAAAUUUAUAGGUUGUUCCUUAGGCUAUCCAAAGUGGAGGUAGAAGAAGACGCAUGAUGCUGAAUGGACAUCCAAGUCAUGCGUGAACACUGCCCGAUGGCUUGGCUAUGGAGUCUCCAUGAAGACGAUGCAUUCGAUUGGUUUAGAAUCUGGUCCCUCAUAUUUUCUCUCCUCCUUUUUGUCCCUUCACUACCAACCCACCGGUAAACACCAUUUCCACAACCUAAUGGGUUGAUUGUGGAAUGGUAAACUACCUAUGUGGCGCUGAGUUAGAAGGUGUUUUGGAUAUAACCACUCCCCACAACCUUAGCAUUAGAACAUCCUGAUGCUCCACAUGAACUAAGAACAUCACUUAAUCUUCAUUAAAUACUUUGGGGUUGUACUCAUAAAGUAAAAUAUCUCCCCCCUUAGACAUAUCAUCAUUUUCCUCAUCUGAUGACCAAGGAAUUUGUGGAGAUAUAUGUGACUUUGGAUUAAAGGGGGUUAUAUUGGUCAUCCUUUUUAGACAACUUUUUAAAUUAAUCAAUCCAAGCUCCUAUACCGACGACAUUUUCUGGAAUCUCUUUAGAUGGGGAUGAUGGUUCAUUAAGCGACGACAUUUUCUAACCGUGUACCGACGACAAGUCGUCACAGACAAGUCAGGAUAGGUCAAAAAAGUCGUCGGCAUAGGUGUCGUCGGGAUAGGUACCCCAUAUACCGACGACAUGACGUUGGUACAAGUACCGUCUGGAAUGAUUUUCGAGAAAAAAAAUAAAGUUUUAUUAAUUACUUGUGGCGACGACAUGUCGUCGGGACAGGUGCCACCUAUAGCGACGCCAUUUUGUCGCCACAUGUUUUCCACAAAUAUCAAUCAAAUACCUAUAGUGGCGACUAGUCGUUAGGAUAGCCACUGGGUGUUUUUUUUUUUUUUUUUUUUUUUUUUUUUUUUUUUUUUAGUUUUUACAGAUUUUGUACAUUUACCAUUCGUGCAUUUUUAACAAAUCCAAACAUUUUGCAGCAUAUAUCAAAUAAGAUACAAUAACUGGGUACCAUUGUUUAAAUUCAAAACAUCAAAUUCAAGUUUAAUAUUACAUACCGAAUUAGAUAAAAUAAGUAGUUAACAUUGUUCAAAAUAACACAAAACAUAAACAUCAUUAUAUUCUUUUUUUUUUCUUCUUCUUCUUCUUCCAUCCUCUCGGGUUCACAUUUUGUUGAGAGGUAUUUCCUUGUGAUGUACUUCCUUCUGUGUUGGAAUUGAAUAGAAAACUAGCAAACGGUGGUGGUUGUGUAACAUCCCAAAAAUUUUAACAAAUAUGAACUUUUCAAAACAACCCAUUUAUUAACAAAAGUGUUUACAAAAACAUGAUUUAAAAUUAGAGUCUCCCAAGAUCCACUUUGUUCUAAAACCGAGGAUGCGUACGGUCACGCCUUUGCCUUGCCAUGAAUCAUUUGAAGAAACUGAAACCAUAAACAAAUCGUAAGCAAGAAUCUUAGUGAGUUCCUCCAAAAUACCACCGCACAAACAGAUAGCACAUAAAUAACGACAACAUGUACUAGGUCCACAACUAAAAGACUGGAUUACCCCUGAGCCUAUAAUAUGAAUCUGGCUUGCCUAUUGGGCCCACAACUCAUAUCUGGUUUGCUCUUGAGCCCACAACAUAAGUCAGACUUGCCCCUGGGGCUCACAACUUAUGUCAGGCUUGCUCCCAACUCAAUCAGUCAUCGGACUAGAAUACCAAUGUUCAGCCCUGUGACAACCUGAAAUUUCCAUUCUGAACAAACCAUAUCAAUCCAAUAGAAGUUAGAACAGUUACAAUGAAAUUCCAGACUUUGGGCAUAAGUUUGACAGUUUUUCAGGAUUUACACUUAAGGAGAUAUCAGGAGAGUGGAUGCACUAGGGUUUUGUGCAACACUGUUAUUCCAAAACUCUAGGAUAUUAGGGUUCAAUUCCGGAAUAAAAAUAUUUUCUGCCAAAAAUCUCAGGACUAUAUAUAGAAAUCUGAGCCAUAUUCAUUCAUUAGUUACAUUUCCAACUAGAGAAAAGCCAAAUUCUCUCUCACGGAUCUUCAGGUUUUUAUCCCAAAUCGUGAGUACUUCUAUCUAGUUGUAUUAUAUAGCUUAGAUUGUUUUUUAUAACAUCAAAAUCGGAUCAAAACCCCAAGAUUUGGGAGUUUACCGCCCAAGAACACUUGGAGAGUAAACUCCUUUUUAAGGGCCAAAAGUGUGCCCAAUGUCCCUCAAAGCCUUGGGAAUGAACCUAGAAGCUACCAUUACAUGUUUAAGACCACAAAACAAUUAAGAAUCAUGGCUAGAAGUGAGUUCACGGCCAAGGAAGUUCUUCGUCCGUGAACUCCAUUUUUAUGUGCCAAAAUGCCCUAAAAGCCUUCCUUAAGCCAAGAGACUAAUUUAGACAUGUACCUAGAUGAGUUUAGGACUAGCAAACACCUUUAGAACACCAAGAGUAAGGUGUUCACGGCCCAAGAAGUUCUAGGGUCGUGAACUCCAAACAAUGGUGCCAAAUGGUGCUAUAAACUCUCCUAAAGCCUUGGACAAUUUCCUUGCUUCAUUCUUAGAUAAAUUAGGGACUUGAAAACACCACAAACACCCUCCUAAGGGAGAUUACGGCCGUAAUCUCCAUGGGAUAUGGUCCAUGGCGCGUGAACUCCUCAAAGGAGUUAAAAGGAAGCCCAAACACUUGUUUAAGCCUAGAAGCACUUCACCACUUAAGUUGUAAUAAUGUUAGGCUUCAUUUAGUGACCCUAUAGAGAGUUUACGGCCAAGAGUUUACUCCCCUAGGCCGUAAACUCCAACACAUAUGGUCUUUUGACCAUAAACUCCCAUAAGAGGUCUUGCACUCCUUUGUUGCAACCCAUUAGCCUCCUAGCACUUGACCAAAGUGUUUUCCUCACAUUAGGAUGUUUAUACAUGUUUAAUUAGUGUUAUAAUCACUAAUUGUUUAUAUACAUAUGUCUUCAUAUGUAAUUAGGACCAUUGUGUGUGUCUAAAGUCUUCACUUGACACCUAGCAGUCCUACCUCUUCAGUUCAUCCGUAUCACCCACAACAGGUGAGUUUAUACCUNGGGGAUACAAGUAGAAUUAUGCUAAUUAUUAUAUCAAUCACAGGUGAUUAAUAAGCAGCAUUCAAAUGAUUAGCUACUCAUUAGCCGUUUUACCAAACCGUUUCCUUCAAAUGUUUUUCAUAAACACCUUAUGUGUUUAAAACUCCUUAUUACACUGUACCUUUUAUUCUGUAUGUUUCAAUUCAAACUUAUUUACAAUUGUGUUUCAAACAAAUGUUUCUUUAUACUAAACUAUUUUGUCAAACCCAUGCCUUCAAAACCGUUUUAUAGAUUGACAUCAAGUCGAUCUUUUCUUAGAUAAUAAUUAUGUUCAAAGGUUUUACAAAACUUAUUUUAUGUUUUUAUAUUAUAAAUUGGAUGCCUAUAUAUGCAUAGUUAUAUAAUAAAUGUUGAAAGGACUUAGGAAGGCUAUCCACCCUAUUUCCUUUUCCUCGAUUUGGAUGUGGUCUGGUGGGAUAUCAGGUACCCGUCCGAAGGUUGUUUAAAUAUUAAUUAUAUAUCAUGUGUACGUAUAUAGUCAUAAAAGUCCUUCCAGCUCAGCCAAUGCCCUUGGGUAGCAAGGGUAUAUUUAACAUCCCCCUCUUGCACGUAUCACAAUAUUAUCCGCUUUGGGCCACUCGGCACGAGGACUUCCCAGGGGGUCACCCGUCCUGGUACUACUCCCGCCCGAGCACGCUUAACUACAGAGUUCUUAUGGGAUUUGCUGCCCUCACGGCUUUAAAACGCGUUGUGCUAGGGAAUGUAUCCACACCCCUUAUAAGGAAUGCUUAGAUCUCCUUCCCAGCCGAUGUGGGAUCAGAUCUAACCCACUUUCACCCCCCAUUAUAGGGUUCGACGUCCCCGUCGAACACAUCGACCCAUGCCCUGGCUCUGAUACCAAUUGUGACAUCCCCUAAUUUCUCGGCCAGAAAAUACCGAUUUAAUUUAUGCUUUUUAAAAUAAAAUCAGAGAAAUCUUUUUAAAAGAUGUUGCGGAAUUGGUCCCCAAACAACAUAUGAUAAAAGUUUAUCAAAAUCCUUCAUUAAGAAGGUAUAUAUUUUCCAUAUAUAUCAAAACCUCGGGAUUUCAUGUUCCGAUACAGAUCAAAAGCAUAAACAAGACAUUAUAAGCCUUUCAACAGUUAUUUACAACUACUGGCCUAUAAUCCAAAAAUUCUCUCGUCGUCCUCCGACUAUGCUCAGGGUCCACUACCUGUAAUCAUAAAAACUGAGUGGGUCAGGCUUGGGAGUCUGGUGAGCAUAUAGGGGUUUCAACCCACAAUAAUAAUAUACUUAUUAAGUUCACCAAUCAACAAUAACCCUGAUUACCCAUUCCCGUUGUCCUCACUUUACGUCCCUAAACACCUAUCACAAGGGACCUAGCCUAAGGAUUAUCAUCGGGAUGGACACUACUGCUAAGGGGUUUCCUCAGCCAUACAUGUCCUUAAGGCAACCAUGAGGGGGAUGAAGUACGCCAAUGAACAUUUAAUUCAUCAACACCUACAAGUUGCGAACCUGCUAGUGUUCGACUGGACUAUCUAGAAAGUCUGUGGUCGUCAUCUAUACUCCGCUAGAUGACUACAACAACAACAACAACAACAUCGAGGCCUCUCACCUUUUUAACACACAUCAACUAUUUCAUCUACCCAUGUUCUACCCAACAUAUUUUGUAGAUAAAAAGAAUAUACAGUUUGAAACUUGUAUAAAACAUCAAAUCAAUAGUCACCUUAGUUAAACAAUUACUAUAUUUACACAUAACACGUAUUUCAAGGUAAAUACUUCAUAUCUAUGUGUAAAUUGAAAGUAACUACACACUCACAUAUUUUGAUGAACAUCGGGCAACAAUUCAUUUCCUAAAACGAUCGUUUCUAAUAAAACCGGGAGUUUUAUUGAGAAACUGGGCUCUGCAAAAGUCGGGGUUUGAAACCGAAAAGAUAAAUUUUCCGGGCUUCACGGGCACUUCGUGGAGUAUUCCGGGCUUUACAAUCGAUACCGGGGCUUUGCGGGAUGUUAAGAUGAAGAAAAUAUGGGUUUAGGGGUUAAAUAUGGCAAAAUUUCAAAGUUACCUGGGAGGUCUCGCACCCUUCUAUUUAUAGGGGCGAGGCUUCUGAUCCAACGGAUAGAAAGAGGACACGCGUCGCAGAUCCGAAGGCUCGCAGGGAAGCCUCGCACGUGGCUGCGCAUGGCUCGCACCUGUGAGGGGCUCGCUGGCAGCUUGUGAUUGGACCGAGGUCUAGGGUCCGAAGUAGAGGGUUCGUGGCAUGUUGCGAGGGCUCGGUCUCGUGCAUGAGGGUACGUGUCACCUUCUCAGUGGACCACUUCGGAUAAGGCCAUGUGCUCGGAUGACUCAGCAGCUCGGGUGACUCAACAGCUCGGAUGACUCAGCAGGACACAUGGCACUUUUUCAGCGAGGGUGACGUGGCAACUCGUGACUAUGCGAAUUUUCUCGAUUUUCGCGCCAAAACUUCUAAAAUCCAUAACUUUCGCAUACGAGCUCCGUUUUUGACGUUCUUUAUAUGCACGCGUAGCUAAAAUUACGCUCUACAACUUCCGUUUAGACUUCGUCGGCUAAUUUUGAAUUUAAAUUUUAUAUUAUUAUUUUUAACAGACCGGGACAGGAAAUCCGUUAAAAAUUCAUAACUUCUUCAUCCGACGUCCGUUUUCAUCAGAAUUUUUACCGUUGUGCUCCUAAUGACGAGACCUUCAAUUCUCGUUUAGGUUGUGUCGGCUAAAAAUCGCUCGAUCUAAAAUUCGAGUUUUUUAGCUGUCUACUGCUAAGCUGAAACUUCGAAAAAUCAUAACUUCCUCAUACGAAGUCAGAUUUGGGCGUUCCUUUUAUCGAACUUCUCAGUUUAACGACUACUACGACUUUCAUUUAGAUUACUAAGGCUAAAAAGUAGUUUAUCGAAAACUCACUUUUUACAACAUUCAGCACCGUGCCGGUUUUGUCGCGAAACUUCGACAUGUCAUAACUUCUUCGUUAUAACUCGGAUUUUGGUAUUCUUUAUAUCCCCGAAAUCCUUGUUUCGACCACUACAAAUUUAUGUAAAGAUAUCGGGCUUAUCUCCCACUUUAAUUUUGACGCUUAUUUUUAUUCUUAACUAAUUAAGCCCUAAUAAUUAAGCAUAAAACACAUAAUUCAUAUAAUAUUCACAUAAUUCCUUUUCAUUUCUUCAAAAUGAGUUACAAAGGUUAACCUAGACUAUCAACUCAAUAUAAAUGCCUAGGAUAGAAACAUGAGUGUUACAAAUUGUAUCAAGACAUGUUAUAUGGACGUGUUGAACUUCCGUGUCCAUUUCUCCUUCUGCUGUUUGUUCUUCUAAAGAAUGAGGAAAGAUAUCCAAGUCUAGCAUAUGCAGAGAACUAGCAACAAGUAGAUCUAAGUCGUCCAAGUUGUUGGCAAUUUCGACUGGACUCGUCGGGUCUAGGAAAGUGACUCGGUGAGUCAGAUCAUAUUUCACCAUUUCCACUGUGUUUUCCGAGUCGGCUCCUUCCAGUAGCUUUUCUAUCUCCUCCAAGUCCUUGUUAACAUCUCCAUCCUCUCCAGAAGGUAGCAAAAGCUUGCUUGGAUCUUCUUCUUGCAAAAGUGCAAGUUCUUUUUGUAGUAUCUCAUCAUCCAAAUCGAUAAAUGAGAUAUCUUCUUUUCCUUCCUCUUCUUGCUUGGCUUCUGGUAAAGCUCUAAAUAUUGCUGACUCGUCUCCUACCCUUAAUGUUAGUGUAGACUCGCAUACAUCAAUUAAAGCACAUGCGGUGUUUAAAAAUGACCUCCCCAAAAUAAUCGGAAUUUCGGGGUCUUCUUCCAUAUCAAGCACCACAAAGUCUACUGGAAAUAUGAACUUGUCGAUUUUAAUAAGAAGAUCCUCACAAACGCCUCUUGGAUGAAUUGUUGUCUUGUCUGCCAAAUGGAUCUUCAUGUUUACCGGCCUUGGCUCCGAUAAAUUCAGUUUCUUGAAGAAAGAGAAAGACAUUAGGUUAAUGCUUGCACCUGAGUCGGUCAACGCUUGAGUGACAAAUGCAUUUCCAAAUUGGCACGGAAUUAUGAUACUCCCCGGAUCGCCCUUCUUUUCGAGUAACUCACUCAAUAUUAUUUCCGUGACUUCAGCCAAAUAUUUCCUAGCAGCAAAGAGACCCUUUAGUAAGUUGAAGUACUUGGGUGUUUUAAGCAUCGUUUCUACAAAUGGCACAUUGACUUGUAGGGAUUUAACAUGCUCCAUAAAAGCUCAAUAAGCUUCAACUUUUUCAACUGGCAUGGCUUUGAUUGGGAAUGGCAAAGGGGGAUUAUAUGGCUUUAAGGGAAUGACGGUUUUGUCAUUAACGCAUGGACUCGUCGAGUCCAUUAGAGGGACUCGGCGAGUCUUGUCGGGCUUAGCUGGAGCCGACUCUUCUGCCUUUUCUGUCUUCCUAUUGGAGAUCCUCUGUGCAUGUGUGAAAAUUUCUUCAUUGCUGGAAGUUACUGCACUCACAUUCUCCAUUCUCGGAUUGUUUUCGGUGUUACUUGGAAGUUGACCCGGUCUUCUUUCGUUCACUUGAUGUGAAAGUUGUCCCAGCUGUUUCUCAAUGUUGAGAAUGGAUGCCUGCUCAUUCCUUAGCAUAUUUCUGGUCUCGUGUAUUGCAGCAUCGUGAUCAUUGUGUCUCUUUUCGGACACGGCUAUGAAUCUAGUGAACAAUUCUUCUAAAUCGGCUUUCUUUUCCAUUACCGGUUCUUCCUUUUGAUAAAAUACCCUCUCCUUCUGCUUGUAUUUCUCCUCCUUAUCCUUCUUGUAUUCUUCGUAUGGGAGCCAUUCCUUCUUCGGUUUCCCCCAAUUCUCGUCGUAUCUAUCGCCACUUGAGUAGAACACUUGAGCCUUCUUGUUUCCAUUUUCAUCCAAAUCACAAUCCUUUGUGAGAUGGGGCCCUCUACAAUUCUCACAUCCAACAUGAAUAGCAUGGAUUGUUUGAUCCAUUUUUGUCAUCCUUCUAUCUAGACUAUCGAGCUUAGCUAUCAUCGCCGCCAUGCUAUCAUUUGCCGAGUUCACUACCCCCCGACUUACUUCAUUUAUUGGAUUGUGGUAUUCUCUAGAAUGCUUAGAGAAUUCUUCAAUUAACUCCUUGAUUACCGGGGGCGCCUUCUUCGUGAGCGGGCCUUGUGAAUCGAGCAAUUGCCUUGUGGUGACAUUGACUCCAUCAUAGAAAAUGGAGACCUCUUGUUGGAUAUUGAGGUCAUGGUGUGGGCAAUUUCUAAGCAAGCUCUUGUACCUUUCCCAAGCUUCAUAAAGAGAUUCUCCGGGUUGUUGCUCGAAGUUGGCAAUGGCUUUCUUUAGUUUAGCUAUUUUGGAGGGCGGGCAAAAGUGGUCUAUGAACUCUUCUUUCAUCUUGGCCCAUGUGGUGACCGAUCCGGGAGGAAGUGACUUGAGCCAAUCCUUUGCAUCACCCUUGAACGUGACUGGAAGCAUGCGAAGUAGUUGGGUCUCGCGAGGCAUAUUUGGUACAUUGAAGUAGUCAGCCACAUCAUUUACUUCAUCCAAGUGCUUGUAGGCGUCUUCGUGGUCCUUCCCAUAAAAAGGAAUCUCCUUGAGUUGAGCGAGAAUAUGGCCUUUUAGUUCGAACGUAGUGGUUGCGGGAAUUGCGGGUUGCACAAGUCCCGAGCCGGUGUCAUCGCGCAUCCUUUUCUUCCAUUACCCCAUGGGGACUUCAUCGAUAUUAGCCAUAGCGAUAGCUAAAUCGUCUUCAAACUCGGAUUCUUGCUCGUAUGUGGGUUCUUCUUCUUCCUCGGUCUCGUACUCGAUGUCUUCUUGAAUUGGGUCUCUGAUUGUCAAAGAGGCACUGGAUGCUCCUGAUUUGCUGCUCCUUGUCUUGCUGAAAACGGACUUGAGGUUUUUGAGUGGUAAGUUCUUUGAAGAAGCGGAUUCUCCAACGGUUUUGCCUUUGCUCCUCCUUAGUGCGGAUUCCGGGUCUUCAAGAGGAGGGACCAGAGGUGUAUCAGAUCCUCAGGUCAUGAAACAACUGUAAACAAAACAAAAAACGCGUAAAAAGAACAAAAAAUAAAUAAAAAUUAAAACUGUGAAUCAGCGAUGUACUCGCCGAGUCGGCACGAGUGCACUAGGCGAGUCUGGUCAAAACAUAGAAAAAUUUUUCUAGUUACUUUAAAAACGGAUUUUUAUUAAAACUUAUACUACUUACUAAAUUACCUUUUAAAUAACUUUGUGUAAGAUAAAUCCCACACAAAUGAUCGAUUAAAUUAGAAUUUAACGUUAAUUUUAGAACCGUUCCCCAGCAACGGCGCCAAAAACUUGAUGUGUGCAAACUCACUUAGUUUUAAACCUACUUUUAAUUUUAAAAUAAACACACAAAGGCAGUGGACCUAUCAAUUGUGGUAUAGUUAAAUAAGUAGGGUAUCGAACACAGGGAACGGCAAAUUAAAACUAAAAACUAAUUCUAUCUAAAUUAAUUAAUAAGUAGGAGGUUUUCUCUAGUUUUUCAAGACUAGAAACUUACUAACUAUUACUUAUUCUAAAACUUAGAAAAACAAAGAAUUAACUAGAUUCAAUAAUGGGAAGGAACUUCUGUUUAGUUCAACUCAAUUGAUCCUAUGGUUGAUAUCAAGGUAAUGGUGCAAUGGAUUAACUCUUUUGUUGGUUACCGAUUCAAGUGAUUAGAUUUGCGUUCACUACACUAAUCCUUAGCAAAUAAACUAACUUAAACAGUGGCCAGUUGUCUAAUUUAAUUAAAUUCACUAGAUUAAUUAUUCGGGUUAAUUUAGACUUGCAAUAGUUAACUAAUUUGGUCCUUUAAUUAACUUNUUUGUUGAUGGUCAUCACAAGCUCACACAUGAAUUUACUCAAUUUUCUUAUUAAUUCUAGUUUCAUGUUCAUUAAUCCUAGACAUAUGACAAAGUGGUCACAUAGCAUAUGAGGUUGAUAAUCAAUAGAUGUUCAUGCUAUUCAAUUACCUUCCUAUUAAUAGAAAAUUAAUUAUCAUUCACACACAAGGUUCUUUAGCAAGCUAAAAUAACAAAAAUCACUAACUUUAAAUUAAUCCUACCAAUAAUCAAACCAUAGUAUCAAUUUUGUAUCCCCAAACAGAAGUUUAAGAGUUUUAGCUCAUGAUUGAAGUAAAUUACAGCAAACAAACAGAUUUUAAUUGUUUAACCAUUAUGAAAAAUAAAAAAUUAAGUAGAAUGAUGAAAUUUGCCUCAAAUCUCCUUCGGAAUUGGAUUCUAGCUUGUAUCUUCGUCCUCUAGGUUUUUUCUGACUCUUCAAUCGCAGCUAACCUCUCCAGAAUCGUUCCAGAAUUCCUCCCCAUCGUUCUCAGAAGUUAUCUUUAUAUAUGCAAAACGACUCGUCGAGUCAGAUGCCGACUCGUCGAGCCCAUCUCUAAGUCCCCGUAUGCGAUAAGUCUCUAGGUCUCCGAGUCUUUAUCUUCUCGAAUAUUCGCUUGGGCUCGCCGAGUAGUUGACCCUACUCACCGAGUAUGUGUUGUUUUUAGUGUUUUUCUUCUUUGUUCGAUUCCCGAGCUCUCAACCGCUUCUCCUGCUUCCUUUUGCUUCCGAGCUUCACUUUUGGACUGAAAACAUAAUUCAAACACUUUUAAGUACCUUUUGUCCAUGAAAUGCAAUAAUUUAGCUAAUAAAUGAAUAAAAAUCUACACUUAAUAUGAACUAAAUAUGCACAUAUCACUUUCCUUAGAUUCAUAGUCUCUCCAACCAAAAUUCCUAGAUAAUUGAAUGGGAUGGAUGAAGGUUCACAUCCAAGAGGAGCUGCCCAAUUUAUUACUUCCAUGUGGGUAGCUCCUAUCCCAUACACCUUCGAUUUCCUAAAGUUCACCUUUAGCCCCGAUGAUACACAGAAGCACCUUAAUAUCCGGGCCAAGUUUGCAAUAUUUCGCCUUGACCAUUAGCCUAUAAACAGUGUGUCAUCUGCAUAGAAUAAAUGAGACAAACAUUGAUUAGAUUGUGAAAAUUUGAUGCCUUCGAAGAUUCCUUUUUCCACAACUGUCUUCAUCGCCUGAUUUAAUCCUUCAAUCACAAUGAUAAAAAGAAAUGGGGAGAGUGGAUCUCCCUGUCUGACACCUUUUGACAUAGAGAACUCCUUGGUCGGACUGUCGUUGAUCGACUGGGAAGGAGAACUAAGCAUUCCUUAUAAGGGGUGUGGAUACCUUCCCUAUCACAACGCGUUUGAAAACCGUGAGGGAAGCAGAUCCCAUAGGAACUCUGCAGUUAAGCGUGCUUGGGCGCGAGUAGUACCAGGAUGGGUGACCCCCUGGGAAGUCCUCGUGCCGAGUGGCCCAAGACGAACAAUAUUGUGAUACGUGCCAGAGGGGAAUGUUACAAAUGGUAUCAGAGCCAGCGCACAGUUCGAUGUGUUCGACGAGGACGUCGAACCCUAUAAUGGGGGGUGAAAGUGGGUUAGAUUUGAUCCCACAUCGGCUGGGAAGGAGAACUAAGCAUUCCUUAUAAGGGGUGUGGAUACCUUCCCUAUCACAACGCGUUUUAAAGCCGUGAGGGCAGCAGAUCCCAUAAGAACUCUGCAGUUAAGCGUGCUCGGGCGGGAGUAGUACCAGGAUGGGUGACCCCCUGGGAAGUCCUCGUGCCGAGUGGCCCAAGGCGGAAAAUAUUGUGAUAUGUGCCAGAGGGGGAUGUUACAGUAUAUAGCCAUGUUCAUACGUACCAGUUAAAUUACUAGUAAGCUAUUGACUAUCCUACACCUUGCUGCUUGCUACAGCCGGACGUCAUUUCUUUCUACAUAUAGAUCAGUUAAGUCUUGGUAGAAGACUCCCUGUUAUAGUAGUAGGAAUCAUAGGGAUUUCUAGAGUUUUUCAAACGUUUACAGUUGUUUUACAUACAUUUUCAAUACUUACGAUUUACAUACAUUUUCAAUACUUACAAAUUCUUACAUACAAAUUCUUACAUACAAAUUAAGACACUAAAAUACUUAUGAUCUCACCAGCUUCAAAGUUGAUACUCGCUUUCAAAAUUACUUGUAUCCUCAGGUCAAACAUAGACAGGUACCGAUGCAAGGUUUAGAGAAGAUGGAGCUCGUUCAAGACUCAUCUUUCAUUUUGAUUUAUGCCUUAGUGUUUAUCAAAAUUUGACAGAACACAGUUGUAUAAUAAUUAUAUUAUUAAUGCAAUGGAUGAUGUUGCUGCUUGUUUACUACUUUUCAUUGUUGUGAUAUUGUACAUGACGUCCUCCGCCCCAGAACGUUUCCGCGGUUCUUGGUUUUGGGGUGUGACAAGCCCUCAGUAAGAGUCUAGCAUACCAACUGGUCCUCAGAUCAUAUCUGGAAUGCUACUAAUCCCCCAGUAUGAGUCUGGCAUGCCCCAUCCGAGACUCAACUCAUAUCUGGAUUUCUCCGAUACCCUCAACCCCUUAGUACGAGUCUGGCAUACCAAUCGGGUCCUCAGCUCGUAUCUUGAAUGCACCUGAGCCCUUAGUAUGCGUAUGGCAUGCCCUAAUCAGCUCUUAGCUCAUAUAUGGAAUGCUCCAGGGUUUGUUGGCUACAGAACGAAGCAGUACAACCUCAACCCAACACAAUAUGUCGACAAAUAACCAACAUAUACAGAUAAUCAUGCACACAUAAUCAUAGGUACUCCUAUAGAUCUACCAUACUAACAUAUCGGCAACUAGCAUACUCAUGCAGAUCUAUUCCAUACUCAGAAUAUUAGUGAAUUGUAGGAUAACAAACCAAUACACCGGCAUUGGUGCCUUCGACUCGUAAAUAUAGUGAGGAAAAAUCACAUCGCACUGCUGAACAUAAAGACGAUCCAUGGUUGAUGGCUGCCAGAUCCCCGAACCGCCAAUAUCAAGACAACACCCCAUCACAGCUGAUCCCAUGAAUAAUUUCUGACUACAGAACCACUAUGAUCCACGUGCUAUCAAAUACUACAAUGACAACCCAUCAAUAGACCUGGCAAUGGAGCGGGUUUGGAGCGAAUCAGCCUUGAUCCAAACCCUUUUAACAAAUUUCAAAAUCCGAUCCAAACCCGCUCCGUAACCCACAGGGUUUUAAAUAAUCAGACCCAUACCUUUAUCCGCCGAAUCAACGAAUAUUCAAGCCCGCCCCAUAACCCAAAGUUUUUUUAAAUAAUCAAACACAUUUUAAUAAACUCCUAAAAUAAAAUUUCUUAAAUAAGAAACUGUAUACUAUAUCUUAAUACUUAAAAUAACAUUUUUUUAAAUAAAAAAAAUUGAUUUAGAAAAGGACAUUACAUACUCGAAGAAUUUCAAUCGGAAUUAAAAAUCACUAUUGCAACAACUUUGAAUUGAUUUAUGACUGUUGGUUGUAGUGAUAGCGAAUUGCAAUUGCCAUCUUUUUUCAUGUUAAAAAUUGAUUUAUUGAAUUAGAAAUGGAUAUGAUGAUUUCUUGAUGCAAAUAAAUUAAAUGACAUUAUGAUUCUUGAUAGAAAUCUAUAAGUUUAGAAUCUGAAUUAUCGAUUCCUAUGUAAAAGCAUUUUUUUUCUUUGGCCUUUGCAUUUUGGACUUUUGAUUGGUAUUAAAAUUAAACGUUAAGAAGUAUAAAAUAUAAAUAUAUAAUUCUAAAUUUAUAUGGGGCGAGUUAUAAAUGGAGCGGAUCGGUGAUGAUCCAUACCUGACCCAUUUAAUAAAAGGGCUAGUGGGAAUGGAUCGUUAACGGGUAAACGAAUCAAAAACUACACUCCAAACCCAUAUAAUUCUUACGAGUUUGGAUCGGAUUAGGGUCAAAACCCACUUCAUUGCCAGGUCUACCCAUCAACCUUUAGCCCCUGACUCACGUUAUGAGUGAAAAUUAGGGUAAAAGACCUUUUUAUCCUUCUUAAGCUUGGCCCGAAGCCAAGGCCCAACUAAAUGGUUAAUGGCCCAAAAUCCAAAAUAGACUUCUAAGGCCCAAAUAUGGCCCAAUUUUCCAAAUUGGGCCCAAUUCCUUUCUUGGGCCUUCAGCUAAGAAAGUCCAUCAAAACAAAAGCCCAAACCAUAAAAUCUAGAUGGCCUAACAUGGCCCAAGACAAUCCGAGCCCAAAACCGGAGCCAAAAAUGAAGGCCCAAUAGUACCGCAUACGCGGGGAGUACUCCAAAGGCACACUUAGCGUACAUGAGGCUGCGUAGAAUCCACCAUUGGGGUGGCAGAUUGGGUAUGCGGGGCGUACACCUCCCUACGCGGGGCGUACCCUCUUAAAACUCAAUUUCUUCAUAACUGCUUAAUGGCUUAGCAUUUGAGCUCAUACUUCAGAUCCAAGGUCCAGAGCCAUACUAUGGCCAUAAAAUUCCCAACUUUAUGAAUUUCCACGUCCAAAAAGUCCUUAAUGAAAGGUCUUAAUGGAUUAAUACUUUCUACAAGAAGUAUGGAGAAAAACUAGCUAAGGUGAUCUCACUUUUAUGGCUUAGAACCCCUCUUAGGGUCUGAAAGGACAGCCCAAAAUGACCAAAACCAAACAUGCAUAACAAUGGGACUUUUGGGACAAAAAGAACAUCAUAAUGCUACCAAAAUGAGAUCCAAGCAAACAAAGCAUAAAGGUAGAAACUUUUUACCUUCUGGAGCUUCCCAAGAAGAUGAUGAUCCAAGAUCCACAAGCUUGCUUCAACUACUAAUCUCCUUGAUGCAACUCCUUCUUCCUUAAGAACACAAAGAACACACUUUUAGCUCAAAACACUCUCUUAUUGGGUUAGGGUUGCCAAAAAUGACUCAAGGGUGUGGAGGCUGAAAAGAUGAGGCUAAAUGAUCUAUAAAGGUGAUUAAAUACCCCACAAACCCUAAAACUUAGGGUUUUUUCUAACAAGAGUACACCCAUCGUACAUAUGAGUACGCCCAACAUACUAGGGUACACCCUAGUAUGCUUAGCGUAUGCACAUGUACGCUUAGCGUACCACUCCUUCUCCCAAAAUUACGAUUUUUCCAAUAGGGCUUCUUGCGACCACUUCCUUCCAAAACAAGGACCAAAAUGGUAUACUCUAAAGCCAAGAGAUGAAUUUGAAAAUGCCUGAAAACUGGGGCAUUACAGGUUGGGAGUUCGGAAUACAUGUCGCCAAUGAUGCAUUAUAUUGUUGCAAGUAUUCUUGCAUUUGUUGUGCAUUAGAUUGGGAUUGAGAUUGGAAAGAUGUGGAAGUUGAAGCACAUUUAUUUGGAAUUAGACCGAAGUUGGUGACUGGUCUCCUACCCACUACGCGAGCCUGCCCUUGUCUCGUCCUGAGGGCACGUGCAAGCCAUUCUUCCUCAUCUACUUCUUCACCUUACCCGACCCCGCUUUGCAUUUUCUCGUAUUUAUCUUGAAUCUUCUUCUAAAAUAAACAAGAUAAUAAACAUACGAUAAUUAAAACAAACAACUAAACUUAAACAUUAAAAUAAUAAUAAUAUACCUUAGACAUAAACUAUAAUUAAUAAUAAUAACAUAUUUAACUAACGUAUUAAUUUCGCUUAUGACUUACCUAAUCUUGUUGUGCUCGACUUGUACACCAACCCUAGCCUUCUUUGUAGCGCAUUUGUCUCCAACCCUCAAUAUGUUGCGGCUUCAGUCCUAGUUUUUCCUGUAAUAUGUAAAAAACAAUAAAUAUAUUUAUACGAGUGAUAGUAACAUUUUUAAAUAAUACUAAUAUACUUUAUUACUUUUAAAUGACGUCGUUGAGCAUACGACCUACAUCCAUGAGAACUUGUGUCCGGAAGUUUAAUUCGACCUAGUAACUUUAUUUUUGGCCGAUGUGUGUAUAUAUUCAUCAGUAAAAAACAACAUGCCAAUCGUCUUAUUCUAAGCUUUGGCAGACCAAUCAAUCUGUGGAUGUUUUUUUGUCCUUUCCACAUCCGCAUAUCCACCAGCUUUUUCAAAAUGAUUUUCCAUGUCAUGCUUGCAAUCUCGAUAAGCUUUUUGCAUACUAUCUUGGGUACCCGCUCGAACGGGUUCCCACAACUCUGUGCCCUAGUGCAUAUCGGGAUCAAAAUAAGUCUGCAAAAAAUACAUAUUUGAUUAGUAAUAAGAAAUAUUUAAUAAGUGUAAAAUUCAAUACAUAUAAAAUAUUUUGUAUAUACUUACUUCUAGCUCGAGAUAUAAAUUAUCUUCGUACUUGGUAGAAACAUGGCGCCAAGAAUGAUAAUGCAACAGUACCUCUGAUCCCACCAGAUUUGAGAUCAAUCUAACAAAUAAGUGUCUGUUGUCCCGCACGAAUCGAUACGUCCUCCUGGAGGUAUCAAGGCUCACAACCAAAGGAUUACUACCUUUAUCUUCAUACUCAUCGUACAAUUUUAAGUUUCUCCAUCUGCCAUGUACAUUCACAUUCUUCACUUUUGUUACAUUUACACAUAGAAUUGGAAAUUUAGAAAUUUAAAUCCAAUACUUAAUAUUUUCAUGUAACUUACAUGAUUGGCAACCCGAUGGUAAACCAUGUGUGACCAUGUGUGGGGCUCUAUCACCACUGUCUCCUCCAUGUUACCUCAUGACUUCUGCCAUUUAUUUAACAAAUAUUAUAAACAUUCAAAAUCUAUAAUAAAGCUACUUAUAAAUAGGCAAAAUUUAAAAACUUAACACAUAUUAUAAACAAUCAGGAUAUAUAAUAACCGUAACAUACCAUCAAUGAGAAUCAUCACUAGAACAAUAUAACAUCAUCAUCGUUAUCAUAGUCUUUGUUAUUUAUUUCUUCUUCUGAAGAGUACGUAUCCCCACCAUCAUCGUCAUCGUUAAUUGUCACACCCCUGAACCAGACGACGGAAACGUCUGGGGGCUCGUGUGACUAACAAUUGAAUUAUCAUCACAAUGAAUAUACAUGAAACAUUACACAUUCAUCACCAACAUUACAUAUUACAACCAGCAUUGUUCACAGCAAGUACAUUGUUAAAGAUUACAUAAAUUCAAAGUAUUAAUAGUAAGAUAGGUGAUGUUACACAAAAUAAAUCGAUACACUUGAAAAUCUUCCUGCUUAACGAUUACCUGAGAAUACCAGUUAUUUUGAAAAACGGUCAACAUAUAUAAUGUUGGUGAGUUCAUAAGUAUGUGUGAAUAAAAGUCUUUGCAUCUUUUGUAAAAACCUAGAAAAUCUGAUAUUUUCUGUAAAAUGUCUUAAAAUGAUGUGAAAAUCAAGUAUAAAUGCAUGUGUGAAUUUCAUAGCAAUAACAUAUAUGAUUUCAGUUUAAAUUUCUUUGUAUUUUAAGUAAGUGAUAAAUGAAUAAUAGUAUUUCCCUAGAAAAUCUGAGUAUUUCCUGAUUUAUAAUAAUGUCGAGGUUCUUGUAUCAUUAAUUAAGUUGUUUCGUAUUGACACAAUCGAAGGGUUAAUCUUCGAAAUGUCAAAUUGGUAUUGGAUCUCUAUAUGAGCAGUUAUAACCAUGUAUGAUAAUGACUAGGUUGUCUUUCUUGGCAUUUUCCAAACGUCGGUAUUUGCUCAAGGUUUUGUCGCCCAAGACUGGCCUAGUCUAGUUGUAGCGAACAACUAAGGCGUGGGGGGUCACCCCAUAUAGAUCUAUACACAAACUCCCGCUCUCCCUCCAGGAAACUCUGGUUAUAACUACAGACUACGAUUGUACACUCAGAGGUGUCAACCGACAUGUCUCACUAGAUUCUCAACUUUUCAUACCAUGUUUAAUGUUUACGUGAAUGUUGUAUGUUUUCAAAUCCAAAGGUAUAUAUAUAAGUAUACGAACUUUAGGGCUGGCAAUUGUUGACACGAUACGCGACACGACAUGAAAUAAAUGGGUUUGGGUUGAGUUUUUCAACCCGCCAACCCGCUAACCCGUCAACCCACCAACCCGUUUAUUAAACGGGUCAUAUAUGGGUUUCUCAAAAAAUAAACGGGUUGACCCGCCAACCCGUUUAUAUUCUUAAUAAAAAAAUUAUUAUAUUUUUAAAUGUAUUUAUGUAUCAAGUAUUAAUAUUUAAUAUGUAUUAUAUAAUAUAUACCAUUUAUUCAUAGACCAUUUGAUUGUUUUGACAUUAUUACUCGUGGUGGAUGGUCUAAGGUCAUAAGUCGUAACCUAUAAGACUAAGUCUGUAACAUGUUUCUAUGAAUGUUUUUAAUUUUCAUUUGGAUGUUUAAGACUUAAAUAUCUAAAAUUUAGACCCACGAACCCAAAUCUGACCCACGAACCCGCCAACUUGUCAACCCGUAUAAAUAAAUGGGUUGGUGGGUCAUAUAUAGGUUUAAGUUCCAAACCCGCCAACCCGUGACCUGUAUAUUUAAAUGGGUCGUCAUUGGGUUGGCAUAUUUUGACCCGCCAACCCGCCAACCCGCGACACGCCAACUCGAACACAACACGAUUGCCACGCCUAACGAACUUCAAGAAUUAUGUAAAGGUAUAGUUACAAUCUACUAAGCAUGUGAAUUUCAGUCCAAGCCCAACUAGCAUGUAAAUGGACCACAAAGGUCCAAUGACAUGUAAGAAGGUAAUUUAGACCCAAUAGGCAUGUAAGUGGACCACCAAGGCCCAACAAACAUGUAACCUAUAGCUCAGGCCCAAAUUAACAUGUAAAUGGGUCGCAAGGCCCAAUAAACAGGUCAUUGAAAAUAUUGGGCUCAAUAUAUACUUGAAUGGGCCCUUAAGGCCCAUUGGCCAUGUAAUGUGAAUAUUAGGUCCAAUAAAAUUAUUAUCGAUGUAUUUCGUCAAUUCGUUAUUAUUUCAUGGUUUGCUUUAGCUCGAUGUUUACCGAAUUAAAUAUAAAAGUCCCCUUUUUGUAUAAACGACGUUCUUGGCCAAUAAGACUAAAAUUUUGAAUUAAGGCCCAAAGUUUUGUAAAAAUUAACACUUUAGUCCAUAAUGUAUAAAAAUUUGUAAUUUUGCCCCAAAUGUUUAGAAAUUUACGGAUCUAGUCCAAAAAAUUAUAUUUUGACAUUUAUGGCCCAGUUUCGCAGAAUAUUACAUUUUCAGACCCUUGUUUGUAAAAAUGACACUUUUGACCCAGUUUUUAUAAAAGUUACAUUUUUGGUCCAAUUUAGAAAUAUAUGUUAUUUUUACCCCUAAAUUUGGUUUAUUUACAUUUAUGACUAAAACUUUGGUCAAAUAACAUUUUUAAUCCCAAAACUUCCAUUUUUUCGCAAAUUUGGCCCCAAAACCGUGAGGCCCAAAUAUUCAGCCCAUUAGGCUAAAAUUUACGUUUUUGGCCCUUUGGAAAGCAUGUUUAUCAUAAAAAUCCCUUUUUAUACAAACAGGACCUGUUUGGUCCUUUAAAAACCGUAAAUGUCACUUUUUUCCCUUAUCUUUUGUUUUCUUGACAGUUUUGACCCUUAACAAGGUUUUUGCUUUAAAUUUUUGUAUCUUAAACAUAUAAACACUUUUAACUUGAUAAUAUGAUGUAUAAGGUGUUUUAGUGUUGGAUUAAUGUCUAAGUUUAUAACUAUAAUUGGUAAGACUUGACCCGAUCCGGCAUGGUCCAUUUGGGUUGCAUGGCAUCAUGCACUUGGAUAGACUAUAAUGAGAGAAAUAAGACACUUAUGGUUAUUAAUAUAUUAUAAGUUCUAGUAUAUUAAUAAUAAGAAUAAUAAGAUUAUUUAAUUAGUAUUGAUCAAGAAUUAAUCUAGGAUUAAUUAAGUGAUCAAAAGAAGACUAAUUAAAUAUAUGGGUUGAUUGUGUAAAUCAUCCAUACUUAUAUAGUGGGCUAAUGCUCCAUGGAUAAUCAAGUUGGGCUAAAACCCAUAGGAUGGUCCAUGGAUGCUCCAUGGUGUAUUUGAACCCAUGGAUCCAAGGAAAUGGAAAGUCAUGACAAUUAGGGUUUACCCUAAUUGUAACACUAUAUAAAGAUCUUAUUAUUGACCAAAAUCGGCCACUAGAAUCAUUCUAGAGAAGGGCUAGCCGAUUUCAUGUAGUGUAGAUUUCUCUCAAGUUAUUCCAAGUGUAUUUGGUGUUGUGUGAACCAUUUGAGGUGUCACACUUGGGGCACUAGACACUCAAGCUUCAUGAAGACUUUCUACAUCAAAGAAGUAUGUAUUCUAUCUUGUUACAUUCAUUGUUUUGUAUGCUAGAUUAGGAUAAUACCUUGGAAGUUCUUAUUUGCAUGUAUAAUAGAGAAAACAUAGAUCCAAGGUAUUUAGGGUUGCAUGUACACUUAGGAGUGUUAGAAUGCUCAAAACCCAACAGUGGUAUCAGAGCCUAGGCUUGUUUUCUUGUUAUACUUGCAAAAGAAGCUGAAAAAUCGAGUUUUGAUGCUGUCUGCCCAGCAGACUCGCCGAGUCCAUGAAUGGACUCGCCGAGUCCAAGGCAAAAUGCAUCCAACUCGCCGAGUUGGUUCGUGCACUCGACGAGUUGGACCCCCAGACAGCAUAAAUUCGACUUUUUUGGCUGGAAUUGGACUAGGAACAUUACCCUAAGAUGUUUUUGGACUUAUAAACUUGUUUUUGAUGUGGUAAUGUUCAUGCUAAUCCAAUUUCAAAGAUAAUUGUCAAUAGAUUCAUGUUUUGUAUUAGUUUAAGGUUUAGACUAAUUACAUGAAAAAGUUUGAUUUGAAUUAUCUUGUUCUUAUGAGUUGCUUAGAUUAAUAGAAAAGUUGAGUGAAAUAGUUGUUUUCAAUCCAAAUUAAUCUAAGAGUUGAUUCUAAAAUGUGUUUUUGUAACUUGUCCUCAAGUUAUAUGAAAAGUCACAUUUAAGUUUCAUAAAACUCAUAAAAGUUGGCAAAGGUUACAAAAUGAAGAGUCUAGUUCUAAUUAAAUGGUUUUAUGACUCCAUAACUUGUCCUCAAGUUAUGGAGGACCAAGAGUCUCUUCAUUAAAUAAUAAAUAAAAAAAAAAAGUAACCUUAAUUAAUUCCAUAAGUUAUAAAAUAAAGAAAAGUUAAUUCUUUUAUUAGUUUAAAGUCUUCCAUAACUUGUCCUCAAGUUAUGGAACUUGAAGAGUUUUUGGAUUAAAACUACUUUAAACACAUAAGUUAUGGAAUUAAUUAGUUUUGAAUAGUUUCAAAACUUGCCCUCAAGUUUUGGAAUUUGAAAAGUUUUCACUUAUGAAUACUUUAAUUCCAAGUUAGCCCUUAGAAUUUUAAAAGUUAAAAUUCAACCCUUAUACUUUAUAAUAUUAUAAGUUAAUAAUAUAUAUAUGUAUAAGAGUAAAGUCAGUCUUACCGCUAGUACGCCUCAUUCACGAAGCCGGUCUAUAAGGUGGGUAUAAGGUUGUUGCCUAUAAAAUGGCAACUUAAUGGGUGUCCACUCUCACCCACCGCUUGCUUGACUGGUGGAGGGUCGUUAGCCGAACGGGUUUGACAGGACUAGAAUUCUCCCUUCAUUAAAAGUAUUAAUGAUAAUACUAAGUAACUAAACUCUUAAUAAUACCCAAUCUUAGUUACUUAGGAAAAAUGUGAAUAAGGUGCUAAUCCAUGAAAUUACACUUUGCACUUUGUUUAAGUCGGUUAGUGGAGCGUGUGUGGUUAACCGGCACACUAACUCGUAUUUAACAAGGUAGGCAAAGGGUAACUUAAUGUUUAUCAUAGUAUCGAUGGAGCGUGUGUGGUUAACCGGCACAUCGAUUGAGGGGUAAACACUUAAGGGUACCAAGUAAUUUGCAUGGUUACUUCACACCUUGUUUUGUGAUCCUCGGCAUCCCAGUCACAAAACCUGAAGGGCACACUCGAGAUUGAAACAUGCCAUUGAACAGUUCAAUGAAUCUCAAAGAUCUAGGAGUUUCAAAACCAAUUAAAACCUAAUAAUACAUUUCGUUUAUCUUGGUGGAAAUUGGUGAAUCGUCAUUCACCUACCUUCAAAUAUUUUAUAGCUUGGAUUACGGCAUACCUCUUCUAAGUUAUAAAAUAGUUUGUUGGGUCCUAGCCUUAAUAUUUCAUAUUGGGUGUCAUAUUAAGGACUUUAAAUCAACUAUCUUGAAUAUCUCCCAAAAGAUGUCUGGUUUAGACACCUAUGAUCUUCCCAAAUCUCUUGAAACAAGGUUUCCUAAUGAAGAUGAUGUCCCAUGGAUAUCAUACUUCUUCACCUCUUCAAAUUAUUCUCCCUAACCCACAAGUUCUUGAAAAGUUUAAGGUCACUCAGGCCCUAUUGGCAAGGCAAGGUCUAGGUGUGAUCACAUCUUGGAGAUGUAGUCACAUAUUGACAAGCCGGGAGAGUUGGGUGUCAAAGUCUUGAGAAAGUUGGUGGUUCAAUCACUUUCUAAGUCACAUAGUGAGUUCCUUUGGGACACCUAUGAAACAGACUAUGACAAGACCCUUAAUGAUCUUAUCUAUUUGAUAAGAUCAACUUCCUAAAACUUUAUGGACAUUGACAAUGAUAACAUUGGAUAUCUAGUAAAGCUCUCUCUUCCCAGUGGAAAGGGAUCAGCCAUAGUCAACUGGGUUGACCAAAAUGGUAAAGAGAAAAGCUAAGUCUGUGAUAGUCCCGUGUACCAUUAUCAAAGGGUCCAUAUGUUUAUAUUGCCAAAGGAAGGGGGAUUGGUUGCGAAGCUGCCAAAUUUACCUAAAGAUGUUAAAGUCAAUAAGUUUGACUCUACUUCAUGUAAAGUCCACUAUCUAACUCUGUUAAGUUUCUAUUCUGAGAUUCCUGAUACAUGAUGUGACUGGGUCACAUGGUGAUGUUUUAAGAAUCGGAGCAUAUCCUCGAGUGUCUGGAUGGUGCACUCACUCUGACCAUCCGUCUGUGGGUGGUAGGCAGUGCUCAUAUCUAGCUGUGUUCCCAUUGCCUUCUGAAGAUAUUGCCAGAAACUUGAAGUGAAUCUGCUAUAUCGAUUUGAGAUAAUAGAUAUUGGCACUCCAUGGAGUCUCACAACCUCCUUGAUGUAGAUUCGGGUCAGCUUUUCCAUCUUGUAAGAUUCUUUUAUUGGUAGGAAAUGAGCGGAUUUUGUUAAUCUAUCCACGAUUACCCAAAUAGCAUCCAAUCCGUCUGCUAUCUUUGGCAAUUUUGUCACAAAGUCCAUGGUAAUCCUCUCCGAUUUCCACUUGGGUAUCACUGGUUGUUGCAGUAGUCCCGAGGGCUUUUGGUAUUCCACUUUCACUUUGGCACAAGUAAAACACUUGCCCACGAAAGUGGCUAUCUCUGCCUUCAUAUUAGGCCACCAAUAUUGUUGCUUGAUAUCCAAAUACACCUUAUCUGACGCCGGAUGAAUAGAAUAUCGCGUCUUGUGGGCUUCAUGCAUGACUACUUCUUUGAAUCCCUUAAAUUUGGGAACCCAGAUUCUAUUCAUGAAGUAGUGAGUUCCAUCGUCUUUAACUUCGAGCACCUUCUCCAUUCCACGUAGUGAGUCACUAGCGACAUUCUCUGGCUUCAAUGGUUCCAAUUGGUCUUCCUUGAUCUGUGAGGCUAGAUGAGAUUGGAUGGUGAUUGAUAGAGUUUUCACACGACGACUUGAAUACUCCUUUUGGAUCAAGGCAUCGGCUACCACGUUAGCCUUGCCUGGAUGAUAUUUGAUCUCACACUCAUAAUCAUUUAACAGCUCAACCCAUCUCCACUGCCUCAUGUUUAGUUCCUUUUGAUUUAGAAUGUGCUGGAGGCUCUUGUGGUCUGUAAAGAUGGUGCACUUGGUACCAUAUAGGUAGUGCCUCCAAAUUUUCAAGGAGAAGACCACCUCCCCCAAUUCGAGAUGUUGAGUAGUAUAAUUUACUUCAUGUGUUUUCAAUUUUCUAGAUGCAUAUGCAAUUACCUUCCCGCGUUGCAUAAGGACACAACCUAAACCAUGAUUCGAAGCAUCAUAGUAAAUUAUGAAGUCUUUAAUUCCCUUCGGUAAGGAUAACAAUGGAGCACUACAGAGGGCUUGCUUCAAGGUUUGGAAGGCGAUCUCUUGCUUCUCAGUCCAGUUGAAAGGUACGCCUUUCUGUGUCAAUGUGGUGAGGGGUUUGGCUAUCUUAGAAAAGUUCUGAAUGAAUCUUCGGUAGUAGCCCACAAGACCCAAAAAUUGGCGAAUUUAUGUUGGCGUUGUUGGAAUUUCCCAGUUUUUGAUUGCUUUGAUCUUUGAAAGAUCCAUGUGUAUUCCUUCCUAACUAACUACAUGGCUUGGAAAGUUUACACUGCGGAGCCAGAACUCACACUUGGAGAGUUUCGUAUACAACUUUUCAGCUCGAAGGGUCUUCAAGAUCUGUUGGAGAUGUUGACUAUGCUCUUCUUUGCUUCGAGAGUAUAUGAGGAUAUCAUCGAUGAAAACGAUCAGGAAUUUGUCAAGGAAUGGGCGGAAGACUCGAUUCAUGAGGUCCAUAAAUGCAGUGGGGGCAUUUGUUAGACCGAAGGGCAUCACGACGAAUUCGUAAUAACCGUAACGGGUUUGGAAAGCAGACUUAGGAAUGUCCUCAUCUCGGACCUUGAGUUGAUGAUAACUGGAUCUUAGAUCUAUCUUUGAAAAGUAACUAGCCCCUUGAAGCUGGUCAAAUAGAUCAUCGAUUCGUGGAAGUGGAUACCGGUUUUUGAUGGUGAGCUUAUUUAGUUCCCUAUAAUCAAUGCACAUCCUGAAGGAUUCGUCUUUCUUUUUAACGAAAAGAAUCGGAGCUCCCCAUGGAGAGAAGCUUGGUCUUAUGAAUCCUUUAUUCAAGAGUUCACUUAGUUGGCUUGACAAUUCAUGCAUUUCAGCGGGAGCCAACCUAUAGGGUGAUUUGGCUAUUGAAGUGGCUCUAGGCACUAGGUCGAUUCAGAAUUCGAUUUGUCGUUCUGGGGGUAUUCCUGGAAGCUCUUCUAGAAACACAUCCGGGAAGUCACAUGCCACUGGGAUGUUUUGAAUGUUCGCUUCCUCUUUGGUAUUAUCCACCACAUGAGCAAGGAAUGUGUAGUUCUUCUUUUGUAGACACUUUUGUGCCUUGAUACACGAGAUAAGGUAAAGGUUUGCACCGGGUUUAUCUCCGUAGAUUAUUAGGGUUUCGUGAUUAGAAAGAUGAAAGUGAAUGACCUUCUCGUGACACAUAAUAUCGGCAUGAUGGGGGCUUAACCAAUCCAUGCCGAUGAUGACAUCAAAACUCCUAAUAUUUACUGGCAUCAAAUUUAUUUGGAAAAAGUGGUUGUUUAGUGUUAACGUACAUCCUAUAUAGAUAUCUUUGGUUGUUUCAGUGUUCCCAUUAUCCAUUUCCACCGUGAAGGAUUCGUUGAGCUUCUGGGGUUGUUGAUUUAGAAAGUAUUUGAAUUUAUUACUAACGAAACUUCGCUCCGCCCCACUAUCAAAUAAGAUGCAUGCAUACGAGUUGUUAAGUAGGAACGUACCGAUGAUAACAGCUGGGUCCUACACUGCUUCAUCCUAACCCAUUGUCAACACUCUCCCUGCUGCUCCUGCCCCUUGAUUGUUUGCGUUGGGGAAAUUUCUCCUGAAAUUCCCGGUUUUCCCACAUACGUAACAGGUAUAAUUGGCCCCAACAUUGGUGUUGUUGUUAUUGUUGUUGUUGUUGGUGUUGUUGUUGUUGUUGUUUUUUGGCAUCUGGUUUUGUUGAAGCUGAGUCCUGCAAUACUUUGUUGUAUGGCGUUUCUGGUUGAACCUUGCGCAAAUCAUCUCUCUGUAUUCCCCAUGAUGGUGGAAGUUGCAUUUGUUACACUUGGCGAGAUUUCCUGAAUACUGCUUUGGAGCAUUUGGCGUGGAUGAGGCUGGAGCAUGGGGUGUGGUGGUAGCUUGAGUUACAGCAUGGACAGUCACAGUUUGUUGCUUCUUAGAUGAUUCUGAGUUAUGUUUUCCAUUUCUCUUGUUGUUUAUCCCUUUCUUUCUCUCUUCUUCCUUCUUAACCUCCGCUUCCACUGUUUUGGCACGCUUCUUAUUUCCAUGAUCAUACGAUUUCUUGUCCAGUCUCUUGGCGCUAUCAAACAUCUCAGGGUUUUGCUGCAAUAACAUUCCCUUAGAUAGGUGCAGUCAAUCCCUAGAUAAACCUAUCAAUCUUUUUCCCUUCUAAGGUGAUCAUUCCGGGACACAAAAGAGAUAGCUCACUAAACCUAGAUAUGUAUGCGGUUAUAUUGGAGUUUUGAACUGUGAGGUUCCACAACUCUUGUUCCAUCUUCUGAAUUUCACCUCCAAGACAGUAUUCUGCCAACAUCAUUUCCUUAAGCUCUUCCCAGAGCAUCGCGUUCGCUACCGGGAGUGUCAUGGCCUCUACAUGCCCAUUCCACCAGGAGAUGGCUUGAUCAAUGAAUUUGCAGGUUGCGAACAUGACCUUACACUCAUCUGGGCACCCACAGAUUUCAAAAAUGGAUUCUACUUUCUCGAUCCAUCGCUUCAGGGCUAUUACGCCUCCUGUCCCAUUAAAGGUUCGAGGUUUGGCAUUGGUGAAGUCCUUGUAGGUGCAUGUUCGUGUGGCUCCAUGGAUUGUUCCUUGAUUUGUGCUUCCGUUUCCCUGUCGGUUGCCUUCUCUAUUGUUUCCAUUGCGAAUCUGCACAAGUGUUGUAGUGACCGCAACAGACAAUGUUGCCUGGAAUGCAACCGAGAUUAUUUUCGGCGGGUUUGGUGUUGCGUUGUUUCCACGAUUGGGCCUUUGAGGCAUCUUUCUGUCAUGGAACGGAAAGAUGUAGAGUGACUAUUGUUUUGCGAGUUUGGAAUCCCCUAGGCUAGGUGUAUCGAGUGUGUAUUUAAGUAAUUUCAUACAUUAACAUAAAAUAGGGAAGUAAAACACAUAGCAGAUGACAACAUCAUGAUAAAACGUAAAGCAUUUUCAUUAAUACUAAUUGUUUUGAUACAUGAACAUUUGCCAGAAGGCAUACAGUACAUAGGGAAAUAUAAAAUAUGGCAGCAUUACAACCCUAUGAGCAGUGUGAUCACUUAAACAUAGAGUCGAUAGUACAUAGCAUAGUACACAUAAGGGAAACCUAAUAGUAUUAAGAGAUACUACUGGUCCUGAUCAUACUGAGAAGUGCCUAAUGGUGGUGGUGAAAUCAUAUCCCAAAAUGUUAUGCUAAUAACUGAUCCAUCUCGGUCAUCUCUCCGAUGACCUCAUCUUUUUCCUACUCAGUUUGCAUGGCUCGUGCCUCCAUAGCAAAUAGUUGUUGUCGAAGUGUGGCAACCUCCGCUUCCAGAGACCGAUCCUCAUCAACGGGGUUCCCUAGUGGACCAGGGUGGUCCUGGUGUGCCUCAUUGGUAGGUGGUUCGACGGGGGCUUCAUUUUUGUCCCCAUCCUCCUCCAUGUCUUCGUCAGUCCUAUCAAACUCAUAGUCUGUAUUAGUGUACUCGUCGGGCCCAAUGGUAGGGGCUCCUCCUUGUUCCUCCUCGGGAUUCUCCUCAAGCAUCCCAUGUGCCACUAGGGAUUGAUAAAAAUGGACUCCUUGCUGAGCGUCGUCCAUGGUGACUGCAUGAGGGCGUAUGAAUAAGUCAUGUUUUGAUUAUUCCUAUAGUAUAUUUUACUUAUUUAGGUUUGGUUUCCCUAGAGUUGUUGGAGAGUGAGGUAGGCUUUUGGAUUCAUUUCCCGCUAUGAUUACUCCCAAACACAAUUUGGUCAUAUUCUGAAUAAAUAUAGUUGAUCAGGCUAUAUUUAUCCCUAAUAGGACUACAUAACUGCCCAUGUUUAAUUAUAAUGUUCAAUAUCCUCCAAAAGCUUUUAUUAAAUAUUGUUAGGUUAUUAUCCUAAUAUGCGCAUAUAAGUAUGAAAUUUUUGUUUUGUUCACAGUUAUUUAGUCCCAUUGUGUUUAUAGUUGCAUAUCAUGUAUGGUUAGAUAUGCUAGUUCACUAUAAACAUUGCUUUGAUACCAACCUGUCACACCCCCGACCCAGACGGUGGAAACGUCUAGGGGCUCCUGUGACUAACAAUUGAAUUAUCAUCACAAUGGAUAUACAUGAAACAUAACACAUUCAUCACUAACAUUACAUAUUACAACCAGCAUUGUUCACAUCAAGUACAUUGUUAAAGAUUACAUAAAUUCAAAGUAUUAAUAGUAAGAUAGGUGAUGUGACACAAAAUAAAUCCAUACACACUUGAAAAUCUUCCUGCUUAACAAUUACCUGAGAAUACAAGUUAUUUUGAAAAAUGGUCAACAUAUAUAAUGUUGGUGAGUUCAUAAGUAUGUUUGAAUAAAAGUCUUUGCAUCUUUUGUAAAAACCCAGAAAAUCCGAUAUUUUCUGUAAAAUGUCUGAAAAUGAUGUGAAAAUCAAGUAUAAAUUCAUGUGUGAAUUUCAUAGCAGUAACAUAUAUGAUUUCAGUUUAAAUUUCUUUGUAUUGUAAGUAAGUGAUAAUUGAAUAAUAGUCUUUACCCAGAAAAUCCGAUAUUUCCUGAUUUAUAAUAAUGUCAAGGUUCUUGUAUCAUUAAUUAAGUUGUUUCGUAUUGACAAAAUCGAAGGGUUAAUCUUCGAAAUGUUAAAUUGGUAUUGGAUCUCUAUAUGAGUUGUUAUAACCAUGCAUGAUAAUGACUAGGUUGGCUGUCUUGGCAUUUUCCAAACGCCUGUAUUUGCUCAAGGUUUUGUCACCCUAGACUGGCCUAGUCUAGUUGUAGCCAACAACUAAGGCGUGGGGGGUCACCCCAUAUAGAUCUAUACACAAACUCCCGCUCUCCCUCCAGGAAACUCUGGUUAUAACUACAGACUACGAUUGUACACUCAGAGGUGUCAACCGACAUGUCUCACUAGAUUCUCAACUUUUCAUACCAUGUUUAAUGUUUACGUGAAUGUUGUAUGUUUUCAAAUCCAAAGGUAUAUAUAUAAGUAUACGAACUUUAGGGCUGGCAAUUGUUGACACGAUACGCGACACGACAUGAAAUAAAUGGGUUUGGGUUGAGUUUUUCAACCCGCCAACCCGCUAACCCGUCAACCCACCAACCCGUUUAUUAAACGGGUCAUAUAUGGGUUUCUCAAAAAAUAAACGGGUUGACCCGCCAANUGUAAGUGGACCACCAAGGCCCAACAAACAUGUAACCUAUAGCUCAGGCCCAAAUUAACAUGUAAAUGGGUCGCAAGGCCCAAUAAACAGGUCAUGGAAAAUAUUGGGCUCAAUAUAUACUUGAAUGGGCCCUUAAGGCCCAUUGGCCAUGUAAUGUGAAUAUUAGGUCCAAUAAAAUUGCUAUCAAUGUAUUUCGUCAAUUCGUUAUUAUUUUGUGGUUUGCUUUAGCUCGAUGUUUACCGAAUUAAAUAUAAAAGUCCUCUUUUUGUAUAAACGACGUUCUUGGCCAAGAAGCCUAAAAUUUUGAAUUAAGGCCCAAAGUUUUGUAAAAAUUAACACUUUAGUCCAUAAUUUAUAAAAAUUUGUAAUUUCGCCCCAAAUGUUUAGAAAUUUACGGAUCUAGUCCAAAAAAUUAUAUUUUGAUAUUUAUGGCCCAGUUUCGUAGAAUAUUACACUUUCAGACUCUUGUUUGUAAAAAUGACACUUUUGACCCAAUUUUUAUAAAAGUUACAUUUUUGGUCCAAUUUAGAAAUAUAUGUUAUUUUUUCCCCUAAAUAUGGUUUAUUUACAUUUAUGACUCAAACUUUGGUCAAAUAACAUUUUUAAUCCCAAAACUUCCAUUUUUUUGCAAAUUUGGGCCCAAAACCGUGAGGCCCAAAUAUUCAGCCCAUUAAGCUAAAACUUACGUUUUUGGCCCUUUGGAAAGCAUGUUUAUCAUAAAAAUCCCUUUAUAUACAAGUAGAACCUGUUUGGUCCUUUAAAAACCACUUUUUGCCCUUAUCUUUUGUUUUCUUGACAAUUUUGACUCUUAACAACGUUUUUGCUUUAAAUUUUUGUAUCUUAAACAUAUAAACACUUUUAACUUGAUAAUAUGAUGUAUAAGGUGUCUUAGUUCAUGGGUUUUUUACUUAAUGUUGCUUAAGAUGUCGAGACAUGCUAAGAUCUAACAUAUUUUUUACAAAAUAGACUAAGAAAUCACACACGACAUGCAUAUAACACAUAGAUCUACACAUUUUACUUGUAUUCUCCCCCAAAACUAAUAUGAAAACCAAAAACAAGGGGGUAAGAACUCACCUUUGCUUCGAUGUUUCGGUUUUGAAGAAGAAAUGGAAGAAGUUGAUGUGAUUUUUUGCUCUAGCAAGCUCCUUGAGUAGAUUUCGAGCUUAAGAAGUUUCCAAGAGUCUGACCAUGGAAUAAAGCUAUGUAACAAGGAAUUUUUUGAUGUUAAAAUAAAAGGAGAUGUUUGUGUUUGAUAACAACUUACCAAAGAUUGAAAAUGCUUGAUGAAGAUCCUUAAAACUCAAGCAAAAUUUUGAGAUCCUUGGAGAAAGGAGGAUGAUCUUUGAGAGUGUUUGGAGAGGAUUUGAAAGAGUGUGUGUGUGUGUGUGUGUGUGGUUUGCCUCUCGGCCGUGAGUAGAAGAAGAAGGGGGAAAGAGAAGAUGUGAUGGAUACUUAGGAGUAUAAGCUUUGUAUUUGCUUAAUGGGUAAUUAGCUUGGAGAACCACCAUGUAAUUAUCAUGUGUCAAUGCAUGGUAAUUCUCUUAUUUUCCUUUUUUUACAUGUAUAUGAAUGUACAUAUCUAAUGGGCCGAGAAAAAGAAAGAAUGGAGGGGCUUUGGCCUCUUUUUGAUUUGGUUCGAGUUUAUGAGGCCCAUAGAAAGAGGCUUUCGGCCCAUUGGGCCUUUAGGUGUGUUCACGGCCCAUUUCGAAAGAAGAAAGGGUGUUUAUGGCCCAUUACGGCUAAUUAAUUCAUUAAUGGCCUAAUAAGGCCCAUUAAGGAUAAACCAAUUUAUUUUGGACCCAAAAUGGCCCAAAAUGCUAAGUUUCACGGAAGUGGGUCCAAUUAGUGCCCAUUUAAGGGUCCUAAGCCCAAAAUAGUUAAAUUGGAACCUCAUUGGUCCAUUAGGCCCAAUAAGGAAAUCCUAGUCCAAUAUGGACUUAAAUCGGGAUUCUUAGGGUUUUCAAACUCUUUGUUGAACAUGAGAGGUGAAUUUAAAUGAGCAUUGCGUGAUAUUUACUUAAAGUAUAUGUUUUACACUAGUUGAAUGAUUACACGAGAAUAGAGUUUUCUAGCAAAAAUGCUAGUUGUGACAUUAAUGAAAUCGUGAUUAUUUAUAGUAGGAGCAACAUUCCUCAUAGCAACCACACUUGAUUUACCAACUUCACCUAAAGUCAUCUGCAUAGGCAAGGUGCUUAAGUUUACAAACAAGGUAAAAUCAGUUGAUCGAGUUUUGUUCACGACAUCUAUCUCAUUAACAACACUGAUACUUGGAUGAUCCUAAAGUUUUGAUGAUGAACCUCUUCCACAAAUAUCCGUUUAUUGUUUUGAGUAUGAUCUUUGAGAUAAAACACUUGUUUAGCUUGUGUGGAUAAGAUGUAUUAUUGAUCAUCAUACCUUCUUUUAUUGACAUACCAUCCAUGACUGGUAUCUAUAACGACCAUAUUAUUUAUAGUCUUUAAACAUCCAUUACGUAAUGACACAUUGAACCAUUUACCACGACAGAGUAAAAUUGAGUUACCAUAUAAAUAAUGCGAAUCUAGGAUCUCCUCUAAUUGUCCAUAGAAUGGUCUACCAUCUUCUUGUUGGAUUAGUGUCUAAUUCCAUAACUAUAUUUGGUAUGUACUUGACCCAAUUGGCAUGGUCCAUUUGGGUUGCAUGACAUCAUGCAUUUGGAUAGACUAAAAUGAGAGAAUAACACUUAAGGUUUAUUAAUAUAUUAUAAGUUCUAAUAUAUUAAUAAGAUUAUUUAAUUAGUAUUGAUCAAGAAUUAAUUUGGAACUAAUUAAGUGAUCAAAUGGAGACUAAUUAAAUAUAUGGGUUGAUUGUGUAAAUCAUCCAUACUUGUAUAGUGGGCUAAUGCCCCAUGGAUUAUCAAGUUGGGCUAAAACCCAUAGGAUGCUCCAUGGUGUGUUUGUACCCAUGGAUCAUGGAAAUGAAAAGCCAUGAAAAUUAGGGUUUACAUGGUGUAACCCUAAUUGUGACACACUAUAUAAGUAUCUUAUUCUUCCCAAAAAAAGAGCUAUAAAGGAAUGGUGAGGGCUAGCCGAUUUCAUGAAGUGUCUAAUUUCUCUCAAGUUAUUCUAAGUGUAUUUGGUGUUGUGUGAACCAUCUGAGGUGUCACACUUGGGGAACUAGGCUCUUAAGCUCCGUGGAAUCAAGCUACACCAAAAGGAAUGUCUUCUAACUUGUAUUAUUCCUCAUGAAUCAAUAUUUUGUAUGCUAGUUAGGAUAAUACCUUGGAAUAUUAAUAUUUGCAUGUAUAAUAGAGAAAACAUAGAUCCAAGAUAUUUAGGGUUGCAUGUACACAUAGGAGUGUUAGAAUGCUCAAAACCAUUCACUUCUCCAAAUUUAACAACACCACUAUUUUUAGUAGUGUGUCAGAGAUCACGAAUACUCACAACAAAACGAACACCGACAAUAUGUAUUAUGUUGGUCAUAGACAAUUCUUGAAUAUGAACCAUAGAUGGAGGGAGAGUCUAUUGUUUGAUGGUCCACCCGAUACAAGACCGUAUCCUAGACGAUUUAGUAAUUUAACUAUAUUAAAGUAAUGUAACGUCUGUGUUUCUGGGCUUGCCAUUUUUAGCAAUGUANNNNNNNNNNNNNNNNNNNNNNNNNNNNNNNNNNNNNNNNNNNNNNNNNNNNNNNNNNNNNNNNNNNNNNNNNNNNNNNNNNNNNNNNNNNNNNNNNNNNGACGAAGGUGGACCGGUAUGCGAAGGGACUCCCAUGGGAGUAUGACGUGCCAGUACGUCAGGCACAUACUUUAGAGGCAGCUAUCUGGGCUACCAAGUCUGUUGAGAACAUGAUAAAGGGGAGAACCACCAACAAGGUUGAGGUUGGUGAGAAGAGGAAGUUUGAGGGAACAUCUGGUUCCGGUAAGAAAAGCAAAUUUUCGAAAUCUGAUUCGAAAAGGUUUGGUGGGGGUAAAGGAGGGGAAGCGAAGUGGUGUGAAAAGUGUAAGAAAAAGCAUUUCGGGAAAUGUAGCGAGGAUGUAACUUGCUACAAGUGUGGAAAGGUUGGACAUUUUGCCAAUGAAUGUCCGAACAACAAAAGGAUGUGUUUUGGUUGUAAUGAAGAGGGGCAUAUUUUGAAAGACUGUCCGAAGAAGAAGGAGGCAGCUAAGCCCAACAUUCCACCAAAGCCGAAGGCGAGAGCCUUCCAGAUGACACUUGAGGCUGCGAAAGAUGAAGCUGAUGUCGCUUCAGGUACCUUUCUCGUAAACGAAUUACCUGCUCAUAUAUUGUUUGAUUCUGGAGCCAACUACUCCUUUAUUUCGCAUGAGUUUGGUAGAAAGCUAGCUUUGCCUAUUGAUAGACUAGAUGAUGCUUUAUUAGUCGAAGUAGCUAGUGGCAAGUUUGUACCUGUUAGUCAUCGUAUGAAAAGCAUCUUAAUUGAUCUGAAUGGGAAUAAGUUUCACGAGGAAUUAUUGCCUAUCGAACUAAAUGGUUUCGACAUCGUGUUGGGAAUGGAUUGGCUUAGCGCCAAUGAUGCCGAAAUUUUGUGCAAGAAGAAGAUAGUUAAAGUAAACCCGCCUGGGAAAGAUUCGUUUAUGGUGUAUGGGGACAAACGCAGAGUGAAUUCUGGAAUCAUUUCUCUAAUGAAAGCCAGAAAGUGUUUGACCAAGGGAUGUACAUCAUAUUUAGCAUUCGUGAUUGAUGCUAAGAAGGAAAAGAAGGUGAUGCAGAGUAUUCCAGUGGUGUGUGAUUAUCCGGAAGUAUUUCCCGAGGAUCUUCCUGGAUUACCACCUGAUAGACAAGUGGAGUUCAGAAUAGACUUGUUACCAGGAACCACGCCAAUAGCAAAAGCACCUUAUCGAUUAGCACCGACGGAGAUGAAGGAGCUGAUGAUGCAACUUCAGGAGUUAUUGGACAAAGGUUUCAUUAGACCUAGUUCAUCGCCCUGGGGAGCUCCGGUGUUAUUUGUAAAGAAGAAAGAUGGAAGUAUGAGAAUGUGCAUCGAUUACAGAGAGCUGAACAAGGCAACAAUAAAGAAUAGAUAUCCGUUGCCGAGGAUUGAUGACCUGUUUGAUCAAUUGCAAGGUUCGAGCUAUUUCUCGAAGAUCGAUCUUAGGUCAGGAUAUCAUCAGCUGAAAGUAAGAGAGCAAGAUAUCGAGAAGACUGCAUUCAGAACUAGAUAUGGACACUACGAGUUCUUGGUUAUGUCGUUUGGACUAACCAAUGCUCCAGCAGCGUUCAUGGAUUUGAUGAAUAGGGUUUGUAAUCCUUUCCUUGAUAAAUCCGUGAUAGUGUUCAUAGACGACAUUCUGAUCUACUCGAAAAGCCAGGAGGAGCAUGGCAGACACUUGCGAGAAGUGUUAGAAGUUUUGAAGAAGGAGAAGCUUUAUGCGAAGUUCUCCAAAUGUGAUUUUUGGAUUCGUGAGGUCCAAUUCUUGGGUCACGUGGUCAACCAAGAAGGGAUAAUGGUUGAUCCAGCGAAGAUCGAAGCUGUGACGAAGUGGGAACAACCGAAAAGUCCCACGGAGAUUCGAAGCUUUUUAGGAUUAGCCGGAUAUUACCGAAGGUUUAUCCAAGGCUUUUCUUCGAUUGCUACUCCAUUAACAGCUUUGACCCACAAAGGAGCUACUUAUGCUUGGAGUGAGAAGCAUAAAGAAGCAUUCGAGAAGUUAAAGAAGAAGCUAUGCGAGGCACCGAUACUUUCUCUACCCGAUGGAGUUGAAGACUUCGCUGUUUAUAGCGAUGCGUCUGGUGUUGGAUUGGGUUGUGUUUUGACCCAAAGAGAAAAGGUGAUAGCAUAUGCGUCUCGACAGCUGAAAGAGCAUGAAAAGAAUUACCCGACUCAUGAUUUGGAGUUGGCAGCGGUAGUUUUCGCUCUGAAAAUAUGGAGGCAUUACCUCUAUGGCACGAAGUGCAAACUUUUCACUGAUCAUAAGAGUCUCCAAUACCUCUUUAAUCAGAAAGAAUUGAAUAUGAGGCAACGACGCUGGCUAGAAUUACUUAAAGACUACGACUGCGAGAUACUUUACCACCCCGGUAAAGCUAAUGUUGUUGCUGAUGCUCUCAGUCGGAAAGUCAAUCUUGAAAGGAAGAGGCCAAGAGCGUUGAGAAUUGAAGUUGUCUCGACUAUUGUGGAAAGUAUAAAGAAAGCUCAAGAGGAAGCUUCUGAGAAAAAUGACCGAAAGGAGGAACGUUUGGGUAAAACGUUGGUGUUUGGUACUAACGGUCAUGGACUGAAGGUAUUCCAAGAUCGUAUUUGGGUACCUAAGUCAGGAGGAAUUAGGGAUCUUCUGAUGGAAGAAGCUCACAAAACCAUGUACUCAAUUCAUCCGGGUAGCACUAAAAUGUAUAGGGACCUGAAACCCUACUACUGGUGGCCGACGAUGAAGCUUGAUGUUGCAAAGUAUGUGGCCGAGUGUGUGACUUGUGCGAGAGUCAAGACACAACAUCAGAAACCUUACGGGAGUUUAGAACCAUUGCCUGUGCCUAUGGGUAAGUGGGAAGACAUUGCUAUGGAUUUUGUCACUAAACUGCCCAGAACAAAGAAUGGUCACGACAUGAUUUGGGUGGUCGUUGAUCGAUUCACUAAGAGUGCGCAUUUCAUAGCGGCCAGGGAGAAAUGGUCUAUGGAAAAGCUUGCGAAUUCUUACGUGAAGGAAAUUGUGAGGCUUCACGGUGUUCCGUUAACGAUUGUAUCGGAUCGUGAUAGCCGUUUCACCUCAAGGUUUUGGAAAAGUCUACAAGAGGAAAUGGGUACCAAGUUAUGUUUAAGCACAGCUUACCAUCCGCAGACUGAUGGUCAGAGUGAAAGAACAAUACAAACACUUGAAGAUAUGCUGAGAGCAUGUACCUUGGAAUUCCUAGGUAAUUGGGAUGAACAUUUACCGUUGGUAGAAUUUUCCUAUAAUAAUAGUUUUCACUCGAGCAUUAAGAUGGCACCUUAUCAAGCUUUGUAUGGACAGAAGUGUCGUACGCCGUCUUGUUGGCUUGAGGCUGGGGAAAAGCAGUUUAUGGGACCGGAGAUGGUUCAUCAAACUGCUGAAAAGUUGAAAAUAAUUAGGGAAAGAAUGUUAGCAGCUCAAGAUCGUCAAAAGAGCUAUGCUGACAAGAAGCGAAGACCGAUGACUUUUGAGGUUGGAGAUUCGGUUUUGCUUAAAGUCUCGCCGUGGAAGGGACUUAUAAGAUUUGGUAAAAGGGGAAAGUUGAGUCCAAGGUUUAUUGGACCGUUUAAAGUCCUUCAGAGGAUUGGGAAUCAAGCUUACAAGCUCGAAUUACCCGAAGAACUGAAUGGAAUUCACAACACCUUUCAUGUGUGUUAUUUGAGGAAGUUCACGGGAGAAGUUCCCGAUAUAAUUCCAAUUUCUGAAUUGAGAAUUGAUGAGAACAAAAGGUUGAUUGAAGAACCAGAGGCAAUUGUUGACCGAAAGACUAAGAAGUUGCGACGCAAAAUGGUUGGGUUAGUGCUUGUCCGAUGGAAACACACGAAUGGGCCGAAUCUCACCUGGGAGACGGAGAGUGACAUGUUGAGUCGCUAUCCGCAUUUGUUUGUUGAUGUGUGAUUCCGGGGACGGAAUCAUUCUAAGGUGGAGAGAAUUGUAACGCCUGUGUUUCCGGGCUUGCCAUUUUUAGCAAUGUAAUAGUCUAGGUUAACCUUUGUAACCCGUUUUGAAAUAAUAAGAUUGUAUUAUUUGAGUAUUAUGUGUUUUGUGCUUAAUUGCUUAAUUAUGUGGUUUGAUUAAUUAAGAAUAAAAAUAAGCGUCAAAAUUUAAGUGUAAAAUAAACUUAAUAUCUUUGGUUAAUGUUGUAGUAGUUGAAACGAGGUUUCCGAAUAUAUAUAGAACGCCCAAAUCUGACUUCGUAUGAGGAAGUUAUGAUUUAUCGAAGUUCCGGCUUAGCGAUAUACAGCCUGUUUUACUCGAUUUGAGAUCGAGCGGUUGUUAGCCGAAGCAAUCUAAAUGAGAAUCGAAGAUCUCAUUGUUGGUAUUGAAACGAUAAAAAGUUAGGCGAGAACGGACGUCAAACGAAGAAGUUAUGAAUUUAUAACGAAAGUUUCUGUCCCGGCCUAUUAAAAAUAAUUAAUAAAAAUAAAGUCAAAAUUAGCCGACGGAGUCUAAACGAAAGUCGUAGAGCGUGGUCUCACCUUCGCGUGGAUAUAAAGAACGUCGAAAACGGAGUUCGUAUGAAGAAGUUAUGAAUUUCCGAAGUUUAUUAAUCAUUUUGUAUUUAUUUUUAAUUCAAAAUUCGGAAGCAUUAUCCGAAGGAGUCACCGAUCUGAUCCGAGGUACGCCCCGCGUACUCGAGUACGCCCCGCGUACUCCGAGGGAUGUCGACACUCGCACUCGAGCACUUCGGAUACGUAAGCAAUGACGUUUUGGGCAGUACGCCCCGCGUAACGCAGUACGCCCCGCGUACUCCGAGGCUCCAGCCUCCUAUAAAUAGGAUGCGAGGGUUCCGGGUAUUUUUGCCAAUUCCCUCUCGUUUUCGUGUCGAAGCUCUGUGCAAAAACCCCCGAAGCUACCCCGAAGUCCCGGUAUCAUACUCUAGCCCCGAGGCAAGUCCCGAGAUCCUGAAGAUCCCGAAAAGUGCGGUUCCCGAGUCGAAGCUCUGCCCGCGAGAAGUUCGAUUUUCGAGAAGAUCUUCCAGAUCUGCUGUGGAUUACUACUUCUAUAAGCCGUAGUGCUGUCCGAUCAUCUUCUGAUCAAGUGAGUGUGUAGUUAUUUCUUCUAAUACAAUAAUACGAAGUAUUUUAUAUAAAAAUACGUGCUAUGUGUAUAUAUUUUGUUGUUAUAUAUGUGAAUGUAUACCCACUCUCUUCUAUCUUAUAGAUCUGAUUAUUUCUCAAUGAAAUACGUGUUAUGUGUGUGUGCCUCAUCUGUUAUGUGAAAAAUGUUUUGAUUGAGCAUGCUAUACAGGUUUUGAAACUACGUAUAAAAAUGUAUAUUUUAUCUACUAAUAUGUUGGGUAGAAUAUGGGUAGAUAGUUGGUGUGUAAUAAACAGAUGAGAGGCCUCGAUGUUGUUUUGAUCCAGUCAUCUAGCGGAAUUUAGAUGACGACCACGGACUUUUCUAGACAGUCCAGUGGAACGCUAGCAGGCUCAUAACCUGUAGGUGUUAAUGAACUUGGGUGUUCAUUCGCUGUAUUCCAUCCCCCCCAUGGUUGCCUUAUUUGACUUAUAUUGCUGAGGAACCCCCGAAGCAUGUGUAGUCGCCCCGAUGAAAUAUUCUUUGACUAGGUCCCUUGUGUUAGUUAUUUUAGGGACAUAAAGUGAGAAUAACGGGAAUGGGUAACUGGGUUAUUGUUGGAUGAUAAUAAUUAAUUAAAUUAUUUAUUGUGGGUUGAAAACCCUAUAUGCUCACCAGGCUCCCAAGCCUGACCCACUCAGUUGAUUUAUUUUACAGGAAGUGGCGCAAGAGCUUAAGAUGGGCGAACAUCAAGUUGUUUUGUUUACAAGUCUGUAUAUGUAUAUAUUUGUUGAAAGACUUGUAAUGCUAUCGUUUAUGCUUUAUGAUCUGUAUCGGAACAUGACAUCCCGACUUUUGAUUAUGAAAUGAAAUCAUAUUUCUUUAUGAAAUGUUUUGAUAAAUAUCUAUUUUAUCAUGUUUUGUUUUUGGGAACAAAUUCCGCAUCUCUUUUAAAAAUUAAAAGGAUUUACUCUGAAAAUUAUUUUAAAAAGCAUAAAUGAAAUCGGUCUUUUCUGGCCGAGAUUUUGGGGAUGUCACAAGUAAGUAGCUCGUCUCUCUGAUAAUAUGUAUUAUGUUGGUCAUAGAUGAUUCUUGAAUAUGAACCAUAGCUAGAGGGAUAGCCUAUUGUUUGAUAGUCCACCUAACACAAGACCGCGUCUUAGACAAUUCAGUAAUGUAACUAUAUUAAAGUAAGUAGCUCGUCUCUCUGAUAAUAUUCCAGGGGAAUAUCCUAAUCAUGGGGCUAAAAAAGAAAGCAUGAACAUGAAAGCAAAAAGGCAGAGUUGAAUCGGAUGAAACAAAGUAUCUUAUUUGAGCUUGAGUAUUGGUCUUCCCUCCACCUAAAACAUAAUUUUGAUGUUCUACAUGUUUUGAAAAAUAUGAAUGAGAGUGUGUAUAAUACUACACUGAUGAACGAUAAAAGAAAAUACAUAAAAGAAGUAAGAAUUGACUUGAAAAAUACGGUCAUUCGACCAGAUCAAUGGCCAAAAGAGAAAGUCAAGAAGAAGAAGACAGUACACCAUUCUAUGGUCCCUUGGUUGAUGCAUCUCUCAUUUGGACUCCUUCAACCCAUAACAUUUUCAACUCAGCCACCAAAGGCCUCAAGUAAACAUCAAUGUCCUUUGUAGGUGAUCUAGGGCCAGGAAUCAACAAAGUUAGCAUGAAAGAAGAGUCCUUCAUACAUAUCCAUGGUGGUGUAUUGUAGUUAGUAAAUAUAACCAUCCAAAUAAUAUAAGUAUUAUUAAAGUUGUUGAACGGAUUAAAGCCAUCAGCAGCUGAACCUAGACGAAUAUUUCUAUAUUCUUUAGCAAACUCUCGAUAUCUCUUAUCAAAUUAUUUCCAUGACUUCUCGUCAACCGGAUGACGCAUCUUACCAUCCAUUGAGCAUCCAGUAUUAUGACAACUAAUAUAUUUACCAGUGAAUCUGGAACUAUACAUUCGUCGAAGCCUUGAGUCAAAGGAAACUACCACAAUGCUUUUUGUGGUACUCUCUUCCCAUUUUGUUGUUGUGUCCACCCAUUUGCUUGCAUUACAAAUUCGGGCAAUUUUACAUGGAAUCAUUCUCCUUCCAAAACGAAGCACAAUCAUAUUUACAAGUAUGGAUGGAUUGAUAUCAAACCCUAUCUUUCUCAACUUAUUCUUAGCUUCAUAGUGUGAAGUUGCUCUUCGGGAAUGAAACUCUUAGUAACUCUACAAGUUGGUUAAAAAAAAUAUUUGUCCAUUUAUUUAUCACUUUAGUAUGCAACAACUUUGCCAGAAAGUUUAUGUAACGUCCCAAAAAUUAAGACUAAAAGUUUUUAAUUUUAAAUUAAUUAAAACCAUUAUCCAAACAACAUCUUAGAAAUCAUAGUGCAUCAAAGUGUAUCAAUAACAUCCAUGUACAUCAGCAAGAUAUAAAAAUGCAGAACGACGUGGUGGGUGCAUUGCAAUCAUCCCGUGUAACGCCCGUAAACUCGGGCUAGUCAAUUUAGAGACAAUGUGCGUCAAAAAUGACUUUUUGAUGGGAGAUUGUUUACAAGAAACAAUCUUAACCAAGUUAUAUUAUAUGUCACAAAGGUUCCUUAUAUAUAAAGAACGCCAAAAUCCGAGUUAUAACGAAGAAGUUACGACCUUUCGAAGUUCUACGACAAAACCAACACGGCACCGUGUAACGUAAAAAGUGAAAUCUUGAUAAAUUACUUUUUAGCCUUAGGGAUCUAAAUGAAAGUUGUUUUAUACAUUAAAUUGAGAGCAUGCAUAAAAAGAACGUCAAAAUCUGACUUUGUAUGAGGAAGUGAUGAUUUUUCUAAGAUUUCGCACAGAGUAUACAACCUGGAAUUCGAAUGUCAGAUCGAGUGAUUUUUAGCCAACACAACCUAAAUUAUAAUUGAAUAUCUCAUUAAUAGGAGUUCAACGAUAAAAAGACAGUUAAAAACGGAGUCUGUAUGCAGAAGUUAUGAAUUUUACACGGUCGUUAACAAAAUAAUAUUUUCAUACUGUUAUAUUUAAAAUUGGUUGAGAAUUAGCCGAUUCAAUCUAAAGGAAAGUUGUAGAUCUUGUCAAUACCUAUGUGUGGAUAUAAAGAACGUAAAAAACGGAGCUCGUAUGCGAAAGUUAUGAAUUUUUUAAAAUUUGUUGUUUUACCUGCGUCCAGCGCCACGUGUCAGCACCAGGCGAAGCCUUAGUGCCUACACAAGGCCACGACGUGGAUUAUAAGUCUAUGAUGUUGAUUUCCCCAGAUAACCUAUAAAUAGAGGUGGAAAUAAUCCAUUUCCUUCACACCUUCACCCUUCUUUCUGUCUCAACACUCCCAAUCUCUCCCUCCUAAUCCCUAGCAACUUCUAAGUGCUAGAGGCGAGUCCCGGAGCGCCAAAAGGGUCCGAGAAGAAGAGUUUUCGUCUCAAAAUUUCCGCCCCCUCAGAGCCCGGUUCCUAGCCAAACCCCCAGGAAGUGAGUUAUGCUUACACUACUUUAAGUAUACUUAUGUUUAAGUUUAUUAUCGUUAUUAUGAACUUAUAAACAAGAUUUAUCAGUGAUUCCAAGUCGUUAUACUAAUUGAUCUACUUACGGGGAUGAUAUAUAGGUUGUGAUUUAGUGAGGUGUUUAAAGUGGGAUUUCAAAACAGUAUACUUCGUAUACGAAACGGAACUUACCUCCGAUAUGAUCCUACAUGGUUGUUCCUUACUUGAUAGAUCAUGAAAGUAGACUUUGAGUUAAUGAUGAAUCUAGACUAAUAAUUAGUCGUGCGUAAAGAUUAGACUAAAACUUAGCGAUAAUAAUGCUAGGUUUCAUCGAAGGAAAAUAGAAUCAUGAGAAGCAAAGUGCUUCCCGAGUUUGGAAUUAUCACUUUGAUAAGUGAGUGCAUAGUUACUUUCAUCUUACACAUAGAUAUGAAGUAUAUUAUAUAAAUUACAUGCUAUGUGUUCAUAUUAUAUGUUUACUUUAUAUCUAUGCUAGAUGAAUGAUCCUAUACAUGUUUUGAAUGAUUUAAACUGUAUAUAUAUUUUUUGUAUCUAUAAAAUCUAUUGGGUAAAACAUGGGUAGAUGAAUGAUAAGGGAUGAAAGUUGAUAUAGAGGAACAUUGGCAGUUAUAGACAUAGUGUCCUAUAGGUGAACAUUGACAACAAUGGACUUAGUGCCCUAUAGAUGAGCAUUGGCAGCCGUGCCACCACCUGUAGAUGUUUUGAUCUACGAUGUACUCUAAACAUCAUAGCAGCUGCGCUCAAAGGGUAGUAUCGGCAGCUGCGUGUAACGCAUGUGUUUCUAGGCUUGUCAUUAAUAUUGAUGUAAUAGUGUAGGUUAACCAUUGUAACCUGUUUCGAAAUAAUAGAAGUGUAUUAUUUGAGUAUUAUGUGUUUUGUACUUAAUUGUGUGUCUUAAUUAAAUUAAGUAUGAAAAUAAGCAUCAAAAUUAAAUGUUACAUAAAGCUGAUAUCUAUGGAUAAUUUUGUAGUAGUUGAAACGAGGUUUCUGAAUAUAUAUAGAAUGCUGAAAUCCGAGUUAUAACGAAGAAGUUAUGAUCUGUCGAAGUUUCGCGACAUAAAUCGGCACGACGAUGAAUGACGUAAAAAGUGAAUUUAUGUUAGAUUUAUCUUUAGUCCUAGUGAUCUAAACGAAAGUUGUAGAGUUCGUUAAACCGAUAGCGUGCAUAAAAAGAUCGACCAAAUCUGACUUCGUAUGAGUAAGUUAUGAUUUUCCGAAGUUUCGACUUAGCAGUGUGCAGCCCGAAUACUCGAUUUGAGAUCGAGCGGUUUUUAGUCGAAACAAUCUAAACGAGAAUCGAAGAUCUCGUCAAUGGUAGAGCAACGGUAAAAAGAUAAAUGAAAACGGACGUCAGAUGAAGAAGUUAUGAAUUUAUAACAGAGUUUUCCUAUCCCGGCCUACUAAAAAUAAAUAAUAAUAAAAUAAAUUCAAAAUCAGCCGACAGAGUCUAAACGAAAGUUGUAGAGUGUAGUCUCACCUACGCAUGGAUAUAAAGAACGUCGAAAACGGAAUUCAUAUGAAGAAGAUAUGAAUUUCUGAAGGAUUUAUAUGAUUAAUAUUUAUUAAUUAAUCUUUAAUUCGAAUGUAUAUCCGAAGGAGUCACCGACCUGAUCCACACUAUGCCCAGCGUACACCGAAGCGUGACCCACCUCGCACUCGAGUGCUCCGAUGACACAUGCAGUGACGAAUCCGAAGCGUACGCCCCGCGUACUGAGCAUUACGCCUAGCGUAAUGCGAGGCUUCAGCCACUAUAAAAGGGCAUGCGAGGGCAGCCAAUCCUUUUGCUCAAUUUCUUUUCUCUCUCUCUUGUUUUCCAUCGUUUUGCGUUCAACUUAUACCCCGAAUCCCCAGUAUCAUUCCCGAGCCCCGAAGCAAGUCCCGAAGCCCCGAAGAUCCCGAGGAGUAGAGUUCCCGAGCCGAAGCUCUACCCGCGAGAAGCCAAUUUUUGUGAAGAUCUUCCAGAUCUAUCAAAGAAUACUACUUCUACAAGUCGUAGUGCUAUCUGUUCAUCUUCUAAUCAAGUGAGUGUGUUGUUACUUUCUUCUAACGCAUAAUUACGAAGUAUUUUAUAUGAAAUACGUGUUAUGUCUAUAUUUUGUGUUGGAUAAGGUGUCUAAGUCCAUAACUAUUUCUGGUAUGUACUUGACCCGACCCGGCAUGGUCCAUUUGGGUUGCAUGGCAUCAUCCAUUUGGAUAGACUAUAUGAGAGAAUUAACACUUGUGGUUUAUUAAUAUAUUAUAAGUUCAAAUAUAUUAAUAGUAUUAUUUAAUUAGUAUUGAUCAAGAAUUAAUCUAGAAUUAAUUAAGUGAUCAAAUGGUGACUAAUUAAAUAUAUGAGUUGAUUAUGUAAAUCCUCCAUAACUUAUAUAGUGGACUAAAGGGCUCCAUUGAUAAUCAAGUUGGGUUUGUUGGAUUAUUGUCUAAGUCCAUAAACUAUUUUGGUAUGUACUUGACCCGAUGGUGUAUGGUCAUUUUGGGUUGCCUUCACCAAAGCAACUUGAUAGGAUGAAUUAUAAAGAGAAAGGAUUAAAUAUGAUUUAUUAAUAUAUUAUGAUAAUACUAUAUUAAAGGAGAAAUCAUAUUGUUUAAUUAAUAUUAGUCAAGAAUUAAUUGAUAAUUAAUUUUGUGACUAAAAGAGAUUAAUUAAACUUAAGGGACUAGAACUGUCAAUUGUAUGAUAGUUGAAUAUUGAGCUAAUGGACUCCAUAUUAAAGGAGUGGAUGAAUUCUAUGGGGAAACCCAUUAGAAAUCGUCCUAGGCCUUUAAGGAAGGAGCCCAUGGGUUACUUAGGGCUUAAGCAUCCAAAUUAGGGUUUCCUUGUUAGAUAACCCUAAUAGCCUCACUAUUUAAGGACCCUUUGGGCACCAAAAACGUAGGCAACUGAAUCCUAGGGGUUUCUACACGUUUUUGGGUGUUUCUUCUCUUCUCCUAUUCAUCCUCUUGCUCUUGGUGUUUGUGAACCAUUAGAGGAGUGACAUUUGUGACUCUAAGCUUUCUAAAGUCAUUACAAAGGAGGAUUUGAGAUUGUUAUUGCUACAUAACAAUCAAGGUAUGAUCUAAACCCUAAUUCAUAUCUUAUACUGAUUAUCAUAUACUAGAUCCAAGCAUUAGGGUUUGUAUGAGCACAUAGGAUGUUCUUAUAGCUAAAACCCAUCAGUGGUAUCAGAGCCUUGAUUGGUUUCUAUUGUAUUGAUGCCUUGUUAAUUUGUUCAUGCUUGAAAAAUUCGAUUUUGUGAGUCUGCCUAAUGAACUCGGCGAGUCCCAUUGUGGACUCGGCGAGUAGGCCCCUACUCGGCGGGUCCAUAGGGGUACUCGGCGAGUUCGAGCGUCAGAAAGAGGGGACUUCGAGAUUUCUUGCUGAUUUACUCAUGGAUACUUGCCUUAUCUGUUUUAGAUCAUUAAAAUCCGAUUUUAAACAUAUUUAUGAGUAUAUCCUUGAUUAAACAAAAGAUAAUUACCAAUUGAUUAGAUAAUAACUUCCUUAUAUGAUAAAGUUUGAUUAUUUGUAUUAAUUGGGUAACUUAUUUUGCAAGAAAUUGAAAUUAGGUCAAAUAUAGAUAAUGAUGAGAUUAAUUGUUUAAUUUAUAUUAUUUGUUAUUUGAUCCUUGUGUUAUGAAAAGUUUCAAUUUUCCCCUUUAGGUUUUAUAGUUUAAAUUUGAACUCAAAAGUUUNUAGGGUUUCAUGUACACCACAGGAACGAUGUUUCAUAAACUUGACGAGUUCCAUAGACUCGAUGAGUUAAGUGUCCUGGUGCCGGGAUUUUCGAUUUUCUGGCCAAAUUUUAAUGAGGAUAACUGUGAAAACUCGUUUUUCUUUCCUAAAUUCAAAUCUUUAAGAUCGGUAUGGAUAUCCUUAUCAGAUUUGGUGGAUUUAGUUAAAUAUGGAUGAUAUAGGAUUAUUUUGAUUCAAAUAUUUAACCUAGUAAGUUUGAAAAGUUUCAAAUUACACCCUUUAGGUUUUAUAGUUUAAAUUUGAACUUAAAAGUUUUAGUUUUGAAAUUUAAAUAGUUAAACCCUAAUAUUUUGAAAAGUUUUAAAAUUUGUCCUUAAAUUUUGGAAUUUAAAAUUUAAUUAAAAGGUAUUACUUUUGCAAUAUUAAUUUCUAAAACCCUAGUGUUUUGAAAAGUUCAUAUUACACCCUUAUGGUUUUAUUAAAUUAAUUAAGUGCUUAAUUAAGAGAGAGAAUUAAUAAAUCCAUAACAAUAUGGUUUAAGAUUAAUCAAAUUAAAAGUGUAAUUUAUUAAUAGAUUAAACCACCUAAUAUUUUUAAAGUGUAAAAUACACCAUUAUACUAUAUAUAAAAUUAAAAGUCUAAUAUAUUAUAUAUGUAUAAGUAAAGAGUCUGUCUUAUCGUUAGUAAGCCUUAUUCACGAAGUUGGUCUUUAAGGGGUGUUUAAGGAAGCGGCAUGUAAAAUGACCGUCAUUGGAUAUCCACUCUUACCCACCGCACCAUUAACUAGUGGAGGGUCAUUAGCCGAAUGGGUAGGAUAGGACAUAACCUUCCAUUAUAAGUAUAAUGAAAUACGAAGUAACUAAACGUUUAUAUAAAUUCUCAAAUCUUAGUUACUGUAGGAAAAAUGUGAAUUUGGUGCUAAUCCAUGAAAUUGCACAUUGCACCUUGUUGGUCGUUAGUGGAGCGUGUGUGGUUAACAGAACACUAAUAUGGGACCAAUGAAGGAUGGCAAUGGGUUUCUCGUAAUAUUAUCAUUGAUCAAUGGAGCGUGUGUGGUUAACCGGCACAUUGAUUGGGUGGUGAUCGACAUCGAGAGUAUCAAGCUAAUUUGCAUGGUUAUUCACACCUUGUUUGUGAUCCUCGGCGUCCCAGUCACAAACUUGAAAGGCAUAAUCGAGAUUAAACAUGCCAUUGAAAAGUUUAAUGAAUCUCAAAAGAUCUAGGGCUUUCAAUUCAUUAAUAACCUAAUUUUCAUUUUUGUUUUUCAUGGUGGAAAUUGGUAAAUCGUCAUUUACCUACCUUCAAAUAUUUUGCGACUGGAUUACGGCAUCCCUCUUCCGAAUUGUAGAAUAUUGUGUUGGAUCCUAGCCUUAAUAUUCCCUUUGGGUGUUAUAUUAAGGAUUGAAUCAACUAACUUGAACUUCUCCCAUUUUGUAGAUGUCUAAAUCUAACAACUAUGGUAUUCCACAAUCCUUUGGAAAAAGUCUUCCACAUGAAGAUGAUGUUCCACGAUUCGAUCGAGGAACAAGAGAUCAUGCUUCACUUCAUCCUCCUCCUCCCGUUGUUCUCCCUAACCCACAAGAUCGAAGAAUUGAAAGGUUCAAUGUCACUAAAGCCCUAUUGGAAAUGAAACAUGAAGAUAAUGUUGGGUGCGUCAUUCCCCGAUAAGUUGGCUGUGAACUGGGUUCUGCAGUCGCUCCCUGAAUCAUAUAAUGAGUUCAAGAGAAUGUAUUAUAUGAUGGAUCAUGACGAUAACCUCAUUGACCUAACUUACAUGCUCAUUGCUGCUGAAUCAGAAAUAAUUUGGCAAAGCAAUGGAGCGGUUUUGUUGGGAAAGUCAACCAACCAUGCUUUCGAGGACGUUCUAGGAGAACCGACCUGCGUUUGCUGCCAAGAGAAAGGGCGUUGGAUACAAGUUUGCCCUAAGAGCCUGAAGAAUCCAAAAGAUGGGAGAGUCAAAGAGUAUGGUUGUGCUUCAGGUAAAAAUCCACUAUCUAACUCCAUUAAGUUCUUAUUCGUUGAUUCUUAAUACAUGAUGUGAUAAGAUUGCAUUUGAAUGUUUUGCAGGAUCAGUGAAAAGAGAGGAAGCUUGAUGGAAAAGCAAGAUAAGUCUAAUCACAAAGAAAUGGAUCUCGAUCGCAUGGACUUGAAGAUUAGAUUUUGAGCUUAGAAAGUUAUGAUAGAGUUGUUAGGAAUAUUAGACUACAUAGUUUUUCAGUUAAUUUUGCAUUGUAAGGAAAAAUGUUUUCCGCUGCUUUUAUGAAUAAAAUAAAUUUUGAUUUGACUCAUUUAUUUAUUUAUUUCCUUGCAAUGAAAUCGUUAUGAAAAAUUGAUGUUUGCAUAUUUCUACAACGAAUGGAUGUGAUUCUUAAUUAUGUUAAUUAUGGAAAGGUCAAGAAUUUACCAAAUAGGAAAAGUUUCUCAUCGCCCAAGUUUCAAUUGGAUAGAGACUUGGGUCAUGCAACUUGGUUGCACGAUGAAUGAGAAAUUUCAUAUGUGGAAAUAAGACUAAUUCGUUGACAAAGUGUCAAGUGAAGAACUAGGAGAUCGAGUACACAAAGUUGUGUGUUGAUCAAGUCCACCGCAAGAGUAACGAAGAUAUUCGUCAUGAUUUACUAGAGGUUUAGUAAAAAUGAUUAUACUUAUAAGAUUAAGUGUAAUUCUGAAUUGAUUGAAAAAGGUUUAAAUCAAUAGCAUAACGAAUAAGAAGAAUCAAGUAGACAGAAAGAUAAAAGUCUCUCUAUUCUAAGAAGAAGGGAGAGUAUCUUUAUGCUUUAUGAUAUGUCUUAAUGAUUAAGAACCAUAUCUCAAUUGAUCCUCUAAGUAAGUCUUAGUACAAUUGUAUGUCUGAGAAGAGGAAUCAAGAAUUAAAGAAAUGGUUAAAAUCAAGAAGUCAAUCGUAUUUCGUUCCAAACAAGUCUUAGAGUUAAGAUUGUGACAUAGAGUGACAAGUAUUAGGAAGGUUUAUGACAAUCAUCAAAUGUAGAAUUUGGAAAAGGGUUUUCUUAUUCUUGCACAUUUGAAAUUCGUAAGUUGUGAUGUCUUGGAUUAGACAAAGACCAACGAGGACCAAUUUGUGAAGUGUUUUGUCUUGAUAAAAGCUACACUAACUCUUGAAUAUUUGGUUGUCGAGAAAUGUUUAUUGACAAGAGAAUCUUAUAUGUCAAGGAGUCAGUGGGAGUCUUAAUGGUCUUGAAAAGGUUUCAAUAACAAAUCAAAAUAAACCUUAUCAAUCAUCACUAGCACACGAGUUGAGGUUUACAACCUAUCGUGUUGACAUUAUCUUGUUUCUGUGCCGUUCCAAUCGAGUUAAUUAUGCAUGUGAGUUCUAUGAGUUCUCAUUUGAAUGCAUAAAAGGCAAGGACCUUGAUCAAUGGAAAGUACAUUGAUAGGAAAGGGUGAGCUGCUUAACUACUUGGAAGACAUGGUGGGCAGCCGUGUUACCAUAAGGCAAGAAAUCAAGAUUAAGAGUUCGGUCCAUAUAAGUUUGAAUUUGUCAUAAACUUUGGUUUUAACAAAUUCACAUGGAUAGGAACACAUACACUAUUAAAAUCUAAGUGUCAUAAGAUUCCCUCCUUCAUGGAAAUGACUGUGAGGUAAUGCUUUCACUAAAAGAGAUUUUAAGAAGAUAGUAAUUGUGAAAAUUGGAUUCUCGAAUUCGAUUAUGGUUACAGUAUCCCUUUCCAUGAUUCGAAUUGUAAGAUUUGGCAAUUAGUCUGAAUUGUUUAGACACACAUAUGAGCUAUCUAAGGGAAAGGUGUAUAAGCUUAGAUAAAGGAUUAUCAAAGCAUUAGUUAUUAGAAACAUGAACUUAAGAAAUUCAAUAGGUAUUGUUCUUCUGAAAGUUAAGUUGUUUCUAAAUACAUGUCAAAGCUAGUGGGAGCAUAAGUGUUAUGUUUAUAAUAAUCAUCAUGAUAGUGGGAGCAUAAAUGUUAUGAUUAUGUGAUUAUUAAGGCAAGUAUUGCAAGUUAGCAAUAUUAAUUAUAGAAAACAAGAGUUAUACUUUGCAAAGUCACAAUGGUUAAAAGGUUGUUUUGCUAUAAUUAAGGGAGAGAAUAUUAUGCUUCAUUUCAAAACUAAAGGCUUAGGUUGUGGAAUGUUAAUUAUUUUAGUCAAGGAUACAUAGUAUUCUUAAAUUUCGAUUAUGAUUACGACAUUUCUCUUCAUAGUUCGAAUUGUGAGAACAUAGCACAUAAAAUAUUAUGGCAGAAGACUGAUAAAGUAUCAAAUCUUUAUGCAUCGUGUCCCAUGCGCUUCGGGUAUAGGAUCGAUUGCAAAUGCUAUAAUAUUUGACCAUUCCAAAAUUUUCCAAAUGUCUAGCGCAUUUAGAGGGAAAAGGACAAGAAUAGGUUUUGACUAAGAUAAUUAAACAACUAUCAAAGGACAAUCCAAAGUUCGCCAAGGAUUGGUCACUUAUGAGUAGUUGGAAGUAUAGUAUUGAAUAGACCAUAUCGACAUUAUUAUGAAUAGAAAAGAUUCUAUUAAGAAUGAGUUGUCAUAUGGAAAAUAUGGAAACGUUUCCAUAUUGGGAGUCGGAUAUUGAGAAUCUAUGUCUAGAUUAGAAAUUUUAUGCAAAAGGAUGUUCAAAGGAAUGUCCUUUGAGUGAGAGACAUCACAUCUAAGGAAUUGUCUUGUAACAAUCUCCAAUAGACAGCUUUGUAAUUCAUUGGCAAUAGUCAUUGUGACUUUGGUGCAGUGACAUUAUGAAAGGAUGAUUGCAUAAAAUAUUAGAAUCUAACAUAUUCCAUAAGUGGCAAGAAUUUGAUAUUCUUUCACUUGUGAAAAGGAUUGGGAGUUAUGAAAUGAUUAUGAUUGGAAAUGUGUUCAUUUGAUCUAUUUCACAAAGUAAGAACCAUAGAUAAACACUGUGUGCAUGCUAAGAGCAUGGGACAAGUGUUGUAAUAAUUUAAGUAAGAAGUUUAUUACCCGAAACAAGAAAUAAUGAGUAAUCGAUAUGGUGAUAAUAAAAGGUGUUUUAUUUAUACUCAAGGUUUGAGGCCAUAUGGGACUAGUAUUAUUCUUGUGUUUCACUUUGCAUGUUUUGACUUCCUAAAUAAUUUAAAUUGGUUUAGAACAGUUAAAUUAUUCGAACGGGCCCUAGUCGUUCAUAUGUUGGAAGUAGGUAUGAAUGAAGACUGUCAUGAAUUGGUGUGUGGAUUGUCUAAAGAGCAUUAGACAUAAGCAAAUGUUUGCUGCAACGUUCAUGAGUGCUUAUAAAUAUGAUUUGAGCAUUGCAUUAAACCCACGCUCACUUGGAUCACUUCAUGGAUUUUAUCACGAGUGAUUGGUGAGACGAUAAUAUCUUAUAUUCUUGAAACCGAGAUGUGUGAGUUGUAUCUUGCGAGUUGGUUGCACAUUGAUAAUACGUAAACGCACCAGUAACUUGGUGUUAUAAAACAUAUUGUUGUGUGUGAUUCGGUGAGUAAGUGCAAUCGAACAUUGAGUCAAAGUUUAUCCGUUCCUUUUAUCAAAAGUAGGAUAAAAACGAUUUCUGUGGGCCCCUCGAUUAUUUAGUGAUGGCACCUAAGCGCUUGGCCAAGCCGGGACUAAAUUGAUGUGUUCAAUUGUAGUCUAUUGUUAGUCGUCAUAAAUCUGAAUUCGGGAAACAACACAUAGACAGAGAGAAUGUUUUAGAUCCAUGUCUCAGUCUAUACGAUAUCUAGAAUGGAGGAAUAUAUGAUCCCUUAUCUAAAGGAUACGCGAAUAUGAUAAGAUCAGAGUUGACAGCGGCUUUAGAAAGCUACGAUUGCAGAUCAGGAUCUGAAGUCAUACGCAUAAUAGUUAUUAGACUUAUCCAAGUGGGAGACUGUUGGAUUAGUGUCUAAGUCCAUAAACUAUUUUGGUAUGUACUUGACCCGAUGGUGUAUGGUCCUUUUGGGUUGUCUUCACCAAAGCAACUUGAUAGGAUGAAUUAUAGAGAGAAAGGAUUAAAUAUGAUUUAUUAAUAUAAUAUGAGAAUAAUAUAUUAAAGGAGAAAUCAUAUUGUUUCAUUAAUAUUAGUCAAGAAUUAAUUGAUAAUUAAUUUUAUGACUAAAAGAGAUUAAUUAAACUUAAGGGACUAGAACUGUCAAUUGUAUGAUAGGUGAAUAUUGAGCUAAUGGACUCCAUAUUAAAGGAGUAGACAAAUUCUAUGGGGAAACCCAUUAGAAAUCGUCCUAGGCCUUUAAGGAAGGAGCCCAUGGGUUGCUUAGGGCUUAAGCAUCCAAAUUAGGUUUUCCUUGUUAGAUAACCCUAAUAGCCUCACUAUUUAAGGACCCCUUGGGCACCAAAAACGUGGGCAACUGACUCCUAGGGGUUUCUACACAUUUUUGGGUGUUUCUUCUCUUCUCCUAUUCAUCCUCUUGCUCUUGGUGUUUGUGAACCAUUAGAGGAGUGACAUUUGUGACUCUAAGCUUUCUAAAGUCAUUAUAAAGGAGGAUUUGAGAUUGUUAUUGCUACAUAACAAUCAAGGUAUGAUGUAAACCCUAAUUCAUAUGUUAUAUUGAUUAUCAUAUACUAGAUAUAGGGUUUAUAGUCUUGGAUGAGUUGCAUGUACAAUAGAGAAACCUAGAUCCAAGCAUUAGGGUUUUUAUGAGCACAUAGGAUGUUUUUAUAGCUAAAACCCAUCAGGGUUAAACCCAUUGGAUGCUCCAUGGAGGCUCCAUGGGAGUUACAAACCCAUGGGUAAUGGAAAUGAAGAGUCAUGUCACAUUAGGGUUUACAUGGCGUAACCCUAGAUGUGACACACUAUAUAAAGAACAUCAUACUCCCUAAAAUCGGCUACACAUAGUGACAAGAGGGCUUGCCUGAUUUUUUGAGUGUUACACGUUCUCUCAAAGUUGUUCCAAAGCAUUUGGUGUUGUAUGAAGCAUUUGAGGAAUCACACUUAGGGUGCUAGGCUCUCAAGGUUUCAAGGAAUCAUAACAACAACAAGGUAUGUGUUUCUAGCUAUCUUUUAUAUUAUAAAGUUCCCCAUGUAUGCUAGAUAGGUUUAUGAACCUUGGAAAAAAGUAAUUUGCAUGUAUCUUAUACAAACAUAGAUCCAAGGUUCUCUAGGGUUGCAUGUACACUUAGGAGUGUUAGAAUUGCUCAAAACCCUUCGAUGGUAUCAGAGACUAGGCUUGCUUGUUUGAUAUUUGAUGCAAAAUAGUGAAAAAAGUCGAUUUUUUGUUGUCUGCCUGCUGAAAUCGCCAAGUCCAUGGGGGGACUUGCCGAGUUCAUGUGUAAAAUCAUCCUACUCGUCGAGUAGGUUCAUGCACUCGACGAGUAGGAGCCUCAGAAUGCAGUUUUUUGACUUUUGCUGCUGGAAAUGGACUAGAAACGUUACCCUAAACUGUUUGGGUGUUAUUAAACAUGUUUUAGAUGGUGUAAUGGUUGUUCUAAUCCAUUUAUAAUGACUAAUAUCAAAAUUCCAUGAUUUUAUGUUUUCUUGAAAAUUUGAUAUUCAUAUUCAUGUUCUUAUGAGUUUAGAUGAUCAUAGGAAUUAUGUGUAACUUCUUGAUAGUUUUAAUUCUUAAUCAUUAUGUGUUUUAAUGGAAUCCAUAAUUUGUCCUCAAGUUAUGAAUUACCAAAAGUUUUAUCUUUGAAUGUCCAUUGAAGAAACACAUAGGUUACAUAAAAUGAAGAUUUACUCAUUUUAAUGAACCAAUUAAUCUCAUAAGUUAUGGAUUGAAGAGUUUUGUUAAGUUACAAAACUUUCCCUCAAAUUUUGGAACUUGUAAAGUCACCUAAUUAACUUUAGUUCCAACCCCUAGAAUUUAAAAUGUUAAAAUUCAACACUUAUACUUUAUAAUAUUAUAAGUUUAAUAUAUAUAUAUAUAUAUAUAUAUAUNNNNNNNNNNNNNNNNNNNNNNNNNNNNNNNNNNNNNNNNNNNNNNNNNNNNNNNNNNNNNNNNNNNNNNNNNNNNNNNNNNNNNNNNNNNNNNNNNNNNNNNNNNNNNNNNNNNNNNNNNNNNNNNNNNNNNNNNNNNNNNNNNNNNNNNNNNNNNNNNNNNNNNNNNNNNNNNNNNNNNNNNNNNNNNNNNNNNNNNNNNNNNNNNNNNNNNNNNNNNNNNNNNNNNNNNNNNNNNNNNNNNNNNNNNNNNNNNNNNNNNNNNNNNNNNNNNNNNNNNNNNNNNNNNNNNNNNNNNNNNNNNNNNNNNNNNNNNNNNNNNNNNNNNNNNNNNNNNNNNNNNNNNNNNNNNNNNNNNNNNNNNNNNNNNNNNNNNNNNNNNNNNNNNNNNNNNNNNNNNNNNNNNNNNNNNNNNNNNNNNNNNNNNNNNNNNNNNNNNNNNNNNNNNNNNNNNNNNNNNNNNNNNNNNNNNNNNNNNNNNNNNNNNNNNNNNNNNNNNNNNNNNNNNNNNNNNNNNNNNNNNNNNNNNNNNNNNNNNNNNNNNNNNNNNNNNNNNNNNNNNNNNNNNNNNNNNNNNNNNNNNNNNNNNNNNNNNNNNNNNNNNNNNNNNNNNNNNNNNNNNNNNNNNNNNNNNNNNNNNNNNNNNNNNNNNNNNNNNNNNNNNNNNNNNNNNNNNNNNNNNNNNNNNNNNNNNNNNNNNNNNNNNNNNNNNNNNNNNNNNNNNNNNNNNNNNNNNNNNNNNNNNNNNNNNNNNNNNNNNNNNNNNNNNNNNNNNNNNNNNNNNNNNNNNNNNNNNNNNNNNNNNNNNNNNNNNNNNNNNNNNNNNNNNNNNNNNNNNNNNNNNNNNNNNNNNNNNNNNNNNNNNNNNNNNNNNNNNNNNNNNNNNNNNNNNNNNNNNNNNNNNNNNNNNNNNNNNNNNNNNNNNNNNNNNNNNNNNNNNNNNNNNNNNNNNNNNNNNNNNNNNNNNNNNNNNNNNNNNNNNNNNNNNNNNNNNNNNNNNNNNNNNNNNNNNNNNNNNNNNNNNNNNNNNNNNNNNNNNNCUCCUGGAAGAAUCGCGGGGCCACCCCGACUCAACUCGCCGAGUCUGAAGAACAACUCGACGAGUCCCAGUUAAUCUUCAAGCUACUCGCCGAGUCUGUUCAUCGGACUCGGCGAGUCCAUGCCAUGCAACCGCUCAAACUGCUUUCUAAGGUCAGAACUGCUCCGACCAUUCAUAGGUCUGGCCUUCCUAGACUGAUUCAUCACGUAAGGUCCUCAUUUCGGUGCUCAUAAUACACCCCAUGACUCAUAAUUUACAUUUUGACCUAAGGCAUAAGGAUUCCAAUCCAAAACCUCCAUUGAUUCCUGAAAUGCUCAGGCAUGGGACAUUCUGGACUUCCAAAGAUCUCAAUACAGGGUUCCAAUCGUUUGGGGGACUAAAGUAACACUCAAUCUAGCCACAAAAGGGUUCAAUAAAUCCUAAAUCCAUAUACACAUCAACAUAGAAGAAUGUAACUCGAAAUAUUACCUGAAUAACGUGCUCUCUGUGUCCCCAAUCCACAGAACGUGGCUCUUCCUGUUGUUCCCUUAACCAAGCCUCUUCUUCCUUGCAAAACCACACUUCCAAAAUCAACAAUGGUCUUCAACCUUGCUCCAGACGCUCACAAUCGAAUUAGGGUUUCUCUCAGAGGACUAGGGUGAACAAUGACGGCCAUAAAGUCCCUCAUAUACGUCCCAAACCUGAACGGUUAGGGUUUUCGCUAAAUAGCGCAGACUCGCCGAGUCCAUAUCCGGACUCGUCGAGUCCAGUCGCGAACCCGCAACCAGAUCCGCGAUCCUACUCGGCGAGUCUAGGCUCCAACUCGCCGAGUCCCCUCUUAAAACACCCAAAAUCAUAAAUAUAACAAUACCUGAAAUUCCAGGCUGUUACAGUAAUCGGGUUAUUGUUGGUUGGUAAAAGUAAAUACAAUUAUUUAUUGCGGGUUGAAAACACUAUAUGCUCACCAGGCUCCCAAGCCUGACCCACUCAGUUUAUUUGUAUUACAGGUAGUGGCGCGAGGGCAUAAGAUGGACGAAUCAUCAAGUUAUUUUGUUUAUUAGACCAGUUGUUAUAUGUAACUAUUGUAUGGUCUAUCUUUUGUUGUUUAUGCUUUUGUGUCUGUAUCGGAACAUGACAUCUCGAGUUUUGAUUUUAUAGUGAAAAUACAUUUCUUUAUGAAAUGCUUUGGUAAAUAUUAUUUUAUCAUACUUUGUUUUUGGGAACAAAUUUCGCAACUCUUUUAAAUCAAAAGGAUUUACUCUUAAAUUAUUUUAAAAAGCAUAAAUGAAACUGGUCUUUUAUGGCCGUGAUUUUGGGGAUGUCACAGUGGGUAUCAGAGCAUUAGUUUAAGCGAACUAGGAAUUUGUAAGAUUUCUAGACUUAAACUUAGAAUGCUAAGUGGAGAUUGUGAGAAGUGUGUCUGUUAUAUUAUGGACACGAGCACUAGUAUAUUUUAGGAAGUUGCCUAAAAUGCUCUUAGGUGCUAAAUGUUAUAUGUUGCCAUAUAUGAUAUUAUUUGUUUGGAUCUAUGGUCUGUUGCCGACCGGAUCAUGAAACCUUAUGUGUGUAGGAUUCUAAGCAUACGUCUACGACAUUAGAACUAGCAUGUAAACGUUUCGGAGUGAUAUGGAAGAUCGUAAUAUCUAUCAUGAAUAAAGAUCUAAAUUUCACCUUAUUCGGUGUAUUGAUCAAGAAUGGCAAGAACAAGAAGCAGUGAUGGAAAUGCAAACAAGAACAGGAAUCAACCGCCUCUAAUUGAACAAGUAAUUGUUGAAACUGCUGCACCAGAGCAAAUCACUCUGGCUGGGGUGCAAGCCAUGAUUCGGGCUAUGUUAGCCGAACAAAAGGAAGAAAUGCGACAGAUGUUGCAUGAAAAUAGGGACGAACCAAUCAUACCCAUUGAGGAACCCAAACUGAUUCCCGAACAAUCGGAGGAAGGAAACAAUAGUCGCGUUGUGAGUCAAGUUGGGAGUCAAGGAGAACGAAGGAACGACCCGGAAAGGGGAAACAAAAAGGAUGGGAGAAUGUAUAAGAAUUUCUUGGGCGCCAAGCCGCCAAGUCUUUCUGGGAACCUAAAGCCCAUUGAGAUUAUGGAUUAGAUCUCCGAAAUGAAGAUGGUAUUUGAAAGUUGCGACUGUAUCAACAAACAGAAGACUGUCUUUGCAGUUAGACAACUGAAGACCGGAGUCUUGAGCUGGUGGAAGUUGUUGGCAGAUAUUAUGUCAUGAGGAGAAGCCCUGAAAAUGUCAUGAGAGGAGUUCUUAGAACAACUAAGGGCGCAGUAGUGUUCAGAGAUAGAUCUGAUUGAUCUGAACAAUGAGUUCCAAAACUUAAAGAAGGGGAGGAUGAGCAUAAAUGACUAUGCUAUCGCAUUCACUGAUAAAAUGAGGUUAUUUCCAUACCUAGUGCGAAUGAAACUCUCCAAGAUUGAGAGGUUCGCUAAUGGACUACCUUCCGACUUUUGCCCGAUAGUCAAGAUGGCAACUACUCUAAAAAUAGUUGUUUGUGCGGCUAAGAAUGUGGAGACCCAGCAGAAGGAAAAGGGUCUGGAAAGAAUAGAGGUUGGUGAGAAAAGGAAGUUGGAUGGACCUUUAGGGUCCAACAAGAAAAUCAAGUUUUCGAAGUCUAGUUCGAGAGGAGGAGGAGGAAGAGAAGCCAAAUGGUACGACAAAUGUAAGAAGAAGCAUCAUGGAAAAUGUGAAGUAGUAGCCACAUGUUUUAAAUGUGGAAAGCCAGGGCACUAUGCCAAUGAAUGCACUCUCACCAAGAAAGUUUGUUAUGGCUAUGGUGAGGAGGGGCACAUCUCGAGAGAUUGUUCGAAGAAGAAGGAGGCAUCAAAACCCAAUAUUCCCCCAAAGCCGAAGGCGAGAGCAUUCCAGAUGACACUGGAAGCUGCAAAAUAUGAAGCUGAUGUCGCUUCAGGUACCUUUCUCGUAAACAAAUUGCAUGCCCAAAUUUUAUUUGAUUCUGGAGCCAACUACUCCUUUAUUUCGCAUGAAUUUGGUAGAAACUAGCUUCUCCUGUCGAUAGACUAGAUAAUGCUUUAUUAGUCGAAGUUGCUAGUAGCAAAUUUCUACCUAUUAGCCAUCGUAUGAAAAACAUCUUAAUUCACUUGAAUGGGAAUAAGUUCCAUGAGGAAUUAUUGCCUAUCGAACUAAACAAUUUCGACAUCGUGCUGGGAAUGGAUUGGCUUAGCGCCAAUGACGCCGAAAUAUUGUGCAAGAAGAAGAUUGUAAAGGUAAAUCCGCCAGGNGCAAGAAGAAGAUAGUAAAAGUAAACCCACCAGUGAAAGAGUCAUUUAUGGUGUAUGGGGACAAACGCAGAGUAAAUUCUAGAAUCAUUUAUCUAAUGAAAGCCAGAAAGUGUUUGGCCAAAGGAUGUACAUCAUAUUUGGCAUUUGUGAUAGAUUCUAAGAAGGAGAAAAAGGUGAUGCAAAGCAUUCCUAUCGUAUGUGAUUAUCGGGAAGUAUUUCCCAAAGAUCUUCCCGGAUUACCGCCUGAUAGAAAUUUGGAGUUCAUAAUAGACUUGUUACCAGGGACGACGCCUAUAGCAAAAGCACCUAAUCGAUUAGCACCAUCAGAGAUGAAGGAGCUAAUGAUGCAACUUCAGGAGUUAUUGGGCAAAGGUUUAAUUAGACCUAGUUUAUCACCCUGGGGAGCUCCGAUGUUAUUCGUGAAGAAGAAAGAUGGAAGUAUGAGAAUGUGCAUCGAUUAUAGAGAGCUGAACAAGGCAACAAUAAAGAAUAGAUAUCCGUUGCUGAGGAUUGAUGACUUGUUCGAUCAACUACAAGGUUCAAGUUAUUUUUCAAAGAUCGACCAAAGGUCAAGAUAUCAUCAGCUGAAGGUGAAAGAGCAGAUAUAGAGAAGACUGCAUUCAGAACACGAUAUGGACACUAAGAGUUUUUGGUUAUAUCAUUUGGACUAACCAAUGCUCCAGCAUCAUUCAUGGAUUUAAUGAUCAUGGUUUGUAAUCCGUUCCUAGAUAAAUCUGUGAUAGUGUUCAUAGAUGACAUUCUGAUUUAUUUGAAAAGCGAAGAGGAGCAUGGCAUACACUUGCGAGAAGUGUUAGAAGUCUUGAAGAAGGAGAAGUUGUAUACAAAUUUCUCCAAAUGUGAUUUCUGGAUUCGAGAAGUCCAAUUCUUGGGUCACGUGAUCAACUAAAAAGGGAUAAUGGUUGAUCCAGCAAAGAUUGAAGCUGUAAUGAAGUGGGAACAACCGAAAAGUCCCACGGAGAUCCGAAGCUUUUUAGGAUUAGCCAGAUAUUACCGAAGGUUUAUCCAAGGCUUUUCUACGAUCGCUACUCCAUUAACAGCGUUCACCCACAAAGGAGUUACUUAUGCUUGGAAUGAUAAGCAUAAAGAAGAAUUCGAGAGGCUAAAGAAGAAGCUAUAUGAGGCAGCGAUUCUUUCUCUACCCGAUGGAGUUGAAGACUUCGCUGUUUAUAGCAAUGCGUCUGGUGUUGGCUUGGGUUGUGUUUUAACCCAAAGGGAAAAGGUGAUCGCAUAUGCAUCUCGACAGUUGAAGGAGCAUGAAAAGAACUACCCGACUCAUGAUUUGGAGUUGGAAACGGUAGUUUUCGCUCUGAGAAUAUGGAGGCAUUACCUCUAUGGCACGAAGUGCAACUUUUCACUGAUCAUAAGAGUCUCCAAUAUCUCUUUAGUCAGAAAUAAUUAAAUAUGAGGCAAUGAAGUUGGCUUGAAUUACUUAAGGAUGUACGACUGCGAGAUACUUUACCACCCUGGUAAGGCUAAUGUUGUUGCUGAUGUUCUCAGUCGGGAAGUCAAUCUUGAAAGAAAAAGGCCAAGAGCGUUGAGAAUAGAAGUUGUCUCAACAAUUGUGGAGAGUAUAAAGAAAGCUAAAGAGGAAGCUUUUGUGAAGAAUGAUCGAAAAGAAGAACUUUAGGGAAAAAUGUUGGUGUUCGGUAUAAACAGUCAUGGACUGAAGGUGUUCCAAGAUCGGAUUUGGAUACCUAAGACAAGAGGAGUCAGAGAUCUUAUGAUGGAAGAAGCUCAUAAGUCCAUGUACUCAAUUCAUCCCGGUAGUACUAAAAUGUAUAGGGACCUAAAACCCUACUACUGGCGGCCGACGAUGAAGCUUGAUGUUGAAAAGUAUGUAGCCGUGUGUGUGACUUGUGUGAGAGUCAAGACACAACAUCAGAAACCGUAUGGGAGUUUAGAACCUUUGCCUGUGCCUAUGGGUAAGUGGGAAGACAUUGCUAUGGAUUUUAUCACUAAACUGCCCAGAACGAAAAGUGGUCACAACAUGAUUUGGGUGAUCGUUGAUCGAUUCACUAAGAGUGCGCAUUUCAUAGCAUCCAAUGAGAAAUGGUCUAUGGAAAAGCGUGCGAAUUCUUUUGUGAAGGAAGUUGUGAGGCUUCACGGUGUUCCGUUAACGAUUGUGUCAUAUCGUGAUAGCCAUUUCACCUCGCGAUUUUGGAGAAGUCUACAAGAGGAAUUGGGUAGCAAGUUGUGUUUGAGUACAUCUUACCAUCCACAGACUGAUGGUCAGAGCGAACGGACGAUACAAACACUUGAAGAUAUGCUGAGAGCAUCUACCCUAGAAUUCCAAGGUACUUGGGAUGAACAUUUACCUUUGAUGAAAUUUUCCUACAAUAAUAGUUUCCACUAGAGCCUAAAGAUGGCACCUUGUCAAGCUUUGUAUGGACAGAAGUUUCGUACGCCGUCUUAUUGGCUUGAGGCUGGAGAAAAGAAGUUUAUGGGACCCGAGAUGGUUCAUCAAAUUGCUGAAAACCUGAAAAUAAUUUAGGAAAGAAUGUUAGUAGCUCAGGAUCGUCAAAAGUGCUAUGCUGACAAAUAGCGAAGACCGAUGACUUUUGAAGUUGGAAAUUCGGUUUUGCUUAAAGUCUCGCCAUGGAAGGGACUUAUAAGAUUUUGUAAAUGGGCAAAGUUUAGUCCAAGGUUUAUUGGACCUUUUAAAGUUCUUGAGAGGAUUGAGAACCAAGCUUACAAGAAUGAAUUGCCAGAAGAACUGCAUGGUAUUCAUAACACUUUCCAUGUGUGUUAUUUGAGGAAGUUUACUAGAGAACUUCCCGACAUGAUUCCACUUUCGGAGUUGAGAAUCAAUGAGAACAAAAGGUUGAUUGAAGAACCAGAGGCAAUCGUUCACUGAAAGACUAAGAAGUUGGGACGCAAGAUGGUCGAGUUUGUGCUUGUCCGAUGGAAACACACGAAUAGGCCAAAUCUCACCUGGGAGACGGAGAGUGACAUGAUCAGUCACUACCCGCAUUUGUUUGUUGAUGUGUGAUUCCGAGGACGGAAUCAUUCUAAGGUGGAGAGAAAUGUAACACCUGUGUUUCUGGGCUUGUCAUUAAUAUUGAUGUAAUAGUCCAGGUUAACCAUUGUAACCCGUUUCGAAAUAAUAGAAGUGUAUUAUUUGAGUAUUAUGUGUUUUGUGCUUAAUUGUGUGUCUCAAUUGAGUUAAGUAUGAAAAUAAGCGUCAAAAUUAAAUGUUAGAUAAAGCCGAUAUUUAUGUAUAAUGCUCUAGUAGUUGAAACGAGGUUUCCGAAUAUACAUAGAAUGCCGAAAUCCGAGUUAUAAGGAAGAAGUUAUGAUAUGUCGAAGUUUCGCGACAGAAACCGGCACGACGCUGAAUGACGUAAAAAGUGAAUUUACGUUAGAGUGAUACUUAGCCCUAGUGAUCUAAACGAAUGUUGUAGAUUUCGUUAAAUUGAGAGCGUGCAUAAAAAAAUCGCCCAAAUCUGACUUCGUAUGAGGAAGUUAUGAUUUUCCGAAGUUUCAACUUAUCAGUGUGCAGCCCGAAUACUCGAUUUGAGAUCAAGCGGUUUUUAGCCGAAACAAUCUAAACGAGAAUUGAAGAUCUCGUUAAUGGUAGUGCAAUGGUAAAAAGACAGAUGAAAACGGACGUCGGAUGAAGAAGUUAUGAAUUUAUAACGGGGUUUUUCUGUCCCGGCCUACUAAAAAUAAAUAAUAAAAAAAUAAUAUCAAAAUCAGCCGACGGAGUCUAAACGAAAGUUGUAGAGCGUAGUCUCACCUACGCGUGGAUAUAAAGAAAGUCGAAACGGAGUUCAUAUGAAGAAGAUAUGAAUUUCCGAAGUUUUUAAAUGAUUAACAUUUAUUAAUUAAUCUUUAAUUCGGAUGUAUAUCCGAAGGAGACACCGAUCUAGUCCGCACUACGCCCAGCGUAGUUGAGUACGACCAGCGUACACCGAAGUGUGACCCGCCUUACACUCAAGAGCUCCGAUAACGCAUGCAGUGACGAAUCCGAAGUGUACACCCCGCGUACUGAGCAUUACGCCCAGCGUAAUGUGAGGCUUCAGCCUCUAUAAAAGGGCUUGCGAGGGCAGCCAAUGCUUUUGCUCAAUUUAUUUUCUCUCUCUCCCGUUUUGCAUCGUUUUGCAUACAAAUUAUACCCCGAAACCCCGAUAUCAUUCCCGAGCCCCGAAGCAUGUCCUGAAGCCCCGAAGAUCCCGAGGAGUAGUGUUCCCGAGCCGAAGCUCUGCCUGCAAGAAGCCAAUUUUUUUGAAGAUCUUCCAGAUCUACCGAAGAAUACUACUUCUACAAGUCGUAGUGUUGUCCGAUCAUCUUCUGAUCAAGUGAGUAUGUAGUUACUUUCAUCUAAUGCAUAAUUACGAAGUAUUUUAUACGAAAUACGUGUUAUGUGUAUAUUUGUUGUUAUAUGUGUGAAUGUAUAUUCACUUUCUUCUAUCUCGUACAUAUGACUAAUUCUCUAUGAAAUAUGUGUUAUGUGUAUCUGUCUCAUCUGUUGUUUGGAAUAUGUAUUGAAUGAGAAUGUUAUACAGGUUUUAAACUAAGUAUAAAAAUAUAUAUUUUUAUCUACUAAUAUGUUGGGUAGACCAUGGGUAGAUGGUUGAUGUGUGAUAAACAGAUGAGAGGCCUCGAUGUUGCUGUUGAUCUAGUUAUUCAGCGGACUAUGGAUAAUGACCACAGACUCUUUCGAGACAGUCAUGUGGAACGCUGUGACAUCCUCAAAAUCACGGCCAAAAAAGACCGUUUUAAUUUAUGCUUUUAAAAUAAUUUGAGAGUAAAUCCUUUGAUUUAAAAGAGUUGCGGAAUUUGUUCCCAAAACAAAAUAUGAUAAAAUAAAGUUUUUCAAAGCAUUUCAUCAAGAGAUGCAUCUUCAUUAUAUAACAAUAUUCGGGAUGUCAUGUUCCCAUAAACAGACCAAAAAUAUAAACAACAAAAGAUAGAUCAUACAACAGUUACAUAUAACAAUUGGUCUAGUAUCAAAAGAUCUUGAUAAGUCAUCCAACUUAUGCUCUCGCGCCACUACCUAUAAUACAAAUAAACUGAGUGGGUCAGGCUUGGGAGCCUGGUGAGCAUAUAGGGUUUUCAACCCGAAAUAAAUAAUUAUAUUUAAUUUCACCAACCAACAAUAACCCAAUUACCCAUUCCCGUUAUCCUCACUUUACGUCCCUAAAACAACAUCUAUCUCAAGGGAUCUAAUAUAGGAUUUUCAUCGGGACAGACACUGCACAGGGGUUACCUCAAUAGUAGAUGUCCUAAAGGCAACCAUGAGGGGGAUAGAGUACACCGGUGAACACAUCGUUCACAACACCUAGCUAGCGUUCCACAGGACUGUCUAGAAAGAGUCUGUGGUUGUUAUCCAUACUCCGCUGAAUAACUAGAUCAACAACAACAACAUCGAGGCCUCUCAUUUGUUUAUCACACAUCAACUAUCUACCCAUGUUCUACCCAACAUAUUAGUAGAUAAAAAUAUAUAUUUUUAUACAUAGUUUAAAACAUGUAUAGCAUUCUCAUUCAAUACAUAUUCCAAUCAACAGAUGAGACACAUACACAUAGCACGUAUUUCCUAGAGAAUAAAUUAUAUCUCUGAGAUAGAAGAAAGUGAAUAUACAUUCACACAUAUAACAAAAAAUAUACACAUAACACGUAUUUUGUAUAAAAUACUUCAUAAUUAUGCAUUAGAAGAAAGUAACUACACACUCACUUGAUCAGAAGAUGAUCGGACAACACUACAGCUCUAAGAGUAGUAUUCUUCGGUGAAACUGGGUUCACUUCACUCACCAGGCUUCUUGCGGGCAGAGCUUCAGCUCGGAAACUCUUUUCUUCGAGGGAUCUUCGAGCUUCAGGACUUGCUUCGGUUGUCGGGAUGAUACCGGGGCUUCGGGGGUACUUUUUCACGUAAAUCGAGGUAAUAUGAGUGAGAGAGAAGAGAUUUGGCAACCACAAACGGUUGCCCCUUCAAAUCUAUUUAUAGGGCUAUUUUCUCAUUUUCCACGUCGUGGGCACUUCUUCCACGUCGUGAGCUUGGUCGUCAUUGCAUGCGUCAUCGUCCACUUGCUCUGCCAGGCUCCAGAAGGCGUCAGAAGCCAUGCCACGUCGUGGUCUCUGACGGUUUUGGUGUUUCGCACCCCGAACUUCAGAAAUCCAUAACUUUCGCAUACUUACUCCGUUUUCGACGUUCUUUAUAUCGACGUGUAGGUAAAAACAAGAUCUACAACUUUCAUUUAGACUUUGUAUGCUAAUUUUGACUUUAUUUUUAAUAUAUUAAUAAUAUACUAUUGUUAGUAGGCCGGGACAGGAAAACCCCGUUAGAAAUUCAUAACUCCUUCAUCUGACGUCCAUUUUCGACUGUCUUUUCACCGUUGGAGUACAAUCGAUGAGAUCUUUGAUUCUCGUUUAGAUUGUUUCGUCUAAAUAUCGCUCGAUCUCGUAUUCGAACUUCGGGCUAUACACUGCUAAACAAAAACUUCGAAAAAUCAUAACUUCCUCAUACGAAGUCAGAUUUGGGCCUUCUUUUUAUGCACGCUCUCAGUUUAACGAACUCUACAACAUUACUUUAGAUCGCUAAGUCCAAAUAUUUUUCUAAUGUAAACUCACUAUUUACGUCUCGCUGUGUCGUACCGGUUCUGUCGCGAAACUUCGACAAGUCAUAACUUCUUCGUUAUAACUCGGAUUUCGGCAUUCUUUAUAUAUUCAGAAACCUCGUUUCAACUACUACAACAUUAUCCAUAGAUAUUGGGUUGAUCUAACAUUUCAUUUUGACGUUUAUUUUUAUUCUUAAUUAAAUUAAGACAUACAAUUAAGCACAAAAACACAUAAUACUCAAAUAAUACACUUCUAUUAUUUCAAAACGGGUUACAAAGGUUAACCUAGACUAUUAUAUCAACAUUAAUGACAACCCCAGAAACACCGUCAUUACAAUUCUCUCCACCUUAGAAUGAUUCCGUCCCCGGAAUCACACAUCAACAAACAAAUGUGGGUAGCGACUCAUCAUGUCACUCUCCGUCUCCCAAGUGAGAUUUGGCCCAUUCGUGUGUUUCCAUCGGACAAGCACAAACUCAACCACAUUGCGUCGCAACUUCUUAGUCUUUCGGUCAAAGAUUGCCUCUGGUUCUUCAAUCAAUCUUUUGUUCUCAUCGAUUCUCAACUCCAAAAGUGGAAUCAUGUCGGGAACUUCUCUCGUGAACUUCAUCAAAUAACACACAUGGAAAUUUUUAUGAAUUCCAUUCAGUUCUUCUGGUAGUUCGAGCUUGUAAGCUUGGUUCCCAAUCCUCUAAAGAACUUUAAACGGUCCAAUAAACCUUGGACUCAACCUUCCCCUUUUACCAAAUCUUAUAAGUCCCUUCGACGGCGAGACUUUAAGCAAAACCGAAUCUCCAACUUCAAAAGUCAUCGGUCUUCGCUUGUUGUCAGCAUAGCUCUUUUGACGAUCUUGAGCUGCUAACAUUCUCUCCCUAAUUAUUUUCAACUUUUCAGCAGUUUGAUGGACUAUCUCUAGUCCCAUAAACUGCUUUUCUCCAGCCUCAAGCCAACAAGACGGCGUACGACACUUCUUUCCAUACAAAGCUUGAUAAGGUGUCAUCUUUAUGCUCGAGUGGAAACUAUUAUUGUAGGAAAAUUCUACAAAAGGUAAAUGUUCAUUCCAAUUACCUUAGAAUUCCAGGGUACAUGCUCUCAUCAUAUCUUCAAGUGUUUGUAUUGUUCGUUCGCUCUGAGCAUCAGUCUGUGGAUGGUAAGUUGUACUCAAACACAACUUGGUACCCAAUUCCUCUUGUAGACUUCUCCAAAAUCGCGAGGUAAAGCGGCUGUCACGAUCUGACAAAAUCGUUAACGGAACACCGUGAAGCCUCACAACUUCCUUCACAUAAGAAUUCGCACGCUUUUCCAUAGACCAUUUCUCAUUGGAUGCUAUGAAAUACGCACUCUUAGUGAAUCGAUCAACGACCACCCAAAUCAUGUCGUGACCACUUUUCAUUUUGGGCAGUUUAGUGAUAAAAUCCAUAGCAAUGUCUUCCCAAAUACCCAUAGGCACAGGCAAAGGUUCUAAACUCCCGUAUGGUUUCUAAUGUUGUGUCUUGACUCUCGCACAAGUCACACACUUGGAAACAUACUUUGCAACAUUAAGCUUCAUCGUCGGCCAACAGUUGUAGGGUUUCAGGUCCCUAUACAUCUUAGUGUCGCCGGGAUGAAUUAAGUACAUGGUUUUGUAAGCUUCUUCCAUCAGAAUUUCUCUGACUCCUCUUGUCUUAGGUAUCUAAAUCCGAUCUUGGAACACCUUCAGUGCAUGACUGUUUACACCGAACACUAACGUUUUGCCCAAACAUUCUCCCUUUCGGUCAUUCUUCUCAGAAGCUUCCUCUUGAACUUUCUUUAUACUUUCCAUUAUUGUCGAGACAACUUCAAUUCUCAACGCUCUUGGCCUCUUCCUUUCAAGAUUGACUUUCCGACUGAGAGCAUUAGCAACAACAUUUGCUUUGCUGGGGUGGUAAAGUAUCUCACAGUCAUAGUCCUUAAGUAACUCUAGCCAGCGUCGUUGCCUCAUAUUCAAUUCCUUCUGAUUAAAGAGAUAUUGGAGACUCUUAUGAUCAGUGAAAAGUUGGCACUUCGUGCCAUAGAGGUAAUGUCUCCAUAUCUUUAGAGAGAAAACUACCGCCGCCAACUCCAAGUCAUGAGUCGGGUAGUUCUUUUCAUGCUCUUUCAACUGUCGAAAUGCAUAUGCGAACACCUUUUCCCUUUGGUUCAAAAUACAACCCAACCCAACACCUGACGCGUCGCUAUAAAAACAAAGUCUUCAACUCCAUCGAGUAGAGAAUGUAUCGGUGCCUCGCAUAGUUUCUUCUUUAGCUUCUCGAAUGCUUCUUUAUGCUUAUCACUCCAAGCAUAAGUAGCUCCUUUGUGGGUCAAAGCUGUUAAUGGAGUAGCGAUCAAAGAAAAGCCUUGGAUAAACCUUCGGUAAUAUCCGACUAAUCCCAAAAAGCUUCAGAUCUCCGUGGGACUUUUCAGUUGUUCCCAGUUCAUUACAGCUUCAAUCUUUGCUGGAUCAACCAUUAUUCCUUCUUGGUUGAUCACAUGACCCAAGAAUUGGACUUCUCGAAUCCAAAAAUCACAUUUGAAGAACUUAGCAUAUAGCUUCUCCUUAUUCUAGACUUCUAACACUUCUCGCAAGUAUCUACCAUGCGCCUCUUGGCUUUUCGAAUAAAUCAGAAUGUCAUCUACAAACACUAUCACUGAUUUAUCAAGGAACGGAUUAGAAACCCUGAUCGUUAAAUCUACGAAUGUUGUUGGAGAAUUGGUUAGUCCAAACGACAUAACCAAAAACUCAUAGUGUCCGUAUCGUGUUCUGAAUGCAGUCUUCUCUAUAUCCUGCUCUCUUACUUUCAGGUGAUGAUAUCCUGACCUAAGAUCGAUCUUUGAGAAAUAGCUCGAACCUUGUAGUUGAUCAAACAGGUCAUCAAUCCUCGGCAACAUAUAUCUAUUCUUUAUUGUUGCCUUUUUCAGAUCUCUGUAAACGAUGCACAUUCUCAUACUUCCAUCUUUCUUCUUUACGAAUAACACCGGAGCUCCCCAGGGUGAUGAACUAGGUCUAAUGAAACCUUUGUCCAAUAACUCCUGAAGUUGCAUCAUCAGCUCCUUCAUCUCCGUCGGUGCUAAUCGGUAAGGUGCUUUUGCNNNNNNNNNNNNNNNNNNNNNNNNNNNNNNNNNNNNNNNNNNNNNNNNNNNNNNNNNNNNNNNNNNNNNNNNNNNNNNNNNNNNNNNNNNNNNNNNNNNNNNNNNNNNNNNNNNNNNNNNNNNNNNNNNNNNNNNNNNNNNNNNNNNNNNNNNNNNNNNNNNNNNNNNNNNNNNNNNNNNNNNNNNNNNNNNNNNNNNNNNNNNNNNNNNNNNNNNNNNNNNNNNNNNNNNNNNNNNNNNNNNNNNNNNNNNNNNUCUUUCCCAGGUGGGUUUACUUUGACUAUCUUCUUCUUGCACAAUAUCUCAGCAUCAUUGGCGCUAAGCCAAUCCAUUCCAAGCACGAUGUCAAAACCUUUAAGUUCAAUAGGCAAUAAUUUCUCGUGAAACUUAUUCUCAUUCAAAUCAAUUAAGAUGUUUUUCAUACGAUGACUAACAGGUACAAACUUGCCACUAGCAACUUCGACUAAUAAAGCAUUAUCUAGUCUAUCGACAGGCAAAGCUAGUUUUCUACCAAAUUCAUGUGAAAUAAAGGAGUAGUUGGCUCAAGACUCAAAUAAAAUUUGGGCAGGCAAUUCGUUAACGAGAAAGGUACCUGAAGCGACAUCAGCUUCAUCUUUAGCAGCUUCCAGUGUCAUCUGGAAGGCUCUCGCCUUCGGCUUUGGCGGAAUGUUGGGUCUUGCUGCCUCCUUUUUGGGGCAGUCCCUAGACACGUGUCCCUCCUCACCACAACCAUAACAAACUUUCUUGGUGAGAGUGCAUUCGUUGGCAUAGUGCCCUGGCUUUCCACAUUUAAAACAUGUGGCCACUACCUCACAUUUUCCAUGAUGCUUCUUCUUACAUUUGUCGCACCAUUUUGCUUCGCCUCCUCCUCCUCUCGAACUAGACUUCGAGAACUUUUUUUUCUUGUUGGACCUGAAGGUCCUUCGAACUUCCUCUUUUCACCAACCUCUAUCCUUUCCAGACCCUUUUCCUUCUGUUGGGCCUCCACAUUCUUAGCUGCUCGAACAACUUUUUUCAGAGUGGUUGCCAUCUUGACUGUCGGACCUAAUUCGGUAGGUAGUCCAUUAGCAAACCUCUCAAUCUUGGAGAGUUCCGUUGGCACCAGGUACGAAAAUAACUUUAUUUUCUCAGUGAAUGCAGUAGGAUAGUCGUCUACGCUCAUUCUCCCCUUCUUCAAGUUUUGGAAAUCAUUGUUCAAAUCAAUCAGAUCUAUCUUUGAACAGUACUGCACCCUUAGUUGUUCCAAGAAAUCCUCCCAUGACAUUUUCAGGGCUUCUCCUCAUUGCAUAGUAUCUGCCAACAGCUUCCAAAAACUCAAGACACCAGUCUUCAGUUGUCUAAAUGCAAAGACAGUCUUCUUUUUGUUGCUACAGUCGCAACUUUCAAAUACCAUCUCCAUUUCGGAGAUCCAAUCCAUAAUCUCAACAGGCUUCAGGCUUCCAGAAAGACUUGGCGGCUUGGCGCCCAAGAAAUUCUUGUACAUUCGCCCAUCCUUGUUGUUUCUCCUUUCCGGGUCGUUCCUUCGUUCUCCUUGAGUCCCAACUUGACUCAUAAUGCGACUAUUGUUUCCGUCCUCCGAUUGUUUGGGAAUCAGUUCAGGUUCCUCAAUAGGUAUGAUUGGUUCAUCCCUAUUUUCAUGUAACAUUUGUUGCAUUUCUUCCCUUUAUUCGGCUAACAUAGCCUGAACCAUGGCUUGCACCCCAGCCAUUGUUAUUGGUUCUGGUGCUGCUGCUACAACAGGUAUUUGCUCAAUCACUGGUGGUUGAUUCCUGUUUUCAUCUGCAUUUCCAACGCCACUCCUGGUUCUUACCAUUUUUUAUCUACACACCGAAUAAGGUGAAAUUCGAUCCUCAUCCAUGAUAGAUAAUUAAAUCAUCCUUAUCACUCCGAAACAUUUACAUGUUAGUUCUAAUACCGACGUCAUACGCUUAGAAUCUUACACACAUAAGGUUUCAAGAUCCGGUCGGCAGUAUACCAUAGAUCCGAACAAAUAAUAUCAUAUAUGGCAACAUAUAACAUUUAGCACAUAAAAGCAUUUUAGGCAGCUUCCUAAAAUAUACUAGUGCUCGUGUCUAUAAUAUAAUAGACACACAUCUCACAAUCUCCACUUAGCAUUCUAAUUUUAAGUCUAGAAAUCCUACAAAUUCCUAGUUCGCUUAAACUAAUGCUCUGAUACCAACUGUGACAUCCCCAAAAUCACGGCCAGAAAAGACCGUCUUAAUUUAUGCUUUUACACUAAUUUCAGAGUAAAUCCUUUGAUUUAAAAGAGUUGCGGAAUUUGUUUCCAAAACAAAAUAUGAUAAAAUAAAGUUUAUCAAAGCAUUUCAUUAAGAGAUACAUUUUCAUUAUAUAACAAUGUUCGGGAUGUCAUGUUCAGAUAAACAGACCAAAAGCAUAAACAACAAAAGAUAGACCAUACAACAGUUACAUAUAACAAAUGGUCUAAUAUCAAAAGAUCUUGAUAUGUCAUCCAACUUAUGCUAUCACGCCAAUACCUGUAAUACAAAUAAACUGAGUGGGUCUGGCUUGGGAACCUGGUGAGCAUAUAGGGUUUUCAACCUGCAAUAAAUAAUUACAUUUAAUUUCACCAACCAACAAUAACCCGAUUACCCAUUCCCGUUAUCCUCACUUUACGUCCCUAAAACAAUAUCUAUCUCAAGGGACCUAAUCAAGGAUUUUCAGCGGGACGGACAUUACUGCAAAGGGGUUUCCUCAACAGUAGAUGUCCUAAAGGCAACCAUGAGGGGGAUAGAGUACACCGGUGAAUACAUCGUUCACAACACCUACAGGUUAUGAGCCUGCUAGCGUUCCACAGGACUGACUAGAAAGAGUCUGUGGUCGUUAUCCAUACUCCGCUGAAUAACUAGAUCAACAACAACAACAUCGAGGCCUCUCAUCUGUUUAUCACACAUCAACUAUCUACCCAUGUUCUACCCAACAUAUUAGCAUAUAAAAAUAUAUAUUUUUAUACAUAGUUUAAAAACUAUAUAGCAUUCUCAUUCAAUACAUAUUCCAAUCAAUAGAUGAGACAUAUACACAUCGCACGUAUUUCAUAGAGAAUAAAUCAUAUCUAAGAGAUAGAAGAAAGUGAAUAUACAUUCACACAUAUAACAACAAAAUAUACACAUAACACGUAUUCUGUAUAAAAUACUUCAGAAUUAUGCGUUAGAAGAAAGUAACUACACACUCACUUGAUCAGAAGAUGCUCGGACAGCACUACAGCUCUAAGAGUAGUAUUCUUCGGUGAAACUGGGUUCACUUCACUCAUCGGACUUCUUAUGGGCAGAGCUUCGGCUCGGAAACUCUUUUCUUCGCGGGAUCUUCGAGCUUCUGGACUUGCUGCGGGUGUCGGGAUGAUACCGGGGCUUCGGGGGUACUUCUUUGCAUGUAAAUUGAGGUAAGAUGAGUGAGAGAGAAGAGAUUUGGCAACCACAAACGGCUGCCCCUUCAAAUCUAUUUAUAGGGCUGUUUUCUCAUUUUCCAUGUCGUGGGCACUUCUNUUCACAUCGUUACAUCAUCGCAAGUUGGGUCUGGUAGACUCCAGGAGUCGUCAAAAGACAUGCCACGUCGUGACCACUGAUUUCACAUCGUGGUCUCUGACAGUCUUGGAGUUUCGCGCCCCGAACUUCAGAAAUUCAUAACUUUAACAUACGAACUCCGUUUUCGACGUUCUUUAUAUCGACGCGUAGGUAAAAACAAGGUCCACAACUGUUAUUUAGACUUUGUAGGCUUAUUUUGACUUUAUUUUUAAUAUAUUAAUAAUAUACUAUUUUUAGUAGGCCGGGACAGGAAAACUCCGUUAGAAAUUCAUAACUCCUUCAUCUGACGUCUGUUUUCGACUGUCUUUUCACCGUUGGACUACUAUCGAUGAGAUCUUCGAUUCUCGUUUAGGUUGUUUCGGCUAAAUAUCGCUCAAUUUCAUAUUCGAACUUCGGGCUGUACACUGCUAAACCGAAACUUCGAAAAAUCAUAACUUCCUCAUACGAAGUCAGAUUUGCACAUUCUUUUUAUGCAUGCUCUCGGUUUAACGAACUCUACAACAUUCCUUUAGAUCACUAAGUCCAAAUAUUGCUCUAAUGUAAACUCACUAUUUACGUCUCGCUGUUUCGUACCGGUUCUGUCGCGAAACUUUGACAUGUUAUAACUUCUUCUUUAUAACUUGUAUUUCGGCAUUCUUUAUAUAUUCGGAAACCUCGUUUAAACUUCUACAACAUUAUCCAUAGAUAUCGACUUUAUCUAACAUUUCAUUUUGACGCUUAUUUUUAUUCUUAAUUAAAUUAAGACACACAAUUAAGCACAAAACACAUAAUACUCAAAUAAUACACUUCUGUUAUUUCAAAACGGGUUACAAAGAUUAACCUAGACUAUUAUAUCAACAUUAAUGACAAGCCCAUAAACACAGUCAUUACAAACGCUAGCAGGCUCAUAACCUGUAGGUGUUGUGAACGAUGUGUUUACCGGUGUACUCUAUCCCCCUCAUGGUUGCUUUUAGGACAUCUACUGUUGAGGAAACCCUUAGCAGUAAUGUCCGUACCGAUGAAAAUCCUAGAUUAGGUCCCUUGAGAUAGAUGUUGUUUUAGGGACGUAAAGUGAGGAUAACGGGAAUGGGUAAUCGGGUUAUUGUUGGUUGGUAAAAGUAAAUAUAAUAAUUUAUUGCGAGUUGAAAACCCUAUAUGCUCACCAGGCUCCCAAGCCUGACCCACUCAGUUUAUUUGUAUUACUAGUAGUGUCGCGAGGGCAUAAGAUGGAUGAAUCAUCAAGUUAUUUUAUUUAUUAGACCAGUUAUUAUAUGUAACUGUUGUAUGGUCUAUCUUUUGUAGUUUAUGCUUUUGUGUCUGUAUCGGAACAUGACAUCCCGAGUUUUGAUUUUAUAAUGAAAAUACAUUUUGUUAUGAAAUGCUUUGGUAAAUAUUAUUUUAUCAUGCUUUUUUUGGAACAAAUUCUGCAACAAUUUAAAAUCAAAAGGAUUUACUCUGAAAUUAUUUAAAAAAACAUAAAUGAAACUGGUCUUUUCUGACUGUGAUUUUGGGGAUGUCACACUGCGCCUAAUCGAGAACAUCAUAAUCCUGGCAGCUACGCCCAAAGGACAAUAUUAGCACUUGCGCCUAAUAGAGAAUAUUAUAAUUCUGGUAGUUGCGUCUAAAUGAUAAUGUUGGUAGUUGUGCUUAAUAGAUAACGUUGACAACUGUGUCAUUAGGAAAACGGUGGACUGCGUGCCUAUUCCUUAGGAAAAUCCUUAGGAAUGAAUGAGUUAAUGAUAAAUGAUUCUUAGGAUACAUCCUUAAGAAAUAACGAAGAUAAUGGGGAUGGAUAAUUGGGUUAAUUUUUUAAUGAUUAAACAUAAUUAUAUUAUUGUGGGUUGAAAACCCUAUGUACUCACUAGGUUUCCCAAUAUGACCCACUCAAGUUUAUUUGGAUCACAGGUGUCUAUACGAAGCUACUUUACACUGAGAGAUUAAGGAGACGUAAAUCACUAGUGUAAAUGAAUGGAAGGUCUGUUUAUGCUUAUAUUUAUGUAUUAACGAUGACGUCCUAAAGUUUUAAAAAGAAAUGAAAUACAUUUCUUCGAAAAUGCUUUGAUAACACAUUUAUCAUGUUUUUCUGGGAACAAAUUCCGCAACAUUUUUAUAAAAAGGGUACUCUCAUUUUUAAAUAAAGCAUAAACAAAUCGGUCUUUUCUGGCUGUGAAAAUGGGGAUGUCACAAUUGGUAUCAGAGCAUUAGUUUAAGAGAACUAAGAAUAAGGGUUUAUUUCUAGACUUAAACUUAGAAUGCUAAGCGAUGAUUAUGAGUUGAGUGUGUGAUGUUGCGCAUAAAAAAACACAAAGAUAACCAAGAAUGAACCUGUUGAUUCUAAAAGAAUAGCCAGGACAAUCUCUUCAAAACCACGUUGAUUCUACGAAUACUGUGGGAUUGGCUUCAAAAACUGGGUUAACACGCACAAAAUUUGGGAGAAAACUGAAAGUUCAUAAAAUUGAUGAUCGACCAUCCAAAUUACAUAAAAAACAGUUAAAUAAAAAGCAUAAAUUAAAAUGAAACCCUAAAAGUCCAUGGGCGAAAUACAAACCCAAAAAUUAAGGAAAAAUAACAAAAUUGUUCAUAACUCCAUUUAGAAAGCGAUUUCUGGACUCAAAAUGGGUAAGUCCCUUUCGGGGACUUAUCUAGAUGUGCUCCUUGCUCCAAGCUUCGACUUGACUGGUCGUAGGCCCAAAACGGAGACUCGUAGCCAAAGUUAUGGCCAUUUCCGUGAAGCCCCUUUAAUCACACGAUCGUGGGCCUCUAGGAAUGCAAUGGCCCGAUCCUCCACACUAGGGCCCGCAUCUGUGUGUCUAAUAUAUUUUAGGUAGUACACCUGAAUAGACACAGCCACUAUCUUAUUUUGGGAGGAUGCCUAAAAUGCUUUUAUGUGCUAAAUGAUUUGUGAUACUUUAUGAUGCUAUUGUUCGAUCAGAUAUAUGGUAUGUUGCCCACCGGAUCCAGAAACUUUAUGUGUUUAGAUUUCAAAAUGUUUAAUUACAGUAUUAGAACUGGCAUGUAACUUUUCGGAGUGAUAAGAAGAUUUACAUGUGGAUCGUAAAUAAAACCUUUCCUAUCUUAAUUAUCAUCAUUACACAUCAAACGUCUGAUUUGGUGUAUAGAUCAACAUGUUGAGAACUCGAAGCGGAUUAGGAGACGCUAAUGGAAAUGUUGAUCAACGGCCUAUGAUUUAACGUGCACUAAAGGUAGCAGCUACACCAUAGCCAAUCACAAUGGCAAGAGUCCAAGCAAUGAUUCAGGCUAUGAUAGCCAAACAAAGGGAGGAGAUGAGGCAAAUGUUGCUUAAUAGGGAUGAACCUACCAUGCUCAUUGAAUAACUAGAACUAAAUGAUGAACAGUUAGAGAAGGGAAUUACAGUAGAACCGUUGGUCAAGCUGAACUGCCAGUGGUUAGGAGGAAUAACCAAGAGGAAGGGAUCAAGAGAAAUAGAUGCAAGUAUAAGGAUUUCACAACUUGCAAACCAUAGAUUUUCACUGGGAAAGAGGAUCCAAAUCGGAGUUACAGACCGGAUCUCGGAGAUGGAUUUGGCUUUCAUAACAUGUAGAUUCAAAGGAAAGCUAAAAACCAUAUAUGCAGUGCGUCAGUUGAUGGGUGGAGUUGUUCACUAGUGGAACACUUUGGGAAAGAUCAUGAGUCCUAAUGAGCUGCUGCAACUGACGUGGGCAGAGUUCCUAGUGCAUUUCAAACGAAAGUUUUGCUCGGCCCAAAAUCUGUUGGAGCUAGAGAACCAAUUCCUAACAUUGAAGAAGGGCAUCAUGCCUAUUGACGAAUACAGCAAUGCCUUCACCGACAAGAUGGAAUUUUCUUUGCGCAUCGUCCCUGGCGAACUAACUAAAGUCGAUAAGUAUACAAAGGGACUACCAUGGGAAUAUGUUGUGCUAGUACGCCAGGCACCUACCAUCGAGGCGACUAUCUGGGCUGCUAAGUCUGUUGAAGAAAUGAUCAAGAGUAGGGCCACCAACAACGUCGAAGUUGGUGAAAGAGAAAGUUUGAAGGAUCUUCAAUGUCCAAUGAGAGGAGAAAAUGCUCGAAGUCUGGUUCGAAGAAGUUUGAAGGAGGAGGAGGUGAAGCAAGAUGGUGUGAUAAGUGCAAGAAGAAACACUUUGGAAAAUAUGGCAAGAAGGUGACUUGUUUCAAGUGUGGAAAGUCUGGGCAUUAUGCCGAUGAGUGUAUAUUCAACAAAAGGGUGUAUUACGGAUGUAAUGAAGAAGGGAAUUCAAGCUGGACUGCCCAAAGAGGGAAGGAGCUACAAAGCAAAAUGCACCGCCAAAGCCGAAGGCAAAAACAUUCCAUAUGAUCCUUAAUGAAGCAGAUGAUAAUGCAAGGAAUCAAGAAUGAGGACUGAUACCCGAAGAUCAAGUUAUGAAGUAGCCAUGCAGAUAGUAUCAGGAGGUGUAGCCUAUUAGAGGCAUAUUAUAGGUUGAACUUUAACAUCCAUGUAAUCAUUUCAAGAAGUAAUAUAAGCCUUGGUUUUGUUAUCUGGUGCGUUAAGUUGUUAUGUGAUUUUCAAGUAUGGUGACUUGGAAAACUGCGAGACAAUACUUGGGACAAGUAUGAGUAUAUGUGAAUGGUAGUAGAGGCCUAUACUACCAGAAGCACAGGACUCGCACUUGGAUUAGGGAAAGUCACAAGGUUACCAAGGCACUAGUAAUUGAUUCUUUUUUGUUCAUGUUUGUCGUCACCAUCGUUUCGGUAAUGACUAAGAAGAUGAUUGUUAGUCCAACCCUAGUGGUCAUAUCAAAUCGAGUCCGACUAAGAUGAAUAUGUUGCGUGGUUCAAAAAACCAAGGUCGAUGUUGCAUCUGACUUAAGCCAGACGAUUGAAGUGAAAGAUAAUCGAACCGAUCAAUAGAAGUAUCGUAACCUUUGUUAAGGUAAGAAGCUUGUAGCUAGAAGUGCUACAUGCUAGAAUAUGAUUAUAUCACAUUAGAACAUGAAGGAAGGUAUAUUUUGUUCUAUAGUUUGACUCUAAAAGACCUAAGUCUAAGUGUUGCAUCAUACGAUAAGAGGUCAUUACAACAUGACCCAUCGGUUUAUUGUGGUAAUCAAAUAACUUCUCUUAAUAUAAGUAUGUUUAACAAGAAGUAGGAGUCUCUGAUUUGGAUCGAUUUUGUAACUCGAAGGUUACGAUUGGAAGUCCAACAUAGGAUAAAGAACGGGUGCAAGAUUGAGUACCUCCUGCGGUCAAGAAGUCCAAGAGUUUGAUACUCAUUCGAAGGAACAUAAAAGUUACGAUUAUUACCUAAUAUGAAGAGAUAACAUAAGGAUUCAUUAUACAAGCCCUAUUUUGUUGAUUAUUCUGGGACGUAAUCAUCCUAAGGAGGAGAUAACUGUAACGCCCGCAGAUUCAGGCUAGUCAAUUAGAGAUAUUGAGCGUCAAAAAUGACAUUUUUAUGGGAGUUUAUUUAGAAGAAAUAAUCUUAACCUAGUAAUAGUAUAUGUCACAAGGGUUCCGUACAUAUAAAGAACGCCGAAAUCCGAGUUAUAACGAAGAAGUUACGACCCGACGAAGUUCUACAGCAAAACCGGCACGACACCGCGUAACAUAAAAAGUGAAUUUUUGAUAAAUUACUUUUUAGCCUUAGAGAUAUAAAUGAAAGUUAUAAUAUAGGUUAAACCGAUAGCAUGCAUAAAAAGAACGUCAAUAUCUAACUUCGUAUGAGGAAGUUAUGAUUUUUCUAAGAUUUCGCAAAGUAGUAUACAACCCGGAAUUCGAAUUUCAGAUCGAGCGAUUUUUAGCCAACACAACCUAAAUGAAAAUUGAAUAUCUCAUUAAUAGGAGUUCAACGAUAAAAAGACAUUAAAAAUGGAGUUCGAAUGUACAAGUUAUGAAUUUUACACGGUCAUUAACAAUGUAAUCUUCUCAUACUAGUAAAUUUAAAAUCGGUCGAGAGUUAGCUGUUUGAGUCAAAAGGAGAGUUGUAGAUCAUGUCAAUACCUAUGCGUGGAUAUAAAUAAUGUCAAAAAUGGAGCUCGUAUGCAAAAGUUAUGAAUUUUUGAAAAUUGGUUGUUUUACCUGCGUCCAGCACCACGUGUCAGCACCAAGCGAAGCCAUGGUGCCUACGCAAGGCCACGACGUGGAUUGGCUCCAGAUAGCCUAUAAAUAGAGGCGGAAAUCAUCCGUUUUCUUCACACCUUCACCCUUCUUUCUCUCUCAACGCUCCUAAUCUCUCCCUCCCAAUCCCUAGCAACUUCUAAGUGCUCCGAGAAGAAGAUCUUUCGGCUCAGAAGUUCCACCCCCGCAUAGCCCGGUUCCUAGCCAAACCCACGGUAAGUUAGUUAUGAUUACCCUACUUUAAGUAUAACUUAUGUUUGAGUUUAUUAUCAUUAUUAUGAACUUAUAAACAAGAUUUAUCAAUGAUUCCAAGUAGUUAUAUUGAUUGAUCUACUUAUGGGGAUAAUGUCUAGGCUGUGAUUUUGUGAGGUGUUUAAAGUGGGGUUUCCAAAUAGUAUACUUCGUAUACCAAACGAACCCUACCUCUGAUAUGAUCCUACCUGGUUGCUCUUUACAUGAUAGAUCAUGAAAGUAGACUUUGAGUUAAUGAUGAAUCUAGACUAAUAAUUAGUUGCAAUAAAGAUUAGACUAAAACUUAGCGAUAAUAAUGUUAGGUUUCGUCGAAGGAAGAUAGAAUCGUUAGAAGUGAAGCGUUUCUCGACUUUGGAAUUAUCACUUUGAAAAGUGAGUGCAUAGUUACUUUCAUCUUACACAUUGAUAUGAAGUAUUUUAUAUAAAUUACGCGCUAUGUGUGCAUGUUAUCUGUUUACUUGAUAUAUAUGAUAAAUGAACGAUCUUAUACAUGUACUCUAAACAUCCUAGUAGCUGUGCUCAAAGUGUAGUAUCGGUAGCUGUGCCGUCACACCCCCAAACCAGAACGACGGAAACGUUCAGGGGCGGAGGACGUCAUGUAUAGUAUCAUAACAAUGCAUAAUAGUAAAACAAGCAACAACAUCAUCCAUUGAAUUAAUGAUAGAAUUUAUACAUGUGUGUUCUUUGUAAAGUUGUAAGACACCAAAAAUAUAUAAUCAAAAUAAAGACGAGUCUUGAAUACGCUCUGUCUCCUCAAAACCUGGUCAUCGAUACAUGUCUACUGGUGACCUAAGAAUACAAGUUAUUUUGAAAGAGUAGAUCAACAUUUAAGCUGGUGAGUUCAUAAGUAUAUUAGUGUCAAAAAUUUUCAUCUGUUUCAUGAAAAUGUUUGUAAGUAUUUAGAUGUAAAUGUUUGUAUGCUUCCAAGAAAAUCCUAUAUUUUCUACUAAAAUGAAAAGUAGUCUUCUUCCAAGACUCAACUGUUUUGUAUGUUUGUUUUCUCGUAAAAAUUGAUGUAAGAUGUAUGUUUGUACUUGUAAUAGUAUAAAUGUGGGUUUUCCAUAUUUUUUUAAAACUUUCUAUACACGAAAAAUAGUAUGCAUUUCUUACGUGAGAAUAUCACUGUGUGAAUAUGAUGGAAAAAUGACGAUAUUCAGUAGUGUUGUAUAAAAUAUCUACUGAAGCACUAACUACCUUAAAGCAAAUUGUUAAUUAAGGUAAAACGUGAUGAGGUUAUAACCAUGCUUGAUUGACUUGUAUAAAACACAACGAUCAAAAUACAUCGAAAUGGUAUGACAUUUGUCACUUGUAGACCUGUAGGUCCCAUUGUAGCUAGCAACAAGGUUUAGGAUGGUCAAUCCAGUAUAGAUCUAUACACAAACUCACGCUCUCCCUCCAAGAGACUCUGGUUACAAAGCGUGACACAACAAGUAUAUUGAUAUGCCAUGAAGUAGUGGCUCACAUUAAUGUUAUCUUGUUCUAGUUAUAGUAUGUAUGUUCCUUUCUGUUCUAGUUAUAGUAUGUAUGUUCCAAUCUGUUCUAGUUAUAGUAAGUAGUAAUACUCUAAACUAUACCUAUUAUAGUUUACUAGUAUGAUUGUUUGACUGUUACUAAUUUGCAGAAAAGUCUCAAUUACUCACAUAAGCAACUAACUUAAGUAUGUAACUUAAAAAUGGGUUUAAUAUUCAUAUAUGUAUUUAAUAAGCAUAACUAUGAUUUUGCUGACAUUCGAACUAGUGAUCCUACCCUAAGCCCACAACCAAACAAAGAAACAGGAGUUAAGGUAUCUCGCAGUAGUCCUAAGCCCGUUAAAGCAUACUUACACGUAAACAGAUAGACGAAUAUGAUUUGAUAUAAAAGAAGUUUAUAAAAGAUUUAAAAGAGUUUUAACAAGUUUUGAGUAUAAGAAAUCCCUUUGGAUGUUGUUUUCACAUGUAAAUGGUUAACAAAAUUUAAUUGUGUUCUACUUGUUAUCCCCCAUAAAAGCAUUUAAAAGGUAUUUAAAAGUGUAUUGUAGGGGUAUGAACUCAUAUGUAGUGAGUGAUUCGAAUGAAAGAUCGAUAUAGGAUGAUAAGUAUGCCAAGUGAAGUAUCGAGCACAAACGGGUCCUAUUAAGCAUAUAAUAACACAUAUAUGUAUACAAUUAGUAUAUAUAACAACUAAAAUGUAAGGGAAACAACCUUAGGAACUAGGAAACACUUUGAAUGAAGUGUUAGCAUCACAAAUGAUUGGCUGAAAGGUGUUCACGACUAAACAAGGGGUGUUCACGGCCUUAGGAGGGUACAUGUCCAUAGAACGCAUGAUGUGUUCACGGACCAAGGUUGAUCUUAUGAAGGUUUCACGGUCCUAUGAUGCAUCUAUGAAGGGUUCAUGGCCCUAUGAAGGGUUCACGGUCGUGAACUCUUGAAGAUCUUGCAAAUAAGUGUUUGUUUCAUGGGUGGAAUCAAGUGUUUCUAAGGGACAACAAGAUGAUGGAUGAGAUACUUAUGUUUUGGAAGCCUUUAGAAGUGUUCACAGUUGAAGAUAGUUGAGAGAGAAGUGGUGUUCACGGCUAGGGUUUAAAGAAAUGAAGAAAAAUGAGCCAACUCCUUAUAUAUAAGACUUGUUCACGGCCAAGGAUGGGUACACGGCCAUGAACCUAGAUGUGGCCGUGAACUCCUUUUGGUGGUGUUUCCGGCUCGAUUGCAACUCAAUGAACUCAAGCUAACACUUCCUAACUCACAAUCCUUGAGUGUACUAGGCUUAGAAAUUCUCAAACAUACCCUUAACACAACAUAAAGGUAACAGAAACAAGUCUGACUUUAGAUUGAAUUGAUUGACUUUACAAGAUAGAAAUUCCAGGUUGUCGCAUGUGCCUAAUAGAAAACAUCAUAACCCUGGCAGCUACGCCCAAAGGACAAUAUCGACUGUUGUGCCUAAUAGAAAAUAUCAUAAUUCUGGCAGCUGCUCCUAAAUGAUAAUAUUGGCAGCUAUGCUUAAUAGAUAAUGAUGAUAUAUGGUCCAUUAGCAUGGCCUAGACUGCUCUAGCGCGCCAUAUGAUGCGACAUCGGCUCCGACCACCUGCUCUAAGGAGAUGCUUCUGCACCAGAGAUAGAUCUGUGAGGUCACAACAAACAAGACCGUUAGAGCUGCCCCAAAGACUGUGCCCUGGGAGAGAGCUCCGACGGUCAAGUUAGAUCAUUUGGUAGAUCUGAGAUGGAUCUCUUUAGCUAGAGAGGAUCAUCCUUGUGUUGGUGGUGUUGUAUGGUGGUUGACGGCGGCGGGUGCCGGCUGAGCCACCCGGCCAAAGUAUAGGGCGGCGGCUGAGCCAAGGGGAAGAUCCUAAUGGUGGCAGAACCACCUAGGAAAGAGUCCUCCUUCAUGAAGGAGGCACUAUUCUAUUUAUAGGGGGACAACUAGGUCAAGGGGAAUUAGGUCAGGCCUUGGGCCAACCCAAUUCAGGCCCAGCUAGCAAGGAGCUGGGUAAGGCCGCCCGGAGGCGCCGCGCGGGACUUANUGACGGGCGCGUACCAGGAAAGGACGGCAAGGGUGCGCCAGGAAAGGGAGCGUCAGGUCGGGCCUGCAAGAGAUUCCCCAGCAAGGCUGGCAAGGGAGUCCCCAACAAGGUUGUCAAGGGAAUGCCAGGAGAGGCUGGCAGGAGCGCGCCAGGCCAAGAUGGCGCGCUAGAGCAGUGUAGGCCAUGCUAAUGGACCAUAUAUCAUUAGAUAACAUUGACAGCUGUGUCAGUAGGAAAAUGAUGGACUUUAUGCCUAUUCUUUAGGAAAAUCCUUAGGAAUGAAUGAGUGAAUGAUAAAUGAUUCUUAGGAUAGAUCCUUAAGAAAUAACGAAGAUAAUGGGGAUGGAUAAUUGGGUUGAUUGUUUAAUGACUAAACAUAAUUAUACUAUUGUGGGUUGAAAAACAUAUGUACUCACUAGGUUUCUGAACCUGACCCACUCAAGUUUAUUUGUGUGACAGGUGUCGAUACGAAGCUACUUUACACUGAGAGAUUAAGGAGAUGUAGAUCACUAGUUAAAAUGAAUGUAAGGUCUGUUUAUGCUUAUGUUUCUGUAUUGACGAUGACAUUCCAAAGUUUUAAAAGAAAUAAAAUACAUUUCUUCGGAAAUGAUUUGAUAACACAUUUAUCAUGUUUUUCUGGGAACAAAUUUCACAACAUUUUUCUGGCAUCGGGCCUCGCCCGGUAUACAAAUAACAUAUAAGCACAUGCAUAAAAAUCACUUAAACACAUGCAUAAAAAUCACAAUGAUAAAUAGCAUACAAUAUAAUCAUUACGCCCCGCCCGGUAAUCAUAUAAACACAUAACACAUGCAAGAGUAACACAUACAACUAGUAAGGAAACUCACCUCAAGCUGCAAAAUCACUCGGAUAAAAUCUCAAUCUGUUGGUCCGGAAGAUCCUCGCGCUAACCUCAUAAUAUAAAUAUCCAAUUAAUAAUUGGAUCUCGACCCAUAAUAACCAAUCUAAGUUCCUUUUCCAAUAUCCAGGGUAAAAGAUUGUUUUACCCUUUUUCUUACAUGGCCCAAAACCAAGGCCCAAUCCAUUGCUCAAAAGGGCUAAAUUCCAAAAUGGCAUCCAUAGGCCCAAUAAGGCCCAACUUCCAAAUUGGGCUGAAAAUCAUCAUGGACCUAAUCCCAUGAAAGUCCAUAGUCUAUCCAUGACCCAAAGUCAAAAUUCUAAUGACCUAACAAGGCCCAAAUCUUAAAAACCCAAAAUAUGGCCAAAACCCAGGGAAGUCAAACCAAAAGUCAACCUACUGUACGCUUAGCAUACUCCUUCCAGGGCAAGUAUGUGCAUCGUACCAACUGGGUAUGCCCAACGUACUCCCCAGAUUAUCAACCCAACCCAUUAAUAACUUAAUUGGUUAAGCCAACAUGCUAAACUCUCAGAUCUGGUUCUAAAUGGCGACUUACUAUGUAAAGUUGACAACUUUACACCCAUGCAUGAAUUAAUGGGGCCCAACACUAAAAAAGAAGCUUAAUAAGACUCUUAACACUUGCAUGGAAUAAUAUCUUACAUAAAGUUUGCAUUUUUAUGGGCAAAGGACCUCAAAUCAGCGAAGAUCUAACAUCCAUAGCUUCUGGAGUGGACCAUAACUUCAUAUAUGACUUAAAAGACCCAAAAACGCAUAAAUAUCACCAUAAAAUGGAUCUAGCACAAAGGACCAUCCAGAUGAGAGAUUUUUACCUCAAAAGGCUUGCUAAGGUGAAGAUAACUCUAGAUCUACAAGAUUAAGCUACUCCCAAGAAACCUCGAAGUGUUCCUCGUUUUCUUCUUCUUCACCACAAAACACCAACAAACUCACUUUCAAGCUCAAAUCUGACCAAAUACACUUAGGGUUUCGAUAUUGUGACAUAGGGUGAUGGAGGCUGAUCAAUAAAAUGUCCAAAGGUGGUUUAAGAUGUUUAAGUAGGCUGCAAACCCUAAAAAUUAGGGUUUGCCCCUGCUCUACGUAUGUCAUGCAUACUCUACGUACGCCCCACAUACGUGGGUGAAUCUUGCGUCCAGAAAAUAGAUAGUAUGAUAAGCGUACUCAUAGAGUAUGCCCUGUGUACUAGCUAUGGACCAAAAUGAUAAGGAUUUUGCAUUAAGGGGUUAGAAAGAAACUUACCAAAUUACGAAUGUUACAAUUCACUUUAAUCAGAAUUUGUCCUUGAAGUAUGCUGCUCCAAACAACUUUGGGUAGUGCUCUCUCAUCUCGUCCUCCGGCUCCCACGUCCAUUCUGAACCCUUUCGAUGCUGCCACUGAACUUUCACCAAUUCAACAACCUUGUACCUCAAGGCUUCGUCUUCCUGUCAAGAAUUGUUACCGGUCUCUCGAUAUAAUUCAUGCGAUCAUCCACUUAAAUAUCCUCUAAUAGAACCACCACGGAAUCAUCAAUUAAACAUUUUUGUAACUGAGAGACAUGAAAUAUGCUAUGGAUCAUACUAAGAUCCUCGGGAAGAUACAAGCGAUAAGCAACCCGAACCACCCGUGUGAUAAGUCCAUUUUAUGAAUGUACUAAAUUGUCAUAAAUCUGUUGAAUUGAUGUAUAAUUGUCCAAGAAUGGCACUACAUUGCUGAGUUAUUGAACUUCAUAUGCAGGUCAAUAUAUUGUACUAAAAGUGGGUGGAACCUACAAGUAAAACGGAUUGUUAAAGGAAUGAAGAAACGUUGCUGGGAAAAUUGACCAUUCUUCAAUGUUUUGGUCUAAUCUCAAGUUCUGGAGCUCCGAUUGACAUGAGUAUAGAAGUUCUGGAAACUAGACAAGAUUUUCUACAACUUUCGUGUUUUGUGCUUCUGCUAGUUAUGUCGUUUUGACUACCAAAACUUGCACAGAAGAUGAAGGACACCUCCAGACAUCUAAGACGUCCAGGUCAAACAGCCAACAUCUGGUCGUUAUUUCAGAGCAGAAAAGAAGGAAGAACCCCGUCAGCAUCUAACAUGGAAUCUAAGAUGUCCCCUAGGAUGUCUUGGCAUUUUAGGGACGUCCCGUGUUGGAACGGUGUGUUUAGGAAAGUUUAGAAAACAAGGCACGACGUCCUAGAACGCAUCUAAGACGUCUCCUAAGACGUUUGACGUUUUUGGCCAUUUUUUAGUAUAUUUCAAGGACGUACAAAGAUCGCUUGGGCGUUAUACACGACGUCUAAGAUGUCUCCUAGGACGUCCAACGUCCCACAUCGCCCAAUUUCAUUAUUUUUUAUCCCACACUAUAAAUAGGAGCCUAUUUCGUUGGUUAAAAUUCGGAUUCAAAGCAAGAUUCGAUUCAAUUCAUCAUCAAGCUAUAAGUGAAGAUCAUUUCAUUGGUUAAUUUUCAUCAAUUCUUUAUUUUCCAGAAUUAUUUCUUCUUCCCCAAGGUUUAUUUGUUCUACACUUCGAUAAUCAUUAGGCUACAUUUGUUUGAUGAUUCUACGUUUGUUUAUGAAUUCUAUAAUGGAUUUUAUUCAUUUUAAUCAAGUUAUUUGUCUUAUGAACUCAAUGGAAGGCUAAAUCAUUAGGGUUACUUCCGGGGAUGUUUAGGACUUUUUGAUGAACACACUUGAUUAUUACUUGAUUCUAGUUAAUUUCAAUUGUUGUUUUAUGCUUCAUGUGAUGAUCUUUUGGUAAUGAUAAUUGAAAUUGGGUUGUAUGAAUUGUUUGAUGUCAUAAUUAAGAUAGUCUAUUGUCAAUUCAUCAUUUGUUCCAAGUUCACAUAGUUUAGGAAUAAAGACAAGUGAUUGAAUCAACAUAUAUUAUUCCAACUUAUGAUAUUGAAUCUUAAUGCGGUAAUAGGUACUUGUAAGAUAUUUUAUUGCUAGUCCACUAAUUGUUCUUAAUCCAUUGAGGCAUAAAGGAGUAAGACAACUAGUUAAAUGAACAUUUAGUAUGCCCAAACUAUGUAUUACAAGUUAAUAAAUCCCAAUUGUAUCUAAGUAAUUGAAUUAGGAUUUAAGGGAAGAAAGUGUGUGAAUUUAAACUGUCCAUAACUGAACCGGGAGUACUCUAGUUUUCUCAUUGAGAUUUUCGUUGUAAUUAAUAAAUUUCCAUGCUUUUUGUUUGAUCUUUGCGUUAAAUUCUUUUUCGUGACAAUUGCUAGUAGCUUUUUUUCGUUGACUAUUUUAACACAAAGUUUGACAACAAACUCCCUGUAGAUUCGACCCUUACUUACCCUAGCUAUCUAGUGGUUUUGAGGUUAUUUUUGAUUGAUACAACGACAUCAAUCAUAAUUUGGCGCCUUUGUCGGGGAGAUUGUGCGCUUGAGCUAUUGUUUUUAAGUAGUUAUAGCCUUUUACUUUCAUUUUCAAUUCUCGUUUGUAGUUCACAUUUUGUUUUAUUUGUGUUGUGCAGGCACACUGGUGCAUGCAUACAAGACAUAGCAGACGCUCUUCACCGCUUGCAUUUGAUCCGGAAAUCGAACGAACAGCUCGCUCAAAUCGGGUCGCCAGAAGGAACAUCAACACUAUGAGUGUAGAUAAUGUUGUCGUGGAAGAUGUGGUUGAAGGGCAUGAGGAAGAAGCCAACAAUCCUCCACCACUAGUUCCACCACCAGCUCCUCAAUUCCCAAACAACAACAAUGGGAAUAACAACAAUGCCGGUGCACCAAUCAUCCAACCAGUGCAACCAUAACUGAAUAGAAACAACCGUGGCCAAAAUGGUGGAAACGGAGGAAAUUGGGCAUAGAAUAUGGGAGGCAAUGUAGGAAACCACACUGGUGGUAAUGUUAGAAAUCAUAACCAAAAUCCUAGAAAUGUUGGUCCUCAAUUCGGUAAUGGUGGUAAUGGUGGUAACGAGGAUGAUUGGGAUUUUGACGAUGGAAGUUACAACGGACUUGGUUGGAAUCAUAACCACAACGGUGGUAAUAGGCGGAAUCAAGGAAAUCGGGGUGGAAACGGGUACUAAAACAAUAACUGGAACAACCUGAAUUUCCCUAAUGGUGGCAACAAUUACUACAAUGAUGGGUUCGGAAAUCAAGGCUUUGGGAAUCAAUAUCGAAGGAAUCCAAAUGGUGGAUUCAACAAUGCGAAUGGAGGAUACUAAAAUGAAGGUAAUCAAUUCCCUCAUCUUUACUUUCUGCAGCCUAAUAGACAAUCUGUGGCGUCUCAUUUUCAGCCGAGAGAGUAUGAUGAUGCUUCACCCAUACUCUUCGCAGAAGUAAAUGAGCAUCAUGUAGAAGUAAGACCACAACUAAUUAGUGUCUUACCCGUCUUUAGAGGCCAUAAAACUAAUGAUCCAUACAAUCACCUCUAUGAGUUCCUUGCAAUUGCUAACGCGAAUACUCCGCGAGGAACUAAUAGAGAUUCAUUUAGACUUCUCUUAUUUCCGUUCACUUUAAAAGAAAAAGCUAAGUAUUGGUUCACUUCUCUUGCCCCCAUAGUAUCACUACUUGGGAGCAAUUAAAAACUAAAUUUUUGCAAGAGUUUUACCCAGCUAGUAAAACAACGGAAAUAAGAAAAGCCAUAGAAGAUUUUGCACAAAAACCCAAAGAAGAAUUUCAUGAUGCAUUUGAACGCCUCAAGGAAUUGUUCCGUUCAUGUCCCUAUCAUGAAUUUCCCCGUUGGCAACUGGUAGGUUUCUUUUAUGAUGGAGUCGAUACUGCCAAUCAAAGCAUGAUUAAUGCCUCGUCCGGCGGCAUUAUUAUGAUACAAGAUAGUGAAGACGCUUGGCGAUUCUUAGAGUAGUUGAGUCAUGGUUCAAAAACCAAUUACUCAGCUAAGAAACGGGACAAUCCAGUUUCAUCUGUUGCUUCAGUUGGACUAGACAAAAAACUGGAAAAAUGAAGUCAAAUCUGAUAUUAAUUCUUUAAAUAAAAUUUUUGACUUACUACUCUCUAGUCUAGGCAAAAAGAAAGGUGUGUUUUUUCGCAGGGACAGAAGAUAUGUGUAAGCUGUGGAGAUUCAUGACACAUUGCAGAUGAGUGCAUGAGAAUUCAAGAGGAAAUCAAUCAAGUGCAUGGUUAUGGUCAAUUCCAAAAUAAUCCACGAUCAUUCAAUCGGAACUACAUCCAAGGCGGGAACUACAACAACAUUGGGAUUUUCAACAACAACAACCGUCAAGGGAAUUACCAAAACCAAAAUCAGCCAAAACAGUUCCAGCAGUCCAACUUUAACCAAGGUGGAACAUCAAAGAAGGAGGAAAAUGAUGGCAACAAGUUGGACAAAAUCAUGGAGUUCAUAACCUAAACAUAUCAGAAAACCGACACUAACUCCAAGUCUAUAGCUGCUAUUGAGAAGCAAAUUGCUCAACUGGCGGAGCAAAUUGGGAAAAGAGAAGAUGGCAAGUUUCCAAGCACCACAACAGUGAACCCAUCUCAUACCCAGAGACCCCGAAAAGAGCAUCAAGUGAACGAGGUAAUUACCUUGUGUAGUGGAAAAAAGGUUGACAACAAGGUAAGUGCUUCUACAUUAGAUAAUGACAGUGACACUGAAGUCAUCUUUGAUGAAAAAGAAGAGUUUGAGAAAGAUUUUAAAUCCGAAAAACAAAAAGAAGAUAAGGUUAAAAAUGACUCUAAAGUUGGGGAGCAUGGUGUGGAGGUUAAUACCGCACCAUACCCUUCGGCUUUAGAGAAGCCGGCAUCCUUCCCUUUUGGGAAGCGAGGGCUAAAAAUGGAAGACAUGUGAGAUCUAUUUAGUCAAGUUAAAAUAAAUAUCCCAUUAGUCAAACUUAUUAAGGAGGUACCUUCUUAUGCUAAAUUUUUGAAGGAUUUGUGUGUUCAAAAACGCAAACUCCAAGCAUACCUCCCUAAAAAGAUUGAUUUAGUCAAGCAUGCGAGUUCGAUAAUAUCAAAUAAACUUCCACCCAAGCUUAAGGAUCAUGGAGCACCUUUAAUUUUUGUUACGCUAGGUAACAUUAAUAUAAAAAAGGCGCUCCUUGAUCUUGGAGCUAGUGUUAAUAUAAUCCCGGGAAAUUUUUUUGAUCAACAUGACUUAGGCACUUUGGAACAAACUGAUAUUAUUUUACGAUUGGCCGAUAAGUCAACAAAAAUUCCUUGGGGAAUAUUAUCAGAUGUUAUUAUUAAGGUGGGAGAUUUCUAUUACCCAGUUGAUUUUCUUAUGCUUGACACCGUGAGCACUUAUAAAGAAAGUCAACCUUCUAUUAUUUUAGGUCGUCCGUUAUUGACAGCAAUAAAUGCACAAAUUAAUUGUAGAACGGGUGCAAUGGAUAUCUCUUUUGGAAAUAGGAAACUUAGAAUUGAUAUUUUUAAUACGUUUCCUAACUCACCAUCAGAUUAUGAAUGUUAUCAUGUGGAUGUGGUUGAUGACUUAGUGCAUCAAUUCACUCUUAAAAUCUUACACCCUGAUCCAUUGGAGUUUUUUCUUUCUAAUGACAGGGACGAAGUUUUAGAGUUGGAUGACAUCAAGAUGGUUGAGGAGGCAUUUGAAAAUGUUAUUGAGCAAGAGAGGCCACCAUGGAGUUAUCAAGUUGAAAAAUUGCCAACAAGUUUUUCGGACCCACUUAAGCCAUCUUUGGAGGAGCCACCCAGUCUUGAACUCAAAACUCUUCCUUCACAUCAUAGAUACUCUUUUUUAGGAUCUAAGGAGAACUUACCAAUUACCAUAUCUUUUGAUUUGACAUGUCCACAGGAGGAAGCAUUACUGAAGGUGCUUUCGAAGUACAAGGGAGCAAUUGGAUGGACCAUAGCAGACUUGAAGGGAAUUAUUCCAGCCACAUGUAUGCAUUGAAUCAUCACUGAAGCUAGAGAAAAGCCAUCCCGAGAUGCACAACGAAGGCUCAACCCGAAUCUGCGAGAAGUUGUUAAAAAGGAGGUGUUGAAAUGGCUUGAUGCGGGUAUUAUCUACCCAAUAUUUGAUAGUGAUUGGGUGAGCCCGACACAGACAGUGCCAAAGAAGUCGGGCGUUACAGUGGUAGAUACAGAAGAUGGAGAGAAGAUCUCAACAAGAUCGGUCACCAGAUGGAGAGUUUGCAUCGACUAUCGCAAACUCAAUGCUGCAACAUCAAAUGACCAUUUCCCUCUCCCUUUUAUUGAUCAAAUAAUUGAGAAAUUGUAUGGUAAAAAGUUUUAUUGUUUUUUGGAUGGAUACUCGGGGUAUAAUCAAAUUGCCAUCCACCCCGAGUAUCAAUCCAAAAUGACAUUCACGUGUCCAUAUGGCACCUUUGCUUUCCGAAGGAUGCCAUUCGGCUUGUGUAAUGCCCCUGCCACAUUUUAAAGAUGUAUGAUGGCUAUUUUUUUAGACGUGGUGGGGGAUGCAUUAGAAAUUUUCAUGGAUGAUUUUUCUAUUUUUGGAUCAUCUUUUGAGACAUGCUUAGACCAAUUAGAAAAAGUUUUGAAACGUUGUAUUGACUCUAAUUUGGUUUUAAGUUGGGAGAAGAGUCAUUUCAUGAUAAAAUAGGGAAUUGUACUUGGCCAUGUUGUCUCCGAGCAUGGCUUUGAAGUCGACCGGGCCAUAGUACAAAUUAUUUCUACUCUUCUCCCACCAACUUCAGUAAAAGGCGCCCGUUCUUUUCUUGUACAUGCCGGCUUUUAUCGAAGAUUUAUCAAGGAUUUUAGUGCAAUGUCAAAACCUCUUUGUAAUUUACUUUUAAAAGAUGCACCAUUUUCCUUUGAUAAAGCAUGUCUUGAAUCUUUUACCACAUUAAAGAACAAACUUGUUGAAGCUCCUAUCUUGCAAUCACCCGAUUGGACUUUACAUUUUGAAAUUAUGUGUGAUCCAAGUGAUUACGCGGUAGGGGCAAUUUUGGGACAACGGGUGAAUAAAAAACCCAUUGCAAUUUGUUAUGCGAGCAAAAAAAUUUCGGAUGCACAAUUGAAUUACACUACUACCGAAAAAGAGUUGCUUGCGGUCGUGUUUGCACUUGAAAAUUUUAGAUCUUACAUAUGGGGAUCUAAAGUUGUAAUUUUUACCGACCAUAGUGCCAUUCACCACCUCUUGGAAAAGAAGGAUGCCAAACCACGUCUCAUAAGAUGGAUCCUUCUUCUUCAAGAGUUUAAUCUUGAAAUUCAGGACAAAAAGGGUUCUGAAAAUGUUGUGGUGGAUCAUUUAUAUAGAAUAACUAAUAAUGAUAACUCAACGAAAGUUAUUCAAGAAAACUUUCCAGAUGAGCAUAGUCUUGUUGUCAAAACUAUACCAUGGUUUGCUAAUUUAAUUAAUUACUUUGCGACAGGGGAAACUCCAUUGUAUUGGAAUGCUCAACAAAUGAGGUUCUUCCACUCUCAAACAAAAUACUACAUAUGGGAGGACCCAUAUAUUUUCAAAAUUGGAGCAGAUCAAGUGAAUAGGAGAUGUGUACCACAUACAGAGCAAGAAGACAUUCUUCGACACUGCCAUUCAUAUACAUGUGGAGGGCAUUUUAGUGCCAAAAGGCAGGGCAUCGGGUUCUACAAAGCGGUUUUUUCUGGCCCUCUAUUUUUAAAGAUGCACAUACAUUCGUUAAAGCUUGUAUUCGUUGCCAACAAGUUGGGGGGAUCUCAAGACGGGACAUGAUGCCAAUGACCCCAAUUUUAGUAGUUGAAAUCUUUGAUGUAUGGGGCAUUGAUUUCAUGGGUCUGUUCCCCACUUCUUUUGGCAAUCUAUACAUUCUUGUAGCCGUUGAUUAUGUAUCAAAAUGGCUCGAAACCGAGGAUACACACACGAAUGACCAUAGUGUUGUUUGUAAAUUUGUUAAAAAGAACAUAUUUUCUACACACGGAAUCCCUCGAACUAUUAUUAGUGAUGGGGGCUCCCAUUUUAAAAAUUGGCAUUUUGCAAAGUUACUUAAACACUAUAGUGUCACACAUAUGAUAGCUACUCCAUAUCACCCACAAACAAAUGGACAAGUAGAAGUGUCAAAUAGGGAAAUAAAACGAAUCUUGGAGAAGACUGUUCAUCCCGACCGAAAAGAUUGGUCAUUAAGAUUAGAUGAUGUGUUAUGGGCAUAUCGAACAACCUAUACGACGCCCAUUGGAAUGUCUCCGUAUCGGCUUGUUUAUGGAAAGCCAUGCCAUCUCCCGGUGGAGUUAGAACACCGUGCCAUGUGGGCCAUAAAAAAUGCUAACUUUGAAUUGAGUGAUGCAGGUAUAGAAAGGAAACUCCAAAUUGUUGAAUUGGAAGAGAUUCGAAAAGAAGCUUACGAAAGCUCAAGGAUCUAUAAAGAAAAGACGAAGGCAUUUCAUGACCGACAUAUUGUCCGAAAACAAUUCGUUAAAGAACAAUUGGUGUGGCUAUUCAACUCUCGUCUCAAACUCUUCCUCAGAAAGCUUCGGAGUAAAUGGAAUGGACCUUUUGUGGUGAAAAAUGUGGCGGAUCAUGGAUCUAUUGAAAUCAAGGACACGAAAGGCAGUGAACCAUUCAAGGUAAAUGGACAAAGACUCAAACCUUAUAUUCGAAUGGUAAAUGGUGAAACAACAUUCGUUGAGAAAACAACGCUCAAGGCAACACAAUAUUUAGAAACAACUUAGUCGAGGUAAACCGUCCGGCUGAAGACAUAAAACUUACCGCUUUUCGGGAGGCAACCCGUGGUUUGGUGUGUUUUUACUUCUAUUCUUCUUUUGGUGUGUUUUAAUUCUUUUCGUAUCGAGGACAAUCCAAGGUUUAAAGUUGGGGAGGGGGUAUUUAAUUUUUGUUUAAAAUUAAAUAAUAUUCGAAAAAUACUCAAAAAACAGCAAAAAAAAAUAGCCUCAGGCAUCCUAGGGGUGUCUUAGACGUUGUCUAAGACGCCGUCGGGCUGUCACUUCUUUUCCCCCCGAUGAAAACCCUUCGCGAAAAUUAAAAAAAUACCCUUAAUGUGUAUGACGUCCUAGGACGCGUCUAAGACGCCGGCUAGGACGUCGACGUGUUUUUCAACCGUUUUAUGCCGUUUUCUGCAUUAUUGUUGGUAUCUUUCUUCUCCAAACUGCCAUAGCCGAAAACCCACUUGUUCUUGCUUAUUUCCUUUGAUUUCUUGGCCAAAACUCAACCAAAAUUCGUGGUUUUUGUUGCAAUCUUCAAGAAAUCAAGUAAGAAACAUCACAUUGCAAGAUUUACACACUCUAAUCACUUAUUUGGGGCCGAUUUCAAAACCCACAAAAACUAGGGUUUCGAAAUUUUGACUUAUUUUGAGAUUUUACUUCAAGUUCUUGGUUCUUCUUCACUAGAAACACAAUUUCAACAAGGUAUAUGCUUCAAAACUCCAUCUUUUAGUUGAAUUUCAGAAUUUUUGCAUGUAUGUUCAUAUAUGUUUGAAAUUUUGAAAAAGAUGAAGAAUAUGAUAUAUAUUGGUAUGAAUUCUUGUGAAUUAGUGUUUGUAGUUGUUAGAAGUAUGUUCCAAACAAGUUGCAUGUGUUGAUUCGAGAAAUUUCUAAAAAUUGAAUUUUUGUUGUUAGUUGUUAAAAAAUAAUAAUAAUAAAUAAAAGCACAUAUAAUGUUGGAAAAUCAUUCUUAUGUUUAUAUUUGUGUUUGAAUUAAAAAUUCAAGUUUUUAGAAAAUUUCAGAAUGACACUGAAUUUUGACAUUGCAUUGUUAGUCUGAAUAUUUGCCUGUUACAGUUCUGUUCUGGUUUUAGUUAGAACUUGUCAGUUGAAGUUAACUUUUGGUUUAACUGUGUUUUUACUGAUUGGAUAAAUUUUUGAAAAAUAUUUAGUUACUAAAAACAUAACAGGACUUAAAACGGUUAUUUAUUUAGACUGGAUUUAUUUUAACUUUGUUUGGAACAACUUGCCAACUGAAUUAUUUGUUUUAUUUUUGUGACAUUUGAUAUGUUUAAUGGCAAGUUUUGUUUUGUGGUUUUGUGUAUGAAUUAUUUUGCAGAUGCCAGCAAAGAGAUCAAGGGUAGCAUCAUCAAGCAGUGCAUCUAGACAACCAGCUAGACAGUCGGAGCCAAAUGUACAUGUGGCUUUCAACCCACAGUAUCAGACAUUGCAUGAGCAUCUAGAUGACAUUCGUCCAACAGUUUAUGAGGCAACUCAUCCGAAUAUGGGUUUUAUUGUAGAGUACAUGGUGGAGCGACCGAGCUUCACUAGGUAUAAUAUUGUGGAGACGUUUGAUCGCUAUGGAUGGGGUGGAGUGCUAGACUUCAAUCCCACGCAGAUUUAUGUUGAUAUAGUGCAGGAAUGGAUGAGGAAACUUCGACGUGUCGAGGUGCCUGGUAGGCCGGAGGAGUUGCCGCUGAUUGGGACGGUCCGUACUCAUGAUAUAGUGAUAACUGUGCAGGGUAUUCGGGACAUGUUUCAUGUAGAUACUGGCUGUCAUUUUCAUUAUCUUGAGAAUCAUCUGACUGAGUAUAGAUGUAUUGACACGAGGGGGUAACCCUGGGGUUAGUAUGACUGAAGUAUACCGUAUAGUGUUCCAUGAGGGGACGAGGGCAUACGACAGAUUCCGCGAAUUGGUGCCUUUAGCAAAGGCAUUACAUAACAUUAUCACGAAAAAUGUGAACCCAAGGAAUAGUGAUCCUAGGGCGGUGAGGCCACAUGACUUAUAUGUAUUAUAUGGAUUGAUGAUAGGAUCUAUCUUUAUCUCUUAUGCAUAUAAUGCUAUGUGCAACAUAUGGUCCUGUUUUGAUAUCCAGCACAGAGUCACUACCCCCCAUGUUGCCCUGAUAUCGACAUAUGUUGCCUUGCUACUUCUUUUAGACACAUCUCAUUUCAUGUUGAAAAUGGGAGACAUAUUCUGAGGGAUUCUACCACAAAUCCGACAUACACGGCACCACUCGGAGUGGGGGAUGAGGAGCCAUUCGUUGGUGAUUUUUAGGGGGAUCAGUAGCAGCAAUAGGCAUAAGCAGCAGGUCGGGGAUAGAACAUGCAGGCAGCUUGGGAGGACUUUGUGGGGAGGCAGAACAUGCAUAACCAGGAGGUGCAGGCUUGGAUGGGGAGAACGGAUAUAUGGUUGAAGGGUGUCGAUACGACACUAGCUGAUAUUACUGAGCAGAUGCGACAGAUUGGCAUUACAUCUAGCAACACUUAUAGUGUUGCCACUCGUCAGUUGUACCAACAGGAGUACUAUGCAGAUGCUGCCUACACAUAGAGUCGUGUCCAGUAUGAACCGAUGGACAUUGAUCAACCACAGUAUCGAUACCGAGCUCCAGCUCCGUUCUUCUACCGAUCCGGGAAUCUGAGCAACUAUCCACCGCCAUCCGAGCAUGAGCAUUAUCAGCCACCACCAGCUACAGAGGACUCUACUCGCUUUGAGGAUUUAGUUGGAUCGAUCUUUGGGUAUCCUCCACCAUACCCACGUUAUCCUCCACAGUCGCCCCCACAUUGAACUUUGGUGAGAUCCUCUUUUGAUUUUUAUUUUUAUGGUUGUUUGAUGAAGACUUUUUUUAUUUUUAUUUUUAUUUUUCGUUUGCUUUUCAUGUCUUUAUUUGGGAUGAAUGUACUAUUAUUAAACUCAUUAUUAUUAUUACUCUCUCUUGGGUUGGUUCCAUUAAAUAUGUGAUGAGUUAGUAGCAUCUCUAUAUCUUGAACGUAACUCAUCAAAAUGGAAAAUGAUAGGAGUUUCGUAAAUUGAGUCAUAAUAUUUAUUUAAUAUUGAUUUUGUGGAUUGCUCAACCGAUUUGGGAAUAUUUAUAUUUAGUUAAAAAAUUGUUAUGUGAAAUACCCAAGUGUUUGAAAAAUGACGGUUUUUAGCUCGAGCCUACGAUCUUUCAAUUGAGGACCCAACCGAACAAUAUGUGUCAUCACGCUCUGAGUACUUGGUCUUACUUACUCUUGCGCCUUUGGGGUUGGGAGGGGACUAUUAUUGUUUUCACACAAUAAAAAAGCAUCAAAAGACAUUGAAGAACUUCCAAGUAUCUAUAUUCAAGCUCAAGUCAAAUACCAAAAUGAUCAAAUCCGAUGAAGCCAUCAAAGAACUUGAAGAAUGCAAAAUCAAGAUAAAUAUGAAGAAAAGUUCAAGUUGAAGACAUUGUGUGAAAUAAUGUGUGACCCCUCGAUAGCGGGAGCGUAUGGGUUGGUCCAUUAAGUGUUACCGACCGCGCUAACUAUGUUAGUGAACCUUGAAAAAAGGGACUUUGGCAAUGAGUUCAACUGAUUACUCAUGAGGGUGAUUAUUGGAAAGGGUUCAAAAAGUGGAGGGUUUCAAACAACAAAGUAAAAUAAGCAUAACAUGUGUUUUGAGUUUAAAAGUCUGGAUAAGAAAAUAAUAAUCCCCAUAAUCAAUAUAUUGUGCUAUUGGAAAUGUUGUGAUAAAAAGUACAGAAUUCAUGAUUCCAUUGAGUUUUUCUUAGGAUAAGAGAGUAAAGACUACGCUGAUUAUUUCAGGCCAAUCUCGGGACGAGUUUGGAAUAAAGUUGGGGAGGUUUGAUAAGUCCAUUUUAUGAAUGUACUAAAUUGUUAUAAAUCUGUUGAAUUGAUGUAUAAUUGUCCAAGAAUGGCACUACUUUGAUGAGUUGUUGAACUUCAUAUACAGGUCAAUAUAUUGUACUAAAAGUGGGCGGAACCUGCAAGUAAAACAGUGCUAAAGGAAUGAAGAAACGUUGCUGGGAAAACUGACCAUGCUUCAAUGUUUUGGUCAUAACUGAAGUUCCGCAGCUCUAAUUGACAUGAGUAAAGAAGUUCUGGAAACUAGACAAGAUUUUCUACAACUUUUGUGUUUUGUGUUUCUGCUAGUUAUGUCGUUUUGACCACCAAAACUUAAACGAAAGAUGAAGGAUGCCUCCAGGCGUCUAAGACAUCCCCUAGGACGUCCACAUCAAACGGUCAGCAUCUGGCCGUUAUUUCAAAGCAGAAAAGAAGGAAGAACCCCCGUCAGCGUCUUACAUGGCGUCAAAGAUGUCCCCUAGGACAUCUUGGCAUUUUGGGGAUGUCCCGUGUUGGAACGGUGUGUUUCGGAAAGUUUAGAAAACAAGGCAGGACGUCCUAGAACGUGUCUAAGACGUCUCCUAAUACGUUUGACGUUUUUGGCCAUUUUUUAGUGUAUUUCAAGGACGACAGAUGGCAUGCAAGGACGUACAAAGAACGCCUGGGCGUUAUACACGACAUCUAAGAUGUCUGCUAGGACGUCCAACAUCCCACAUCCCCCAAUUUCAUUAUUUUUUAUCUCACACUAUAAAUACGAGCCUAUGAAUUCGUUUUUAGGGUUACCACCUCCGAUUUUCAGAGUUUUUCAUGUGUUUUUGAGGCUUCUAAAACACUUGGAAACAUUUGAAAACACAAAUCCAUUCCAUUAAAAUCCGGAUUCAAAGCAAGACUCAAUUCAAUUCAUCAUCAAGCUAUAAGUGAAGAUCAUUUCAUUGGUUAAUCUUCAUCAAUUCUUUAUUUUCCAGAAUUAUUUCUUCUUCCCCAAGGUUUAUUUUUUCUAUAAUUUGAUAAUCAUUAGGCUACAUUUGUUUGAUGAUUCUACAUUUGUUUAUGAAUUCUAUUAUGCAUUUUAUUCAUUUCAAUCAAGUUAUUUGUUUUAUGAACUCAAUGGAAGGCUAAAUCAUUAGGGUUACUUCUGGGGAUGUUUAGGACUUUUUGAUGAACAUAAUUGAUUAUUACUUGAUUUUAGUUAAUUCAAUUGUUGUUUUAUGCUUCAUGUGAUGAUCUUUUAGUAAUGAUAAUUGAAAUUGGGUUGUAUGAAUUGUUUGAUGUCAUAAUUAAGAUAGUCUAUUGUCAAUUCAUCAUUUGUUCCAAGUUCACUUAGUUUAGGAAUAAAGACAAGUGACUGAAUCAACAUAUAUUAUUCCAACUUAUGAUAUUGAAUCUUAAUGCGGUAAUAGGUAGUUGUAUGAUAUUUUAUAGCUAGUCCACUAAUUGUUCUUAAUCCAUUUAGGCAUAAAGGAGUAAGACAACUAGUUAAAUGAAAAUUUAGUGUGCCCAAACUAUGUAUUACAAGUUAAUAAACCCCAAUUGUAUCUAAGUAAUUGAAUUAGGAUUUAAGGGAAGAAAGUGUGUGAAUUUAAACUAUCCAUAACUGAACCGGAAGUACUCUAGUUUUCUCAUUGAAAUUUUCGUUUUAAUUAAUAAAUUUCCAAGCUUUUUGUUUGAUCUUUGCUUUAAUUUUUUUUCGUGACAAUUUCUAGUAGUUUGUUUUUUUUCGUUGACUAUUUUAACACAAAAUUUGACGACAAACUCCUUGCGGAUUCGACCCUUACUUACCCUAGCUAUCUAGUGGUUUUGAGAUUAUUCUUGACUGAUACAACGACAUUGAUCAUCGUGCCAAAACCCUAAAGAGACCGAUGUGCCUGGGGCCCAAUUUGCUCUUCUUCCUGAAUCGGAUGACACCUUUCCAAUGUGACAAGUUCAGGGGGACCAUAUCCCUAACCUGAAACUCUAAAUCUGAUUGGUGCUUGUCGGCAUAGCUCUUCUUCCGGCUCUAAGCUGUCUGGAGCCUACUCCAAACUGCUGAAUCAACUUGGUAGUCUUGAGUACCGCUUUGGUACUCCCCAUUAGUAGCUGACCGUCCUCACCCCAACAUAUCAUGGUACUGCAUUUCUUUCUAUAGAGCAUCUCAAAAGGAGGUCGAUUAAUGUUGGCGUGAUUACUAUUGUUAUACAAAAACUAUUGGAUUAGGUGUCUAAGACCAUAACUAUUUUGGUAUGUACUUGACCCGAUUGUGAGCAUGGUCCUUUUGGGUUGCCUUCACCAUAGCAACUGAUGGGAUGAAUUAAGGAGAAAAAGGAUUAAUUAUGAUUUAUUAAUAUAUUAUAUGAAUAAUAUAUUAAAAGAGAAAUCAUAUUGUUUAAUUAAUAUUAGUCAAUAAUUCAUUUUGUGGCUAAAAGAGAUUAAUUAAAUAAAGGGGACUGAUAUUGCAAUUAUAUGAUAGUUGCAAAUUGGGCUAUGGAUUCCUAAUGGAAAUCGGAUUGGACAAAAUCUAUGGGAAGCCCAUAUGGAUUUCGUCCAAGGGCUUUCCAAGGGAACUCCAUGGGUUGCUUAAGGCGUAAGCAGUGAGAUUAGGGUUUCCUGAUUCAAAACCCUAAUAGCCUAAGUAUAAAAGGAACCCUUGGCAAGCCAAAAACGUCCCUAACCUUAUAAGAGAAACCCUAGGACGUUUUUGGUGCCUCCUCCCUCUCUCCUUGUUCAUCUUGUUACAUAUGGUGUUUGUGACUCCAUUAGAGGUGCAACAUUUGAGGCACUAGGCUUUCAGAAGUCAAUUACAAGAAGGAUUCGGAUUGUUAUUGCAACAUAACAAUCAAGGUAAGAUCUAAAAUCUAUCCUUUUGUCAAUUUUGAUUAUUGUAUACUAGAGUUAGGGUUUAUGAGCUUUGGAUGAUUAUUACGUAUAUCAGACAAACUAGAUCCAAAGCUUUAGGGUUUGCAUGUACACCAUAGGAUUGACGUAGUGCUCAAAACCCAUCAAAAACUACGCCAAAGGGAUAUAUGUAUCCCAACUCCCACCAAAAUCCAGAACACACGCCCGAAGCAUAUCCUCCAAGGUAUGAAUAGUCCUCUCGCUCUGACCAUCAGUAUGUGGGUGGAAAGUCGUACUGAAAUGCAGAUGAGUACCCAGCUCGUCGUGGAACCUCUUCCAAAAUCUGGAAGUAAACCGGACGUUCCUGUCUAAAACCACAAAACGGGCACACCAUGAAGUGCCACUACCUCCCUGAUGUAUACCUCAGCUAACUUCUCUGAGGAGAUACUAUCUUGAGUCGGAAUAAAAUGUGUGAACUUGGUCAAUCAAUCCACGAUGACCCAAAUCGAAUCCACUCUAUGUUCACUCUAAGGCAACAUCGUAAUGAAAUCCAUGGUAAUCUCCUCCCAUUUUCAAACAGUGAUAUCUAACGGUUACAUCUUGUCGUGAGGCCACUGAUGCUCGGCCUUGACUUUCCUUCAAGUCAAGCAUCUCUCCACGUACCAAGCUACAUCCCGCUUCAUACAGGGCCACCAAUAAUCAGGAUGAAGAUCAAUAUACAUCUUCGUCGUGGUGGGAUGAAUGGAGAAUCUCAAUUUGUGUGCCUCCUCCAUCAGAACUUGACGCACACCAGCCCAAUCGGAACCCACACUCUUCGAUGGAGAUUCAAUAACCCUUGGUUUUCAUAAUAAAAGGAAGCCACCUGACUCACUGUGCGCUCACUCUUCCCAUCACAACCUCAACCUGAGCCUCUCAAAUCUACUCUAAAAGUGGAGUGAUCACAGUCAUCCUGAAACAAAUAUCCUUGAACGGAGCCGCGAUCGCCUUGCUGCUAAGAGCAUCGGCCACCACAUUAUCCUUCCCCGUAUGGUAAAGGAUCUCACAAUCAUAAUCCUUCACCACAUCCAACCAUUGGCACUGCCUCAUGUUCAUAUUUGGCUGAUCCAUCAGAUACCUCAAGCUCUUGUGAUAUGUCUAUAUAGUACAGCGGGCCCCAUAGAGGUAAUGUCAUCAAAUCUUGAGGGCAAAAACCAUAGCCCCAACUCUAAAUCAUGCAUCGGAUAAUUCGUCUCAUGAUGCUUCACUUACCUUGAAGCGUAAGCGAUCACGUGACCCCUCUGCAUCAGAACUACACCUAAACCUGUGAUCGACGCAUCAUAAUAAACCAUGAAAUCUUCAACACCCUCCGGCAGGGUCAAAAUAGAUGCCUCACACAAUCUUUAUCUUAGGGUCUCAAAAGUUGCAUGUUGGUCGGGCGCCCAGCGAAAAGUGACAAUCUUCUUCGUCAACCGAUUUAGAGGAACCGCUAUCUUGGAGAAAUCCUAAAUGAACCUCCGAUAAUAGCCUUCCAACUAAGGAAACUCCAAAUCUUAGAUGGAGACCUCGGUACCUCCCACCUCAUCACGGCCUCGACCUUGGCCGGAUCGACCAGAAUACUGUUUUGGUUGACAAGGUGCCCUUGAAACUGCACCUCGUGCAACUAGAACUCGCACUUGGAGAACUUUGCAAAAAGUCUCUCCCUCCUCAAAGUUUCCAAUACCUCCCUGAAGUGCUCCUCAUGUAGCUCCUGGGUCUUGGAAUAGACCAGGAUAUCAUCAAUGAAUAGGGCAUUUUGUAUAAUCAAUUGUUGAUGUUAUUGAAAAUAAUGAUGUUAUUGAAACAUAUGCAUGGCAUGUAUUCCCAAUAAUUAUAUUUAAUUAAUUGGUUGUUGUGCAUGUUAUUAUAUUGGGAACAAAUUAGAAAGUGGUCCAUGUGGUAGUACAUGAUAUGUAUGGGGACCAUUUGUAGUUAAUAGUCAAUGGGUAUUUUUAUAAUGGAAAAAUGGGACCUUUGAACCCAUUAUAGAACCAUAUCCAUGACUAUAUAACAAAUUCACAUGCAUGCACAUUAUUCCAAAUUUUUCCAUGCAUAAAUAUUCAAACCCAUUGGUCAUGAGUUUACUUAAAAAGGCAACAUACUUUCAUAAGUGAGUAAAAUAUCAUUUCAUGUCAACAAUUUACUUACAAAGGCAACAUACAUUCAUUAGUGACCAAAAUACCCUUUUAUGUCAUGAGUUAACUUAAAAAAGCAUCACGCAUACAUAAAUGACUAAAAUACCCUUUUAUGUCAUGAGUGAACUUAAAAAGGCACCAUGCAUACAUAAAUGACCAAAAUACCCUUUUAUGUUAUGAGUGAACUUAAAAUGGCACCAUGCAUACAUAAAUGACCAAAAUACCCUUUUAUGUCAUGAGUUAACUUAAAAAGCCACCAUGCAUACAUAAAUGAUCACAUCACAUGUAUUCAAAUACACAUACUUUAAAUCCAAAUUACCAUCAUCCUAAUACACAAACUUAAAAUCCAAAUUACCAUCAUCCUAACACACAUACUUUAAAUCUAAAUAACACAAAGGAAAAAUCAACACUAAUAAAUUAGAAGAGCUUUUCCCUUAGAAUUUCCUGGAUCAUCAACACCACCAACUUUCUUGCCUAAUUUCAACUUGAAGAUUCUCUUUGACUUUCUUCUCCUUAUCCUGUUCAAAAUCUUGGAAAUUGGUCUAACCCUUACCUGUUGAACCUAGAUAAUAGGAGUAACCUCCUAAAUUUGAACAUUAUCAACAACUUGGACAUUAGGAAUAACCUCAUCAUCUUGAACAUUACCACCCUCCUCAACUUCCUCACCCAUAACACCCCCAUCACCUUCAUAACUUCUAGGUGGAAUAACUUGCAUAGACUGACUAAAAUCCCUUGCACUACUGGAUUCAACAUGAGUAGAAGUAACUUGCAUAUCAUUUUGAGUAUUAUCCAUCUCAAUUGGAGUCAUUUAACCUCUUCUUGUUGUUGUGGUUCACUUGUACUACCCUAUAUGGCAUGAUAUAAUUAUGUUAGUGGCAAAUCAUAUGUAAAUAAAUUUAAAUUUUAAAUGGUUUUACCUGUUCUGCAUUUUUCUUCACAUAAACUUUUUGUUUCUUCUGUUUCUUUACAUUUAACUUUUGGGGCCUUCUCUAUGGACAAGUGGCCUUACUGUGACACAUCUCCUUGCAUAUAAUACAUCUAAUUUUCUUUCCAUCCUUAGAAACCCUGUGUGUUCCUGUAUUCUUUGUAGUGGAUUUCUUCUUCUUAGUAGCUGGCCUACCAUGCAUCCGUCUACUAAUAAGAGGCAAUGGUGGAGUAUAAUUUGUCUCUGGCCACAUGUCACUGCCAUUCAUGGGGGAAAUUCUGUAAUUGUAUGCCUUCCGAAUUGUGGUGGUGUUAAACAUGUUGUCUACAUAGGCUUCUACAUCUCUAUUAAGAUUGGAUAUGGUAGCUACAGAAUGAGCAUAUCCAUAUCCAUUUAACCGCCACAACCUACAUGAACAUGUUUUCCUUUAUAAGUCCACCUCAUAUGCAUCUGUUUCUCCCUUACCUCGAACUGGUUUAAUCCACUAGGUAGUACCUGAUAAUGCCUCUGAAUUUUUUAAGCAAAUUCACCUUAUCCCUUAUCUCUGGACAAAUAUUAUUUCCCCAUUGUUGUCCCUUUAAUUUCAUGUUGUACAUUUUGUCCAUCAUGUAUAAUCUUAACUCCUCUAACAUGGUUAUUAUGGGCUUCUUCCUGGUAUCCACUAUUACAACAUUAAAACUUUCAGAGAAAUCAUUUUCAACUGCAUCACAACACCUUCCAGCUUGAAAGUAAGCUCUUGACCAUGUUUUAAGAUCUUUCUCCAUGAGAUAUUGAUGGGCAUCUGGGUUUAAUGUCUCAAUUUCCUUCAUCACAACUUUAAAAGCAUGCUCAUUUGUGGUUUUAGAUGCUCUCCAAAACAAGGUAUGAUAUAUGACACCAGUGAAUCUCUUCUGCAAAUUUUGAAAAAUAUGUCUAGCACACUGCCUGUGCAUAUGGAAGAAACUCUUUAACAGCCUCUAUCAAACCUUGUAUUAAUAAAAAGGUUUAAAUCAGAUAGUAUAAAAUAAAUAUAAAUGAAUUACUAUGUAAAAUACUAACCUUAUGUUGGUCUGACAUUAAACUGAAGCAAUUGCCUAAACUUAAGUUUAGAUUAUUAAUGAGAAGCUCUAAAAACCACUUUUAAUUCUACUUGUUCUCCACACUAACCAUUGCCCAAUCAAUAGGAUAUAUCUUGUUAUUUACAUCCCUCCCAAUAACACAAAGCAAUCCCCCCUUACAAACACCUUUAAGAAAACAUCCAUCAAGACCCAUUAUCCUUCUACACCCUUUAAUCCAACCUUGUUUAAUUCCUUGAAAACAAACAUAGAACUUGCUAGAAUAUUUCUUUCCAUCUGGACCAUCCUCCACAUCUAGUUUCACAGUUGACCUAGGAUUUGUCCUUAAAAUCUCAUCAACAUAUUACCAUAGCUUACCAUAAUGUUCAACAAGGCUACCUUCAACAAGAUUUAAUGCAUACUUCUUUGUUCUCCUACAUUAGCCCAUACUAACUUGGAUACUAAACUUGGUCAUUACCUUUACCCUAAGCUUCCUUACACUCAUUUUAUGACUUUGUACAAUCUCUUUGGUAUAGUGACUCCCAAUCCAUGCAUAUGUCACCAAUAAUCCAAACUUGAAGUUCCUAGCACAAUUAUGAUAAGCUUUUUGUGACUUGAUUUGGAAAGUCUCUCCAUCAUUCAUCCAAGAAGCCCAUAAUAUAAAUGUGCAAGCACCCUUGCUACAUCUCACCAAAAGUCUUUUCCUAUCAUAUUUUUUCAAAACACAAUUGAUAUCCAUUAGCCACAACAUAGUUGCACAACCUUGACUUUACUUGCCCUGGACCCUUAGAUCUCAUUCCUAGAAUUGGUUUUUGUUUUUUCCAGUGUAAUAGCUCAUUAAAUAUGGAAAUAGUUUGGAUGUUAGGUUCAACUUCUCUCCCAUUAUCAUCAUCUACAAUGUUGUUAUCCUCCUCAUCAUCAACACACAACUUACUCACGAAAGGAUCAUUUGAUGUCCUAUUCAUAUGCACUGCAUCCUUAUUAAAUUCAAAGACAACAUUCCUAAGUUCAUCUAUGUUAUCUUCAUCUAUGUUAGCGGCGCAGCUUUUUGCCCGUUUGCCUUCAAUCGAUAUGUAUUGAACAAAAAUGUUUGAAUGUCUAUCAAUACAAGGCUCAUGUUCAUCAUCAAACCACCCACCAACACCAACCCCAAUAUGAUCCACAUAAACCGAAAUUACACCAUCUGUUCCAUCAACAUCAAAAAUAAAAGCAGCAUAGUCCACAUCAUCUGAAAAUGGGAUUAAGCUCUUCCAUCAGGGAAUUGCCUGGUUUACAGUAGUAAAACUUUUUACACUCUUCAUGCAUGAAAUGUUCACAGAAGGUCACAAGCUCAGAAUAAGUCAUAGAAGAAAAGUCGACAUCAGUGAACAUGGUUUUCACACCACCAGUGUAAGAGAAAGGAUUUCGAUUAAAUACCCCUUGGUAGUUGAGUUCCACCAUCACAAACACUCCAUUAGGUUCCGAUUGUGCCAUUUUUGCGACUUCUUUGGCUCUUCAGCUCGAUCACAAAAAUGCUUCACAAAACCUAAAUCAAUUUCUUUUAAAACUAAAUAAUGAAGACGAGUGAAGUUCGAUAGCUGAAGACAAAAGGCUUAAAGCUUCGUAUAUCAUCUAUUGAUGUGGCAUAUCUCACAUGGCAUCAGAUUAGCUAAAAAAGAUAUAUUAAUUGACAUAUAUAAAAUGUCAACCAGGAAACCGUUUACAAGUAUGGAAAUGACUAAAUUAAUAAGUCAGAUACCAUUUUAAUGGUCUAAUGUACCCAAAAAACUUUAAUGACCAAAUUAGCCAAAUGUAAAAAGUUUCAUGUGCUACAGUGACAUUAUCCCUGAUGGGUUUUGAGCAUUCUAACACUCCUAUGGUGUACAUGCAACCCUAGAAACCUUGGAUCUAUGUUUGACUAAUAUACAUGCAAAUAAUUAUUUUCCAAGGUUCUUAUCCUAUCUAGCAUGGCAUGGGAACUUGAAUCAAAUAGAGCUAGUAGAAUUACUUACCUUGUAGUUGUUUAAAGCUUCGUAUAUCAUCUAUUGAUGUGGCAUAUCUCACGUGGCAUCGGAUUAGCUAAAAAAUAUAUAUUAAUUGACAUAUAUAAAAUGUCAACCAGGAAACCGUUUACAAGUAUGGAAAAUGACUAAAUUAAUAAGUCACAUACUAGUUUAAUGGUCUAAUGUACCAAAAAAACUUUAAUGACCAAAUUAGCCAAAUGUAAAAAGUUUCAUGUGCUACAGUGACAAUAUCCCUGAUGGGUUUUGAGCAUUCUAACACUCCUAUGGUGUACAUGCAACCCUAGAAACCUUGGAUCUAUGUUUGACUAAGAUACAUGCAAAUAAUUAUUUUUCCAAGGAUCUUAUCCUAUCUAGCAUGGCAUGGGGAACUUGAAUCAAAUAGAGCUAGUAGAAUUACUUACCUUGUAGUUGUAGUUGAUUGCUUGGAGUUUUAGAGCCUAGCACCAAUAGUGUGGAUGCCUCAAAUGUAAAUCACAAAUCACUACAAACUUGGAACUUUGAGAGAAUAGUAACCACCUUUCUUGAAAUCGGCCCUCUUACUUUACUCACCACAACUAGUAUGAUUUCAAGAACCAAAGCCUCCUUUAUAUAGUGUGGUGGAUUAGGGUUACAUCCAUGUAAACCCUAAUACCCAUGUCUUUUCAUUUCCAUGAGAUCCAUGGGUUAAAGCUCCAUGGAGUAUCCAUGGACUUUCCAAGCAAGCCUAGCCCAUUCCAAAUAAGCAUUAGCCCACACUAUAUAAAUAUAAGAGCCCAUAUUUAAUUAGUAAUACUUUUGAUCUCUAAAUUAAUUUUAGAUUAAUUAUAGAUCAAUACUAAUUAAAUAAUAUGGUUUUAUAUUAAUAUAUUAGAACUUAUAAUAUAUUAAUAAAUCAUAACUUAUACUAUUCUCAAAAGAUUAUCCAUAAAUUGUUCGGGUGAAGUGCAACCCAAAUGGACCAUGACGGGUCGGGUCAAGUACAUACCAAAUAUAGUUAUGGACUUAGACACUAUAUCCAACAAUCCCUACAUAAAGUCAUAUGUAGUCAAGGAUCAGAUAGAUAAUCGAACAUAUGACUCACCUAAGAGCGAACAAUCAGAAAAGAACAUCACAAUCAAGCCUUAGAUCAAGAGUUAUCAGUCUAUCCAACUUAAACUAGAUAGACCUAAGAUAUUAUUACCACCUAACCAUGUGACAUAAACAUUUAACAGAUACUAGCAUAUUUAUACACUUAGCAACUAUCCUUCCCUAGUUACCCUGUCAUUGAUCACUUCUCAAUCAAGUGAUCAUCUGGUCAGUCAUGCAUAAUCAUGAUAAUUGACCUACCCCAAUUUCCCUAACUAAACAUAACUCAUAACAAUAUCAUACAAUAAAUAGGAAAGACCUCACAAGAAUAGCAUACCCAGACACCAAGUGUUCUAAACUGCACAUGCAUAUCCUAGCCAACUAGCAUAUUUGUACUCUAACAGUAUCUCCAUCCUAUCAUGCACAGGAUAUAUAAUGAGAUAUGUGGCAUACUAUGAAACUCACCUGAACUGAAGAACCGGAGAAGCACAACAACACUCUUACACAUUUCACUACUCGAUCAUGUGAACCAAUUAACACCAAAAUAGAUAAAUCCUCAAUCAAUAAUCCAAAUCCUCCAAGUUUGACCCUAAGUCAAACUGGUCAAAAGUCAAUAGUCGAUGUAACGCCCAUGUUUCUUUCCAGACAUUAACUAAAUAAUUAGGGUCAACAAUCACCACAACGUGGUAACCUCUUGGCCACAUCCUGGGAAUUUCCAUACAAAAUAGUUACGAAGCUUAGGAUCACCAUGUCGUUGCAAGCCUAUUGCCACGUCGUGGAAAUUCACAGGAAGUCAUAUUCUUCAUUAUGAGCUUAAUGCUUACAGAUCUAAGCUCAAACUUUCAUAUUUGAUUCUUCUUGAUGAAUUAAUGGAUCUUAAACCAUAAGUCUAUUAAGUCUUUAAUAUGACCAAAACUAGAGCAUGGAGAAAAGGGAGCUAUGAAUUAACGCUUUUUCCAUCAAACAAGACCAAAAGAUGGUCACCAAACAAUUCUAAAGUUCUGGAGUUGGCCAAAACUCCAAGAAAAUGCCUUCAAGGGACUUCAAAGCAUGAUAUGAGAGAAAAGGAUGAUAAAGGUGGAAGCUUUAUACCUUCCCAAAAUCCACAAGACAUAGGAGAUGCAAGAUCUGAAGUAGAUACACCAUUCAAACUAGCAAACACACUGUCGUUUCCUUCCCAAAGUGCAACCCAAGGCUUCAAACUUCAAGAACUCCAAGAACUCAUCAAUAUCACUCAAAUAGGGCUAGGGUUUCGAAAUAGGAGGAUGGAGACUGAGGGAAAUGAGCUAACCCUAGAGUUAAGGCCAUUAAAUAUGGGAGAAAAUAUAAAAAAAAAAAUUAUGUGCUUGGGCUACAGCACUCACAACGUCGUGGCAACCCUCUAGUCAUGUCGUGGUGCUCUUCAAAAUGUGCGUUCCCGAAAAUAUGUGUCACGUCGUGGUCAUCCAUGCACCAUACCAAGGCAUAGAUUUUUCUCCUAAAACCCCAUCUUUGAUCCUAUUAGCUCUUUAGUUAAACUAUUAUAGAAAAUAGGUGUUAUAGCCACCAUUCCGAGUUCCUUCUGUGACUGCUAAAUUAGUGUUUGGCGGGUUGGGGAGCCCGACUUCUUUCUCUUAUAUCUUCACAUAUAUAUAUAUAUAUAUAUAUAUAUAUAUAUAUAUAACAUUUUUUUUUCAAAAGUGUAAUACUAUCAAGGGAAAUUGACUUAUCAGGGUAAUUACUGUUUUGUUUUGUUCACAUCGGGGUAACUCUUUUUUUAGUACACAUCUAGGUAACAAACUUUUUGUAAGUGUUCACAUGUGACCAUUAUAAUUGGUUGUAGCAAGUUACAACCGAACGUAAUUGUCAUAUAUGAACACUUCCAACAAGCUCGUUACCUCGAUGCAUACAAAAAAAUGAAGUUACACAUAUGUGAACAAAACGAAAAGGUAAUUACCCUGAUAAGCCAAUUUCCCUUUUUAUUAAGGUGGCAAAUCAUAAUGUUUGUAAUAUUAAUAUAUUCAUUUAAAUUUCUUUAAAACAACAUUUGUAACACCCGGAAUCUAGAAGAUUAAUUAUGGAAACAAAUUCCCUUACCUAAGUAAAAACACGAUGAGUUGAUGGUGGGAAACUCGAUGUGUUGGAGGUUUUUGGGACACACGUUUUUAUGAACCAACUCGGUGAGUUGGUGAAGGAAAAUCGGCGAGUUGGACACUGACUGAGAAACCCUAAUUUUUAGGGUGUUACACCCUAUUUAAAGACCUUAAGUUCUUUAGCUGGCCUCCUUACCGGCCUCCUCUAUCCAGAAACCCUAAAACUGAGCCUUGUCUUCCAUUUAUGAGUGUGAAAGCUUGGGGAGAGCCUUGAGAGUUCAUUUUUGGUGCUUUUUGAAGGAGCUAAGGAAUUAGGAGUUGCUUGGCUUGAAGAAGAAGUCUUGGAUCCAGAAUCUCUGCCUCAUUUGCCAAGUUUUUGAGGAAUCGUGUUCUUACCUUGCUUAUUUGUUGCUUAGAUCUCUUCUUGGGUUAGAGUUUAUGAUUUUUAGCCAUUUUGGGUGAAUGUUGGGGAUUAGGAGGUCCCAAGCAAUUAUUAUUUCAGAUAUAAGGGCUAGCGGCGCUGCUUGUUGCCCGUUCGCCUUCAAUCGAUAUGUAUUGAACUUUCAUUGGAGUAUAUUUUCUUAAUAUAAAUAUAUAAUAGAUAUAAGGUCUACAUGAGCUCUUUAGGCAUAAAGGUGCCAACUUUAUGGAUUUAAUGGCUUCAUGUAUUCAUUAAGUCUUUCAGUUAGCCCUUUUUGAGCUUUUGAUCACCUCCUAGUCAUGCUUAAGUGUAAAGUUGGAAACUUUACACGGCCAUCUAGCCUUAUGGGGACAGAUCUGCAUUAUGGGUUUUAUCUUUGAUGAUUAAGUGAUUAAUGAUUAAGCCUUCACUCUUUUAAGUUUAGGGUUUGGGUUUGGACCCAUUAGGUGAUUCCUAGGGGUAAAGUUGGAAAAUUUACCCUUCUUGAUCUCAUUUUGGUCGAGAGCAGAGCUUUGGAGCCUUUGGACUCGAUGAAGGUACCUUAAUGCAUUAAGAUGUUGGUUCUUGAGAGAACUCGGCGAGUUGACUUGGUUUCCCCGAUUUGUGUAGUUGAUGGAGAAACUCGACGAGUUGGGUUAACUUGGACCGUUGACUUUGACUUUCGAUUUAUGUCUUUGAACAAGUUUGUCCCAAUGGGUACUUGAGGUAAUCUGAAUUGUAAUUAAGGGAAUUAUGAGAUUAGGAUAAGGCCCAUAUGGGGUUGGUCCCAAUUUGGAAAAUUGGGCCAUUACUGGGCCUUUGCGGAUCUUUUGGUUUUGGACUUUUUGGUUAAUGGAAUUUGGGCCUCAGUUUUGGUUCAUGACGCGUUAGGGUUAAAAUGGUCAUUUUCCCCCAAGUAUGGAUGGAGGGCUUUAGAAUGGAACCCAAUUGCUAAUUAGGUGUUAUUUUGAUCUCAUAGCUCGGAGGUCUCAUCAGGGCAGCAGCUAGGGACUUCUUUCUGUGAGUUUCUGCGUUCGAGGUGAGUCUCCUUACUUUUCUAUGGUUUGAAGGCAAUAAUGACGGCCCAUUUGGUUUAUGUAUUAUAGGAAGACCUGGGGGAUAAACCUUGGCAGUUUGUAUGAAAGACCAGGAGGCGGCUCCUGGCAAACUGUAUGCAAGACCAGGGUCUGAACUCUAGCAGUUGACUAGUUAAGUAGUGUAGAUUUUAUACUAUUUGUCUUUGUGACACUUUCAUGGAAGACUCGAAGGUGGAUCCUGGCACUUGUCUGUAAGACCUAGGUUUUUGGCCCCCGGCCUGACAAGGAAGACCACAAGGCGGCUCAUGUCAUAAUGGCAAGACUAUGGAUGGCACAUAUCACCUUUACUAAUUGGGGUAUAUGUAUGCUAAGUAAGACUCAGUGAUAUUAAUGUUAUUUAUAGUUUUGAGUUGAGUUUUCUCCUGCGAUUGAGGUGCAACAGUUGGUGCGAGAGUUUCUGGAUCUCUGUCAGACUACUGAGACUGUGGCAGAUUGUGGAAGGGUGGAAGUGAUGUAAGACUGAGGGGUGGCCCGUAGCAUUCACUAGUUAGAAGUUGGUAUAAAAAUGUUGUAAGACUGUGGGGUGGCACGUAGCAUUCACUAGCGAUCAGAUAGUGUGGGAAGUGUUGUAAGACAGAGGGGUGGCCCGUAGCAUUCACCAGUCCCUAUACAGCGGUGAGAGUGUGGCAAAUUUGUGAUUUGCUCACGGUUUUCUUCGGAUGAUUUUGGCCAGGAUGGAUCAGUUCGCAAGGCUAUGGGAAGGACACAACAUGUUUGGAAUCAAGAUAUGGGAGGUCGUGGGAGACCGGGUUUGAGGUAAGACUAUAGUUGGUCUGUAACGUUCAACCUAGUAUCAGAUUAUUGACGAGACGGUUUGGGUAGUUAUUGCCAGUGAGGCUUUUUUUCAAAAGUUGCGAUGGGCGAUUGUGUGGAGUUUCAAAAGCAGCUACGAGGCAACAAGCUGUUUUGGGCAGUAUUAGUGAUUUUUGGGCAGUAUUUUCGGGUAGUACUAGUCAUUUGGAAUUUGUGUGUGAAUAUGUAAUUUUUCAAACAAUUUUUUUUUCAUUUAUAAAACUCAUAAAAACUCAUAUAUUUCAUUUCAUAAAAUCACAAGUGUCUCAAGUCAACAUAAAUCCACAAGAAAAAUCAAAUCCUAGAAUCCUCAACAUAAUCUCGAACAGGUGUGUACAAUCACGUCGGUGCCUUCCCGCGAUCCUCGGAGGUACUUGAAACACAUAUCACAUAGCACGGUAAGCAUAAAGCUUAGUGAGUUCCUCAAAAUACCAUGCACACACAUAAUUAGCCACUCGAGGCUAUCGCUCUGUAAGACCCUCCGGUUAAUGUGUCUUAGCGAGACCCACCAGUCCUACAAAUCGUCAGACCCUCCGGUCCGGUCUAAGUGAGAACCCUCCGGUCUCACUACUCGUUGGACCCUCCGGUCUAGUCUAAGUGAGGACCCUCCGGUCUCAUAGUUCGUUGGACCCUCCGGUCCGGUCUAAGUAUCUCAUAAUAUAGUACACAGUAUAUAUCACACAGAAAUACAUAACUCAAGCAAGCACAUAAGACCCUCUGGUCACACAUAAUGACCACACUAGGUAAGGUAUAAUGAGAAGACUCACCUCCUAAGAACUCGGAUAAUCUCAAACUCAAAUCACAGGUUUAGCCUCCGCCUAAUAUACACAAUAAUUAUCCCUAAUUAAUAACGGCUCUCACAAGGCUGAACUAACCCUUCCAUACACUCACAGAAGGGUAAAAGACCAUUUUACUCCUCCAUGGGCUUAAUAGACCACAUGUUGACCAAACCCUAAAAGUCAACCGAAAGCCAACAGCAAGGAGUACGCUGUGCGUACCAACUCCCUACGUUGGGCAUACUCGGCUGCCAUGCAGGCAUCGUGGAGACUCGACCUCUACGUUGUGCGUACUGGGAUUAUGCCCAGCGUACAUCCUAGUUUCACUCUCCUCACAAUUUUGGUCUUAAACAGUUAAUACAUUGGCUCAUAAUUCAGAUCUGGACUCCCUAAUGUCUCUUAAUCCAUAAAGUUGGUGACUUUAAGCCUUUGCGUGGCUAAAUAGGUCACAAACACUGAAAACUCCCAUCCCCUUUCCUCAUGAAACUCAUAACUCAUGCAUGGCUUACUCCUAAUGUCCAAGAUUAGAUUUUUAUGACUUUACUCCACAAAAUACACUGAAAAGGGAUAGAUCAAGGCCUCUAGAGUGCAUUAUCUCAUAAAGUCUCCAUCUUUUGGGAAAAAACCCUAAAGUAAUUCAUAUGAAUGCACCAAACAAACAAAUGAGAAAGCUUGAAGAUUUAUACCUUUAUGUGAAACCUUCUUCACAGCUAAGCUCAGAUCCAACUCCUGGGGCUCUCACUCCUUCUUCUCUAAAGCUUCCUCUCUACUUCAAGAACACAAGAUUACACCAACAAGCUCUCAAAUGCACUCUCCAGCUAUAAUGACGGAGAUUUAGGGUUAGGAGGGGUUGGUGUUUGGGAAUGGUGGCCAGGAAUGAGGCCAUCAUGUCCUUUAAAUAGUGAGCUCAUUAAAAUUUAGGGUUUCAUUAUGGGCCUAGCAUGCCCAGCGUACCCACUGGUACGUCGCGCGUACUAGGUGGCCUCCACAUCACUAACACGCAUUGGAGUAUGCUGAGCGUACACUCAAGUACGCCCCGAAUACUCGUUUACCACCUUUUCUCUAAUAAGGCCAAAAUGGACAAAUGCUCAAUAGAUCAAGGUUUACAAGGUAUACCUGGACUUGGGAUGUUACAUCGUGUGUGAGUCUCUUGUAGUUCGGGGAAUAUAAUAAGUUGCUUGUAGUGGAUUAAAUAAUCUCAGAGUGGUUGAUUUGAUUCUAUUGCGCAGUUCUCGUCUGAGUCUAACCAUUGCAGGGAUGAAUCUUCUACUCAAAGGAUUAUCUGAGCCUAUUGUCGAGUAUAAGUGUUCUGUAGCUGCAAAUGAUCUGUUUUUUGGUUCCUUUAAAAGCAUUAAGAUAUUGGUUUUAUAGUGGUUCAGAGAGGGGGAGGGGGUGAUCAGCCAGGAAGUCAAAUCAAAUUGAGAUUUCAGGUAUCAGGAAAGGUAAAGGUGGGUUUUUCUGCAAGGGAUUAAGGUUCGUUCUGCUAGGGUUGGUUUCAGUUGCUAUGGGAAGGUGGUAGUAUUAUGGGGUUGUGAAGAUGAGUCCUUAUGGGGACAGUGUUAUCUGGUGCUAUCUGUCAUGGAGUUCGGCAAUGUCCAGGGUUUUCCAGGUUCAAGUUUAAUGGUUAGGGAUCUUCUAUUUUGGAUUUGUCAUCGGUAUGGGUGGGCGGUUAUCUAAGCGGGGUGACUUCCUUAGUCUUUUGGGGUUCAAGGAGUUUAGUCAGGAUCAUCAGUUCGGUACACGAGAUUUUAGGGAAUGAUUUCGAGGAUGAAAUCUAAUUUAAGUGGGGGAGAGUUGUAACAUCUGGAAUUUACAAGAAUAAUUGUGGAAAUAAAUUCCCUUUCUAGGGACCAACACGGCGAGUUGAUCGUGGGAAACUCGACGUAUUGGAGGCUUUUGGGAUGAGCGUUUUUAUAAACCAAUUCAAUGAGUUGGUGAAGGGAACUCGGCGAGUUGGACGCUAAUCGAAAAACCCUAAUUUUUAGGUUGUUGUACCCUAUCUAAAGGCCUUAAGUUCUUUGGUUGGCCUCCUUACCAGCCUCCUCUGUCCAAAAACCCUAAAAUCGAGCCUUAUCUUCCAUUGUUGAGUGUGAAAGCUUGGGGAGAGCCUUGAGAGUUUAUUUUUGGUGCUAGUUGAAGGAGCUAAGGAAUUAGGAGUUCCUUUCCUUGAAGAAGAAAUCUUAGAUCCAGAAUCUCUGCCUCAUUUGCCAAGUUUUUGAGGUAUCAAGUUCUCACCUUGCCUGUUUGUUUCAUAGAUCUCUUCUUGGGUUAGAGUUAAUGCUUUUUAGCCAUGGUUGGGUGGAUUUUGGGGAUUAGGACAUCCCAAACGAUUAUUAUUUCAGAUCUAAGGUAUAUAUGAGCUCUUUUGGCAUAAAGGUGCCAACUUUAUUGAUUUAAGGGCUUCAUAGAGUCAUUAAUUCUUUCAUUUAGCCGUUUUUGAGAUUUUGUGCUCGUCCUAGUCAUGCUUAAGCGUAAAGUUGGAAACUUUACAUGGCCAUCUAGCCUUAUGGGUUCAGAUCUGCAUUAUGGGGUUUUGUCUUUGCUGAUUAAGUGCUUAAUGAUUAAGCUAUCACUCUUUUAAUUCUAAGGUUUGGGUUUGGACCCAUUUAGGUGGUUCCUAGGGGUAAAGUUGGAAACUUUAACCUUCGGGGUCUUAUUUUGGUCAAUAGCUGAGUUUGGAGCUCUUGGAUUCGAUGAAGGUAGCUUAACGCAUUAAGCUGUUGGACUUUUAGAGCUCAUAUCGUGAGUUCGAUCUUAUCCAUCCGCUGAAUCGACUUCUGACAGCCCGACUCUGGAACCCAUCCAUCACUGGCUCACGUCGUGAGCUUCAUGCUCACGUCAUGAGUCCUCUUAUAGUGUGGGGUUGAGUCUUUUACUCGAAGGAUUAUUUGAUCUUUGUUGCGUGUGGCUAUAUUAAUGAGGAAGCUAGUUGACAUUGGUGGGAUUCCUUUAGCAGUUGAGGGUUUGGUGAGGUCGGGAACCUAGGAAAGCCUAGGAUAUGCUUUAGUGGGUUAGUGGUACGGUUUAGUGAGUUUUGGUGCAUUGUGCUGAAGAAGUGACUUAGAGGAUUCGAGAGGAUUACUGAGGAAAGUAUGGAUAGGUGGGCUUUAGAAUGGAACCCAAUUGCUAGUUGGGUGUUAUUGUGAUCUGAUAGCUCGGAGGUGUCGUCAGGGCACUAAUGUCGGCCCAUUUGGUUUAUGUAUUAUAGGAAGACCCAGGGGAUAACCCUGGGCAGUUUGUAUGAAAGACCAGGAGGCGGCUCCUGGCAAACUGUAUGCAAAACCAGAAUCUGAACUGUGGUAGUUAACUAGUUAACUAGUGUAGAUUGUAUGCUAGUUGUCUUUGUGAUGCUUGCAUGGAAGACUCGGAGGUGGCUCAUGGCACUUUUUUGUAAGACCGCAGGUUUUGGCCCCCGCCCUGACAAGGAAGACCACGAGGCGGCUCGUGACAUAAUGGAAAGACUAUGGAUGACACAUAGCACCUUUACUGAUUGUAGUAUAUGUAUGCUAAGUAUGGCUUGUUGAUAUGAAUGUUAUUUAUGGUUCAAUCGGUAUGUUUGGUAUGUGGUAUUUGGGGAACUCAAGAAGCUAUGUGCUUACAUUUUGUGCUUUAUGGUUUCAUGUAAUUCCAUUUUGAAAGGAAAGGGUUCGGCUUAAUCGCAACGCAUACACCCAUGUUUUCCGCAAUGUGUGAUAUUUAGGAAUGAACUCUGAUAAUUGUUUUAUUUUGAAACUCUUCUAGAUGUCGGAUUAAAGGUUAAUGAAUGUUUUGGGCAUAAUAAAAACGAAAUUUUUACCCCUGAUUUUCGGGAUGUUACAACAUUUAUUACCAUUUAUUGACAUUUAAAUUGGCCACGACAUGUUUGAAACCAUUUGUGAUAGCAUAAUUAUCAAAUCAAAUAACUCUAUAUAUUGAGACAAGAGCAAUGUUAUCCAUGUGGAUAAAAUGUAUUUCUAUUUUUUGUAUUUUAAAUUCAUGUAAUACAUGGAACAAAAUUGAAGAUGAUAUUCUAUUUCAUGUUAUUGGUCUCAAUAUCUGACACUUUUAGUAUCUAGUAAAUUUUAAUUUUCAUAUGUAAUAUCUUAAACAAUAAAAUUCUAUAAAAUGACGAUGUAUUUUUUCCAUGUCAAAUGUGAUUUUUUUUUUGUAUCAAAGUAGUGUAUUUUAAAAAGAUAUUUACCAAGUUGGAUUGAGUGACAAGUGGAUUGAGUUAACUGAAAAAAAAAAUUAUUUUUCAUGGGUUAGAAAAGAUGAAAAAAAAAAGUUGAUAUAGAACUCACACCACAUGAAUGAUUUGACACCGUUCUACUCCUACGACCUUUACCCCCAACAUCGAAUUCAUUAUGAUUGUUAGCCUAUCUUACGAGACAGACAUGACCUCCUACUACCAUGUAUACUAAGUCCCACUAUUUAUAACUCUACCCUAUAAAACUCGACGGAGCGCUGGGGUGAAGGGUUACGGGAUCCUUUCCCGCUCACCGGAACANNNNNNNNNNNNNNNNNNNNNNNNNGGGGGGGGGGGGGGGGGAAGGCUGCUGCACUCUCUCUCUCUCUCUUCUUCCUAUUGGCUGGUUUUUUUCCCAAGCGAACUGUUUGAAAUAAAUAACAAAAUUAAUUUUUUUUUCAAUACAACUAUUGAAAAACAACAAUGAAUUUAUAUAUAUAUAAUUUUGUUUUUACCUCUAUAACAUCUAUAAAUAUACACAUACUUUAACCUUUCAAACUCACACCUCCUUCUAUGAAUUUCUCUGUACUUUCUUCAAAAAAAGGAAUCCAUACAACCAAACCCCAAACUUCGAUAGAAGGAAAAAAACCAAUGUUUCAAAUUUAAGCACCCCAACUCGAAACAUUUUUGAUAUCGAUUCAUCUCAAGGGGUUUAUCGUCCACAACUCGAUGCUCACAUUUAAUCUUCACUACAAUCACAAUACCAAAAUAUUAGACAAUUUUACCCGAUGCAAGUUCCAAAUGUUACUCCAAAUAUGCUAUUAAACUUUGUUGUUUUUCCUGAUCAACUUUCGCCAAAUCAACCCCAAACUCAAAUCCCACUCUUUCAAUCUCAAACCCAAACCCAACCUAAGCCCAAACACAAUAUCAACAACAAUACCAAAUCUUCGAUGAGUCGGAUGAAGAGAUUGUACGGGAAACUCAACCCACAACCCCCAACCCCACAAAGUAAAACAACAAGUGAGAGAGGGUUCCAUACAACCGGGACGACAGAAGCCGCAACCAUGGACUAAACGAGAAGAGAUAAUUGGGGUAAAAGCUUGGGUUGACAUUUCAGAUGAUUCAGCGACAGGAAAAUGCACAACCUGAGGAUCAUUUUUGGUUUCACAUUCUUGAGAGGUUUCAUAAGGAGAUGGGAAAAAGUGACGAGUAUCGUACCAAUCAUCAAUUGAAUUCAAAGUUUCGAGAAAUAGCGUGGGCCGUUUCAAAAAUGAGCGGGUGUACAACAACCUAAAAACCUAAUGGAAAAGCAGCCAAGGAGAUGAAGAAAUACUUCAGGAAGUUUUGCAUUUUUUCGAGAGGAAGUGGGAAAGUCAUUCAAGUGCCACGAUUGUUGGAAAAUAUUGAUUAAAAGUCGUAGGUGGAAAAAAUACGAGCAAGAGUUUAUACGUCGAGUACAACAAUCAAAACGAACAAAAAUGAGCUCUAGUGGUUACACAACUUCCUCCGAUGCUCGGGUCGGUCUAGAUUUAAAUGACGAGGACGCACUCGAGCUAGAAGAAAUUGUCCGACCGAUAGGUAGGGACAAAGCAAAAAUGAAGGGAAAUGAGACUUCUUGGGGUGAAUCGAAUUUCAGCAUGGACGCGGACCAAGUGCGAAAAAUGGUGGAGAUAUUUGAUCGAUAUAAUCUUAAUUUUGCUGAAAGUUUUGGCAUUCGACAAAGACAAAGAAGGAGAAAAAAAGAAGGAGAACGCAUAGAAACAAGAAAUGGAGGAGAUGAUGUUAUUGAUGAAAAAUACCGACCAUCUUUCGGGACUAGCUUCGGAGCUCGUUUUGAAAAAAAAAGGUGCGGAUUAUGCAAAAAUAUUUUCCCUAAGAGUGUUGUUUGUUUUUUUUUUCUAGUUAUUUAAAUCUUAGGUUUUUAUGUAAUUUUUAUUAUAAUUAACAAUGGCGGAGUUACUAUAUCAUUAUAAAUAAUAUUUUGUUUCUUAUAAUGAUAAUCUUUCCUAAUAAAUAAAGAACUUUUUGUCACAUGUCAAACUCUCAUUGAUUUGACCACAUGUCAUUUUGUGGUUAUUUUCAAUUAAUUUUUUUUUACACAUGUCAUUUUGGGGUUUUUUCAUUUUAUUAAUUUUCACAUAAUAUUUAAAUGUAAUAAUUACAAUAAAUAUAAUAAUAAAAUGCAUAUCAAUUUUAUUAAUUGACUUCCUUUUAAUUUUAAAAUUUCUAAAUUAAAGUUUCAUUAGUUUCCUUUAUUUAUUUAUCUAAAUUAUUUGUUUAAUUUAAAAGAAAAACAAACAAUUUAAUUUUAAUAAUUAAAUGUUUUUCUAUUGUUUUCUUAUAAAUUCAAACUUGUCAAAUGUUUAAAAUUUUAUAUGUUUUUCUUUAAAAUGAACUCAUGUAAUACAUGAGUGUUACACCUAGUGAUAGAUUAUAUCACGAGUACAAUUCAUUUAAUGAAACAUAUGUACGUAUAAUUAGAGAAAAUUUUUAAUAUUAGCAUGUUAAUCCUCUCUAAAAAAUAAAAAUAAUUUUGCCACAUAUCACUCUUUUAUUAAUUUGGACACAUGUCAUUUUUUGGUAUUUUUGAUUAAAUGUUUUUUCCAUUUGUCAAUUUUUUAUUUUUUAAUAUUUUCUUAAUUAACACAUCAUAUAUACACCUCAAUUAAUAAUUACCUUAAUUGAAAAUAACCAAUAAAUUACAAUAUUAAUAGUCAUAUAGUAUUUAAUAUGUUUCCUUUUAAAUUUAAAUUUUAAAAUUUUAAUUUCAAAUCUAAAAUUUCAAAUUUGAAUAAAAUUUGUUUGAACUUUUAUAUUUAAUUUUUGUUUUAUCAAACUCGUAUAACAUACGGGUCUCACACCUAAUGGAGAAUUAUAAAUCAACGUUUAUUGUCGGUCUAAACUUUUGAAAUGUCAUUUUUGCAAUGAUCGGUAUAACUUCUCCUUAAAGGAAUUUUUAUAGUCAUUUUCUCUUUCAAGAUUGUAGACUCUUUUACAUUAUUUUGAUAAAAGAUAUAUUUGAAUAUAUUUUUACGACGUCGGCUUUCCUUAUUCUUAAAUCCUGGCUCCGUUCCUUUUAAUUAAUGUAGUGGUUUUUAUUUUUAAUUAUAUAUAUAUAUAUAUAUAUUACUUAUUCAUUUAUAAAAUUAUAAAUCAUAAAAUCAAUUAUUUUUACUUAAAAAAGAGUGAUACACCUUUACAAAAUUAUAAACCAUAAAAAUCAAUUAUUUUUACUUAAAAAAUAGUGAAAAAACCUUCCCACAUACACCUUGGUUUCUAACUAAGAAAAAAAAUGUAGGAAAAAGGAUAAAAUGAUAAAGAAAAAUAAUAAAAAAAAAAAUAAAAACCUUCCCGUACCCACCCUCCGGCAUAAGAAGGUGCGUCCCUACGAGUACAAGAUACACAGGUGUAGAUACAUAUGUAAAAAGCUAGUAAUUAACCAACUAAUUAUUAAUUAUUAAAUAAAAUAGGGAUAUAAUAUUAAUGAUAAACACAUUAAAAUAUUCCAAAUGCUCAUGAAGUCAACAUGAGAAAUUAUAUUGCAAUAAAUUUCUUGUUGGGUGAGAAAUUCACAAGUAAAAUUUGUAUAGUAAAUAACAAACCGAAAGUUCCAGAAACAGGUCAAAACUUAAAACCCUAAAUGAGCUUACAAAUUUCCAUUGGCCACAUACCCCACCACAAAGGCACAAACAAUCAAUGAAACAAGUGUAGAUGUAGAGGCCUUUUUCACCACAAUCACCCUUCAUCGGCCAUUUCGAAGGCCACGUGAAAUGUCACUAACGUGGCCCUCUAAAUAUCCACUACUUUGUCUUUAACCCCUCCCCCCUCCCUUAUAAAACACUCCAUCCUCCUCCUUAAUCACCAUCACCAACAACCUUCUCUCCUUCCUCAAAAGUACCACCAUCUUUUCCGACAUGGCAGCUUCUUCAAUCUUCAUGGCAACUCCCAUCACACUCCUCAAAAAAACUCCCACCUUCUCCGUCAAAUGCAUGUCACAAACACCUCAAAGCGGUGAACCGGAGAUUUCAAAAUCAGCAACCACCCCAACACCACCACAGAUCAACAUUCCUCCUCCUCCGCCACCUGCUCCAAAGGUCAGCACGAAAUUCUCUGACGUGUUGGCGUUUAGUGGACCUGCACCGGAGAGGAUCAACGGAAGGUUGGCGAUGAUAGGGUUUGUGUCGGCGAUGGCUGUGGAAGUGAGCAGCGGUCAAGACGUGUUUACCCAGAUCGGCAACGGCGGAGUUGCGGUGUUUGUGGGGACUAGCGUCGUGUUGACGUU
Molecule: long non-coding RNA, 181969 nt
Filed under: Lactuca sativa (garden lettuce)
Lineage: Eukaryota; Viridiplantae; Streptophyta; Magnoliopsida; Asterales; Asteraceae
Source: RNAcentral